UCCGCGAUCGUCGCGUACCGUAUUAUUGUUAUUAUUAUUAUUAUUAUUAUUAUUAUUAUUAUUAUCGUUAUUAUUAUUGUUGUUACUAUUAUUGUUAUUAUUAGGUAUAAUCCACCGGGCGCCUGUGCAGCUCCUGUUCGAACAGCGUUUACGGACGGACGGACGGGGAUUUGUUUGAGGUACGUAAACAAUUAUAGCAGUACUGUUUGUUAAUAUAGCAUUAUGAUCGUGAAGUUUUUUUUUUUUUUUUUUUUCGGUUUUCUCGCGCAGUAUGAAAAUAAUAUUACACGCGUAUACGUUGUAUGGGUGUAUAAGCGCCGCUGGUCGCUAUAAUACGUUUUUCGUGUUCCGCGUAUGCCAUGUCUAAGAGCAACAAUCCUAUUUGAUAUUUAAUACUUCCUUGAUAAUAAAACUAUUCGAAUGUCACGAUAAAUAAGUAAUUAACAAUCAGCGUAUAUCCAACUCUAUUUCAUUUUUUUUUCUCGUAAGUUUCUCACGGUUUUAAUUGAAUUCAUCACAAUAAUAUUGUGAUGUAAAGUUCACGGCGAUUAAAAAGAAAAAAAACAUUUCCAAAAAAUAUAAAAUGAUACACAUGAAUAAAUAAAUAAAAAAAAAAAAAAAUCUCUUUUUGAAAUUUAAAUUCCGAUAAGGCGACGACGACUCUGAUUUACAAACGGGAUAAUUUACAAUAUUUGCAUAUUAUUAUAUUCGUAUUAUCGUUACGAAGCCAAAAAGUCUACACUACUAGCGGUAAUCAAAGUGGAAUUAAUUAAUGCUAAUAUGAUCAAUGCUCGAUGUGGUUUUUUAGUUUUUAUGUUUUAUGUGCCGAUGGAUAAAGUGAAUUUUUUUUUCACAAAAAAGGGAUUUGGCAUUUCGAUUAGCCGAUUUACCGUCGGGACGAUUAUUAUAAUAUUUAUUAGAGUAAAAUAGUUAUUUGAGCGUAGGGGUAGGGUUUUUUUUACCUUUGAAAAUAUAUAAUUUAUUAUAUUUUCCAAUUUAUACUUCCUAUAAUUGACGUAUUCAUUUAAACCUGUGCAUUUUUUUUUUUUUUUUUUUUUUUUUUUUUGUAUGUUUUUUCGAAAUAAAUGAUAUUUCGCGUUGAUUUACAGGUGGACGAAGGCUAGGCGUAUUCGUUCUCUCUGUAAAAAUAUUAAAAAAUUCCAUAAACAUGGUUCCAAUCUAAAAGUAACAGAAAAAAAAACCGAACGAACUCCCCGUAGUGUUCUCGGUUUUUUCGAUAUAUAACUGACAUGUAGAUGAAGGUAUUACAGAUUACUUUAUGUAGCCACUCGUUGUACCGUGUUUUCGAAAUUCGAAAUAACUCCGAACAAUGACUAUCGAUAAGCGAAAUACUGCGCGGCCGCCCCCGGUUGACUUUUUAAUCAACGCGUUUCGACUUUUAAUAAUAUACUGCAAACAACCCUUCGCCUCUGAGUCGAACGAUUCACUACUACCUAACCACGAACCAAUAAACAAAAAAAAAAAACGUUCAAUUCCCCCCCCUAUUCCUAAAAAAAAAAAAAAAAAAAACACCGCCUAUUAUUAUUUAUCGUUUGUCGAAAAUAAUUUUAAAUAAAAAAUGAUUUCAAUAUUUUCGGAAAAGAAAACAAUUCCAUAAAUUGUUUUACCGACAACGCUCGUCUCGAGCGACAACGAGAUAUUACCUAUAAUAAUAAUAUAUGUACAGUAUAUACAAUAUAUGGUGUUUUAUUAUCGGGGGUGUACAAAUGCUUCGGUGUAUAGCUAUUGUAAUAGGUAAUAUAUAUAUAUAUAUACACAAUAUACAUUCAUAAUACAUAAUACAUAUACAGGUGUAACAGAACUAUUUGCCAUUUUUACAUUGUAAUUACAUGUAAAAAUGUGAAACAGUCCAGUUACACCCUGUAUAUGACGACGGUGCCAAUAGCUUUGUGGCGUUUAUGAUGCGAUGUCAAAAAGACAAUAUUUAUUCUGUCGGGCAAAUAAUAAUAAUAAUUCGCGUGCAUAUAUGAACUACUCUGUAUAUAUAUAUAUUUAAUACACGCACACACGCACACACACACACACACACACAUACAAACAUAGUAGAGCACACUCUAAAUAUUGACGGGAAAACAUUGAACGUUGACACAAUAAUAUUAUAUAUGGAAUUCGCGGUUUCUUAGUGGCAAAAGCGUAAAUAGUGAAAAUUUUAAAAGUUUAUUGGAGUAUAUAUUUAUGGUAUAAAACAUCGUGCACAAAAAAUAAUAACAAAGAAAACGGUAAAGCCGAGGCCUGCCAUAAAUAUUUGCCGUUUUACCUGUAAUUUUGUUUCGGGUUUUUCUAAUUAUUUUGAAAACCCCUUGUAUAACCAAAAAAAUUAUCUCUUUAAUACAUCGACUAGAUAAAAUUAUUUUUCCGAAAAAAAAAGCACACAUCAUAAUAAAUUGAAUAGUUGCACGCUGCACUCCGAAUCUAAAAAAAUGUAUACAUAAUAAUUAAUUUAAUUUAAUUUAACUGUUGCUAAUGACUCAAUUAUAAUUUGAAGUAAGUUAAUAUUUAAAUCGUGAACAAAUAAAAAAAUAAGUAAAACUUUUAAAAAUUGGUUACGCCUAUUAUUAUAUUACGAGUACGACGAACUACUAUAUCUACAUAAAUUUUAGCUACACCGCGUACUUAAAACCGAUUUCAAAUGCAACAGGAACUCCUCUAUUGAUCACGUACGAUAAUGUGAAAAGGUAAUUAAAUUUGAAAGUGCUACUUUUACUAGAUUUUUCAUAUUUAAUAAUACGAGUAUAUAAAUAAUAUAUAUUUUUAGAUUCUGAGUGAAGCGAAGAAUGUAUUGGUUGUAAGAUAAGACUUGAAAUUUGGAAAAAAAAUUUAUAUUUACCUUUUCUAGAUGUGGUAAAAUUUUCUAAAAAUUCAAGCCAAUUUUAAUUUUAGGCAAAUAGGCAUUAGUUUUGUACGUAAUUUUUAUUCGUUUUAUUUGUAUAGUUCGAAAAAAAAAAUUGAAUUUAAGGUAUUAUUUUUUAUAAGGGAAUUUUUAUAUCAAAUUUUGACGAAAAUCGUUUGAGUAAAAAAUUAUGUGAAACAAAUCUAAUUUUUAAAUUUUUUUUUCUGAUCAAAUGUACAUUGCCGAUUUAAAAACGAAGUCUGAAUUAAGAGACUAACUAAAUUUCAAAAUCAUAGCUUUUUGAAGUUUUAGUAUUUUGCGGAUAUUAUAUGUUAUGUUAAAUAUGUCUAUAUUAUCCUUCUAAAAGCAUAUUUGUCGUGAUCUAAUGGUUAUUCAUGCCUAUUAUUAUCCUAGGAGAUCCAAUUUCAAACCAGUGUUUCAAAAAAUAUUGUUUGCAUUUUUUUCCCUUUUACCUAAAACAAGAAAAAACAAAUGCACAUUGGAUAUACCUAGAGACCCAAGCCAUCGCCCUUGGACAAUUUCAAUCGCAUUAUACCCCUCAAUUUGUUGGGAAAACUUUUUACUAGAAAUCUUGCUUCGAUGUAACAAAUGUUGCUUAUUUUUUAAAAGGAAAUUUUAUCUUCAUGUUAAUUUAAAGAGUUCAUUUUUUGGUUUUUCAAACGUUUUUCAUAAUAACUGUGAAAAACUGGGAUAAAAUUUCAGGAAAAACGGAAAAUGUGUAAAAUGUAGGUAUAUGUAGGUAUUAGUAAAAAAAUAUUCUGGCCUUUUUUUUCUGUGUACAACUUUUCUACAGCAAAUUUUGUUCCGAUUUUAAAUGAUAGAACUUUUUCUAAAAGGAAAUCUGGCUGAAAAGGUACUUUAAAGAAGUUAUUUUUCAACUUUUCCAAUAGUUUUCUAAGCAAAUGUGAUAAACCGAGAAAAAACAUGGGAAAUCUGGAAAAUCGGUACAGUAUUAAACAAAUAUUGUUAAAGAAAAUAUAUAAUGCCUAUUUAAUUAUUUUACCUUAAUAUGACUUAUAUAUUGUUUACAAAGCAUCACUAUCAACUCUGCUUAGAAUCGUUUUUUCGUUGGCUACGGUUAUAGAUACACAUUUAAUUACCCAUAAUAGGUUAGGAUGCAUCAGUCUUCUUUAUCCUAGGACGUAGUUUUAAAAGAAACGCAUUUUAAUUAUAUUUUAUCCAAAAGAAAUGAUACUGAUGACGGGAGUGGCACUGUUGUAGACAGAAUUUUAGGAAAGUGAGAUGUACACAAUUUUUUACUUAGAUCAAAGAAAAAAAAACUCCUCACUAGAAGGUUUUUCGCUCCAGUAGUCAAAAGUUAUGUAUACCUACGCCAUUGAUUGAUAUUAUCGUUUCCACUCGUUUAAUAUCAUAUAAUAUUAUAUUUUGAAACUGCCGUAUUUAAAAUAUCAACAGCUUCUAAACAUUUAGUUCCGAACGAUACAUACAUUUUUUCUUUCGAUCACUUUACAGAACGGAAACUCUGUUAAACACAGAUAAGUUAAAUGUAAUGGAAAUCGGGUCGGUUUAUUGCUUAGCUUAUUAUAUUUUUAUUAUAAUUCUCGGUGUUGUGCAAAGGUACAUUUAAAAAUAUCUAGAAAAAACUAAAUUAAGUAACACCGAAAUGAGUGCUAAGAGUGCUAUAUAUUAAUUAUGAAACACAUCUAAAUGUUCAAAAGUAUUCAUGUGAAUUAAUAAACCAUAUUAAGAUAAAUAAUAUUUUAUUUACUAUUUCUAAUAUAUAUUAUAUUAAUACGAUUUAAAAUAAAUUAUCGAGAUGGGUUAGUUAUUUUUAUUUCAGAUACCUUAUUUCCCAUUGAUCUUGAGAAAAUAACAGAUAACAUAUACUUACGCCUAGAUAAUUUAUCUAGAUAAAAUACAAUUUGCUUUUUUGUUCUGGACAAUAUUCAGAUUUUCACGGAAAUCAAAAAUGUAUCGUGUCGCGUAGUUUUUCAAAUUUAUUACGUACAUGCAAUACUAAUUAUAUGUAUUUAUCAAAAAUUAUUACUUAUUAAAUACUACGUUUAUUCUUAAACUUAAAUCAGAAUUUAUAAUCUAUCUUCGUCUUAGAAACGUAAACUAAAACUUAAAACAUGGUUGUAAAUUUGUUUAAAUCAUUGUUUCUAUAAUAAUAAUUUUUUUUUAUCAUUUACAUUACGAAAUUCUACGAUAAACGCAUUAGGUUUUGCAACGUGUCGUUAAAAUUUGUCCACUGUGCACACAAUAUGAUUUCUUUUUUAAAUUAUGAUUGAAAAUCGUGUGGUGUUAAUAAUUUUUCAGCGAGUCCCGUAUACUAAAUUGUUGACGCCCCUCAUAUGUUGUGGUACAUAAAUCAUUUUUCAUAGAAAUUCUCGCCCUCUGUGUUCGUGGGCAUAAUGGGGAAUAAUCCGCCCCAUUGACGUGCACCUAAUGUACAAAUUGCCCGGGAGCAUUAUUAUUAAUAUUAUUAUUAUCCGGGGCACGAAUAUUCCGCGGGAUCCGUUUUGGUAUUUGUACCUGUGUGGGAUGAUGAAAUAAUUUAUCCGAGAGAAAUUUCAAAUACGAAAUUUUGAAACGAAAACAUGGUUGAUGUGGAGUUAAAUAUUUUCGUUUAAACGACCAGAGGACGGGCUUUUUUUCAUAAUACCAUGAAAUCCUAUUCGAUAGUUAUAACGUCAAUUUUCAAAUGUAAUUUUAAAUUCUGCUUCAAACUUGAUUCGCGUCUCACGAUCUCGUCUCUAUGUCGUUAUAAUAUUUUUAAUUGUUUCGAUGACACGAUAAAAUAAUAGAGCCAGUAUAUAUAUAUAUAUUCUGUAAGUUCGAAGGAGUAAGAUGUUUUACCCUCGUCAUAUUCAUCAAAAAUACCGCGAGGGAGCAGUGGGGAAUUCAGACAGAAAUUUAACUUGGUUUUGAUUUUCUGACAAAAAUGUUCGUUAUUUGUCACAUUUUGUAAUCAUUCGAUUUUCUCAACUAAAGUAAUAAAAUGAAUAACUACUCUAAGAUAUUUUUGUAUGUUUGUGUAUGUGUGAAAAGUGUGUCCCCUCACGAGUUUUUCACCUUAAGAAACACUUGCUGUGAGACCUCCCGGGGACGAUAUAAUAUUACGUGAAAAAGUGAUUAAUCGGUUCGAUUUUUUUUUUUACUCACCGAACGGAGCUCUGCACUGCAUAAUGCAAUACGGGUGUAUCCCGACGCUUUUAGUAUAAUGUUUUGCGCCGUUCCCCCGGGACGCGUUGACGCCGCGUGUGUUUGAGUGCUUUUAAAAUUCGUUUCAAACAAAUAAUUAAACACAUUAUGUAUGGUAAUACUCAUAUAUACGUAUAAUAAUCAAUCCGUAACUUUUGGAAGUUUUUUUACGCGGUGAAAAUCCUCAAUAACAUGUAUGGAAACGGUAUGUGAAAAUAGUUUUUCUGAUUUUAUUAUCACCUUGUAUAUAGUUACAACUAUAGAGCUUGUGUGUACCAUGACAAAAUAGAUAGGUAUAAUUGCAGUUUUUUGAUAUUAUGCACACUCCACUCGAAUAUUUCUGCACUUUACCUAUAUUACCGUAGUUACUUCUCAUUGGCUAAUAUUAUACUAUGGUAGAAUGGAGAGCUACGACAUAUGCCGAGUUUGAGAUCUGAACGACUGACACACUGCAUGUGAUUAUGCCUAAGAGGUCAACUCUAUUGAUAAUUACUGAAUGUUUUUCAAUAAUUUUCGUUUUUUAUUCACGGAGAAAAUGAUUAUACCGUUAUUAUACCUACAUGAUAAUGUUGGAAUAUUUUAUCCAAAUAAUAUUAUAUGAUUGAGAUAAAAUUGAUUAUUUUUAUGAAAAAUCUAGUUAUUUUGUUGAGAAGAACUUUGAACCGUUUAUAAUAGUUGGUAUUAGAAAUGGUGGAUUUUGAAAUUUUUCCUUGGAAGUAGGGAUUUCUGAUAUUAUUUUAGAAUAUAUUAACAAUAUUUAUCUACUAAUCAUAUUUUAUUAAUUUAAUUUUAAUUAACUUCCACUAACAAAAAAACCCAAUUAUUUCUUUACUUACGUGACUGUAGGUAUCUAUAUUUUACUUAUUCUAUUCAACAAAAAAAAUUGUAUUUACUUAAAUUAAAAAUCCUCAUUUCGCUAUUUUUACUCAUCCGUCCCAAAAUUCUAAUCUAAACAGCUAAUCAACGUUUCCAGAAAAUCACGGUGGAUUUUCCACACACAGAUAUUAAUAUAGGUAUUAGGUAUACAAUAUAUACUAUAUAAUUGUACUCGUAUAAAUCCUAUAAAAACUAGAAAUGAAUCCGAUUAUUAUUAAAUAUUACUUUAACAAGCAAUUUGUAAUAAUUUUCCAAAAAUGUUGUGUUUGUUUUUAUUUCAAUAAAAAACCGAUUCACAGCCAAAACUCAAAACCUGGCGAUCCAGACUUUCUACCCCCCCAAGCCUUACAACCACCAUUAGUGAUUAGUAUACCAUAGAACUUGUUCAAUGUAAGAUAUACCUAAUAUGGUGGUUUUUGGAUACAUAACACUGAUAACUAAAUUAAUCAGUGGUUAAAGUGGAAAAACCUUCAAAGUGGUACUAUAUUUACUGGAAAUUGAGGGUCUUUUUGAAAACUAACAAAACUUAAACAAACUUUCAGGUAUUCUUCUACUAGGUAACUAGGUAUUCUUCUUUUUUUGUGCAAAAAACUAUGUCGUUCGUUUAUCUUAAGACAGUAAUAGUUUGUCCUCCUAUUCAAAUACCUUUCUGUAUUUCUGUUCUGUUUGGUUUUUGUGUAUGUUAUAGAUAACUCUCCUUUCGUUGUAUUUAAUUCCUAUUCCUUUAAGAAUUUUAAAUAAUUCAAUCCAUUGUACUCUAUCAAAAGUUUUCUUUGAUCUAUAAAGGCGAUGGAGGUUUUCUUGUUCCAUCUAAUCCUUUUUUCUAGCAUUGUUCUUAGUACUAAGGUCGCUUCUCUAGUUUCUACUUUUUCUUAAUUGAUCAUCACCUAGGUUCACAUCGAUAAUUUUUUAUAUUCUGUUUUUUAUUACUCUAGUUAAUAUAUUUGAUGCAUUGUACCCUUCUUGGAGAUUGUUAUUAUAUUCCCUUUACUGAAAUCUUCGACUAUUUUUCCAUUUAUAUACAUUUCGUUGCAUAUUUUUUUAAGUUCUUUAUUUAUACUUUCGCCAGCACUCUUUAUAAGUUCUGCUGGGAUUUUAUCAAUACCACACUCGUUUUUGUUCUUUAAAUUUUAAAUAGCGAAUUCAAUUUCUGAUUGGAGAAUAUAUUCUCCUAUUCGUCAUCUAUAUGAUCUUCUAAAAUGGUUUUGUUAAGCUGACCUGCAUACAGUUCCUCUAGAUAAUCCUUCCGUAUUUUUUAUUUAUCUGUUAUUAGUAUUUGACCCGUUUUACUUCUUAGAGCAUUUCCAUUUAAUAUUUUUAUACUGAAUAGUUUUCUCACAAUUUCGUUAGCUAGAUUGCUUUUUUCCUGUUUUCAGAUAAUCUUCCACUUUUGUAAAAUGAUCAUUUAACCAUUUUCCUUUGGCUUCUUUUGCUUUAAUUUGUAUGGAAUUUCUGAUACGUCUAUAGGUCUGUUGACUUUAUAUACAACUUUGAUUUUUAGGCUUUCUUUCCUUGUUUAUUAAUUCUACAAUUUCUUUUGUAAGCCAGAGCUUCCUUGCUUCUUUCUCUUAUGCUCUCAUUACUUUCUCAGCAGUAUUUUUCAGUAGUUGCUUAAUAUUCUUUCAUAUUUCUUCUAUUGUGUUAGUACUCCAUAGUUCUUUUGCAAUCAAAAGUCUGCAUUUAUUUUCAUAUUCUUCUUUUGUUUCAUCAGUUUUUAAUUUCCGUGUGUUCUAUCUCUUGGUGUUAGUUUUUUUUUUUUUGAUGUUUUAUAUUUAAAUUUAGAUUCCAUAGUAAAAAGGUUAUGAUCACUAUUGAUAUCUACUCCAGGGUAUAUCUUACAUUGUUUAAUUUUAUUUCUAAAUCGUUUUUUUGUCAUAAUGUGAUCAAUUUGGUAUCUUGUUAUAUAUCCAGAAGCUUUCAAAGUAUAUCAUCUUCGUUUGCAGUGCUUAAAUAGAAUGUUCGCUAGUACGAGCUUGCGUUACAUACAAAAUUGUAUAAGUCUCUCACUUCUUUCAUUUCUUUUUCUUAAUCAAUAGCUUCCUACUAUAUAUCCAUCAUUCUGUUGUCCUACUGACGCAUUCCAACUACCUAAACUAAUGACAUUUUCUGUAGCUAUUGUCAUACUUAGAAAUUCAUCUAUUUUAUCAUAUACUUCUUUGACUGCGUCGUCAUCAUGUUGUUGGCAUAUAUACUUGGAUAAUCGUUAUAAUUGUUGAGCAGGUAACAACUACCAUGACAAUAAAUAAUAUUAUGUGUAUUUACUAUCACUCUUCAAUGUUAACAGUUUAUAGCACCUUUAUGGUUUGAGAAGGUCAAAACAAUUUUUGAUGAAACAGUACAAAUACACCAUAAUGUAUAGUUGAGACAGUGGGACGUGAACAUUUUAUAGAUUUUUGAAGAGUUAUUGACGUGGAUGGAUUUGGAAAAGGAAUAAAUCUAAAUUGUUACUUUAUCUAGUACUCUGAUCUAUUAAAAAAAAAAAAUCCAAGGAGUAUGAUUUUUUUACUCGUCGAGUAAUGUGUAUCCUUACAAAAUAUUUACCUCUCAAAUUUUUGAGUUCGCUACGCCACUGUAUACGGACGAAUUUUUACCCAGUAUAAUAAAAACACGAAUAAAAUAUGUUAGAUAUGAUUUCCGAAGAAUCAUACGAUACAAUAAGUAUAAUAUUUCGUCAUUCGAAAAAUAGUCCGAAAAAAAUACAGUAUAAAAAGUGACUUUAUACCUAAAACGUUUUUUUUUUUUUUUUUUUACUGACAAUAUUCCUCAUUUUACAUAUUAUACUCAAAAAUGAUAUGGUAUUUUAUCUACUGUUUCUAAAAUUGAGUUUUAUUGACGACCACUGUUCAAUCAUAUUGCAAUAAUAAUAUACAGUAUCACCUUCGUUCUCUGUGUUUUUUUAUAUUUUACAUAUAUUUUUUAAAUGUUUAACUGUAACCCUUUAUACAGUUCAUGUGGUAAAAGCAUUUUCAUUUCGAGAAUCUGCGCUAUUAAUGUUUAAAUUGUAUUAUCUAAAACCGGAUAAGUAUAUAUGUAGUAUAAUAUUAUAGUAAACGUGAGUAUAUAGGUUAGGUUUACGUGAAACUAAUUUACUUUUAUCGACCGUUUUCGUAAAGUGUAUACCCAUAGGGCUCAUUUAUUUAAAGCGAAGUACUCGGGCGUAGAUAUUUGUCGAGAAACUUAGACGCGCAUUACUUGAAAAAUUACAUGUUUUGCGUAGGUAGCUAUAAUAUAAAUAGGUAUUAUUAUGAUUGUUGAAGGUAAUAAUUUAAUAAAUUUCAUGAUUAAUAUUUUGACUAAUUUUUUUUUAAAAAAAGAAGAACAAAGCAAACCAUCCAAGUGUUAUACAGGGUUAACUCACGUAACUCGAAAAAAAUUUACGUAUAAUUAUCAUAAAUUUUUAUUUUUUUAAAUUUCCAAUCGAGUUUGUUAAAAAAAAAAUAUAAAUAAUGAUAAUAAUUAUAUCUUUUUAGUUUUGUUAUUAUAAUUUUAUAAGUUAUAAAUAGACAUUUCGCAGUUAAUUUUUACUCUAUAAAGUUAUUCCUCUUUUCCUUCCCACUACUAGAUAACUAAUACUUUGCACGUUAGAAAAAUUCUAAAUUACCUCUAAAUUACCAUGGAGAAAAAAUUUAAUUUUAGAAAAUAGGUUACACUUGAUACAUCGGAGCAAGAUUUCUGAUAGUAAAGUUUGUACGGAAAAUCGAGGGGUAUUUUGCAAAUAAAAUAGUCCGAGGAAGCAAUAGAUUGGGUAUAUCCAGAAUACAUCUGUUUUUUCCUUGUUUAGGUAAAAGGGAAAAAAGUGCAAAACAAAUUUUUUUUGGCACAUUGGUUCGAACUUGGAGCCCCUAAAAUGAUAAAAGGUAUAAAUAACCAUUAGAUCACCACAAAUAUACUUUGGAAUGAUAAUACAGAGUUCUUUAACAGAACAUAAUAUCCGCAUAAAAUCAUAAAUUUAAAAAGCUAUAAUUCCGAAACCUAGUCAGUCUGCUUAAUUCUGACUUCACCAUCGUUCUUAAAUCGGUGAUAUACAUACAUAGUAUAUUUGAUAAAAAAAAAAAAAAAUGAAAAAAAAGAUUUCUUCUACAAUAUCCUUAUAAAAAAAAUACUUAACCUCCUGUUAAAUUUUAAAACAUUUCUAUUCAAGUCUAACAAUUUUACCAUAAAGUACCUACCGAAUAAAAAUUACGUACAAAACUCUCAAAAUUAAAAUAUUUUAAAAAGUUUAAAAAUGGCUUAAAUGUUUAGAAAAUUGUAGGAUGUCUAGAAAAAAUAUCAAUUUUCUGUCUAAAUCCCAAGUCUUUACGAAUAUUUUUAACUGAAUUACAACAAAUCACAAAACUGAUAAAAUAAUAAAAGCAUUAAUUUCAUACAUUUCCCGUUUUUCCUACAUUUUAUUAUAGUUUUUCCCAGAUAUUAUAAAAACGGCUUGGAAAAUCAAGAAAUAGCCUCCCAAAAGUACUAUCUGGACAAAAUUUCCUUUCAGAAAUGGUGCCAUGCGUAUAUAUUUUAGCAAGAUUUCCAGUAAAGUGUUUGUACACAGGAUUAAAAAAUGAAAAAAAAAACAUCUUAGUAAUCUGAGUAAAACCAGUAUAUUCUUCGCUACACUCAGAAUCUAAAACAAAAAAAAAAAAAUGUUUUUGCUACAAACUCACAGCCACCACCAGUUAGGUACUCUACUCGUAUUAUGCUUUCGGCACUUAUCCUAGCAGAAAAAAAAAUAUAUACAUGCCUAUACAUGAAUGAAUACUAUCGAAGUAUAUGUAUGUAAUUUGUUUUGUUUGAUUUAUUUUAUGGUCUGCAGACGAACAAAAAAAAACUAACCAUUUUGUAGCGUAUACCUAUAUUAUAUAUUAUUAUUAUAGACAAUCCCUUGCAGUGUUUGUGUUUACACACGACUGUUCACUUGAAACUCGGACAAAUAUUUACACUAGGUUAGAUGGAAGGAGUGGAGGGGCAUGCAGGUGGAUUAUCGUUGUUGUUUAUUAUUAUUUGCUAGGUUUACUAUAUUUUUAUUUUAUUAUCAUUUUUUUAUCGUUAUCAUUAUCAUAUCAUUUAUCAUAUUCCCUGUCCAUAAUAUAUAAUCACUUAAGGCUUGAACUUCAGUACCUUUAUUAAAAUUAAUUAAUUUAAAGCUUAAAAGUUCUAAAAAUAUCUAAAGAUUUCAUUGAAAAUGUAUUUAAUAAUGAUAAUACCUAAAUAUAAAUAUACAUUAAAAAAAAAUAAAUUCAAUACAAUGUAAUUUAGUCAAGAAAAUAAAAAUACACGUUUGUUGAAUAAUACAGUUGAAAAAAAGACGUCUUAAGAUAUGGAAACGGGUGCAGCCACUGUUAUAGGUAAUUUAAUGUAUAUCUAUAAACAACGAUAAACCAUUGCCAACAAAAAAAAAAAAAAAACAAUUCUGAGCGCAGUUCAGUUGAUAGUGAUGCUUUGUGGAUAAUAUUUAUGUCAUAUAAUGGAAAAAUAAUUAAAUAGAAUUAUAUUAAAUAUAUCUAUUAUAUAGAAAUAUAUUUUCUUUAAUAAUAUUUAUUUAAUAUUGUAUCAAUUUUCCCGUUUUUUUUUAGUUUUUCAUAUUUGUUGAGAAAUCUCCUGGGAAAUUGAAAAAUUAACCCCCUAAUAUACCAUCCCAAUAAAAUUUCCUUUAGGAAUAUGGUCUAUAUUGUAUGCAUCGGCGUAUGCUUUCUGGUAGAAAAAGUGUUCACAUAAAAAUAAAUAAAUAAAUACAUAUAAACAUCUUUUUAAAACUAAUACAUUCUUAACUAUACUCAAAAUCUAAAGUAUCAAUAAUUUCACUAAAUUUUUGAUGUAACAAAUGUAUAAUUCAUUUUACACUAAAUCUCAUUCCCUAAAAAAAAUUUGAGCAAUUCAAUAAAUUUCGAGUUCACUAAUUUAACACUCUAUGUGAUGUAAACAAUAUUAUCUAUAAUACUUAUUUGAAUUGAAAACAACAUAAACGCAUAUAUUCAAGUGAUUCUUUAGUUUGAGAAAACUAAAAGUAACAAAAUUAUAUUAAGUCUUGUCUGGUUUCUAAUUUUCCGAAAAAAAGUAAUGGUCAAGUAAAAAUUGUAUAAUAAUGAAUUUUUUUUUUUUUUUUUAUCAUUAUUCAGCUGUUUAUAGUUAAACAAUACAUGAUAGUAUACAAACAUUUAUUAACUCUUCUCGUUUUCUCUAUUUUUUUUUAUACAUAUUAUAUUAUUAUUAUUUGACUUGUGAAGAGUGUAUAGCUGCCAAAAGAUAUUCUUUAAAUUACUUUUUUUUUUCACAUGUUGUAGGUGCUUUUUAUUUAUGUUUAAGUUUUGCUUUUGGGGAAUUUCUCUUUGAUGGCCCAAGGCUACAGCUUUCUCAGGCCUGUAGGACCACUAAACAAAGGGUUCUUUUCUCUUAAUCUGGCUUUGGUCGGAUUCACGUGAUAUUAAUAUAUUAGCGAUGCAACGUAACUCAGGAUUUUAUGAAAAUCUUAAAAACCCGAAUUCCGGAUUUUGAGACAACAAAAUCCGGAUUUUGGGUUUAUGUUUUUCAAACCUGAUUUUUUUUAUAUAUCUAUAUAAAAUAAAUGUCAAAUAAUGUCUAUUCAAAAAAAAUGUGUCUUCGAGAUAAGGGACUUAGGAUUUAUUUAUGUAUAUACUCCAUCCCAUUCCUUCAGAUCUGAUAUUGCGUUUAUAUAUAUAUAUUUCUUGUAAGACCUUACGAAUUCAUGGUUUUUAUACGAUGGCACACUAAACAUUAAAUGUAGUACUAUAUUUAGUUAUAUUUAUUCAAUUCAAUAGUUCAAUUGAUUCUUGAUUACGACUUGACAGUAUGGAAGCUUUCCCUUCCAGUUAAAAUUAAAUUAUUUAAAUAGGUCCAAAAACAAUCCAUAAUUAUUCAAUAUUCUUAUUGAAAAUUAAUUACGCCCAAAAUUGCUAUGAUCGAUCAUUAAUAAUUUAAAUCUUAUUUCCCUCGAGAAAAGGCGUAUAAAAACAAAUCAAAACGUUUUACUUAAUUUACUUCAUGGUAAAAUAGAUAUAUUUUAACAAAUAUCUACAUUUCUUCUAUUUCCUGGUUGAUCCUUUGUUUUUUUUUGAUUUUUCUAAAUUGAAGAGAAUACUCCUUAAAAAAUCGAAAAAUUACUCCCUAAAGUAUCUCCCCUACACCGAUUUUCUUUCAGAAAAGGUACUACAUUUAAAAAUCUGAGCAAGUCUUCUGGUAGAAAAGUUGCGCACAGAUAAAAAAAAAAAGAUAACUUUUUUGUAAAAUCAUAAACCUCUUCGUUCCACUCUUAAUCUAAAAAAAGUGUUUUUUUUGAUGUUUGAAAUCGGGGUUUAAAAUAUUAAAUUUCAUAAAUUUCAUGAUAGGAAAAACAUGCACAUAAUAAUAUAUUUUUUUAUUUUAAUUUCCUGUAAACUCUUUAACUCGUUUAUUCAUUUAUUUUUUUAAUUAUUCGUGUGGCAAAAUAGAAAAUAAUGAUUAUGAUAAUUAUAACAAUUAAUAGAAUGGUAAAAUAAAAUUGCAUAAAAUGAAUUGGAAAGUAUGGCUGACAGUAUUUAAUUUCCUUUUAGUUAUUUGUGAGUGAAUGAUUCGAUUAAUGAAAGAAAUACUACUAACAAUUAUUACUGAAAUUUUUCGCUUAUUAUAAUAUAUAUGUUAGUUCAUAAUUUAUUGCGAAAAAAAUCAUAUUUUUUCGAAUUUUAAUACCAAUGAGGUACACUUUAGGAUCUACGAAAUUUUACAAAAAUUAUUAUUUUUUAAAAUUUUGAACAAAUUCUGGGGAUAACUGGAUUAAAAAUUUAAAAACAAAAAUAAAACAUUUUCCAUCUACACCAGUGGUUAAACUUAAACUUAUAGUGCACACGGACCCCUGACGAAAGACUUUUAGGAAUCACGGGCCCCCUACCAAUACCUUUUUUUUACAAUAUAGCUCAUGUUAUCAUAAUCGAUAUAUUUAUCGAUAGAGCUAUUGCGCCCAGGGGACCGCUGACUACAGUUUUAGAACUGCUGAUCUAUACGAUAAGAACCCUCCUAAUAUAUAUUAGUAUACCUCCUAGUAACCCUCCUUAUAUAUAUUAAUAUCUAUUAAUCGCGCACAAUGCAGAGUACAAAAUAAAUUACCUAUGUAUACUCAGAUAGGAGAAGUUAAUAGUUAAGUGUAUUUUUAUUAUAAAACCAUCGUGGCCGUCGGCGUUGUCAAGCUAUAGGCAAGCCCGUUUAAUAUGUAUAAUGUAUAUAUAUGUAUAAGAUAUAUAACAUAUAAUAUAUAUAUAUAUAUAUAUAUAUAUAUAUAUAUUUAUAUACAUAUAAAACACCCUUUUCGAAUUUUUAAUUUCGUUUCCGGAGUUUUUGGACGACUCGAAUCGUCGUCGUUAUGGACACCACGCACGUGUCAACUGUAAGUAGGUAUACUCGUACAUAAUCUAUCUCGAUCCAAAAACAUUUUGUAUUCUUCGCGACGUGCACGGCGAAUGCACUAGACUAGAAAAUAUACUCCGAGCGUAUAAUAUAGCUGACGAAAGAGUUUUGUAAUAAAACCGUUUUGUAUUGGUAUAAUAAUAUUAUCAAUAUUAUCAGGUACUUAUUACAUGAUAGUGUCAGUAAAAUAAUUGCUCGAUAAUAUAGAUUUCGGAAGAGAACUAUCAAACCAAACUAAAACUAUGUAUGAUUGUGUACUAUGAUAGAGUCCUAUAUUAUAGUAUUGAUAGGUAUGACGUUGGCAACCAUAUUAUACUUCAAUAAGACCAAUGUGUUGAUAAAUUCGUGACAUUUUUGUUUACGCCAUAAAUUAUGUUAUAAUAACAAUAUAGAAACAAUUUGUCGAAAGACUUAUAGCGUUUUCUAUGUGACUGCACUCGUAUAAAGUAGGGUACAGCUAUUGCCUGCUAUCAACGGCCGCCGUCAGUACAGUAAAUAAAGCAAAUUCCUUACUACCAAUAUAUUGUAAUCUUACCUACACGAGUGCAAAAGAACGAAAUUGUCGAUUUUGAUGGUGGAGAUUAUAUUUAAUAAGUAUAUUUUGUGAUAUAACACAAUAGAUUCGUAUAAAUAUUUGUAUUAUUCGAACAUUCGUGUAUUUUGUGUUUAUUGGUAUGUAUUUAUAUAAUUAUGAACUGUUUGUCCAUUAACAAUAGAUUUUAACAAAAAAGUAAUGUUUUACUAAAUUUAUUAUCAUCGUCUUCGUCUCUAAGGGGUAAUGAAAUAAUAAUAAAAUAAAACAUAUAUAAUUAUAGCCUAUAAAUCGUAUUACCAAUAUGGUGGUAUUUUGUAAAUCAUGUUCUUUUUCAUAUUAUCAUACACCAGUAUGGCACAAUUCAGAUACAUAUGUAUAAACGAGUUAUAUCAUAAGGAAAUUCUAUUAAUGUCGUAAUAGAAAAAUUGUUGGAUCCAUAUCCAUUUAACGUCACUAUAUUAAUAUGAUAGCUGGUAAUCGUGUAUUCCGAUUAUUUUUAUAAUUGAAUAAUAAUAUUUUUUGAUUAUUCAAAUAUCUAUGAAUUAUUAAAAUGUAUUAUUUAUUUAUUUUAUUAAAACUAAUAAUAAAUUGGUAGGCCAUGUACUCCCGGAUGCAAAUAUUAUUUAUUUCUUUGACGCCUAUUCGUUCGUAUAAUUUGUGAUUCAUUUCGAAGAUUUUACAUAUAAUCACAAAUUAAAUUUAUCCUUAUCACAUUUUUUAUAGCUAGAAAAAUAAUUCACGGUUUAAUUAAUAAAAUUUGCUGUCUUGAUAUUUAAUAGAUAUUGUGCUAAGAUUCAGAUUUAAUCACAUAGAGUCAGUAGAGUUGUUUAAAAUAUCUGCGAUUAGAAUUGAUAAUAAUAACAAAUAACACAAAAACUAUCGAGAAAUAUUUGCGUUUAUUUUGUUACAAGUACAGAUUUGCAAUUUGAUUGUUUUCAACGGUGUUAUUUUUAUCAAAAAAAUAAUAUUCUACUCAAAUUUAUCUGGAUAAAAAUGAAACAAGGCUAAACUGAAAGAAAAAAAAUCGCUGUCGUUUAAAUAUAUGCUAUACAUUUUAUAUUCACGUCAAAAUACACAGAAUAAUAAUAUACUUGGAUAUAAUGUAAAGGAAUAUAAACAAUGACAUAACUUUUAGGGUUAUUUUAAAAUAUAUUUUGGGUCUUUUGAAACUUUCCUUUUUCAAAAAAACAAAAAUAAAUAAUCAUAAAAAAAUACACACAUUUUUCCGCGCAGAUAAAUCAAUAUUUUGUUUAAGAAAACCUGCUUUCCCAUCAUCUAAAAUAUAUUUAUCUCUCAUAAAAUAAAAAACAAAUAAUACUGCAGGGUAAUUUAGUAUUAUUUGAAAAAUGAAACACUUUUUUGCUCUGUUAAAUAGUUUUAUUUUUUGCAGAAAAGUGGAAGUUAAAAAAAAAGUAUGUAUUUGUAAUAUUUUUAAAAAUAUCUGGUAUUCAUAAAAAAUAUUUUGGUAAUUAAAACUUGUAUAAGUUAUAUAUAGUCAUAGGUUUGUUUAUUUUUUUCGAUUUCAGUUUCUUGAUAAUUUGGCAGAAAUAUGUAUUAUCACUUUUGUUGAUAAUCGCUUGUAGUAUUGAUCGAUACCGAUUUAUUAUUAUAUUUAAAAAAAAAAAACAAUUGUUUCGAAAAAUAUUCAAUGUAACCUUUAUUAUGGAUAUGAUACUGAAAUCGUGCCGGAUAAUCCUGUAUUAAAUAUAAAAAUGCUUAAACAGUAAUAACAGUAAAAAAAAAAAAAAUCCUUAUCAGUAAGCAUGUGCUCAAAACUUGAAAGAAACGGUACAAUUACCGUGUCUCUUAGACCACAACAAAAAUCUCACUAUUCGUAUCGAGAAUUGGAAAUUAAUCCCGAAAAAAAAAACAAGAUUCAUGUGUGUAAUACGUCAGAUUCCGCUUAAUGUGGGCACAUUGGGACCAGUUACAUUUGCCUACAUUAGCGGAAUCCACUGCAAAUUAAAUUUUAAAUAAAUUGCAUACUCUAUAUUUACUUUGCAAGAAAAAAAUAAAACAAAAACAAAACAAACAAAAUACGCCAAGAUUAAAUAUUAAAUUUAAAAAACUUGUCUAGGAUAAUGGAAACGGGUGCAGCUACUAUUGUAGGUAAGAAAUUUGAAAGGUAGAAUAAAGACGGAAAUUUAAUGUAUGUUUGUAAGUAAUGAUUAAACAUUACCAACGAAAAAACGAUUAUUAUGAGUGGAGUUCUGUUGAUAGUGUUGCUUUGUUAACAAUAUAUAUAUAUUUCAUAUUUUGGUAAAAUAAUUACAUAUGAAUAAAACAUUUUCUUUAAUAAUAUUUGUUUAAUCGUAGGUCUUCUAUUCUCCCGUUUUCUCAGUUUUCCCAUCUUUUUCCUUGUUUUUUCUAUUUAUUGGCAAAACUCUUAGGAAAAUUAAAAAAUGACCUCCUAAAAAUACUUUUAAGUCAGAUUUCCUUUUUAAAAAAGUACCAUCAAUGUAAAUAGGAUCAAAAUUAUCGGUAGAUAAGUUAUCCACAGAAAAAUAAAAAUAAAUAUUAUUGUAAAACCAUAAGUUUCUUCGCUCCACUCAGAAUCUGAAAUAAAAAUAUUCUAAGCGAUGUUCGGUUAACCGUGUUUUGAAAUACUGUGAUUUAUAAGAUUUUCGUUAAAAUUUGAACUAGAAAGGCUUUAAAAAAAAAAAAAAAAAAAAAAAAAAAAACAUUACGCUCAACUGUUACCACCAAGACAAUUUAUGAUGAACAUAACAGUAAAGUACGUUCAAACAUAUUGAAAAUGUUCAAAAUUGUUUUAUUCCAAAAAGUAAUUAUCAACACAUAAUAUUGUAUUUUGCAUAUGGAAGUAUUAUUUUAGGGAUUGCUUCCUUUUUUAAUUGAUAACAAGUGUGAAAUAAUUAUUCGAAAUUCAUAAAUGUAUAAUAAACUUUAGAGUACCCGUGGUUUUUAUGAAAAAUCAUCAUCUACGAUUAUUUAACCGUUUCGCUAAAAAUAAACAUCAUAAGUAUAUCGUAAAGAGGCGCAAAUUGCAACUAUUUGGUUCGCAGUGGUCAUUAUUACGAUUUCAUAUUUGCAAGAAUAUUAUUACUGUACCUGAUACUUGUAGGAAUUCACCUUUCGGUCUGCUUUCAUUACACUGACUAACAGAAAAUUCAAAAGCGUUCCAAAUAUCCGAGUCCUUUGUCGUUGCGCACGUCGUUCUGGAACGGCAACGACAAUAAUAGAUCGCCAACAGUUAUGCUACCUUAAACACACAUACACGCAUGCACUUGUGUGCCGUUUCAUUUAAGCACACGUAAGUUACAUAAUAAUAUACACAUUUGAAAACUAUACGUAGUAAAUCCAAUAUUUGUUCCCCAAUACCCUACAUCAUCGGCCAAACAAAUUGAUUUAACAAAAAUGUUCGAAAAAUUAUAAUUAAAAUUAAUUUUAAUUAUUUUAAACUAAUUUUCCAUCUCAAUUACGUAUAAUCAUUGGCGUGGUCAAGUAUUCGUUUCACCAUAAUAAAAUUUGUUGAAUUUAUUGAACUUUUCAAAUUAUUAUUAUUAUUAUUUGUAUGGAAUAAUUUUUUGUAGAAAUUGUAAGAAACUGAAUUUAAAAGGUGAUGUAUUAUACAGGGUGAUUUUUUUUAUCAUGAACCAGGAAUUAUCUCAAAGAAUUUUAAGUGAAUUUGAUUUCUGUUUUUCUAAUCAUUAUGGAAUCGUUUAAGCUUUAUUUUAAAGGUAUUUUUAAUAUUUUACCCCUAUUCCAUGUACCUUAAAUAACUAUAUAAAUUGCCUAUCUUUGACCCUUCUCUACUCCUCCGGUCUAAAUUUUAAACUGUUAUAACUCAUAAACGGUCAAAUUAGUUUUAUGCAUAACAAAAUUUCUAGAAAAAUAUUCUCUAAUCAAAUCUGUGUUCAAAAAAAGGGUUCCUAUUUAAAAUAUAAAUGUAUGUACUUAUUUAAGUUAUAAGAAGUAAGGGUAAAAUAUUAAAAAUAUUUUUAAAAUAAAGCUAAAACAAUGCCAUAAUGAUAAGAAAAAACAGAAAUCAAAUUCACUUAAAAUACUCCGAGAUAAUUGCUGGUUCAUGAUAAUAAAAAUCACUUUGUAUGCACUACAGGGUGUCGUACAGUGUAAUCUGAAUGCUAGUAACUCUGUCAAUAUUUAUUUUUUUCAAUCGGGUUUUGUAUCAGGGAGACACAAAUGUAUAGAAAAAUUAAAUUUUUAUUUAUAUCCCUUGAUUACUGAAAAAAAAAAAAAACAUUAGUUUUUUACAAUUUAAAGUUUCAAAAUAGCCAAUUUGUAAAAUAUAUUAUUCUACACAUUUUAAUGGUACGUUAAAAUACUUAUAUAUUCGAUCAAUAGUUUCUCAGUAAAAGUCGUUUUAACUUCUAGAAAAUUGAUGUGAUAAUAAUUAAUUUUCAAUAAAAUAACACGUGACGCAAUAUGGAAUAUUGCAAUCGGUACAAUCAGCAUACAUUUAAAUCCCUCAAAAAAAACUUGAUAGAAAAUGUAUUAAAAACAUGAAUAUUGACAGAAUCCGUCAUCUUAAUUUUAAUAGUACUAUUAUUAUUAUAACUUUAAUAGUUACAGCGAUCGAUUUGAAAAUGCGUUUUUGCGGUAAAUUAAUAUAAUAUCUUUUAUUAUUAUUUAUGUAUAAUAUGGUUUAAGUGUAUCGAUUACGGGAUGGUUUCCGAGUUUAUAUAGAAGUAUAAUAUUAUCGUGUAAAAUAAUAGUGUUUUCAGGACGGACGAAUCGAUACAAAAACGACGCUCGACGAUAGAGGCGCGAAAAUUAAACGAGACGCGUAAAAUAUAAAAGGGGCCGAAAGCACGAAGCAUCGAUAACGUUAAAAUAACGGACGAUGGAAAAUCCAGAAUAGUAAUAAUAUUAUCGUAUCAUCGUACAUUUUGUGUUAUAUAUUACUGAUUAGUAUAAUAUGAUACAGUUUUUUUAAAUUUUUUAUAUACUGCAACAAAUAUAAAUAUAUUAAUAAACGACUCAUUAUCAUAGUAAUAAUUAAUAUCGUGAGAUUAUUUUAUAGUAUUUUUUAAAUUUAAAUUCUAAGUAUAACUAAUAUGGCUAUAGUUUUAUUAAAAUGUGUUUUUCUAUGAAUACCGUAUUUUUUUCUUUAGAGUGAAAUGCUCCACAAAAUAUUCACCGGUUUACUCCCAAGAUCCUUUUUAUAUUUUUUAAAAUUUUUCUAGAAAAUAUAAACUAUUGUGCUGUAUUGUGUCUAUAAUAUAUAUAUAUAUAUAUAUAUAUAUAUAUAUAUAUGAAUGUAUUAUGUUAUAUAUGGAUAUUUUUUUUUCUAAUAUAAUAUUUGGACACUUUUAGCGGCUCCCUCUGGACCAAAAAAGCUCGGGAAUUACAGUUUUCUUUACAUGAGGGUUGAAGUGAUACAAUUUUGGUAAAAUUUCAAUAUUAUGUACUUUGCCGUGUUGUCGCGAGAGGAGAUUGUUUUCUAGCCUACACCCUUACAGACCCCCUCCCCAAAUGAACCCAAUGUGAUAAAAUUAUCAUCUCUUUUUCCAACCAUUUUUAUGCUCAGAUUUCAUGAUUUAACAAUAAAUAUAUACCUUUAUGGACUCAUGAAAGUAAGUAAAUUGAUUAAAAUAGGUAUGUAUAAAUAUAAUUUUCAUUAUGGGUGUGCCUUUAAAAGGUUUGAAUUUCCAACCCUCUAUCCCACCGUUCGUUUGUAUGUUAGCGAAAAUCUUGAAGACUUUUAGUUAAAUUCUUAAUUUCUUACAAUUAUAUUAAAAAAAAAAAAAUAAAAAUAAAAAAAAUGAGAUGUGUAACAGCAAAAAGUCAGCUGAUGGAGAAUUUAACUCUAGUGCGGGAGUUUUGCUGCUUAUGUAAUUUUAAAAUUUUGAGUUUAGCUAUUAGUUUUACUAAAAUAUGUUUUUCUCGAAAACCCUUUUUUUUCAUACUGUGUUAAACGCUCCGCUUUACACGCAGUGCUCUAAACGGUUAGGAUAGUCAUUUUACUCGAAACAUUAUUUUUAAAUACUAUACGGUUUAUUCCCUAGAUCAUUUAGUUAAAUUUUAUCGGGAAACACAGUUUUUUUACUUAUACUUAUCGUAGUAUAUUUUUUAUUAACCUUCCUAGUUUACCGAGCUCCGAUUUCUCUAUUGCAAUAGUUUUAUCGUUGGCUUCAGUAUUUAAAUUUACAAUAUUUAUAUCCUAUACACUAUACCCUAUGGCCUGUACAUUCAAAACUCCAGCGUGCAACUGCAAUCUACCCAGUGCUCUAUUUGCGAUUUGUUUUGAUUGGGAAGAGAGACGUAUAAACACAAUUUAGAAGGCAAAUUGCACCUAAAUCAUGCCCACCAAUAUUAUAGAAACCGGGUUACCCUAAACGGCCAAACCCUUAACACUUCCCACUAAUACGUCAAUGGGCGUAUACAAUAUGUAAACGGUUUUGUAUAGACAGUUUUAACGACAUUAAUUAUGAAAAUACAUAAAUAUAAAAUAUUUAUAAAUAGGUAUUAUAGUUUUUUAACUCCAGACAUUUUCACCUCCCGACGUUUUUUUCUCGGGCAUUUUGGCAGAACCCUAUUUAUCUAUAUUAUAGUAAAACUAAUAGAUUCCUUGCUACACCCUGAAUUUGAAAUAUAUCAAUUAAUUUUAAUUUUAAAAUUGAACAUAGUCGAAUUGCAGUUAAUUAUUGUAAUGAGUUGUGAAUUUUUUAAAAUUAACCAUAAUUAAAUUAAUAUAAAUAAUAUUCUAUGUUUUUCAUCAAUCAUUAGCGAUCGGUGCAUAUUGGUACGGUUACCUUGGUAGAUAAGAUAGCCGUAAACGGAAUUACGGUAUUUAUGCCAUGUGAAUGGUUGUAAAUAAUUAAUAACGCACUUAACAUAUAAAUAUUAAACUCAGAAUAUCUCGAUGAAAAAAAUCAAUUAAUACCUAGUAAUAUCCAAAGGAUCCAUUUGUCGGGUUUGUAACAUUAGAGAUGAUAUUUUUAAAUCUUUCACAUUAAAUAAUAUAUAAUAUUUAUAAAGAUAAAAAGAUGAUAAAAAAAUUAAUUUUUCCGAUAAUUAUUUUGUAAAAUUUGAAUUUGUUUUAAUGUUAAAUUAUAACUGUUGACAAUACAAUACAUUUCGAAGUAAAUAUUAAAACACUAUAACACACGUAUUUUUCAAUGUAUGUACUUCCGUAGUAUAACUUUCUCUCUUAUCAUUAUUGACACACUGAAACCAACUUAUUCUUCAAAUAAUAAUUCCAGUCCUUAAGUAAAAUUGUAAUCAAUAUCAAUAUCGCAAUUUUUACAAAUCAAUUGGCCAAAAUGUACAAUAGUUUUUCAGUUUUUAUUUUUUUGAUUAAUGUCUAACAGCGAUUACCAAGUAAAAACAAACAUAUAUUUUUAAAAGUGUAAAACGACACGUUACGUCGGGUCUAUAAUAUUAUAUUAUUAAUUGUUUACCUAUAAUAUAUUUAUUUUAAAUAAAUAAUAAUAUAAUAACAUAUAAAAUUAAAAUUAGAUGGUUGUAAUGAAGAGCAGGUAGUAUAUAAUAUUGUCUUUGUAAUAUUUGGGUAAUCGUAUACAAAUAUAUUCCAACAAUAGCAGUUCAAAUUAACCAAUUACAUGUACUUAUAGCAGUGUCAACAAUUUUGUAGGUAUAUUUUGUACAACAAUAGUCGUCAAAAAUAGUAAAUAGAUCGUUAAUCGAGAUUUCGAAAUAUUCAGACCACUGCUACUGCUGCUGCUGUUGCUGUCGACUGUUUUAUGUGGCUUUUCAGAGUUGAGCAAAAUUAUUCGCUGCCCGAUUUCCGGCCAAAUUGGUGACUUUAGACCGAUGUACCGUUUUAUUAUGUCGAACUCAGAUAUCUCUAAAUCAUUCGAAAAAAAACAUAAUACAAUUCCAUCAGUGGAAAUAAUUAUAGCGCAAAAUGCCUGCAGAUGAUCAAACGCGCGAUACGAGAAGAAACUUUGAAUAAAUUUGACGUUUUAACGGUAUUUUUUGCAUUCAUUAUAAUGUAGAAUAGGUCAUUAAUUUUAUACAGGGUUAUCAACUCUUGAUAAGACACUCAUUAUCUCGGAAAGUAUUUUUCGGAUUUCGGAUAUUGGACAAUUUAUAAAAGAAGUAGUUCUAAAAUGUUAUAUUACCGUUAUUUUUUGUCACCCUUAUUUUUGGCGAUGACACGAAUAAUAAUUUUUUUUUUCAAAUACCAACAUGUAUAAAAAAUUAUACAAAUAGAUGUCGUUUUUGUAUAAAUACAAUUUGUAAAAAUUUUAAAACUUUCUGGGAUAAUGAGUAAUGAGAAUAAUGUUGUUCUACUGCUGUAUUUCGAUACACGUACAUUAUGGAAUGUGUACGGUUUUUUUUUUCAACAAUUUGUUCAAAUUGGCGUUUUCAAAAUAAUAUAAUUGAUUGUUAUUUGGAAAUUAACAGUCGAUAAUAGUAUUAUAUCGUAUUUAUAUUGAGGUAUACGGAGUAUAAGUGUGGGUUUUUUAGAAUAUCAUUGAAAAUAAAAUAAUAACAUAAUGUCUAGGAGGGGGGAUUCCUUAAAAUCCUCGUAUGGAUCUGAUCACCGGUAUUUGCGACAAAAUUCAAUCGCAAUACUUUAUAUUACUGUAUAAUAUACUCACCGAAACUUUUAUAACCGGCGAUAUUUGUAAACGUGAAACCGUCUCCCCCGUUCGCUAAGUACCUGGUCAUGAUUAUCGUAUAAUUUUCAUCCAAAUUUAAUUUCUGAUAAACCGGAACGGUGCAUUCUCCACACCUAGCUUGUAUCGAUUGUACCCGCUUGCCAAUGGGCUGACCCAAGUCUAUGACGACCCGUAAACCUAUUUGACGAUAUCAAAUACAUAUUUUAUAUAAUUCCGUUCAAUAAGUAAUACCUAUACCGAAAAAACAAUGUCAGUAGUGGAGUAGAAAUGUUAAUACAGAUCUUCCAGUGUUAUCGGUUUCAAAUGAAAAAAAAAAAAAAAAAACUUUAAAUUACCAUGACUUAGAGAGCCUGUAUACUGGCUUGUUGUCUAAGAGAUUUGUUAAAACAAUUAAAUUUGGUUUUUUAUAUUUUUAGUGUUUGAUAAUUAUUAUCUAGUAGUCUAUAGGUUUACAAAUAUUAUUAAUUUUAACUCCAUACAUGAUAACAAUUUUAUUUUUAUUCAAGUGCACAUCGUGUAUGAAGUACAUUUGAAUCUGUCACUGUGAUGUGUGUAUUAUAAAUAAAGGGGCACAUUUCAAUGUUAAAUAUAAAUUAAAAAUAAACAAAAAAUAAUAGUGUUUAUUCAAAUUAUAAAAAAAAAACACCAUAUAAUAAUGUAACAAUAUAGGAACAUUGUUUAAACUUUGUUGUAAACAAAUGCGUUGCAUGUUUUAUAAUUCAAAAAUCUACCCCGUGUCAAAAUUAUCAAUUAAAAGCGUUUUAUAAAUUGUAGUAAUUAUAAAUAAAAUAUGUAUAGUAAAUAUACUACUAGGCAACCAAAUUAAUAUAAGUAAACGUUAUAAUAUAGUUAUGAUUUUUGAUCUUUGUUUCCAAAAAGUUCUUACGGAAAACAAGAUUAAAAAAAAAAAAAAAAAUGUAAGUAAACAGAUUAUUAUUUUUGUUUAUUACAAAGAUGGCAAAAUAUUUCUUGUUUUGUAACACAGUAUGAAAACCAGUGUGACUAACUAUUUUUAAUUGUUUAUUGUAUUCGUUUAAGUUACUUUAACAAAAUAUAUUAACUAAAUUAAAUUCUGCUCCAUCCUCUCCUAUCCUAUAUCGAAUUGAUAACGUAUUAAGUAUUAUCAUAUGUAUUAAACAUUGCAUUAUGGCGAUGGUCCUGCAUAUUGAUAUAACUAUGAUUUGAUUGAGCAAAUUACGUGAAGGCGUUUUCCUAAAUUAUAUCUGAAUAUCUCGGCCAAAACUACGUGUGACAACCCGUUCCCCGGCUGGUAAUAUAGAAGAUCAAUUGCGCGUAGUUACUUUGCCUAGUACAGUGAUAACCAUACAACAGUGGUUCCCAACUGGUGGUUCGCGGACCACCGGUGGUCCGUGGACUCAUCUUAAGUGAUCCGUGAAUAAAAAAAUUUAAAUUUAAAAAAAUGAGCGAAUUUAUACUUGAUAUUUUUUAUUAUUAACGGCUUAGCGCCUAACAGCCAGAUAACACACUAUCGCGACCGAUGAAAAUUUAUGUACGGAUAUAAAUAACAUUAUCUAUAACUAUAACUAUUAUCUAUAAAAAAUAAACAACGAAAUCGUCUGAAUCCAAGUGAUGAUAUGCGACUGGCACUAAGCAACAGCAUCGUUCCAAGAAUUUCACAACUGGUAAAAGAAGCGCGCCCUAUUAAGUCACAUUAAUACUCAAUAAUAUUAAUUUGUUAUAUUUUUUCUCAUUGAAUAAGUUAAUCAAUAUAAGUUCGUAAAAUGUAAAAUUUAAAUUUGUAUUAGCUUUUUUUAUUAAAUUAAAUUUUUAAAUAAAUAAGUUAAAAUAUUUUUCUACGACAUAAACUGUAUUUCUGAUUUUAUUUUGUACCUAGAAAUUAUAAACCAUAUAUAAAACUAUAAAAAAAAUAAGUGAUAUAAAGAGGGGGGGGGGUUUGAAAUCAGGGAUUGGUCCGUGACGGUGAAAAAUUUAUAAAAGUGGUCCGUGCCUAUUGUUGAGUUGGGAACCACUGCCAUACAACAUUAUACUUAUAUUUCCUAUUCGGGUUAUAGGGGUAUAUUAGUUGAUAAAUGAAACAUUUGAUUUUCGACGCCAUUUCUUAAAUAAAAACACUUAAGUAGAAAACGUAGGAAAAUGUACAAUUUUACAAUUUCAUUAUUUUAUAAAAACACGGACGACGUUUUCUACCAGAAAAAAAUGAUUUCAUCGAAAAAUCACGACACCUUUUUGUUGCCUUUUUGAUUUACUUUCUACGGUAUUAUCGGCAACAUUUUUGAGCCACUUUUAAACCUUUAAGAAAUUUUAAUUUUGGGAGUUUUUUCGCUGUAAUUCGCUUAUAUAAAUACACGUAAAGACUUGAAACUUGGUAAUGAUACCUAUAUUGGACUUACCUAAACGUGGUUAAAUUUCCAAAAUCAUCGGACGCUUUUUUGUCGUUUUCAAUAAGCAUUUUAAAAUCAAAUUUAAACGAAAAUAGCAAAAAAAAAUUAUUGUACUCCAAAUUAUGUAUAGCCGAAAUGCGCUCGGAAUUGUCUUUCGUCAAUAAUGGUUUGUCGUUGCUACAGAUAUAAAUGAAAUAAUCUUAUGUAUCCUACCUUCCCAACUUCCCAUCUACAACAGUGGCUACAUCUGUCCCCAGUAUCGUUUUUUCUAUGUUUUUUCCUUCAUUAUAAUUAAUGAAGGAAAAAACAUAUAAAACCAAAUUUUCUUUCAGAAAAGAGUAACACUUGAAAAUCGGAACAAAAUCAAUGGUAUUAAAGUUGUUUAUAGAUAAAAAAAAUUAAAAAUUAAUAUCAUAGUAAAAAUAAUACAUUCAUCAGAACCUAAAAUUUAAGAAAAUGUGUUAAAUGAAAAUUUAAUUUUCCAUAGGUUCUUUAUAGAUAUAAAUAUGUAUUUUGAAUUUUCUGUGAUUUUUGUAUGAAUUUUAUAUAUUUCUAAAGAAGUACCACAUAAAAAAUAAUUUUUCAAGGUUCAUAAAUAUAUAUACGCUUUAGAGUACCAUGGUGGAAUCGGAGGAAAUCUUUUACUAUCAGUUAUUACAUUUUCUCCUAAAAUGUAGACUAUUUUAUAGUAAUCUUGUCUGUUAUGCAUAGAUAUAUCUUUUCCUUGCUACUUUAAAUAUUUUUAAUGGUUCUCUCUUGAUUAAAUGAGCUCAAAAUCCUGAAUUAGAGUAGUUUUAUAUACAGAUUGAUGUGGUACAAUUAUCGUUGCAGGUGAAGGGCUUUUUUAUUGCGAUUUUAUAUACAUGUAUAUUAUAUACAUAUAUAGGAUGUCCCAUUCGGAUUUUCAACUAUUUACACCUUCCCGUCCAUUGUUAUGCCCAAAUUUCAUGCUUUCACAAGAAAUACUGGGUUUUAAAAUUUACUAAAACGUAGUAAAACUCUAUAUUAGAUCAAUUAUUUAGAAAUACAAAAAAUUAGAUAUUUAAAUAUUUAAACGACGAUAAGUUGACUAAACACAAAUUGCACUUUAGUGAUGGAAUACUGCUACUCACAUGUGUUAACAUGGUUAUAACUACACAAAACGAAAUUAUUUAAUCUGUAAUAGUUAUCAUACCACCAUUUCAUACUUCAAAGUAUAUUAUUACUAUACCUGAUACUUGUAGGAAUUCACCGUAUAGAAUUUUUUCGUUGUACCGGUGAACGGAAUAUUCAAAAGCGUUCCAAAUUUCCGAGCCCUUUAUCGUUAUCUUGCCUACCUCGUUCUGGAACGGCAACGACAAUAACAGAUCGCCAAACGUUAUGUUACCUUAAACACACACACACAUAUAUGUGCGACGUUAUAUCUAAGCACACAUAAAAAAUAAUAAUCACAUACGAAAAACUAUAGAUGGUAAAAUCGAUAUUAUUUCUAAUUUAUACCUAUUCUGGAAAUGUGAUUAAUGUUUGAUCGAAUUCCACCACUUUGCAUUAUUGCUAUCGGUGCGUCGGUCCAGGAUUUGGUCGAUGAGCCGACCGGUUUCACGUUAGUCCAUAGGUUCUAUUUACAGGACAACCGAUUUUUAUUCAGUAUUACGCACAAAAAACUAUCGAGAAUAGAAAUAUUUUAUACUCUAAUCAAAAAAACAGCUCAACGUUCCACAAAUAUCACUGAUAAAUUUAUAUUAAAUGCCCUAAAAUCCAGUAAAAUAAGCGAUAUUUUUAAAAGUAUGUUGCUAGUAUUCAUUGAUAAAUAAUGCAACUUCAAAUAAUAAUUAUAAAAAAAUGAUUUUUAAAUUAUUUAGUAAAAAGAAGAUAAUGCACAUCGUUACAUUUAAAUACUUCUUAUCUUAAAAAGUAAUAACUUUUUUCGGAAUUUGUUUUAUAAGACAUUUAAAGGAAAUUUUCCAGUUGACAGAAAAAUGAUAAGAUGACAAGUUUAACACAAUAGAGUUUCCAACAUUCUAUACUACAGAGGUGGCCAAAAGUCACGCAACGCCUACCGUCUUGUAUGGAACGCGCGUUACGGCGCAGUUUCUCCCUCCACGUCGUUUUCAUUACAUCAUAUUGUAACUUUGGUCUCACUAUCUUAUUUACGUACAACAACAGCAACAAUUAUAAAAAAAACAACAUAACCAUGCCAUUAUGCGGUUGUGGUUCGUGAUUUUUUGAAUAAAAACUUCAACGAAUGGAUUGGUCGCCGUGGGACGACGGAAUGGCCCCCAAGAUCACCCGAUCUCACAUCUUGUGAUUUCAGCAUGUGGGGAGUUAUCAAAGAUCGAGUUUACAAGACGCCAAUCUAAAAUUUGAUUUAUUUAAAAAAUCGAAUCGAGGAAGAAUUCUAAAUUUUGAGCACCGAUUAUUCGUAUCUUUACAAUGCCACAAACGUGGUAAAAAAAACGUUGUGGAGCAGUUAUUGAAGCUGGAGGACAUAAUUUUGAACAUUUAUUGUAAUUGCCGUAAGAUGAUGUUACUUUGUAAUGUUAAUUUUUAUAUCAUUUUUUUUUUUAUUUGAAAACAUAAACGACUUUUUUUACUAUUACAAAUUGUGUUGCAAAUAUGUUGCGCGACUUUUGGCCACCUCUGUAUAAAUUGUAUACCCUUACGGUAAUGUGACCAGCCUAUCUCAAAAUAAAAAUUGGCUCGUACAAUUGUUUAACUCUUAUCGUUUACACAACCUUAAAAUAAAUAUAUUUUAUGUAACCACUAAUCACCAAGACAUUCAGUAUAACUUUUGAAGCUGUUGCCAUCGUUUGUAUUCAUCUUAUUCACAAUUUCUUAUUAUUUAUCACAAAUAUUCCAUAAUAUUUAUUACUCGUAUUCUACUUAUAGUUGUCUUAACCAUUAGAUAAAAUUAAAAAUACAAUACAAUGAAGCUAUGCUAAACUGGACAUUUUGAAUUAAAAUGUAUAUGAAUGAAUAAAAGUAUACAGCCAUGGAUAUCCAUCAUUACUUAAUUUGUUUGAAAAAGAAAACAGGUUAUAAAAUAAAAAUGAUCUUUAGGUUAGUUAAGUAUUAAAUAAAGAAAUUAAAUAUAUUGAAUAUAACAAAAAUGAUUGCAUAUCUCCAUAGGACACCUGUAUAUCACAAAUACAUAGUGUUAUUAUUUUAAAUAAUUUAAAACAUAUUUUUUCCAUAUUGUUGGUAUAACUACACUUUUAUUUAAAUUUUAUCUUUUCGAUAUUGAUAUCACUGCAAGUCGCUGUAGCUACAAUUACCUUAUCAUUUUUCUAACAACUGGGUACUAACCUAUAUUUAAGAAACAAGCAGCUCUAAAAUUUUACAUUCAUGUUAAUUUCUAUCACCCUUUUUUCGUGUAUAAGACUACUAGGUAUCUACUUUUGAUUUUAAAAUAGCAACCUGUAUUUAAAUAUCCAUAAAUAGAAGGAGUAUUAGUUAAGAUAAAUUUUGGUGUUGAAAUUUAUUAUUUCCAUCAAUCCAUACAUGGGAUAUUCCACUUUUAAGUUUGGGUUGGGGAAAGUAUGAUUGAAAAUUAACAUUAGGUAAUGGGUAGUUUUACCCCUAAAAAUAAGAGUGACAAAAAAUAUUAUAAAUUUAAAAUUGUAAAGCUGUUUGUUUUUUAAAUGUUCUAACUAACCUAGCCUAACAAAACAAAUCCCAAAAAAAUUAACACUUUCCGAGAUAAUGGAAGAAUGAAUGAGCGUUCCCAGUUAAAUGAAAAAUGUAAUUUUUCAUUGAAAAAACGAAAAUAUCCAAAAAUACGAAGUAAAAACUGACUUUAUUGUUACAAAUUCCGAACUUUAUACUUCUAGAAAACUAUAUAAAUUCACGGCCCUUAUAUAUAAUAUUAAAAUUUGUAAUGAUUCUUAAACUCACGUAGUCUAUAAACGCGUCCGUUAUGAGAUCGCCGAAAUUGCACUCUCUGACCCUACAAUACUUGUCGAUACCUUCCAAAAACACACUUGUCGAACCUAUCACUUCUUUUGUCUUGAAGUUUAUGAGAUUAUCAAAAUCUUUUAUUUGGUUCAAAAUGUUGUGGUCUGUAAACGGAAAUAUGUACACAUUUAGGUUACAUUAUUAUCAUUAUGAACUAUCAAUUUUGAAUAGGUACAAUUUCUUUUUAAAAUAGGUUAUAUUUAUAAUAAUAUACCUUGCCCGAAACGGUAAUCCAACAAAACAGGAUUCCCGUAACUUCGAAUCACUUCUCCUGCCUCGUCAAAUUCUAUCCACAAUUUUCCCAAAUAUUUGGUCAGAUGAAACGCCUGUACUACGGGCACUUCUCUAUUCGUUCUUGGUUGUUUUACCAUAAAUGGAUACUGGCCGACGGGUUCGUCGAUGGGGUCUGGCGGAUCUCCUGUAUAAAACAACAUAAAACUUGUUGGCCAUUUUUUCCCGUGUAUUUUUUAAAAUGUUUUAUCGUGAAAUUCACCAUUGUAUAAAAACGUGUUGGUAUGCCCACCGAUCACCAGAUCGAUAUCGUCCACUUGUUCCGCAAUUUUUUUGUCUGUAUCAAAACCGGAAUGCCCCAGUGCUAUAAGAAUAUUCACCCCUUCGUUUUUCAGGCGUUUCGCUUCAGCAGUUAUCGAUGGGAUUUCUGGUAAUAUUUUUAAAUUACCCACGAACGCUAAAUACUGUAUUAAUACGCAAAAAUAACACAUUUUUCAAUAGAUAUAAAUACAUUUCAAGUUUUAAUUUUUUUUACACAGUGGCAGUUACCUGAAAGAGGGUGGGGUGAUCGGAACAUUCGCUCCCCUCCUCCCGUAGACCUUAUGCAUGUGUGUAUUGUUAUUUUUUUGUAAUGUUUUCACAAUUGUUUUCAAAAUAUAUUUUUUAAAGUAACUAGUUAAUAAUAUAUGGUGGUCGAACACAUAGGUAUAAAAUAUUUUUGUUAUCCGUUUCUAUGGUAGAAAUGGAUAAGGUUUCUGAUGUUAUCAUUUUUUUUUGGCGGUUCGACCGUUGUUUCCUAUCAUUGAUUUCUAAUUACAAAAUAAAUGUGUCUGGAUCGUUUAUUUAGGCUUGUACUAUGCAUAUUUACCAGGAAAAAAGUAACCAGUGGAUGAUAUUAUUAAAAAAUUCUCUUCUAUGAAAAACCAGAGGUGAGACAAUAUGUUAUACAUUUAUGACAUGUAUUAUAAUAUUAUAUUUAUUUAAAUACAAAUUCCUUAUUUCAUGUGUUAAAAUGUUAUAUUUCACAAACCUAAUCUAACCUAACUUUUUAAGUACCCAAUCUCUGUAAUUAUUAAGACAAUUGUUGUAUCUGCGACAUUACUUUUUUAUGGAAUUUUCUAUUUUAAGAGUGGGUAAAAAUAUAUUUCACCCCUCCCCUAAAAAAAGCUUAGGUUCGCCACUAUUCUUACAUUUGAAUAUUCGUAAAAAUAAAAAACAAGUCAAUUAUCAUAUUUUAUUUAAUUUUUUUACAUACUGAUGUUUCCGGCGUCAAGUAUCCGAUAAUGCCGAUUUUGCGACCGUUGACCGUGAGCACCUUGGAUUUCAUUAAAUUUGGCUCAUUAGCCAAUGAAGGUUCGCCGGUUAGAUCGAGAUUACUGGCCACUACCGGAACGGUUAUGUUGUGUAUGAACAACUGGACGUCUUGCACGCCGUCGUCGAAUUCGUGAUUUCCCAAACUCUAUAACGUACACGUAAUUCGUAUUAUUAACAAAAUAAUAAUUUAUUAAAAUAAUUUCCAAACUAAAAAAAAACGAACAUACUUCACAUAAUGGGCGGGCCACUAUUGCAGGUGAGAAGUUGGGAAGGUAGGAUAUAAAGAGGAAAUUAAUGUAUUGUAUGCAAUAAUAAAACAUUGCUAACAGAAAAGGAUUCUGAGCGGAGUUCAACUAUACUUGUUUUAAAGGCCGUAGUAUUUACAAUUUCCUUCAAAAUUUGAUAUUGAAAUUCUAAUAUAAAAAACAAAUACUACAUUAAACUCAACGUUUUCUUGUUGACCACUAGGCACCAAGGUACAACUUAUAAUGAACGUCCUGUUAAAUUGUCAAUCAUUUAUAUUUGGUCUAACAAUUUUUUUCACAGUAUACCUAAUGAACAAAUAUUACGUUAAAAAAUCGCAAAGUUAAAAAUGUUUAUAAAUAGCACAAAAAUUAUUCAAAUGUUUUGAAUAUUUUAUCACUUCAAUAAAAGCAAAUAUAAUGUCUCUGUUCAAAUUUCAAGUCUCUGCGAACAUUUCGAACUGAAUUACAAAAAAAAAAAAAAAAAAAAAAAAAAAAAAAAUAAAAGCAUUAUUUUCGUACAUUUUUUCUUUUUCUUAUAUUUUUUACGGGUUUUCCCAAUUAUUAUCAAAUCGUUUUGAAAAUUAAUAAAUUACCUCCUUAGAGUAUCAAUGAGAUAAAAUGUCCACACAAUAUACAAUUCAACCAAUACUCUCGAUAACGUCGUCUAUUCUUCAUCCUCAUUGUUUCCCACGUCGUUUAUUUUUCGUGCUCUUUGUUUUUCACGUCUUAUCACAGUACCUUUAUUUACUGCAAAAACCUAUAUUCAAUUAUUUUUUGGCCUACUAAUUUUCUCAUUUAUUUAUUAUUAUUUUUAUUUUUUUCUAGGAAUAACUUUUCUACCAGACAUUUUCCUCCGACUUUGAAAUAUAGCGCCUUUUUUGAAAGGAAAUAUUAUUUUGUUGAUACUCUUAGGAGGUUAUUUUUUAAUUUUCAAAAUUAUUGGGAAAAAAUGUAAGAAACGGGAAAAUUUACGAAAUGUAUUAUUUUCAAUUUUGAUUUUAAGUUAUAAUCUAGUUUAAUAUAUUCGUAGAGAAUUAAAAUUUGGAAAGAAAACUUCUAUUUUCCUUUCUUAACUUGGUAAAAUUUUCAAAAUAUUUGAGCUAUUUUUGAUAUUUUUAUUUUGCCAGUUUUUAAGUAAUUUUUAUUCUGUAGGUACUCUGUGGAUAUAAUUGUUAGACUAAAUAGAAAUGCUUGAAAACUUAACACGAGGUUCAUUAUAAGUUUAUUAUCAUGAAUAAAAAAAAAGAACUGACUUCAGAACAUUACGUCAAAGGUAGCAUAUAAAUAGGACUUUUUGGAUAUACGUUCUUAUUCUUUUACAAAAUGUCAUACUGUGCACACAAUCCCUGAUAGAGUCUAGUUUGUUAUUUAUAUAAUGUUAUACAUAAUUAUAUAACUAGUCAUGUUGUUUACUUUAACUAUAUAUCAAAGUCCUUAGUUUACUCAAACUUCCAAUUCUAACAAAACUCGUUUGUGAAAAUUGAAUUUUAAAAUUUUAAAUCAGACAAUAGGCGAGUUGCUUAAUCGGCCAAACCAUGGCCAAAAUGCGUUAUUAAUUGCGUUUUUGGAGUUGCCUGAACCACCCGGCCGUUUGAGCAGUGCUUUUCACGAGCAGCUAUUUUUACCUCGAGGUCGGUAAAGGUAUCUUUAAUCGUGCUGUUCACUCAUUUACCUCACUUGUUUCGUCUUGUGUACUAUGUAGUUUGAUUUGAAAAGAAAAUAAUAUAGCGUUUCACUUCAUUAAAUUUAACUAUUAUUAAUAUAAUUUAUUAUUAUCAAGAUAUUGUGAGAGUCGAAUUCAAGUAUUUAUUUACUGUGUUUCGUUUUGUAUUGUAUUGUACUGUGUAUUUUUUUUGGAAAUAAAAUAAAAUGGCUUUUCACUACUUCGUUAAAUUUAUUUUAAAUGGUGAUAAAACAAUUUUUCAUGGCAAAGUCAUGUAAUUUUUAAUGACGAACAAACAAAAACUAAACGCUUUUGAAAAAUGAACAGAUAAAAAGCAAUGAUAACGAUGUCCCACCGUUCAUUCGGUUUUCAAAUGAAUUGCCUUUAGAUAGUGACUAAAAUCGAAAUUUGUAUGUUUUGUUUGAUCAAGUUUUUAGCCUAUGUACCUGAUUUAGAAUAUUAUCGUAGAGGAAGAAACAAAAAAAUCCGAGAUCUGACAGGAGUUUCAGAGAUUACUAACUUUGUGAAAGUGCAACGAAAAAAAUGGUUCGGACACGAGAUGGGGAAGGCCGACGCAGAGGAUAUAAGAGCAUUUGUCGAGUGAAAUCCAACAGGAAAUAUAGCAAGAGGGCAUUCAAAGAAGCAAUAGAUUAAUAGGAUAAUGUAGGAUGUCCAGAAUAAUAAUAAAAUAGGAAGAAAAAUUGAAAAAUCGUGAGGAGUGGGGGGAAAUAGCGAUAGAGGUAAAAACUCUUGAAGAGUUAUGAUGCCAAGAAAGAAAAAUGAAAGUAAACGUUUUAAACUCUACGAGUUCGUUAUCAGACCGUUUUUUCCUGUUUAACAUUCGAUUAUAUACUUGACGGUUCAUAGCGUAAUCAUUAAAUUUUACUAUAAAACGAAUCCGAUUUUCCGUAAAUUCCUGUUAUUUUUACAAAUAUUCCAUUGAGUCGUUAUAAAUUAUAUUUAAUAUUAUCUCGUUUCUCUUUGUACGCAAGGUUAUACUGUUGUACACUGCUGUACAUUAUUUAUCAAAACUGUUUCACGUAUUCGCAUAUCUAAUAUGAAAAAUUCGCGUUAUGUCAGUUGACACUAAAUUAUUAUACUUAAUAUUAUUAUUCCCUGAAACUUAUACGGCCGCGCGAAUAAUAAUAUAUCAUAAUAUAUUUCUAAUAUAUUUGUUUAAACCCAGACCAAAUUUGAGACGCCGUUGUGGCGAAUAAAACGUUCAUUUUAUUUUUCGUCAUUUGCAUAUUAAGCCCUCAAAGCAAAAACGUCUUAAAUAAUUAUUGAGAACAUUUUUGAGAAAAACGUGUUUUUAUAUUUUGCAUUUUCUAACAUUCAUAAUACCAAGUACGUUUUACUUCUUGAGGCUAUAGCUACAUUGGACCCGUUUCCGAUUCGUUUCGAUACGACUGACCCAACCGGUACCUUACUCAUCCGAUAUGUGUGGCUACAUAAUUUCCGAUUUUGUAUCGACGAUUAUUUAUAAGCAUUCACCGACGCUUAGAGUGCUCAUGUUUAUUAGCCGUGUUUAAUAUUACACAGUUUCUAUUCAAUAUAUUUUUAAUUUCUAGCAGCUCAGAUGACGAAUGGGAUGAUUAACUGGAUAAUAACAAUAAUAUGUUAUAUUUAAAUGAUUCAAGUUGGAUAAAUCAUUUAUGAACAAAUUUUACAAAUGAGAAAUAUUUAAAAAAGUAUUAAGUAUUAAAAGUAUUAAGCUUCGAGAAUAUAUUCUGAUAAUUUAAUCUAAUUUGGUCCAAGUGAUUGGAAGAAAAACAAACCUGUUAGUUUUAUUCUGACUUAUCCGACUAGUCGGUGCGUCGGGAACGAACAGCACGAAUAAAUAUAGCUAUUGCCGAUAAUAUACACGGUUAUGUUUUUCUUUCGACCAGUUAAACUGUCGAAUCGAGUCAGAUCUGAUCGGAAAAGAGUCAAAUAUGCACCCUUAGCCUAAAGUAUGACACAUUAAUUUUUAUACGUCAUUUUACCAGAUAAAUGCAAUGCAAUACAAAUUAAUAUGGAUAAAUAAUUGUUGACGUUUUUAACUAACUUUUUAUAUUGUAAUUUAUAUUAUGACUAUUAUAUUUUAAUGACGUGUUGGUUACAAAUAUAUUUUACACGUGUCACAUUAUGAUCAAAAAAACCACAAUUUGCAGUAAGUAUAAAUGCCACAAAUUUUUAUUUUUAUUGUAUACUAAGCAAAAUUAUCACAUCUUCAUCAAUAUCUAUGGUGUUUUUGCUUAGUAUGGUUAUUAUUAAACGGCGUUUUUAUGCAGUAAAAAUACAUUUUUUGACCAUUUACGUUCGGUGAAAACAAAUAUUACCGAGUAGUUAUUUUUUAGGACAAUGUUUUAAGCAUAUAGUAUAUAUAUUUUUUAUGUAUUUAAAUCAUUUUUUAAUUCUUUUGGACUUACGGCAGUUUUGCUUAUGAAGGCAAUAGAGAUACUAUAUAAUAUAAUAAUUUUUACCCAACCUUGUCUAACGAUGGGUUCUAGUAGAUGGGUAUUUAAGAAGAUAGGAUAUAUAGGGGAAAUUAAAUUGUAUACCGUACGCAACGAUAAACUAUUACAAAUGAAAAAACAAUUCUGAGCUAAGUAUUAUUAAAAGUGUUUUUCUAUUAAACCCAGAAAUCAGCAAUAAAUUUUUCCUUUUUAACAAUUAUUAAAAAAACGAGAGCGAAAAUCACAAAAUAAUCAACUCUGUGGAUGCACUGAUCAACAAGAUGGUGUUCUUUCAGAAAAUAUGCUUUUCUAGGUAAUCAGUGUGAUAUUUCUAGUACAAAAAUUGUUAACAUACAGGAAAACAAUCCAUUAGGUAUCAUAAAAUCUAUAUGCGUUGUAUUGUAAGGAUAUUAAAAAAAAUUAAAAAUGUACAUACUUGCAGCUGAAUUUUUAAAUAGAAAUAAUAUUUUUAUUUGUUUAUUUUUAAAAAGGAAUACCGCGUAAACGCAUUUACCACCGUAAAUCAACGCCAAAAUCCACUUUAACUAAAACAUCAUCUGUUUAAAAAAUUUUAAAUUUAGACGAUGAUUAUUGAAAAUCAAAAUUCGGUAAUGGUUGUUCCCAAAAUAAUGACAAAUAAAUGUCUCUCGUGAUGAUUUUAUAUUGCACAAGAACGGUGUAACAGGUACCUCUAUACGAACACUGAGUCCCGACGGAAACGGAAUAUAUAAUUGAACUUUUUUUCUCGCUUUCCGGUGGGAACAAUAUAAUAAUAAGCGUCACAUGUGUGUAGUCGGAAUUGUUUUCAUAAUACAAAAGUGGAGAGGAGGAAAAUAAAAAGGGGCGAGUGUUGCAGGUUAUAAUAACAUUAUACAAUCGUAUUUUUUUUUUAAAUUACCCGUUCGAAUAACGUGCCGAGAGUGAUGUCGAGACGAUUUAUUAUUGCGUGUAAUAAAAAUGACGAUUCUAACUAGGUAGGUAUUAUAAGUACCUAAAUUGUGCUUAUUAUUUUUUGAAUAUCGGACGUAAAUCUGUCGUGUAUCUCGCGUGGUGCAACCCAAACUGUUUCCAUCCGUUAUUUCUUUCCCGAAAUGUGUCACGUCGAAAAUGGCUUUACGAGGAUGUAAAUUCCCAAACAAGUUUUAUUGAAUAAAUUUAAAUUAUUGGAGUUUGAAUUUUACGUUUCAAGCAUUCUAUGCUUAUAUGGAAUAUUGUUAAAAGAAUUUUAACUAGUUCAUCGAAUUUUAUCGGGUGAUUACAAAUGGCAUGAUUACGAACGUUUUUACUUGCUAUUUUUAGUGCGGAGUUGCCAGAUUUGAUGUUUGUCAAUUAUUUUUAUAUAAUAAAUAUAUUUAAUAUUAUUAAAAUUUUCUUUUAUUUUCAUAUAAACAAAUUAUAUAAGGUUAACAACAAUGGUUUCUUGCUAUUACACCGGGCGAUAACAUACAUAUCAAUAACAUUAGUCCUAAAUUGAUACUAAUUUGAUGGAAACCAGCUUGAUUCGUGUAGUCGUGCAGUAUUAUCGUGAUUCUCGUGUUGUAUAAUAUUUUUACCGAGAAAAAAUUUAAACCAUUUUAAACUCAAUAAUUAUGUGUCAUUUUAUUUUAAUAUAUAACGUAGUUAUAAUAUUUAUAAUUGAACCUCCAAAUAGAAUAAAACAUAUUUAGAAAAAUGUACACUAUCUAAGCUUAACAAAGAAGUCUCAGAAAACGUACACAAUCGUUCGUUUUUCAGAUAAAAAAAAAAUUAUUUGAUAAGCGACAUACGUUCGCAAUUGUGUUAUAAAAAUAGAAAAACGUUCGCAAUCGUGUUGCAUCCAAUUUUAUCAAGUUUCGACUUUAAUAAUAAGUACGUAAUAUCUAUCACAAAAUACAGAAUACAAUGUAACUUGAUAUGCCAGUCAGUCAGUUUGUGAUAGCCGUAGUUUAGUCGUGUAUAAUAUAAUAAAAUUGUACAGUGAAAAAUGUAAAGUAAAAAUCUGAAAAAAAAGGUGCAUAGAAAAAUAUCCGUUUUCUUUCGACAAAAAUUGGUUGUCGACCUAAAACGGUGGAAAUUUACAACACGUGGUUGUAAAUCUUUUUUUAAGAAUAACAGUAUUGGCGAAAUAUAUGAUAUACAUUUGGAACAUAAUCAUUUACAUUUAUAUGACAAUUUUUUAAGUAGGAGGGAUAUAAGUAAUAGUUCAUCAUCGGGUCAUCAGGGUCAAAAGCGCCUAUUUCAUUGUUCUAUUUCGAGCGUUCUCGUACGCUAGAAAAGGUCGAGCGUUUUCAAUCGUAUUGUUACCCUAUGUUUCCCAUAACGGACACUAUCUUCCCCUGACUUACUGUGUUUUGCCCGAAAAAACAUCAGUCUUCUACGGAAAAGCUCUUUCAGCGUUGUGUGAUUUCAUAAAUCCAUAAGUUACAUUCGUAGAUUUUGAAGAGGCUAUUCACUCUGCAGUACAAAAACCAUGAAUAUCGGUGAGUAUAAAGGGAUGCAGAUUCCAUUUGGGUCAAAUUUGAAUUUGGAAUUGACAUAUUUAUAUAAUGAGAGCCGUUUGGGAAUUGGCCUUUUUGUAAAAUGAGAGCCGAAUGGACUAUAGCCAUCUUGCGAUGCUACAAAAUCGGUUUUUUUUUUUAACUUCAUUUACCGGAGAGAAAUAAUCACGAGAUAAUAAUAAACUUACGUGAAAAACAUGUAGAUCCGUUGACUAUGCACUGUUGAGCAACAAUUUGUCAGACAACCAAAAAUAAAUAAUUUGUGUUUUUUUUCCUUUUCAAGAGCUAUUGUUGAUUUACCGUAAAUAAUAUCAUAGAUAACGUAUUUAGCCAUUUAAUAAUUUUCAUCAUAAAAUCAAUUUGCUUUUAAUGGGAAAAAAAUGUAAAAAUGUCUGAUUUUAUUCGCAGUUGGUGUCCCUGUUUGCUAAUCAAAUGUUUUAAGAUAUUUGUCAUUACCUAGACAAAAGGCGUAGAACGCACAGUCACAGAUGCAUGUAUACAAAAUACGAUACGUAACUAACUUUCAUUUAUAUGCUAAUUGCAUAUAAUAUUAAUUUCCUCCAUCUUUUCGAGAAUUAGAAUCAUACCACCAUAUCAAUAUCAAUAUCAAUGAAGGAUAGUAUGGCCGUACAGGGUUAAAGCUUAAAUACCAUAACUGCACUUCGUCGCCCAUCUCUCACUUUCUCAUCAUAUUUCCAUCACAGUAUCUUGAACUAUCUCUCUCCAAUUUUCAACUCCUAAAUGUGAUAAAUUUUCUUCCACAACUCUGGUUGAGUUUUUCACGAAGAACCAAUGUAGAUUUUUUAAAGAAAAGUAUUAAUUAUACCUUGACCUAAUGAUUUUUUUUAAUAUCUUCAUUUUUAAAAAGAUAUGAGUGUUUUAAUUUAAUUUAAUCUUAACUAGGGAUCAGUCAGAUCCGGCUCUUGUUUCUUCGGGUUCAUGGUUAUAUUAUAUCGAUUCUGGUAAUUAUUAUUAUUAGUAUUAUUUAUUUUUUUUUUUAUGUAGUCACAUUCGUUUUAAUCAUUUGUUUCUUUUAGUAAAUAUCGGUAUUUACAAAGGGACCUAUUAUCAAUGAGUCAAAUCACACUAUUAACUAGUAAUCAGUAGACAUUUUUUUCUUUAUCUUAUGAAUUAUACAACGAAUGUUUGAAGUUAUUAUUUUCACAUUGUAAAAAGAAGAACCAGUAUCGGCAUCGAGAACCAAAAGAAAUAUUUUCUGAAUCGAACUGGUACCGAUGUUUUUAGGAACCGUUCCUAAUUUUAAUCAUUAAUAAGGAGUAAUUAAAUUUUCCGCCAAUAUCGAUCUAACUGAUCACCACCGGUAUAAAAAUCUCCAUCUCCGUUUACCGCCACAAUAAAUUUCAGUUUUUGUACUACUGAAAAUCACUUAAUUGUUUAUAUAAAAGGGGUCGAAAAACAUUUUUUCCGAAUUUUGUAAAAUUUUGAAAUUAUCCUUUCUCACAACUCGUCCCUCAACUAUUUUUUAAUUCAUCAUCCUAACCCAUUCAGUCUGCCUCUUAAAGCUUCUACAGCUUUCUUAAACACAUUUUCUUAACUCACUCUUGACCUUCUUAACGGUAUAUUUCCUGACGGGUUAUUUUUCACCGGAAGAGUUUUUUGAUGGUUUCUAAAAUAUUCUUUUUGUCAUAGGUACAUUGCUUCUAGUUCUCGGGUUUUUCUUUCUUCUCCACUUUCCGAUCAUGCGAUUCUAUGCAGGUAUAAAGAUAUUUCCACCGUCACUAACUCAAAAACGAAAAUCGCCCCUAUAAGUGAGAGGCCGCAGCUUUAUUUUCAAAAUAACCGAUGUCUUAUUCUUUAAAAAAUGAUCAUCUAUAAAUCGCAUGAAGGCGGGUGCUUUAUUAGUUCUAUAAUCAAUUUUAAACACCUUUUUGUUUUGCUUUACAUCGACCACGUUGUUUAUUAUGUUGUCGUCCUCUAGAAAGACUUGGUGGCAUGACGCUACUGUGACUUUCACUUAAUGAAGAAAUGUCGAUUGGUAUUUACUCGACGAAGCCUUGAUUGAGGAGGCGGGGAAGAACCUCUCUUGUAUUUACUUCGACGAUUAUAAUAUGCACACCACUUGCGGCUUUUAACACGAGAAAUUACUUUUAUUCGAAUUCGACAACACUAGAUUUUAUAUAACGAUGACACUUGACCUUACAUUCACACGGCAUAUACGAUUUUCUUACGUGACGAUAAUUUAUUAUUGAGUAUUAUUGACCUAUAGAUUAGACGCACGUCGGCUUAAACGGAACAAUAAAUAAUAUAUGCUACGAUUCGCGUGUAACUGCAACUAAGUUAUAGUUGUGAUAAUGUAAUCAAUUACGUUUUGUUUAUAAUAGCGUGUAGUAUAAUUAAGUACGUAAUUUAACCGUAUUAUACGUGUAGGUGCUCGUAUUUUAGCGCGCAUUAAUUAUUUCUCACGAAGCGCCUAACGAUAAUAAAUGAUAUAGACGCGUUUCGCAGGACGAUACAAUUUAUUACAUCAUAAUACGGAGUUCGAAAUAAAACUUACGUAUUAAUAUUAUAAUAUUAUAUACAAAACAAAUAACAUUUGGCGCCACCGUGUUUCGGUAUCGUACAUAAGCCCUUCUUAUAGGGAAGUGAAUGGGCGAUAUGUAUUACCAACCUCCUCCUUUGUAAAUAGGACGUUUUUCAUAAAAGAAAUUAAUCAUGUAACGACAAGUUACAAUAAUACUGCAGAAGAAACAACAUGAAAUGGCGUUGCCAUUAACAAAACAAAUAUUUUAAUAUAUUGGGUUUAUUGAAAAUAUGUAAUCAAUGGUCUCGCUAUAAAUAUAGAUAAAUGUCAAAUAAAACAUUAAAAAAAUAAAAAACGUAAUCACAUCAUUUAUAAAUAUCGUUUAACAGAUAUUUAUCUAUUUCGUUUCUCAUUAAUUAAAAAAUCUUGGAAUAUGGUUUGAUUACAAACUUAUAUUUUAUUCUCAUAUCCUAGCAAUUAAAAAAAAAGCUUUUUCUAUAAAUAGCAUGGUCAAACGAAACGGUUCUGAAUUCAACAACCUUAAUAAUAACUUUUGGGCAACUAUACAUCUCUAUCAUUCGUGCACAGCUUGAAUAUCCUUCGAUAAUCUGGGAAAAUAAUACUAUUGGCUAUAGUAACGAAAUUGAAGGUAUCCAAAACAAAGUUUUCCGAUUUAUUUGCUUUAAUUUUAAAAUACCAAAGACCAACCACUCGGGCUAUGUUAAAAUUAUAAAUUUUUUAAAUUUAUAAUCAUUGAAAGUAAGGAAACACAAUUUGUUCGUCUCAAUUAUUAAUAAAUUAUUAAACAAUAAUAUUGACGACUCUUUCAUUCUUAGCCGUAUUCAUUUUAAUAGAGUCAACCCACAUAAUAUACGCAAUGUAAAGAUUUAUUUUAUAUUUCAUUUCAAAGUAAAAAUUGUACUUAUUUUUUCAUACGUGUAUGUGUGUCCCGUUUUACCUAAGUUCUUCCCAAUUGUUACGAAAUACCCCUCUACGGGAAUAUUAGUAUAUGUCACUAUGGCAGUAGUUCUCUAAAAACGAGAUACUGUUUUACACCACCUGUACGACAGUUUCUCCUUCUCCGAAAAAUUAUUCUGAUCUAUUUUUAUUUGUACACGUUUUAAAAUGUAUAUGUAUACAUUUCUCGCUCAGGCUUAUAGCAUAUACGUAUUAUACCAGUGGUUCUCAGUCUUCAUGUACAUACGACUAAUGAUAUUUAAGUUUUGUGCGCGGAAUUUCUUUAAAACGGUGAAAAUAUAAUAAAUGUAACUUUCUACCAGGAAACUUGUUCCAAACAAAAAAUUAAAAUUAAUAUUUUUUGUUGAAAUUUGGAUCUUGUUGGUGUUUAAGGAGGCUGAUUUUUUAUGUACCGUGUUGUUUUCUUAAUAAGUGAACAAAACCGGGAAAAAUAUAGAAAGAAUGGGAAAAUAUCAAAAUUUUCAAUUUUGUUUUUUGUUGUAAUUCUGUUAAAAAUUAUAAUAGAGACAUGACAUUUUUACAGAUAGAUUUUAUUCAUUUUUACUAAACGUGUUAAAAUUGUUUAACAAUCCUGAAAAUAUUUUUGAGUUAUUUAUAGACAUUUCACAUUUUAUAAUUUUUUUACAUAGUUUUUUUUUAGUAAGUUUAUACUAUGUGGAUACAAUUGUUUGACCAAAAAGUAAAUGCUUAAAAAUUAAAAACAAUAGUUUUAUUAUAAAUUGUAAUUUACGGUAAAAAAAAAUAAAGUCAGGCAUAAUGCAGUAGUUUUUUUAUUUAAUCGUUUUAAGAUUAAAUUUUAACGAAAAUCGUAAAAAUUACGGUAAUUUUAUCAUUUUUCAUGGGCAAUAGUUUUGUUAUGUACAAAUAUUAAUUAAAUAACUAAAUUAAAUAUUUAUGCUAUAAAUCAUAUCACAGCUAGAAUAUUAAUAACAUUUUCGAUUUUAACUGUUUAACAAACGUUUAACCGAAAAGUUCCCCUCACAAGUACGUAUAUUUCGUUUACAAUGAUUUAUCGUCGCGUUCAAAAUUUAAAAUAAAUCAUCCUAUAUUUCCUACCUUUUCGACUUCCCACGUAUAACAGAGCAUUCGUCGCGUUAGUUUUAUUUUUGAUAGUUAUAUUAUUGUACAUUGAGGAAAUUGCCGAGUUCCCGCGAUGUGGGCGAUGUGAUCUGCUUCCGCGUACGCUAGCAAGUGUCCGUCAAAUAUCACUACCCUUCCCCACCAAAGAUCAGUAUAAAUGUUUAAAAGAAAUUGAUUUUAUUUUUUUUUUAUUUUUUUAUAAAAAUGCGGAUUAUUCUCUAUAAUACACACAACGAUGUGUCAGUUAAGGUUAGUAAAUUUGUAGACGAAUGGAACACGGCAGUUGGAAUUUUCACUGUAAAUAUUGCGUAUUAUAAUAUGACAUAUAUAUUGUUGACAAAGCAAACACUAUCAACUGAAUUUCGCUCACAAUGGUUUUUUCGUUAGCAAUGGUUUAUCGUUGCUUACAGAUGAUGUACAUUGAAUUCUCGUUUGUAUCCGAAACUCGACAAAACUCUAAGUGCCCGCGAUACUUGGAAAAACGUCGUAUUUCGGCUGUAGCCUAGGAAAACCUAGUGACCAAUCCCAUUUGGGCAAAACCGUAGCGUCGAUAAAUUUCAAUUUUUCAUAUUAGGUUGGUAACUUAUAAUUAAAUGUACUAACUUUUAUAAUUCUCAAUACCUUCAUAACUUCGGUAUUAUUAUGUAUACGUUGUACACGUGUAAUCACAUUGGACCAGUUAUAUUUUAUUUUAUCGUUAUGUAUAUGUAAUAUAAGAAAAAAAAAAUCUGUACCUACUAUUAAAUCACUACUACGUUUGCCCGGUUAUUUCUGAGGUUCUACAGAUUUCAACUUUUACUUUUAAGUUAAUAGAAUAUUAAAUCUUAUUGUAGGUACAUCUAAAUAUAGGUACAGUGAUUUAUUUAAUUAUUUACUAUGAAUGAGAAAAAAAGUAAAGUAUAAACAUGUCUUUUUUUCGAUAUGAGUGUUAAAUUUUGAAAUUUGAAGUUAUUUAAUUUUUUAAUUUUGAUUUAUUACUUUGGUGGGCCGGUUAAUGAUUGAUCGCGGUCCGAAUUUGGUCACCACUGUUUUCUGUUAUAAUUUGAACUCAUUGAUUUAUUUUUUUUUGUUUGGGAUUCUUAUUUAAUCCAAGAAUUGAAUAAAACGAUUGGAUUUCAAUUUAAUCUGUUAUUAAAAUAAUACUAUUUUUCAUAAGAAACCGAAACAUAAGAGACCGUUUUCAUUAAUAAUAACAAUACUGUAUUAUGACUAAAUAUUAAAAAUGAAUAUUGUAUAUUUCUUGGUAUCGUGUACAUAAUAUUAAUUCAAUCCUUUUUUAAUGUUUUAUAUGUAUAAUUUACUAUGGCGAUGCACAGAGUAAUUUAAAAAUAUUUUUAUAAUAUACCUUAUUACACUCUAGAGUGUAGUGUUUAGACAAUAGGUACCGAAUGUACAAAAAUAACUAUAAUUUAAAAACAGUUUAUUUAUAGGUGUAUAUUUUAAUACUGUUGAGAAGGAAAAAUUCACAUAGUUUAUAUUAUAUCGAGUGCACCCAUUUAAAUGGAUCGCCUUGUAUACUGUUUACCCCACAAUAUUUUUGUUCCGCAUUUUACUAUAUCUUCCAUAAACAGUUGUUCCGGCAGACUUAUACUCCUCAAUCCCUAAUAGGCAUGUAUAACCGUUUGGCUACAACAAACAUACUAAAAAUAAUGACAAUAUUUAGUUAUUUAAUAUAACAUAUAAUAUCAGAAUUUCAAAAAACUAUAAUUUCGAUUCGCUCAAUACUGACUUCACCAUUUUUUUUAUCGUCGAUAUACUCCAUCACCAAUAUACAUAUAUUCAAAAAAAAAAAAAUUAAAAAUUAGAUUUAUUCCGGGUAAUUUUUUUCUCAACGAUUUUCGUCAAAAUUUGAUGUUAAAUUUCCUUUUUAAAAAAAAAAAUACUACAUUAAACUUAAAUUUUCAUUUUUUGACAACAAAGUAAGACUUUUAAUGAAUUUCCUAAUAAAUUUUAAAGCAUUUAUAUUAAGUCUAACAAUUUUAUCACAGAGUACUUACCGAAUAAAAAUUUCGUACACAACUCGCAAAAUUGAAAUGUUUAUAAGUACCUCAAAAAUGACUUAAAUUUUUUGAAAAUUUUACCACGUCUAGAAAAAACAAAUACGAGUUUUCUGUCUAAAUUACAAGUUCAGUUGAGUCGAUACGAAUAUUUUUAACUGAAUCUCAACAAAAAUAUUAAAAUUUGUAUAAAUAGCCUUAAAAUGGCUCAAAUGUUUUGAAUAUUUUACCACGCUUAGAAAAAGUAAAUAUAAAUUUCUUGUUCAAAUUUUAAAUGUUUACGAAUAUUUUCAAUUGAAUUACAACAAAUAAUAUAAUUGAAAAAUAAUAAAAGCAUUAUUUUCCUAAAUUUCCAGUUCUUUUACGUUUUAUCCUGGUUUUUCCUAGAUAUUGUGAAUAUAUAUAUACAUAUUAUAUUUUCCGCUUAGAAAAUCAAAAAAUGAUCUCCCAAAAGCACCAUCUGGACAAUGUUCCCUUUCAGAAAUGGUGCCGUGCGUAUAAAUCUGAGUAAGAUUGCUGGUAGAAUUUUUGUGCACAGGAUAAAAAAAUAAAAAACUAAACAUCUUAGUAAAACCAAUGCAUUCUUGGCUACACUCAAAAUCUAUCGAUUAAUUAACAAAUCCCACUUGUGAUAUUGAUGUGCCGAUUUUACGUUUUCUAUUAUCACAAACCUAUUAAUUGAAUUAUUAAUACUCGUAUUAUCGGUUUCGGGGGAUUUCACUGUCGGUCGACGAGUGACUCUAAUAAUAACCGUAUGACAUAACCGUCUUAACCCCGAGCGUCGGCGGCGACCCCGAGGUGUCGUCGCACACCACUGUACAAUCACUCACCAUGACGUCGAUGCCGAGCGGGUCUAUCAUGCGGGCCACAGCCAUCCACUUGAGGAACGUGUAAAUGGCCGUGCCCUGGAACGUGUCGCCGGCGUUGAGAAACAGCGUUCCGUCAGAGCCGUUGGACUUUUGGGCCUCGGCCCGAGCCUCGUCCACGGCCGUCUUGAGCCUCGCGAAACCGCCGUAACACCGCGGUACCGGGCUGCGGUCCAUGCAUUGCGCGCCGAUCCGUUCGACCGGCUCGAACCGCGAGUGCAUGUCAUUGGUGUGCAACACGAGUAACCGGAACGCGUGGCCGUCAUCGUACGGCACAUUUGCGGCAGCCACCGAAAAGAAUAGUAAAACCAACGUCGUCGUCGUCGUCGGCCGGUUCAUCGCUUCGAUCGCGGACGGUUGUUCGGUGUCGGUACGUGUACGACGUACGGAUCGCGUCGCGUUGUGCGUUCUGCACGUGUGCUGUCGGCCAACGUAAUAUUAAUUUUUCGUUCCCACGUCCCCACUAUAUUAGUGACCUUUUCACUGACACCGCGGGAGGAACAUCCUCCUACCACCGCCGUCACCGCCGUUACAUCGGCUACCACACAGACAGUGUCAGCGGAAUAAUAUUAAAUCGGAUUCCGAAUUCAGGUAUUCGAUACAAUUAAGCAUUGUUCAGAUACCGAAAUGGCCGAAUUCCAUUAGGUCCCCCGUCGUGUCGGCGAUGUUAGGUUAGGUAAGGAACUGCACACGCCGCCCGCUCUAGGUUUCUGCAAAAUGUUAUGUUAUACGCAGUGACGUACCUACCGAAAAAUAUUCAAUUGGACAGGGCUGGGCAGCCUAGGCAAGCGGACGAGCGAUUGGAAUGAGACGGGGACCAUUAUUGCGUUUAAAUACCGACAAAACUGAAUUAUUACAAAUUAUCGUUAUAAUCUCGUUGUAUAUUAGUAUGUAUGAUUUUUGAUUAUACUAAGACAAUAUUAUAUUAUUGUGUAUAAGAAUACACGUGUAAUAACAUCAAAUUUACAUAAAACGUGCUAUACAUUUGCCCCGAAAUUAGAAACAUUUCGCUCCGAUUAAUAAAAUGUUAUCGACAAUUCAAUUAAUCAUUUAGAUUUCUUCAACGAUGAUCGUUACUUAUAAUUCACGAUAAAUUCACUAUCGUAUUGUUUUCGAUUAAUUAAUCACACGCGUUCUUAAUAGUUUUUUUUUUUUUUGUCUGUCGAAUACGCAAUAUGUUUAAUUUAUACUGUACGGAGCCCACCAAUGUAGCGUUUAUUAUUAAUAAAUAAAUUUAAUGGAUAAUAUUAUUGUUGACUAAUAUCUUAAAAAAGUUAAAGUAAUACAGUGGUGUUUGAUAACCUCUUUUAUAGCAUGUUUAGAUUAAAUAUUAAUGGAAAAGGUUACGUUACAUUAGGUUAAGCAUUGUAUGAUAUAGGUACUUACAAACUAUGAUUUGACUAUUAUUAUAAAUAAGAGUGCCUGAAAUGAGAUUUUUAUCAAUACAUUAAACAUCCAAUAGUACUUACAUUAUAAUAUAAAAUAAAUGUAAAGUUACUUUGUAUCGCAUGCAUAUGUAUAUUUUCAAUUGUUAGAGUCCAAUCAUACUUGAUAAGGAUUGUUAUCCCGUAAAAAUAAAAUUUGUGUGACACCAAUCACACGGGCAAUUAAACAUAGCACUAUAAACAACGCAGACCGAUACAGUUAUUAUGUAACAAUAUAAUUGUGAACAUUCAUUCAUCAGAAUGCUAAAUAAUUAUUAUUGUUUUCUUGUUUUUUUUUUUAAAUGUUAUGUUCCAAAAAUAUAAGCCCGCCAGUGGUGAUGGCCCAUUAUCUUUGACCACUAAAGGCCAGGUGUUACACGUGUCAUAUUAUAAUGCUGUAAACAAAAAAUGCUAUCUAUCUAAAAAAAUUAACCACUCUCGUUCAGCACCGUAGCCAGAGUUAAAUGGGCCCCAGUGCAAAUUUAAUUUGUAGACGCAUUAUUUUCCAUUAAUAUUUAAUCUAACCGUAUACUUUAAAAAAGAUACGGGCAUACUUCGCACGAAGGGCGAGCCACAGUUGUAGAUGAGAAGUUUAAUGGGGAAAUUUAAUGUACAUCUGUACGCGACGAUUAAUCUUUGCUAACGAAAGAACGAUUCUGAGCGGAGUUCGGUUAAACAUGUAUUUAAUGGCCGUCAUAUUUACGAUUUGAAAAUAAUACAUUUCGUAAAUUCUCACAUUUUUCCUACGUUUUUCUCGGUUUUAACCAAAUAUUAUAAAAACGUUUUGGAAAAACAAAUGACCUCCUCAGUGUACUAUCCCAGUCUGAUUUCUUUUCAGAAAAGUGCUAUACUUGGAAAUCGAAGAAAAAUUUCUGGUAGAAAAGUUGUUCGCAGAUUAAAAAAAAAAAUAAUAAUAAUAAUAUAAUAUAAUAAAAUAAAUGCCAUUAAAAAACCAAUUUAAGAACAAAGUAUACAAAUUGGAAAAAAUGUUACUUCUUUUUAAAAACGUUAUAGAAACUGUUUAUUUUCAUUUAUAUUUUAAGAAUGCAUAAAGGAACUAUACAAAUUAUCUUCACUAUUCAGAAAAUAUUAUUAUAGUUAUAUUAAUUUAAAUUUUAAACGUUUAAAAGGGGUGCAACAAGGUUGCGAACAAACGUCACUUAUCCAAGAAUUUUUUUUUUUUAGCCGAAAAACGAAUGAUUGCGAACGUUUUCUCAGGCUACGUUGCCAAGUUUAAAUUUCUGAAAAUGUUUUAUUCUCUUCGGAGAUUUAAUUAUAAACAUUAUAAUAUUAUAACUACGUCACAAACUAAAAUAAAAUGAUACAAAAUUAUAGUGUUUAAAAUGAUGAUUAGUUUAAAUUUUUAUCUUGGUAAGCAUAUUAUACAUGAACGGAUUACGAAUAAUACUGCACGUCUAUACGAAUCCAGCUGGUUUUUCAUCAAAUUAAUAUCAAUUUAGGACUAAGAUAAUAAAUAAAUAUGUUAGUAUUUAUUCUACACCGUAUCUUAUCGACCGGCGAAAUAGCAGAAAACUAUUAUUAUUAAUCUUAUAUAAUUUGAUUUUAUGCAAAUUAAACGAAAUUUAGACCAAUAGUAUUAAAUCCAUUUAUUGUUUAAACACUGUGAAAUUCCCGUUAACGAUUACCUCUAUGUAACGGUCAUUCGUUUUUGUCCGUUGACGAGUGUUAUGCCUCUAUAAGACACUUCUAACGAUGGACACCUCUAAACAGCGGUCAUUAUUUCCGGUCCCUUCGGUGACCGUUAUAAUAUGGAAGUUUUAGUGUUUAAUUGACAAACGCCAAAUCUGGCAACGCCACACGAAAAAAAGGCAAGUAAAAACGUUCGCAAUCGUAUAUUAUCUGUUUAUAACACUCUGAAACUCUGCAACGUACUUUUAUACGCUAAUCAUUUAACGAAUAGUUUUCAGACGUUUUUGCUUCAAAUUUUUUAUUUGGUUCCCCCCCCCCCGACAUAUUUUUAGUAUUUUCUCGUAUAUCUAACCGCGUAACAUCGUUGUCAUCCGUUUGCCGGAAAUUCGUGAAAAAAACGCAAUCAAUAUAGAAACCCUGCAAACAUUUUACAUAAUAUUCUCCGGCGGGUCAUUAGGGACAUUCGCACACGUGUGCCCGUCGUAAUAUAAUAAUUAAGUUACAUAAUAUCACCCGAAUUCGCCCGGGUUAGGUUAUCAAAAAAAAAAAAAAUAAAUAAAUAAAUAAAGAACGACUAUAAAUGACAGAAAUCGAUAGGUAAAAUUAAAAUUGAUGUACCUAUACCCAAUCCCAACAGGGGUUCCCUUAGACAUUAUUAGAGUCACAUUUUUUCCCCCAAAUAAUUUAUAUUUCGCAGGUUUUGACAAUAAAUAUCAACCUAAAUGGGAGAAAAUUGGAGAGAAUUAGGGAAAACCGGCACCGAGCCCUUUAACAUUACUAUUUUCUGAACAUGUGAAAAAUGUAUUAAUUUUACUAUGAUGUAUGUUUCUUUGAUUUUUGUCUGUUAGUAACUUUUUUGUCAUAAAUCUCGCUCCAAUCAUCAACUCCAGAGGUGGUUUUUGGUAAAACGAGUUGUCUAGACAGUGCAUGAGAGAGAUCAUCGAAAAAGUCUACCCUUUUCGUUUUAGUCAGUCUAAUUAAAACAAUUAAAAAUAAAUUUCUCGUUUGCGGUUCGGAUGUUUGAGAUACUACCAUUUGAACAAUUUUUCACAUAUGCACUAAUAAUAUAUUUGUCGUCCAUUACGCGGUUAUUUGUUUGGUUUUGGUCCAAAUUACUGAUUUUCGGCUGACGCUAAAUGUAUUCGCGGUUUUAACUCCGUUUUCUUCUGAUCAUUCCGAUUCCUCUCAGAAUUUUCUCCUAAUCCCAACCUUUUGGACGAUUUUUACGUUACAUAAAAAUGUGUUAAUAUUUACUAUAUCUAUUGAUUUUUUAGAUAAUUAUUUAUGACUUUGUCCUAGGCUGCAGUAUAUUAAUCGACUUGUGAUUAAAUUGUUUUAUCGUUUUUAUAUUUAAAAUUGGUUGUCGUAUUGCGAUGACACACAAACCUCGACCCAAUUAAAAAAUCUGAUCGGCCGUUAAACGAUCUGAUAACAUUCUAAUAUCUAUAUCAUAAUAUCUUGAUUUUUCAAUAACGAUCAUGGCCUGUAGAUACCCAUAGUAGCGUGCACAGGGAGGGGGUGAUUAGAAGUUGUAUUUCCACCUAAAUUAGUUUACACAUACAACGACUAUGCAUAAUAAUGUAUUUAGUAAUUCAGUCUUAAAAUGUGUCUAUAUAUACCUCGAAAAGACACUCAUUACCUUGAAAGUAUUAACUCUUACCGAAAUAUUUUUUUUUUUAUUUUACAAUUCAAAUUAAAACUUCAACUAUUUAUGGAAUUUGCCUUACAGGUUACUAUUUGAAAAUAAAAAUUAGGUAGAGGUUUCAUCGUCCAAAUUAACGGUGAUAUAACAUAUUAGAGCUAACUAUUAGUUUCAUAAGUUGUCCAAAAAAACAAAUUAAUAAUUUUUGAAAUAAUAAGUAUCUUAUCAAAGAUUAAUCAUUCUGUAUAUGUACUGCAUUCGAGUUACAAGUUAAAUCUAGAAAUAUUGAAUAAAAUAUUCUUUUUAUGAUUCGGCUUUUUUAUUCUCGUUCCCGGUUUAAGCGUAGAAAAUGGGUCUACGAUUUAUUCAUGUUAUUACUAUACAUAGUGUCCCAUCGUAUUCAACGGAUUAUUGUAAUAUAUCUGUUAAGUAUUAAUUUUUCUUUUUUCAGCGAUUAGAGGAUGCAAAUAAAAAUGUAAUUUUUUUCUAUAUAGGUACUCAUAUAUGGCUCACCCUUGAACACACAAUUUGAUUGGAACAAAAAUUGAAUAUUAAACGGAAAGCGGCAGCUUUUAAGUUAUCGUUAUCCGAGGCGGUUUUUAGAUUUUGAGUAAAGCGAGGAAUCUAUUAUUAUUAUUAUUUUUUUUUAUAUUAUAUACACAAAUUCUUUACGAAAUCUUUCUCCAACGUAUCAAGUGUAGCAAACUUUCUGAAAGGGAAUCUUAUCUAAUUGGUAUUUUAACGAGGCCAUUUUUUGAUUUUCUUAAUAGAUUUCAUAAUAAUUGGGAGAAGCUCAAUAAUAAUGCUUAUAUUAUUUUCAGUUUUGUUUUUUAUUAUAAUUCUGUUCAAAAUGUUUGUGGAAAUUUUAAAUUAAGACAAAAAACUUAUUUUUGCGUUUCUAGACGUGAUAAAAUGUUCAAAACAUUUAAGUCAUUCUAGAGCUAUUUAUAGAUAAUUUAAUUGUGCUAGUUUUUUACUUAAGUAAUUUUAUUAAGUGAAUAAAAUUGUUAAACCAAACAGAAAUGCUUGAAAAUUAUUUUAACAGGAGGUUCAUUAUAAGUUGUACUUAGUGACCAACAAGGAAAAUUUCAGUUUAAUGUAGUCCUUUUUUUUAUAAAAAUUUUAAUAUCGAAUUUUGACGAAUAUCGUAAAUAUACAUAUAGCCUUUAUUUCAAACAUGUAAUAACCGAACCAUGUUCAGCUGUGAUUAAUUACUACAUAUAUAGAUAUACAUUAAAUUCCCCUAUGUAUCAUACCUUUCCAACUUCUCACCUACAACAGUGGCCCACCUUCGUGCGAAGUAUGUCCGUCUUUUUUCUUUCGAUUUCUAUUUAUUAUUUUCUAACAAAGUUUUUGAUAGUAUUGUGUAGAAGCGCGCGUUCUGUUUUUAGCCUUCACCCGAGUACCAAUAAUUAGUAUUUCAUCAAUAAUGACAUUGUACCCGUGGGUUCAAGUGUGUUAGAUGCUCAGUUUUAUUUAUUUUUUUUUCUUUCCUCUGUUUUAUAAUUAAAACGAAGCCGUAAUUUCUUCGAUUGGAAAAAAAACGCGUGGCAGUAACAUAAUGUACUAGAUUACGUGUAAAAAAAGAGAUUUUUUUCUUUUAUUUUUAAGUUCUCUCUGGCGCAUUUCAAAUUAAAAGCCAAUUUUUUUCCUCGUUUAAAUCGUUUGACAGCUCUUUGUUUUCGCUGACAAUUGAUAUCCGCUUGUGUUUUUAGAGAUCGCUACAAUAAUAAUCAUUUGUCGUUUCUGCUUUAUUUUACCGAACAUUAUAAUUAUAAAAAGUGCUGAUUCUGGGGAUGGGAGUGAUCACUGUUAUAGGUGAGAAGUUGGGAAGAUAGGAUACAUAAGGUUAUUUCAUUUAUAUCAUUAAGCAACGAUAAACCAUUGUUUGACGAAAGACGAUUCCAAGUGCAGUUCGGUAAUAACUUCAUUUGAAGUGCCAUAUUUUUUUUUGCGAUUUUCGUUUAAAUUUAAUUUCAAAACGCUUAUUAAAAAAAAAAAAAAUUUUAUCACGUUUAGGUAAGUCUAAUAUAAGUAUUAUUACUAAGUUUAAAGUUUCUACGUGUAUUUAUAACCUAACUACAACAAAAAAACUUCCAAAAUAUAAAAUUCCUUAAAAGCUCAAAAGUAGCUCAAUAGUUUUGGCAAUGAUACCGUAAGAAAGUAAAUCAAAAAGGCAACAAAAAUGGUAUUUUGUGAUUUUUCGGUCAAACCAUUUUUUCUGGUAGGAAACGUCGUCCGUGUUUUAAUAAAAUAAUGAAAUCGUGAAAUUGUACAUCUUCCUGCCUUUUUUCCCACUUAAGUGCUUUUAUUUAAAAAAUGGUGAAGAAAAAUGACUUUUUUAAAUUACAAUCUAGACAACUUGAGCUUUCAAAAAGAGUGAUACCUGUAAAAUCGGAGUAAUAUUAAUAGGAAAAAAGUAUCCACAGACUAGGACAAAGAACAAAAAAAUAAACAGAAUUAUAAAACCAAUAGCUCCCUUGCUACGCUUGUAAUGUAAAAUGUAUUUUUGGAGUUUCCAACGGAGUAUUCCGGUUUCAAUAAUGCGCUUAAAACAUUUUUUCACUAGAUUAAAGACGUUCGUAUUUAACGGUAUUAUGUUUUCAUAUAGGAAUUUUUUUUCCCUAUUAAAUUUUAUAUUUGAUAUGAUUUAGGAAGAAAAAUUCAUUUUUUUAAGCACAAAUAGAUCAUAUGGGAAUUGCACGUUAAUAAAAUCCCUUCGUGAAAACGUAUACUUACCUAUUAUAGUAAAUUGUUGACAUCAUUAAUUUUGAAAAAAAUUGUUUUUUUGUUUGAAUUUUAUUUAGUACCAGCUACAGGGUACAAUUUGAAUACGGGGAAAUUGUGACACUAGCAAUAAAUUGCUCCAAAACCAAUACUUAACUGUCAAAUAAUUGUGACAGUUAUCCCACUAUAAUAAACAAUAUUUCCUUAUCUAAAUGUUGAUAGUAUAAUAACCACUGAAUAAAAAAAUGAAAUGUGAUUUUGAUAACUGAUAGUAAAUAAAAUUAUAAAAUUAUAUUUUUUUUUAUUAGUGUUGCAUUUUAUUCUUUGUUUAUGUUAAUCAUAAUAACAUAGUCAAAAACGUAUGUAAUUUCUGUGGGUGUUGUUCAAAAUACACUAACCAGUCCAUAUUGUAGGUAUUAGUUAAAAUAUAUUACGGCCUUCUUUUUUUCUGUGGACAACUUUUCUACCAGAAAUCUUAAUCCGAUUUAUAAUAAUAGCAAUGUUUCUAAAACGAAAUUUAACUGCGGAAGUACUUUCUCGGGAGUUUUACCAAAAAAUGUGAAAAACCAGGAAAAAAUAUGAGAAAACCUAGGAAAACUUUGAAAAAACGUGAAAAUCGAUACAUUAAACAAAUAUUAUUUAAGAUAAUAUAUAAUGCCUAUGUAAUUAUUUUACCAUAAUAUGAAAUACCUUUAAAUUGUUGGCAAAGCAACACUAUCAAAUGAACCCCGCUCAGAAUUGUUUUUUCGUUAGCAAUGAUUUAUAGUUGCUUACAGAUAAACAUUGAAUUCCCGUCUGUAUCCUACCUUCCUAACUUUCCACCUACAAAAAUGGCUGCACCCACGUGCAAAGUAUGUCCGUCUUUUUUUUUAAAUUUGUUUGUUUUUUAUGAUAUUAAUUGGUAACAGUAUACAUAAAGAUGUUGCCCAUUAAAACGUUUUGAUUACAUUCCGCAAUAAGUACUCAGUGAAGCGACAAUGAUAUUUUAUUAUAUCAUAUUAAUAGAUGCAUAGUUUGAAUGCAUAAACAUUAAGUGUUGUACUAAUUUCCACCCGUAAAUAUUUUCAAUGACUUUAAAUGUUGUUAUUUUCAGAUAGCUCCCUCCUCCGCAACCCCGAAAUAUAAAAAUGUACUUAGUACUACACUGGUUGAAGGUAAACAAAUACAUUUUUGUUUUUUUGACAUAAAAAUUAUAAAAUUUUACAAGCAUUACAGAAAGAUAAUAUUCUGACACAGCACUCGAUAAUAACAACUAUAGUCCAUCGUGUACACCAAUUAGAAAUUCGUUGAACCGAACUGGUGUAUCAUGUUGAUUCCGAUUUAUACAUAUCGGUAUGUGAUACAGAUUCGACUCUUAUGGUACCGGUCGAACAAUAAAUUCAGUGCAAUCAUCAGACAUCAAACUACCUUUUUCUGAUGCCGUUACUUAUCAAUGUACAAAAUAUGAGUUGAAAUAAACGUUAUCUGUAGACAUGUUUCUAUGUUGGCUGUAAUGUAAAAUUUUUUUCGGGAUCUGCAGUUAUUUUUUUCAUUAAAUUACAAUUCCUCGUGAUAGUCCCAGAUGUCUCGUCCAAAAAAAAUGAUAAGGCAGGGAGCAGGUAAGGAAUAAGGAAAUUAAAUACAAUACAACAAAGAAUAAACAAUUUGUAUGCUCUAUACAAGCCACUUGCCGUACGUGAUUGUGUAUAUAAAGUUCAUUUGUUUAUAUCGAGUUCCUAUUUCGCGGCAUCGGAAACGAUUACCUAUACUCGUAUGUCUUGUUCCAUCUGAUUAUUAUAUGUACAUGUAACUCUAUAUAACUCUCUAAACUACAUUUUGUUGUCAGACAGGUCAGGAGGAGAGAAUCUCUUUUGUACGACGUACACAUGAACGCUUACCAGCUACAAUAUUCUGAUAAUAGAAAAAAAAAAUGAUCGUCAAUCGGUACGUACACAGUUCAAAUAUAUAAAUCUAAAAUUAUUACCAACCACUUAUAACUAUAAAACAAUAUAAUAUUAAACAUAGAAACGAAAUAUUGAAAAUAUUUUUUUGUUCAACUUCGCCAUGUCAAUGAUUCGUCUCGGCCUUUUAUCUAUUUUAGUUACAAGACCGGAUGAUUAAGGGCUCUCACAACAAAAUUGGGUUUUCGCUGCCAAUCGCGAAUAUAACAAUAAUUUCCCAACAAUGUUUUAACCACUAUAGGCACUAAUAAUACUUAUUAGUUAUUGCUCAUGUAACUCGUUUAAUUAUAUCAUAAAAGUUAUUAUUUUAUAAUCAAAAUCAAGAGAAUUUUAGAUAAGCCACUUAAGCAUGUUUUGCUAUGUUUCUCAUUAUAUAGUACAGUACAAACGCGAGUGGCGUCCUCUUAACGAAUACAUUUAUAUCAUUUAUUAAAUUAACUCAAUUAAAAAAAAAAAUAAAUAAAAAAAAAAACGAUUAUUAUUGUAAAACCUAGGGAGGAAAAAGUAUUCAGGUGGAAUAUAUAGAUCCAAAAAAAAAAAAUGAAACCCAAGGGUGGAAAUCUAUCCCGGAUAUUGAUAUUAUAUGACCUCGUCCUCGUAAAUAUAUUGCUUUGGAAAGUUAUACUUAUGAAAAUAAAUUAUAAAGGGCAAAAUAUUACCAUUGUUGCCAACCGUGUUUGCUCUCGAAAUACCUUAAUUUCGUAGAAUUAUUUUUAAAAUUUCGUUAUCUUUCUGCCACGCGAAUUUUCUAUUUCAAAACGUGAUCUACAUUUUCUAUUAUGCUCAUUUUUUAUUUCUAUAUCCAAUUUGAAGGUAUCAUGUUUCAUAUAGGUUUUCAUUUAGGACAUCAACCAUAUAUACGGAGCAGUAUCAGAUUUAGACGUGAAGGAUUUGAUUGUUUUUCGACAUUAGCGUUACUGCAGCUAAGCUACUGUGGUUAUAAAUCCUUUUCAAUUUUUCUGAUAACUGCGUGUAUACCACGGCGAAUUUCAUGAUAUUAUAGUAUAAUAUAAUAUGUUAUGAGAAACCUUUUUUUUUUUCGACGUUAUAAUAAAAAUAUUUAAUACGUUUACUAUCUCAUGUUGUUAUUACAAUAUAUGUUUGUAUAUAUGGGCGUGUUUUUCGAGAUGAAAACUCAUAUAAACAUACGUUCAGUAGGAAAUAUUUUAGGAAUUUCAGGAAAGGUUCUUUUUCUUUUAUAUAUAUAAAUACACUGAAAUGUUACGUAGGUAUCCACGCGUGCGAGCGCUGAAUUUGAAAUAUUACACAAUGUAUAUACUGUAGUAAUAAUAAUGUCGUAGAAAUACUCUGCAAGUGUAAAACGCGUGACAUUAUCAAAUCGUCGACGAAAAAUACGUCAAAAAAUAGGCAGUCAGCAAAUAUUAGGGGGAAAAAAGUGCGAGUAAAUACAUUUAAGGGUCUUUUUUUGUUUGUUUUAUUUUCAGUCGUGUCAUUGUUAAAAAAAUCAAGCUUAUGUUCGUCUGUUUAGGUCCACACACAUAUCGAAUCCGGGUUUCCGAAAUUCAACGUCUAAAAGCCAAAUAGUGGAUCACACACCGAGUCGAAUUAGUUUUGUUUGAUUUACGGGUUACUUAGGCGACAACGGAUGAAAUAAUGAAAACAAAAAACUCUUCGUAUUGCAAUAGUUAUUUGGUUACUAUACAGGUCAAGAACGUAUCCGAGAAUUUUUGUACGGGGUAGGAGUUACUCACAUUUACGUGGUCUAAUGACAAAGGGAAAUUAAAUCGUAACAAUUUUUUUUUUAUCAAAAUUCGGGUUAUAAUGGCUCCCCUCUCAUAGAGUUUUCACUCUGAAAAUCCCCCGUAUAUACGCCACUGACGUGGGCAAAAAAUAAGCAUUUUUUACAACGGUUAACAGUGAUAGUGGUGGAAGCAGAAACAAGGAGACUCGUUAAAUAGUAUGUAUUUAUUUUUAUCAAUUAUGGUUUUCGAAAGUACUAUUUUUGAAAAUCAGCUUUCAAAACGAUAAAAUAAGGGAGAAUUUAAUUGGACCCCUGACACGACAACUUGUAUUGUAUUAUAAUUUUGUUUGAUUUAUAACAUUUUUGGUACUAUAAAUACAAUAACGUCGUUGUUUAGUGUAGUUUUUGCGACCGGACUUGCCGACAUCUAGUCAUCGUCGUCAGUUUAUCCGCUCGGCUAGGUUUUAUUUCGUGAUUUCUCCCCAAGUAUAUUUGAUGUAGAACACUCAAACCACCACUGCACCGCUCACCUAUUUAACAUCCUCUCCGCUUCUCCCUUCCCCUCACUACGACUUAGAGUUUGUACGUAGGUCGUGCCCGACGAACAAAACAGAUUUCACGCGACCCCUACGCGAGGGCUCUUAUUCGCUCUCUAUAAUAUACUGUAACAUUAUAUUAUAAUGUAAUGAAACACAAAGAAUAUAAUGUAUAAUAUGUAAUACAUAAUAUUUAAUAAAUAUAUUAACAUUCGUUGCCUGGGAGAAUAUUAUAUACAUAAAGGGAAAAAUAAACGUAAAUUAAGUGGGCGUACAGCGUUGAAAAUUCACUUUGUACCUACUUUGUGCCCACGCGGUAAAAUAUUUUUCAUAUUAUUAUACUUAUUAUGAUUAAAUAAUAUUUUAGAGCGAUAUAAAUUCCCUUGUCGAUAUAAAUUUAUAAUCUAUAACACUAUAAUACUGCAACCAUUAGCGGUUGUUUUUUAAAUCUACAAAAUUCUUUUCAUUUUACAAUGCCGCGACUUUUAAAUAAUUUCCAAAUCAGCGAGCAUCAGAUCAAAAGUCGCUUUUUGGGCAUCUGUUAAAACAAAAGUUAAGUUAAUACCAACUAUUAUAACUAAAGAUUAUUAGGUUUCAACCAUUUAUAUUUUAUUAUAAUUUCAAUAAUUACUAAACAAAUAAGAAAUUUAUUUUUAAUUGUUUUUUUUUUUUAGAUUAUGAGCGUAGAGAAGAAGCUAUUAGUUAUUUCUACUAUGAUGUGUGUGUAUUUAUGAUUAGUAAAAAUACUUGGAUUUAUUCAUGUCAUAUUGUUGUCUUAUAAUUUUAUAAUAUUUUUCAACAUUUUCAAUACUUUUUCUUGUAAACAGUUGAUUUUUCUUUUUUUUUCUUGAGUAAACGUUAUAAUUUAUUCAAGUAUUACCUCAAAAUUUCAAUUCGAUGGUGAUACUUUCUUUGAUAUAUUAUCGAAAUUUUCAGCAAAUAUUAGAUUUGAUUGUGGUUUUAAUGGUUCUAUCUAUUUAAUCUAAUGGUUUUACUAUGAUGUGUUUUUGUCUGCUCCAAAGUAUGAAGUAGCACUUUUCCUCGUUGGUGCAAUAAACUCAUUUUUUGAUUUUUUAAUGAGUUUUCAAAAUAAUUAGGAAAAACCCGAAAGAAAAUUAUAGGUAAAACGGUAUAUUUAUAUCUGUAUAUACAAACUUCUCUUCCAGAAUUAUUACUUCAAUCGAAAAUGAUAAAAACAAUGCUGUGUUAAAUUUUUAUCUAGUUAGUGACGAAACAAAUCUUUUUUUUGAUUUUUCUGCAGGGUUUCUUCGGUACUAAUGGAAGGAGGUUACGACUUAUUUUACUUCACUCAGAAUUGUUCUUCAUUUACGAGGAUUCAUCGUUAGGUAAAAUGCAGUAUAUAAAGUAAAUUACUCUAUAUACUGUCUAUAUAUCUUCCCAUCUACAACAGUGGCCUAACCACGAACAGUAUUAGCUUCUUUUUUUUUUUACUCGUUUAGUAUAUUGACUUUCGUCACAAAUAAUUUGCAAGCUAGUGAAAUCCGUUUUGCGAAGCGCGAUCGCCCUCGACAAAUAAUCAUUCCCAACACGUGACGCGUCACUACCGAAAGGGAUUUUGUGCCUGGGAUUUUAUAUCGGUAUGGAAUUUUUUUUUCUUAUAUAUAUAUUAUUAUAGGUUUACAUCAGGUGGUACGAAUAAUACGGUUUUCCCAGACACGGAAUACCGCAGUAUUGUAGGUACCUCUAUAAGUACAUAUUAUAAUACUUACCGUAAGGCACACGGUUUUUUUUCACGAUAAAAAGGUUUUUCAGGACAUUCGGAAAAAUGUAUUCGGAAUAUAUAAAUGUUUAUAUGUAUCUAAAUAUAAAUAUAUAUGCUUUUUUUUCGAAUGACUUUUUUGUUUUUAGAGCAUCGAGUUCGUUUUAUAUGCGAGUAUUUUAACUUUUUAACAGAAUAUUUGGGUUUUGUUUUAUGUUCUAUAGGUAAUAUAAACGGAUUACUUACCUACAUUUUAUUCUUUACCGAAUAAAUAACAUAUAUAUUAUAUGGGUACAUAUGAUAUAAAUGUGUUUCAUUUGCUAAUAUUAUAUAUUAGACUCUAUAGUCUAUAAGCACGGUCUAAAAAAAUAGUUUUGGACACGAGUGUCGUUUAAAAUAAUUUUUUUCGUUUUGUUGUUGUUUUAAAUAGCUAUAAAAUAUUGUAUUCGUUUUCAGAGAUGAAAAAACUGUAAACACCCUUAUAAAUUACUUUAAUUAAAGCUUGAAACCAAAAUUUUGUUUUUGGUUUCGUUAAUAAUUUUAUUUAGGUUUUUUUUUCAAUUUCUGUUUCGAUUAUAACAAUACCGCGGUAUCAGUUAUUUCCUUUUCGAUUUUGAUAUUGAUUUAUAAUACGUAUUAUAAUUUUCUAUACCUAUUCUAUUAUUCUUAUUAAAUAAAUGAUUUUUUGCUGUUGUAUUUGUUAUGCUAUUUUAGUGUAAAUAAACGGUCUUACUUAAUGUCACUUUAUUCUUCACUAAUCAGUCGUUACGUCCCAUCCAUGUUUUUAUUAUCUAUGCCAUAAAGUAAGGGCGGAUACAGAGGUCCUAAAUAGGGGGGGGAAUAUGUAUAAAUUAAUAAAAUAAAUUAAUAGGAAUAGCUAGGCAUAGAAAUUGUGUUAUUAUAAGUCGCAGUGACGCACACAGAGAGGAGGUUAGGAGGUCAUAACCCCCUCCGAAAUUUUUCAGUAUAUUUUUUAAAAUCAAGUUUUACAUUCAACAACAUAAAUAUCAUAUACUACAGAAUAAAAGAAGAUUGAAUUUCAUCAAAAUUAAUUUAUUCAGCUAUAAUAGUGAUAUAGUACCUACUGUACUGAUAAUAUAUAUUAACCUCUCUAGGAAAUGAUUAAUAACCAAACCCCUAAUGGAAAAAAAAAAUCCCGCGUGCGCUACUAAAUUUAGUUGACAUGAAAAUUAGUUGUGUGCAAUUUUUUGGUAGUUUUUAAUGUUGAUAUCUAUUUUUCAUUCUAGUUAAUACUUCUUAGUGUAAUGUUUUUUUAUGAACUUUUUAAACAGUUACAAACUUAAUGUCUCAUUGAUAAAAACGACGGUUUAACAUAAAAAACAAACAAUAAUAACUAAUAACGAAAAUACUAAUUAGGUUCUAUAAAUUAAAAAAGACAAUAAUGUUAAUAAUACCAUACUAUUAAUUUAAUUUAUUAAAUUUCAAAACAUUAUUUUUUUUUUAAAAAUUUUAAUAUCAUUAAACAACGAGUUCGCCGAUUGACAGUUUACAAAAAUACACGAAGUUUAUAACAAUAUUUUAUUUAUCAGUACAGAAAUCAGUCGUACUAGUGAAUACGAUGGGUCUUGGAAUAUACCUACUAUUAGUUUUUAAUUAAAAUUGAAAUAAAUACCUACCAAACCAAACAUUUUAAACAUAACCUAACCAUACGUGGAGUCCGUACACGAGAAAAAAAUAUGCGCUAUCACAUACUCAAUAAAGUGUCAAUAUACUAUUACAGUAUUAUAGUAAUACACACAAAAACGAAAUUAUUUAGUUACGAACGUAACGACGCACGACGGAAGCAGCGAGGAGCUGUAAAACCAUUGUAUUACGGCGUAUUAAUUUAAAAAUGGACGACGUCUGGUGUUAUCGUAAAAACUGCAAUACUCAGCAAUCAACUUUGAUUUUAAAACAUAGCAGGUAAUAUCAUAUAUUUUUGUGCAUUGUGUAAAACCCCAUAAAUAACCGCGUAUGCCGUGAUCACUUUUUUAAUAAAAAUAAAAAUUGAUAAUUUUCAAUGGAAAAAUAAAUACAUGUUUAUGGUAAAUACAAUAACGGCCCUCUCACAAUUAAUUACAAAUGGAAUUAUUGAUACCUAUUUUUGCGAACGGGGGGAGGGUCAACUGCCUCUAUUGCCCCCUCCUUGUAUCCGCCCUUGCCAUAGGGCAGUGAAAUGGUAGUUAAUAUCUAUGUGCAUGACUCGUUUCUGGGAUAUGCCGAGAUAACAAUAUUAUUAUGAUAAUAACGGAAUAACAACUAUACGGAAAAUAAUUUUAUCCUUUUGGGCUGUACGCGUGUUUAAUCAGUCCCGUUGUUUGCGGUUCACCGUGUUAUUUCCGCGUAAUAACACGCAAUAGUAAUAAUUGUUCCCGUUAUCGACUUGGCGUAAACGGGUAGUCAGGUAGCUGGUAUACACGACACACACGUGCAGUUUGCUUGGAGUGCAGGCGGUUAACCUUUAACCGCGAGUAUCGGUUUUCGCUCGAUUGCACACACGAUUGUAUACCUAAUUGUAAUUUCCAGGUUUAACGCAAUUAAAUGUAUGUAUUAGCUCCUCCCCACUCCGUGUUAUAAUAUCGACGACGUGUUAUUGUUGCUGUUGCUGUGUAUACAUUGUUGUGUUCUCGUAGCCUCGUAUGCGUUUUUAGAGGCAGAGGAAAAUUAAAAUGUUUGCGAGAAGAAGCGAGGAGAUUCGGAGAGAGAUAGUGAGAGAGAUAGUGAGAGAGAUAGUGAGAGAGAGAGAGAGAGAUAGAGAGAGAAAGAUAGAGAAACUCCGUUAUACAAAAAAGCUUCGUGAAAAGCGUUCGCGUGAAGAACUGGCACUUGGCAGAACGAAUAUAAUAUAUUAAUGUACAGUGUUUCUAAAACGAACGAGAUAAAACUAAUAUGUUAAAUACGUGAAUUUUAUCCCAUGAUAGUAUGUUUCCUGCGCAGACUCAAUCAAUAAUUACGUCAUUUUUUCACCUUUUGUGACUUUAAAUCGCUUAUUACUAUACAACGAGAAGGAAUAAAAUAAAAUUGAUACUAUGACAUAUUUGCAGAUAUGAUAUUUUGCUGUGUGAGGAAUUUUUUCUGGAAUAUCGUAGAAUAUAUUUUAUUUCAAAGCUUGUAGAGAUAUUUAAAAGAAUAUAUAUUUUUUUUAAAUCGGGUUUUGAAGGUAUUUUUUUAGCAACACUGUCUUUCGGAGAAAUUAUAUUUACAGCCAUAAUAAUUAUUUUUAGACUGAUAUUUUAUUUUAUAUUUUAUCACUUUAUUUUCCAAAAAAUCUAAAUAUAGGUUUUAUUUUCUAAAAUACUGAUUUUCCCAACUCCCAUAGCUAUUUUGUGUAUCGAUUCCGUGAAAAGGAACAGUAUUUCGUGAAAAGAUUGUUAUUUUAUUAUCAUCACGCAGUAAUGCGCAUUAAUAUGAUAUCUGUGCGGUUCUAAAUAAUUCAAAGGUUAGAAUGCAAAUAUUGCAAAUAUAAUAUUUUUAUAAGUUUAUAAUGUUUUGUUCACGAAAUUAUUUUAGGACUCACAUAUGUAUUUUGCGGACAAAACGACUUUGAAUGAUGCUAUCACAUUACAUUUCGUCGUGAAACAUCUGUUGAAUUCAAUCGCGGUAUAAACGAUACACUGUUUUCGGGGGAUGGUGAAGGGGAUCCAGGAGAGGAGUGUGCCUUUUACAGCUGCAGGUACUGCAAUCAUCAUAAUAUUAUAGUAAACCACAUACAAAGACCUGCGAAAAAACCACCAACGCCACUCACAUUAAUUUAAACUUUUGACUUUAUUUUAUCGCAGUUUUCUUUCUUGAGUCGGAAUCGAUUUAAUCUAUUGAAUGUAUGUUGUAUAGCUGUAUAAAUAUAGGUUACAUGUGGCGUUCUUUUAACUCUUCUGCAAACUUAUACUAAAUUAAAAAAAAAAAAAGAGUUCGUACCGUUGAUAGGCCACCGCAGUAGGUGGGAAGUUAAAAAAAUAUAGUAAAUAAGGUAAUUUAAUUUAUAUACUAAAAGUAAAGAUAAAUCAUUGUAAUCAAAAAAAUAAUUCUGAUUAAAGCUUGGUAAACUAUUGAGAUUUAGUUUUAAUCGAGUUUUGUUUCGAUUAUAGCUAAGAUGACCCAAAACUUACUAAAAAUAAAUGCUUAUGUACCAAAAUUAUCUGCUAGUUUUUUACAUUUCAUAGAAAAACAAUUUGAAAUCCAGACAUGUUUUUAAAAGUAAUGUAAGGAAUUUCUUCAUUUUUUCAGACAUAUCAAAAAAGUUGUAGUAUCUUAACUAAUCGAAAACAGUAUUUUUUAAAAAGAAAAAAAUAUAUAUUCGUAUAUAGUAAAACCAGUGAUCGAUCCAGGGAGGAAAUAAAUUAAUUUGCCCCCCCACCUUUUAUAUCAUAAUAUAUUCAUAGAUAAUAAAGACGUGAAUAUCUAUAAUAACCUUCUCAGGAGGGCUACAAUGCAUUUAUAAAGCCCAGAGCCUUAUGUAAUGGGUGGUUCAAGAGAGUUAUACUCCCCCGGUAUAUAUUAGGAGGUGCUAAAUUUUCACGGUGACUAAAAACAAGUUAUCGGAAAAAUUAGAAAUUAUAUGAACAAUUCAUACAUUUUAUAAACGGGGUGAUCAAUCUAUCAUAAAACACUCAUUAUGUCAGAAAGUAUUAACUUUUUUCAGAAUUUGUUUUCUAGAAUAUUUAAGAAAUAAGCUACUAUAAAAUUUUAUAUAUAUAUAUAUAUGUUAUUUUUUGUCAUCAUAACUUUUUGGGGUAAACAACUAUCUCCUUUUGAUUUUCAAAUGAUUAUCUUUUAAAAUCCCAUAAAUAGAUGGAGUUUAGUUCAAAUAAAUUUUGGUGUUUAAGUUUUUGAUUUCCGUCAAUUCGUUGACGAGAUAUUCUACAUUUAAGUUUGAUUUGGAAGAGAGUAGUGGAGUAUCAUUUGUGUGGCAGUACGGCGGGUGGCGUAUUAAUAAUGCAUCACUACACUCCUCCAAUCCAAACUUCUAAAAGGAAAUCUGACUGAGAAGGUACUUUAGAGAGGUUAUUUUUCGACUUUCCCAGGAGUUUUUUUCAACAAAUGUGAAAAAUCGGGGGAAAAACUUGGGAAAACCAAAAAAAACGUAGAAAAAACGAGAAUAUCGGUACAAUAUUAAACAAAUACUAUUAAAGAAAAUGUAUUAUAAUACCUAUUUAUUUUACCAUAACAUGACAUAUAUAUUUUUGACAAAGCACCAAUAUCACUAUUAACUGAAUUUCGCUCAGUAUCAUUUUUAUUAAGCAAUGGUUUAUUGUUGCUUACAGACACAAAUUAAUUUUUUCACUAUAUUCUACAUUUCCAACUUCUCACCAACAACAAUAGCUGCAACCCAUCGUAUAAAGUAUGUCCGUCUUUUUUCCAUAUGCUGAUGUAGCUUUUAUAGCAUUGUAAAGUUUAGGAGCAUCCGAGCAUUAUCCAAAUUACACAUAGUUCCUGUGUAAGGUUAGGUGUAUGGUCUUUUUCUACACUUCACCGGAUAAAAAAUUAUUUAAGAUCAUUUAUGUCUUCAGAAAAUCUUAAUAAGCAGUUCAAAACAUAGAAGCUAUUCUCACUUAGGCUAACUUAUACAGAUAUGAUAAAAAAAUUGUCAGCAAAACAAGUAAGAAAUAAUUUGAAAUAAAAGUUAAACAUAAUAUAACUAUUUGUAUCUUAAUAUAUUAUAAUAGACUGUUCUUUGUUAUUAUAAUAUUAGUUACCCUUCACUGCAUUUGCCUAUUUUUUUAGCUUCUGAAUGGAGCAAAUAAUGUAUUGGUUUUACAAAAAUGUUUUUUUUUUUUUUUAUGUGAACACUUUUUCUACCAUUAAGCUUACUUUGGUGUGUAUGAUAUAGCACUUUUUCUGAAAAGAAAUUUUCUUGGGAUGAUACUUUAAGAAGGUCAUUUUUUGAUUUUUCCGUUAGUUAUCUCAAUAAAAAAGUAAAAAAACAGAGGAAAAAUGGGAGUAUUUACUAAAUAUAUUAGUAAAACCGGAAAAACGGGAAAAUCAAUGCAAUAUUCAACAAAGAUUAUUUAAGAAAACACAUAAUGCUUAUUUAAUUAUUUUAUCAUAAUAUUACAUACCUAUAUAUUGUUGUUAUAUGUUGUUGUAGCAACACUAUCAACUAAACCCUGCUCAAAAACGUUUUUUCGUUAACAAUGAUUUAUCGAUGCUUACAAAUAUACAUUAAAUUUACGUCUAUAUCUUACAUUCCCACCCUCCCACCUACAACAGUGGCUGGACCCACGUGCGAAGUAUGUCCGACUUUUUUUAAAUUUUUUAAAUGAUUUUUUUUUAUCUAAACAUUAAAUUACAUAACACAAAUCCCUAUAAUUAGUAUAACUACUUAAAGUAGUUUUAAAAUUAAUCAUAAGCAAAGUUAGAAGUGCCAAAAUGUUGUUGCCCAUUGGGGCCAAAAUCAUAAAUACGAUCCUGAGAAGGCCUAUACAGCCAUUAGUAAACAAAAACAAAACCGUUAGAGUGGUAUAAAAGUCCUAUUCUCUCAACUAAAACUUAUACAAUUGCAUUUUUUAACAUAAAUAUGAUUAACACAAAAUAAUAAUUUUUAUACGAUUUUGAAUUACUUUGUGUAAAUCAUUUGUGUAGUGUUAGAAAAUUUUAUUAAAUUAGUUAGAACACUUUGAGGGGGACUUAACACCUCUUUAUCGUUUUUGAUUUUUAUAAAUAUUUUUGAAGUUUUAAGAGCUUUUUCAUGGAUUUUAAAUGUAAAAGUCCCCAGCUUUGUUUGUGUUCUCACUUUUUUAGGUUAAUUCAUAAAGUGAGUAUUUCUCCUUUUUUAUUCUAGACUGUGGACACGUUUUUUACUAGUAAACUUUCUCCGAUGUAUAAGUGUAGCACUUUUUCUGAAAGCUCAAGUUGUCUAGAUGGUACUUUAAAAAAAUCAUUUUUUGAUUUUCCAUGCCAUUUAUUAAAUAAAUGAUUUGAUUGAAAAAUCACAAAACACCUUUUUUGUGAUGAACAGCUUUUACAGAAUUUAAAUUUUUAGAAGUUUUUUGGCUGUAUUUUGGUUAUGAAUUCACGUAGAGACUUGAAACUUGGUAAGAAUACUUGUAUUGGACUUACCUAGACGUGGUAAAAUUUCCAAAACCAUCGGACGAAUUUUAUUCCUUUUUUAAAUUUGUUUGCAAUGGUACUUUAUUAUUUUUUUUUUUUUUCUGUAGACCAUUUUUAUCCUAGAAAACUUACUCCGAUGUAUAAAUGUAGCACCUUUUCUGAAAAUCAAUUUUAUCUAAUUGGUGAAUAUAUAGGUCAUUUUUUGAUUUUUGAAACAAUUUUUUAAAAGAAAAACGAUUAACCGGGAAAAAAAUACGAUUUUUUCAUGAUUUCGUUAUUUUAAAUAAGUACCACAACUUUUUCUAGCGGCUCCGAUUGAAAAAUGACAAGGGAUCUUUCUUGUUGAUUUAUUAAUCUUGUUUUUAAUAAUGCAGUUCGUUUUUUUUGAUUUUCGAAUUAGUUUUCAUAAUAAUCAGGAAAAAACGUAGGAAGGUUAGGUUAAAAAAAAAUACGGCACUUCAAAUUAUAUAAUACUGAACUACGCUCGGAAUCGUCUUUCAUCAACAAUGGUUUAUCGUUACUUACAGAUAUUAAUGAGAUAACCUUAUGUAUCCUAUCUUUCCAACUUCUCAUCUACAACAGUGGCCGUACCCAUCCCCAGUAUCAGCUCUUUUUUUUUUUUAUCUAUGGUUGUAAUGUAAACAAAUGGCAGUUUUCACAUACAAUAGAAAUUGUAGUGGCUUAUCUUUUUCUUUACUAUCUAUGAAUAUUGUAUGGUUUUUUUCUUGUAUUGUGUUAAGAUAUAUGCUAUGCUUCAUAGUUCAUUGUAGAUUAUUCGCUUCACUUAGAAUAUAAAUUAUAAUAUUUGAAUGGCCCUAGAUUUAUACGAUUAAUAUGGUUUUAUUCGAAUGAUGAAUAUUACCGCAAAAAUAUUUUAUGGUCAUCUAAUUUAAUAUUCGAAAUAGUUUUGACGGAUCUUUAAUAUUAGGUACCUCUAUAUACACGCGCGGUGGGAGGUGUAGUAAUAAUAUUAGGAAAUUACAAUAUCCGUCUCGUUCGGUUAAUACGAUUAAAUUAUAUACAUAUUGUUUAAGUAUAUAGGUAUAUAAUAUGUUUAUCCGUUACGGUAUUAUAUUAUAAUCUAAUAAGAUUAUAUUAUUAUUGUAUUCUAUACGCCCGCUGAAAACGUGUGAAUAAGUACAUAUUAUAAUAUCGUACACUGACACUAAGUAUUAUAUUGUGUACGACAGGUGUCUCGUUGGGUUCACCGCGAUAUUGUUUUCGUUCCAUUAUCUGAAGCAACUCGUUCCUACCUGUAUUAUUGUCGACCAUAAAACGUCGCAGUUCCGCCAACCGUGGUACAUAAUAAACUUUCAUCCGUGACGACAGCACGCCCGACCGCCGGCCAAUCAUGAAGGGGUGUUAAGGGGUGGGUAAGUUCUGAACUGUGCAGACAUAAAAUUAUUGUUUAGUAAUUCAACAAGUUAAAUCUUAAUCUCACAAAAUAUUAAUGUAUCUUCUGGAGUGCCAUAAUGCGGUUAUCUUAUGUCCUUGCUAUUUAUAAUUUUUGUCAAUUAUAUAUAAUAGGUCGAUUUUGUAAAUCCGUUUUGUUUACGGACGGUUUAAAGCUAUUUAUGUGGAUUUCUUCAAUAGAUGAUUGUAAGCUACAAUAUGACCUCAAUCAAUUCUGUUUAUAGUGCAAACAACGGUCUAAACUUAAAUACGAACGAAUAUGCAUUCGCAAAUCUCAUUCACUAGAAAUCAGCAAAAUUAUAUAUUUAACUGCCAUAAAAAUAAUAAAAAACUCAGUAUCGCAUUUUAAGUUAAAGACUUAGGAAGGUAUUAUUUUGUCUUGCGAUCUUACAUAUACUGAACAUAUAUUAAUGAAACACAUAAUAAAGCUAUACGUGUAUUUGGGUUUUUAAAUACAAUUGCUGGAAGUUUCAUGAUCCAAAUUUGUUGAGUGUUUUUAUACUUCUCUUUUACGAUCAAUUAACACGUUUUAACACAUUGUCCAAUGUAACUGUAAAUGACGUAUUGUGUGGAUCCUAUAGAUGAAAAAAAUUGUUAGUUCUAUUCUAUAAUAUAGGUUAGGUUUUAUCGUUUAUUAUAGGAUAGAACUAAACAUUUUUAUAAUUUAUAUUUAAUUAUAUUUAACAUAAUAUUGGGCACAACAAAUUGUGUUUAUACGAAAUUGCAUUUAAUUUUUAACUGUCAAAAUCAUAUUUUGAAUAAGAGAAAUAACAACGAUUAUAUAAAAAAAUAAUAAUAAUAAAAAAUAUAGGCCAGCAUAUUAUUAUAUUUUAAAAGAACAAAGUUUGGUUUAUGUGACGGUUCUGUAUUUUUUUUUUUAAAAAAAACAACGAUUUCUCUAAAAAGCACCACCUGUAGUUUUCAAUUUCCAAUCUAUAUUGUUUGGACUACGGAAAACUAUUUUCUCUUUUUUCAAACACUUUACUGCCUUAAAAAAGUUGUAUUUAUUUUUGAAAGAACGUAGGCGGAAAAUACAAUUAUCGGAAAACACCGGUAGAAAACCAUCAAGUAUAGCUCUCUAAAAUAGCUUAAAAUAAUAAUAAAACAAAUUAUAACAUUGCCAUCUUAGGUUAUGUAGGUUUUUUACUUCACUAUUUCAUAGAAAUUGUAUUCGAAAGUUUUGUGUUUGCUAUUUGAUGACAUUUACAUUCGUCUAAUAAGUAUAACAACUAAAUUAAUGUUCUUAACCUUAGGAAUUUCCAAAUCUCUGUGUCCUGAGGCUAUUAAUCCAGUUAAGUUGGUACCAGUACCUAAAUUAUCACGUACUUGUCAUAAUAUAAUAUAAUAUUCAUUAAAUAUUGUAAUAACGUCGUAGGCGUAGGGUUAGGUUAGGUUAUUAGGCGUAUAUAUCUAUAUUUAGACGUAUUUACUUAAACAUAGAUUGAUUAUUCGAAGCGGAAAAUGUGUAGGGCCUCGUUAGUUAAUUCAUUUCUAAUUAUAAGUAUGUUUCGUGAAAUCUGAUUAUCCGGGUAAUAACAAAUUAUAAUAAAACCAAAGCCGAAUUAAGCGAAGUUACUCUAAAGAAACUUUUGACGUAUAUCAGUCCACUUUGAGUCACUCCCUAGUUCUAGAAAAGAGCUCUACUGACGGGGCUACUGGCUACUAUCCGAUUAGUAACGCGUGUUAGUGAUAAGUUUCAAGUUACACAACUUUCAAAUAACUUCGAAUUGCGUUAACAAUAACUCAGUUGUUUGCUUUCGUAACUUUCCGCCCGUUUAUGCAUAAACAAAAUAUUUUGGGGCUCAAUAUUUCCGAAAAAACAUUUUUCGUAAAAUUGAGAAAAAUCGGAUAUAUUUUAAAUUAUUUAAUAAAAUUGUUUUUUUUUUUUUGAAAAAAACUGGUGUUUCCUGGAAAAGUUAUAAAAUUUGUUGAAAAAAUGAUUGUUUUUUGUUGUGAUUUAGUUAAAAAUAUUUGUAGAGACUUGACAUUUUGGCAGAAAAUUUAUAUUUGCCCUUUUAUAGAAAUGGUAACAUUUUCAAAACAUUUGGGCCAUUUUGAGCUAUUUAUAGUCAUUUAAAUUAUGUGAGUUUUUUUAUGUAAUUUUUAUUUGGUAAGUACUCUGUGGGUAAUAUUGAUAGUCUAAAUAAAAUGCUUGAAAAUUUGACAGGAGGUUCAUUAUAAUAGUAGUAGUAAGUCAAAAAAAAAAAAAAAAAUUGAGUGUAAUCUAGUAUUUUUUUUUUUUUUUAAAGAGUUUUAAAAUUCAAUCUUUACGAAAAUCGUAAAUAUUACGGCCUUUCAAAACAUUUAUAAUCGAAAUUCUCCGAAUCGUUUUUUUUUUUUUUUUUUUUUGUAAUGAUUUAUUGUUGUUUACGAGUAUAAAUCAAAUAACUAUGUAUAUUUCCCGACUACCCUCCUACAACAUUGACCGUCCCGAUUCUCAGUUUUUUUUUUUAUUUAAACCCACGGUAGCUUUUCGCCGAUUACAUCUCACGUAGCCGGGGUGACAUAUGGCACACUAACUUCCUUGCAGUAGUUUCGGAUUGGAAAUUUAGGUUAGGUAAAUGGCUAUUCCGGCUCCUCGCCCCCCCCCCCGUCGAGUUAGCGAGCGAUCGGUGUCCCGCGCCAGCAUUCUGAACCCUUUUUUAUCGGGCAUUCGAUCGUAGACGUUUACACGGACGAAGAGAUAAUUGUUAGUGAUAAUUAUAGGAUAACUCUAGGAGGCUUUCACCCGCGGGAACACGAUUCGAAAUCCCGUAUUCAGGAGUACUAAAUUGGAAUGAAUUUAAUAUUAUGAUCCUAUAUCAUUAUUAUUGACGCAUAAUAUAUAUAUAUAUAUAUAUACGUAUUAUUAUUUUAAUAUUACCGGUAUUAUCGCCUACGAGCCGCCGCGGGGUCGUAUAAUAAAUCAACGCGGCUAAAUUAACUUUUUAUCGUCCGACACCAUCUCGGAGGUUUUUACGCGCGCGCUCGCUCAACACGUAGUUCGGACGUUAUCCCUCCGUAUACCUGAAUAUUGUAAUAUAAUUAUUAUUUCGGUGAUAAUAUCCAUUCAUUGAAUUAAUAUUAAUAAUAAUAAUAAUAAUAAUAUAGACGGUCCGCGGGCUGAAUACGAUUACAACGUUGUACGGCGGGUGAAAUUUUCGUUUUCGUAAAGUUUACGCGUUGUUGCAAGAGGCGGGUGUACGCAUAUACCUACGUCGUAAUAAUAUAAUAAUAUAAUAUUAUACGAUAUUAUUAUCAAAAGUUUAUAAAUUCGACUUUCGGCGCGUUUCGGUACGGAUACAUAUAUAUAUAAAGGCGGGCACGGGUAGGUAGGUGUAUACAGUAUAAAUUAUAUAAUACAGUUAUCUCGACUACCUCUACCUAUAGCCGGUGCCUAAUAAUAUAUAAUAAUAAUAAUAAUAAUAAUAGUACAUAAUAAUAAUAUUAUUAUUAUAUACUCUCGGAAUAAUAAUAAUAAUAAUAUACAAAGGAACCCGCGCGCUGCAAAAACCGCAGGAAUCCGCAGCCGUAGCACGGAGAAUAUCUCGGUCGGGUACAUAAUAUAAUAUUACGCGCGGUACCCAAAGCCCGGUGCCGUUCUCUAUACCGUGGUCGCGGCAAAUGGCAAUUAUUAUUAUUUUCCGGAAUCCGAAACAAUCGCGCAAAGUUUACGUACCCGCGAUACGGGACGCGCACGCCCAUACGCGCGACACGCGGCCGCGUCGUUUGUCCCGUCGGCGACGGCUUAUGACCGGGGAACGUUCGUUUUGAUAUUUGUGCACGGGACUCCCCGGACUCGGCGUUUUUAUCGCGUCAGAUUAUCGAACGGCGGGGCCGAAAGUCGCCGCGCCGCGCACCCGGUAUACUGUAUUCAGUGCGUACACUGUGCGCACGCGGAUACCUGCUGCACACGUGUUUUUCGCGUUAUCGAGAACCGCGGCCGCGGUGCCGUCAAAACGACUGCACGCGAAUCGGGCGAUUCACUAUUCCGCCGCAACAAAUCUCCGAUUGUAUACUUCGGUAACCCCUUGACGCGAACAAAUAUUUUUGCUCUUGUACUCGCAUGUUCAACAGCAUUAAAUUCGUCGUUUACAUGGUGUAUUUACACUUAUUGUUUCUCCAUUGCUUGGCUGGAAUAUGUUUCGUGAUUGUGUUGUCGCGUAUUUCUGUUGUUUUUAGAAAUUGUAUAAUUUUCAUCUGUGCACACUUUUGCCGUACAGAUUUUAGUCGGGCACUGUCGAAACGUACAAGUCUUUUAUUACACGAACCAAUUUGAAACUUUUACAAUUUUUUAAAAUCAACUGUUAUCACGUUUACUUUCCAUAUAUUUUCCGUAUAUUUUCCAUUGUGACAAAUGUAUUUGUUUCUCGAAAGCUUCAAUAUAAGCUAAAAUGCAAAAUCCUACAAUCGAUAAAACAUAAAACCUCUACAACACUUUACCUAAUCUUAACAGCAUUGUCGAAUAUCACAUGAGCUCCGGACAUGAUCCGGACAGUGAAAACUUUUUCUAACGUAACUCUUUUUAACUAAAAACUCUAUGUAUCGUAAAAAUUACUUAAUAGUGGUCGGUGUGAUUUAUAACCCAUGCAUUAGUAUUCUACUCCUUCUACUCUAUUCAACGAAAGAAGUCUCUUGGUACCUUAAGAUUUGUUAUAAGGUGUUUUCACUGUAUAAUAUUUCGUAUUUUCCAAUCCAUAAUAUAAUAUUUCAAUCCUUACAUUAAGGGGUUACCAAAUUAUAAAAACUGAAAUUUGUUGUGGCGGAAAAUGGAAUUACAAAUUAAUAUACUGGCGGUAAAAGGACUUGGCGAUAAACAGAUAGGUCGAUUUUGGUGGAAACCGGUGACGCCCUGCGAAACGCGUCUCGCAUCAAUGGUCCUUUCCGAGUUACGUUUCGGUUAAUUUUUUUGGGUGAUAUAAGUUGCGUCCUGAAUUUUUUUCGUGUGCAUACUGUAGUUACGUACUACUAUUUUUUUUUUUUUUUUUUAUAAAUGAUAAUCCCCUUACCGUUUUUACACAGACUUAGGAUCUACUUAGGUUCAAAAUAUCAUUUUUCUGGUGACAUUUAUUAUUCCGCCGGUAUUUUAUAAUUUCGUAACUACCAUAUGUAACAAAAAAACAAAAAUGUUAAAUAAAAACAUAUUUUGGUAUCAGUAAAUAAUCGGCCGAGUCACCGUCAACACUGCGAUGUGACAUUAAUACGGUGUUUGUACACGUCAUAACGCUGCACACAAAAUAAUUAGAAAAGUUAAAACGUAAUUGUUUAUACUAAUCGAUAAUAAUUACCUACUCGAUAAAACCUACUCGAUAAGGCCGUAUUAAAAUAUUAUUAUAGACAUGUUCACUAUCUGAGACGGUUGGGACGCAAUUAUUAUAAUAUUAUCUUUUUAUUCGGGAUGCAACUAGUGAGUAACGGUCAAAUAAAUGACGAUAAAUACAAUAUCACAUAGCAAUAUUUUUACAUGUCAAUAUAUUAUUAACACGUAUACGUCUUUUGGAAACUACCGCCGCCGCCGCCGUUCGACCUUAACCCGCGCUCGUUAAAUUUAUAAUAUUAUUAAUAUUAUAUUUUCCGCCGAUCGUUAGGAUAGCGAAAACCCGGAAAUACUGAUAAUAAAAUAUUGCGCAAUGCGGAUACGUUGGGCCGUUCUCGCCAACGUAAAAAAAGGCGUUUAUCGGAUUCUUAAACUCAGUUUAAAAUUCAACGUUUACGUUGGUGAGUGUUGGAUUCUAAACGCAUGGGUUUUCACUAUUAUAGUAUAAUAAUAUGAGGUGUGCGAUUUUAUUUUCUGUCUACAGUAAUUUUUGCUGUAGUAAUUUGUGUCUGUUUUUUUGUAAUUUUUGUUUAAUAAUUGAGAAAAAUCGGUAAAAACCGUAUAAGAAAAACGGACAAAUUUACGGAAAUAACGACUUCGUUGUUUUUUUUUUUAUUAUUUUUAGUAAUAAGUGGCUGCAAAUAAUCUUAUAAACCGAAAACGUUCACAAAACCCUUCUAUUAUCCGUUUCUAAACGGGUUACAUUCAAGCAAUUUUCGAUAUAUUUAUAGGCGUUUGACAUUUUCGAGUUUUUAAUAUUUUACUGCGUGAGGACAAGGCUUUACCCGAAUUCGGUUUCUAUUUAGCCUCUUAUUAUCAACAUGAUAAACCGUGUACGGGUCGUAAAUCUCUGUACCGUAAUAAACUCGUAUUAUCUUUGUAGUAAAACGGGGUGAGGUUGGAUGCGCAAAACGUAUCAUUGUAUAAUGAUUUAAAUAUAAAAUUAGUUAAAUCUAAACGGGGUGUUUAUUUCCGUUUUAUUGUUGUUGUUGUUGAAUAACGUAAUGAAAUAACGUCGUUAAUUGCAAAAAAAUAAAAAUAAAAACCUAGUAUGAAUUUUUAUUAUGCACGGAUCGUUUUAAAAACGAUGAUCGUGUAUUAUACUAUAGAUAAGUACUUAUUAAUUUGUUAAUUAGCCAAGUAACUUUACGGUGAUCGAGUUUGCGCAUUAUACAUUUUAUAAAAAAUAAUUAUUAAAUACCCGAUGGUCGUGUGUAAUGGUUUAUUUGUCAUAUACAGUUCAUAUAUGACACUUGAGAGAUUUAAGUGUAUACAUUGGGUGUUCUUAGAGUUUAUUACGAUCCGACGGUUAUCUACGAAAAUGCUGAGUAAAAUGUUUAUUUUAUCAUGUUACUCUCAUUCUAUACAGUAUGCGCAAUAAACACAAAUAAACUUUUUAACUUCCAUAAAUGGCAAUCCCGGACUGUUUUCGAACCUGAAAAUUCGAAAAAUUAAUGUUUUUCUAAAUAAAAUUUGAUAUAAUGGACAUCGCAACACUAAUAAUACAAUAAUAAUUGAAUUUACCUUUUAUGAGUUAUACCCAUGGCAGUUAUAAUAUUUAAAAAUUAGCAAAAUAAGCAACAUUGCAAUAUAUUUAGAGAAACAUUUGCUCUUUAUGUUUGUAUUGAAAUCGUGUCGCACCAGUUGGCAGAUACCUCGAUUUGUCAACACAUUAAAUGAAUAAAACAAAAUAAUGUUUAGUAUAAUAAUAUAUUAAUUAAAAUUAUUUGUAAAAACCGCGAAUAUUUUUCAAAUUAUCUAUCUAUAUAAAAACUAUAUAAUAAUAAUAAUCUCAUUAAUCUCAUUUUUUGACAUUUUAGCAUUUGAUUCUUUCCGAGUACUACAUCGACUUCAACAAUUAUCAAUACAUUUAUAAUAGUGGUUAUGACCUAUAUUUCUAUCUUGUUUGUGUAAAUAAUUAUGCAAUACUAAUAGUUAGCUAUCACAAUCAGAAUUUAUUAAAAAAACACGAUAUAUUAUUAAAUAACAAACUGACUAAGUACUAACGAUGCAAUGACUACUGGGUAACUGUAACUGACAUUAAUAACACCUACAUAUUCUUUAUUUCUUUCGUGAUAGCAUUGGUAUUUAAGAUAACAUUAUCGUCAUUAUCAAUCACUUUGUUCACGAGCCGGUAGAUGAGAUGUGGUUGUUAUCAGUGAUGUCAUCGCUGAUGUCAUCAUAUAUUAAUUAAUAAGGAAUAUAAGGAUCGUAGUAUAGUUUUAUCAAUAUUUUGAUUGUAGAUAGCAAUAUUCUUGAUUUCCACUAAACAUUUAUUUUUGUUUUAUAGAAAACUUUAAUUUGUCAGUGAAUUAGAAAUGUUUCUAUAACUACCGAAUACUGGUUUACACGUCAGCGAAACGAGCACUCGGCGAAUCGGGCUUAAAUCUUUGAAAUGUGGUGAGAGCCACGGAGAAAAAGGGUGGUGACCAUUUAAAAAUCAAAAGCCAAUAGAAGUAGUAGUAACAACUUGAAAACAGUGUUCAAAUAAAGCUUUAAAAAAUCGUCAAUGAUUUCGAACUAUACGGAAAUAAAAUGCAUUCAAAACAACCCGAAAAAAAAUCUUUGAAUGAUGAUUAACAAAAAAAAAAAAAACAUUGUCCUGUAUAGAUAAUAUAAACAUAUUCGUAUUAGUAGGGAUAUGUUUAUUUUUUCUUUCUAAGAAUAACGCUGGUUUUAGAAAAGUGAAUGAUGACGUUUUUCGAGAUAACACACCGUCGUACAAUCAUGUGCUCCUCUUAAAGAAAUCGUCGGGCGUUUAUGUUUGGUAGAAAAAUAUAAAAACUCAUCUCGGAUUCGGAACUCAAACAUACCCUAGUACCAGUGAAUAAAAAUACGGUUUUUGUGGGCCAAAAUGGGCUGGCAAAUUCUGAAUUACUAGUAAGUAAUUAACUUAAGGUUAAUACAUAAGGUUAUUUCAUUUAUAUCAGUAAGCAACGAUAAACCAUUGUUUGACGAAAGACGAUUACAAGCGCAGUUCGGUAAUAUAUAAUUUGAAUUAUUUUAACACACGUAAUUUUUUUUGCGAUUUUCGUUUAAAUUUGAUUUCAAAACUUAUUAAAAAAAAAUUGUUGAUUUUGAAAAUUUCACCACGUCUAGGUAAGUCCAAUAUAAGUAUUAUUACCAAAUUUCAAGUUUCUACGUUUAUUUAUAACCGAAUUACAGCAAAAAACUUCCAAAAAUUAAAACUACUUAAAAGCUCAAAAUUUUUGGCAAUGAUACCGUAAGAAAGUAAAUCAAAAAGGCAACAAAAAAGGUAUUUUGUGAUUUUUCGAUUUAAUAAAGUAUUCUGGUAGAAAACGCCGUCCGUGUUUUUAUAAAUUAAUGAAAUCGUGAAAUUUAUUGUACAUUUUCCUAUCUUUUUUUCCAUUUAAGCUCUUUUAUUUAAGAAAUGGUGUUAAAAAUAAAAAAAACGACUUCUUUAAAGUACAAUCUAGAUAACUCGAGCUUUCAGAAAAGAUGAUAUCCGUCAAAAUUGGAAUAAGUUUACUAGGAUUUGUCCACAGAUUAGAAAAAAUAAAUAAACAUCAUUGUAAAACCAAUAGCUCCCUGCUACGCUUAGAUUCUAAAAAUCAUUAAAAAUAUAGAUACACUUUAUCUAAAUUUAAUACUGAUUUUAUAUUAUGUAAGUUUUUAAAAUAUUUCGACAAUUUAAUAAAAUAUUUUGGUCAUAAUUAUAUAAAAAAAAAAAACUUAAAAUUCAAUUUGUUUGUAAAACCGUUUUUUUUCUUCAAAAAGACACUUUUUUCUAGAAAUUGUAAUCCUUUAAUUAAACGUCCGGGAGAAAAACUAUGUGCCAUAAAUUAUUGAUAACUUUAAACAAUUUAUUCAAACAAUUUAAUUCCGUUAGUAAAAAUUAUUUUUUACAUUAUCUCUCCCAAAUGGAUGAUAUUAUUUUAACAUAAUCAUAGAUGCCUCGUCUCCUCUCAAAUAGUUUCUAAAAAUACUAAUUAUAAUUGUAAACCACUAAUUUAAUCAAACAAUAUUUUACUUGUAAUAUAUGAAAAAUUAUUUAACCUAUUUAAAUUAAAUAUCCACAAAUAAGUAAAAGUUUUUAUUUGUAAUUUGUUUAAUAUUGAAAUCUGUUGAAGCGUAUCAAAUGUAAAAUGGUACCUAGUUUAAAUAUUUCCAACAAAUAUUUAUAAUAUAAAUUAUGUAUUAUAUAUUAUAUAUGUUUAAAUACUUUUAAAAUAAUUAUAAAUAUGAUUUAGACAGUUAUUAAAAAAUACAUUCUGAAUACAUUUAAAAAAGUAACAACAAGACUGUUUCUGGUGUAAUAAUUUUAUAGUGCACAUCUUUAUUAAUAUGUUGUCACUAGUUAUCAAACAAAAAAUUAAAAGGGGGGAUAUUCCACCCUAACUCCCCCCCCCCUCUAUCCGUGAACACGCCCGUGUAUAUCCGUGUCAAGGAUGCGUUCGUAUUUUUCCGGACUUGAUUUACCCGCAUGACCCAGAGACCUCCCGACGAGUACCUACUUAUUGUAGUGUAGUAUACCGUGUAUAGCCUUAGUUUUUUUCUCGUAUCUACGGAUGAUGAAUACCGAUUCAAUAUGGAUAAAAGAAAUAACAAAUUUAAUCAAAUGAAACUGAUAACCAAUACGUAUUUUUGUUUUUUUUUUUUUUUUAUGAGUUAUUAUUUUAAUUUUCUUUUUUCUUUUUCCAAAUAUAUAACAAUAGUAAUUGGUUUCAGUUGUGAUUCGCCACGAGCGGUACCGUAGGCUGAGGACGUUCGAGAUGGGGAAGGGGGAUUCGCCGUUAUGAACUCCUGUCCAAAAAAAAUCUCAUCACUGACGACAUCGUCGUCGUGACAUUGUUAAAUUAUUUUAGGUGUAGAUACAAAAAUUAUAAUUAUUUUUAAGAAUUUUUUGUUUUAUUAUUAUUUCAAUAACAUAAUAAUAAUAUCAUUAAAAUUAUCUCGUGUACAAAUAUAAUUAACGAAAACAGUUUUUUUCUCUAACAAAUUGAAUUUAUUAGAUUGUUAUUUAUAGCGCGUUACACGUCAAUUCGUGUUACUUUAAAGACAGAGAAAAAGAAACGUUCAUCAUUGUCUAAGAUCACAGAAUUGAAUGUUAUUGUUUUAAGUAUUUGUAGUACAAUACUUAUUUUUAAUUAGUAAUUAUUUAUAUUUACAAUCUGUUAUUACGUUAUCGCAGAAAACGGUUUGAAGAAAGCUUAAAUAGCUUAAGAAUUUAAAUUGUUAAUAACUCAUUUGUCCUAUCAGCAGCUUGCUUAAACGGAUAAAUACAUUGUAUUGCAUUGUAUUUUUGUUUUUAAUGUACAAAAGUCUGUAAGUAAAAAAAAUAAUUGUUCCCAUAAAUAUAUAUUUUCUUUUGAACAUUUUGAAUUCUAUGUGAUAAAAAUGUUUUAGAUUAUAUAGUAAUAGUAAUAAUUGAUAUGCAAUUACUAGGUACAGAAUUGUUUAUUAUUUUCUAAAUCUGUAACCGAUUUCUCAUAUGAAAACCCGCGAUAGUUCGUGAGAUAGCUUAUGAGACAAUCUCAUAUUAAGACUCCUUUUUGAAAUGAAACUUUCCUUUUUAUUUCUACUCAUUUUUGGCUCGUCUCUGUCGUGCAUUAUUCGAAGACCCGUGUAUUGUAAAGGUAGUUGUAUACGAUUUCAUUAUUAUUUUAAGUUGACACAAAAAAUAAGCGAUUUAUUUUGUUUUUCUCUUAUUUUUAUACUAUUUCGACUAUUCUUUCUCCCUUCGAAAGUAUAUUUUAUUUCCCUUUUCUAAAAAAACAUAUUUUGAAUAUCUAUACAUCCCUGAAAAAAAUCAUAGAAAUACUUCAGCGUUCUCUAUACCUAAAGAACGACCUUAUUGUUUAAAUACGAACAUAUAAUAUGAUACAAAAAAAAAAUUACCCAGAGUAAAAUUUAUUUUUCCCUUCCAUCCUUACGGGAGUAAAAAAAAAAUACACUGGUAUUAUACUUAUUAGUUGUAUUUCUUGGAAGGUCUAUAAACUGCAUUAUUAUAGGCUAGUAAUAUUUAAUAUACAUAAUAUUAUAAACUGCCAAGGGCCACAUGAAAAUAAUUCUGGGAUUAUAAUGAAUCUCUGACCUAUAAUAAUAUUAUUGAACGAAAAUAAAUAAAAACGUAAUAAUAUUUAAUGUCGAAAAUAUAAUCUGUAUUAAUGAUGUCACUAAAUAAUAUUUUUUUACAGAUAGUUAUGUGUUCUUUUGUUGAAUUUCCCUUGAAAAUAGAGACUAUUGAUCGUAGUAAAAUGGAUUCUCAAAAUAUUUUAGCUGUAGUAUUAGAUAUAGUAAAUAAUGAUGUUGAAAAUUUAGGUAACACAAAAUGUUUGUGACAGUUUGUCAUUUUGCAAUAAAUAAUAAAAUAAUUAAUAAGCAAUUUAAAUUUUUGUUUGGAAAAUAUAAUCAUAAUUUAAAUUAAUAGUACAAAUAUAACAUUGUUUAAUAAUAGUAAUAGUUAGUUUAAUAUGUACCUAUUUGUUAUAUUCUAUAAUAAUACUAUUGUAGUUUAUAGUCUAUACUUUAUGUGCAAAUACGUAUAUCAACAUUACUAAAACUGUGUUGUGAGUGUUAACAUUCACGAGUAAAUAUUUACAUUUUUUUUCAUUUUUCAACAUUCACUAAUUUAGGAGGUGUAUAUCGACAUUAACCAGUGACUGUCAGCAUUCAUCAAUUGCGGACAUUCACAGUAGGUAACUUAUAUAUAUACAUAUAUCAUACAUUUUAUAUUUAUUUAGCGACGAGAUGAAAAUUUAAAACAUUUGAAUUUUGAGGCGAGAUUUCUGGUAGUAAAUAAAAUAGAAAAUAUUAAAAACACUGAAAUCGGUAACGCCAUAAUUGUUGGUUUUUUCUCCAGGUUUAUCCUAUUAUUAUGAAAACCACUUGGAAAAUCGAAAAACUGAUCUGCCGAUGUACCAACUAGAUCUAAAAUGCGGCAAAAAAUGUCUUGUGUCAUUUUUCAGUUGGAGCAAAAUUGUUGGUAGAAAAGUCGUUCGUGUAGAGAAAAGAAAAAUAACCAUUCACAAUUAAUAAUCAUAGUUUAACAUUGGUUUUACUAGCUAUGCUCAAAAUCUAAAAUAAGCACAAAUAUUAAAAUAAAUAAAUUCCUCACCAUACCCUCAGAAUCUAAAACUAAUAAAGCUGUAUUGUGCGUCUGCUUUAGUUAUAAUAAUCAUACAACAUCACUAUAUUAAUACUAUUUUAACGCGUACGAUAAUAUAAGUUUAUAUAGCACUUUGGUUGUGUUCAGAACACUCGGCAUUAUAUUUAUAUACGUUAUGCGUAUAGUAGUAUAAUAAACAUAAAAUAUUAUCGUUAUGACACUCACGGCUUAAUAAUAUUCUCGUUCUCUAUUUUACACGCGGUUUAACGGUCUGAAAUUGUUCGGAUAUACAUAAAGAUGAUAUGAUAGUAAGAGAGAGGUAAAAAAAUAAAAAUAAAAAAAUACCUACGCUUUAUCUUAUUAUAAUACAGACAGUGGUGUAUUUAAAGGUAUAAUAAAGAGAGCAACUAAAGCUUUAAUAAAUAUUUCGUACCGUAAAUAAUUAAAAGAUGAUUUUAAAAAAAAAAAAUGGUUUAAGAAAGAUAGGUACUAGGAUAUACUUGUAUAUUUAAAUAGAUAAAUUAGCGUUGAUAUAGUGCUGACGGAUGUGCCACUGGUAUAUAGGUAUGUAUAGUACGAAUGGUACGAUAUGUAGCAGCAGUGCCCUUUAGAUUUUAAACAGGAGCGCAAACAUUUAAGGGGGACUAGUUAAAUUUCUUCAAUAAACUACUUCAACUACAGUGAUACUCACUGUCAUCGAAUGAAUUUUAGCCAAAGCACAGUUCCAGAUUAAUUUUUAUCAGACAAUACUAUUUCCUUAUCAGACGAAACGAGUAGGCAAGAUUCAUAUCAGUGAACACCUAUUUCAAAAUAAUCGUUUCUGGUUUAAGGUUUGAUUAUUUAAGUUAAUAAAGUGUCUUUAAGUUUCCAUCCUAAUUUACAAUAAUCAGUUUGGUUUACAAUUAUCAAGUCUAAUGGCUUAAAGUCAAUAAAAUUAUAUGUCCAUUUGUAAGUUUGGCUUAUUUCCAACAGUGAUUGAAAAGUCAUAAUAACGAGUUGUAAAUUGUGACUAAUAUUUUUAUACCAAUCAAAUACUGAAUUCAAAAUGUUAUAUUUAAAUUAAAUCCAUUAAAAUCAGCAUAAAUUAUUACAAUGGAUUCCGUUUAAUAUGAGCACGUUGGGACCAGUUACAUUUGCCCACAUUAAGCGGUUUCCCAUUUCAACUUAAAUGAGUGUCUUUAUACAUUAGAGUCGGGACCAUUAUGCCCGUAUUAGGUGAUUGGCCAAAUUAAGCGAAAUCCAUUGUAUUUACACAGUAUAUCAUGACAAAAUUACAGAAAAUAAUAUAAUCAGGUGUUCACUGAUAAAAAAAACUCUCUUAUUUAUCUAUCUGAUAAUAAUUUGUGUGGAAAUAUACUAUGGUGAAUUUUAAUUAGUUGACUUCUGGCUUGCUCAUAUUUAUUGUUCAUAUUUAGACGAGCUCUGCUGAAUAUUGGCUUACAAAUCGGACUUCCGUGGUUAUGGGACGAGAUAACUUACAUGUUCCGGAAUGUAGGAAUUUGUUCCCAAACCUAAAAGGGUUUCACUAAUUAUAUAAAUUAUAUACUUACAAAAACUAUUAUUUACAUUAGAACUAACGAUGAUUUUAUUUCGGUUCAUUCACUUACUUAUUGGAACUAAUUUCAUGAUAUAGAAAAAAAAAAGGUCUUGCAAGUGCACUUCACGUCCCCUUUCAACAGUGCCCCUUAUAGAGUAAUUCAGUUGUUUAAUGUUAUAUAUAUAUAUACAAUAAAAGUUUUUUAUAAACCGUUUUUGUGUCAAAAAAUUUCAUCCAAAGUUCAUAUCGGAUUAACAUAUUUUAUUAUACGAACAUCACGUGUAAAAUAUUUUGUCUUCAAAUUAUUGAAUAUUUAAUCAUUCACAUAUAUGUAUAAAAUAUACACGUAGGUAUUUUUACGAAAAAUACGUUGACGACUGCGUUACAUAUUAUUUCCGUAAGACCUGUUUCGCGUCGAUUAUUCAAUCGAGUGAUAUUCAUUUUUGGUAGUUCUAAUCAAAAUGUCUGACAAAAAUAACGGUACUUACAGUAACUCGAAUUUAAAAAGAAAAUAUAAUUGGAAUUUAAUAAAUUUGUUAAUACUCAACAGUAUAAAAGACGUCAUAGGAUAGUGAGGACAGGUGCAGUCAUUGUUGUUGGUAAUUUAAUGUAAAUCUGUAAGCAAUAAUAAACCAUUUCUUACGAAAAAAAGAUUCUGAGUGGAGUUCAGUUGCUAGUGAUGUUUUGUCAACAAUAUAUAUGCCAUAUUAUAUUAAAAUAAUUAAAUGGGCUAUACAAAUUUUCUUUAUUAUAUAUAUUUAAUGUUGUACCGAUUUCUCCGGUUUCCUACUUUUUCCUAUGUUUUUCCCAGUUUUUUGUAUAAAGUGCCUCCCUACACCGAUUUGCUUUCAGAAAAGUUGCUGCACGUAAAUAUUAGAGCAAGUUCUCUGGUAAAAAAGCCGUCCACAGAACAAAAAAAUAUAUAUCUUUGUAAAACCAUAAGCUUCUUCGCUCCGCUCAGAAUCUAAAAAACACUGUAUACGAAAAACAUUCUACCACCAAAAUCGAGUAAACUUAUUUAAGAAUACAUAGAUCUUUAUAUAUAUAUAUGUAUUUUAAAUCGAGCCAUAGUAAAUGCCUCAAUAUUUGUGUCAGCUGUUUAAGACUUUUAUGAGGAAAAUUGCACAGAGAGUGCAAUCCCCUCAAGGUAGACAUAUAUACUCGCAGAGGACUCGCGCGGGUUGGUUACUGUAUAUUAUAUCGACGAAAAAUUCGGAAAGAUCGAAAAUUCGAUUUCAUAAACUUUUUCGGUCCGCCGUUUCCAUAUACGCUCGUAUAGUAGAAGUGUAAUUGGUAGUUAUAAUAAUAAUACCAUCCGGAAAGUUUUCGUUCCUACAAAUUUGGUCGUAAAACUUGCACGGUGACAGCAGCGCCGUUGAUCACACCUGUAUACGAGGCAUUUUUUUUUUUUUGUUUUUUAUAUUUCUUUUGCUUUUUUCAUACCACCAUAAACACUAUAAUCUUUCACGGUGCACCGUUAAAUAUUUAUAACAGAAAACGCUCGGGAUAAAGAUAGUAUACGUCAGCAAAAUUACGAGAGAAAACUCCUCUGCUUCUUCUUCUUCUUCGUAUACUAUUAUUAUUAUUUUGAAAUUUUUAUUUCGGUUUCUCUCGCUGCCUUAGAUAAUAAUAUAUAUAUACGCGUAUAAAUGUCAUAUAUUAUUAUAUUAUAUAUAUAUAUAUAUAUAUAUAUAACUUCCCCAUAUUAUAGGACAGUCUGUUUUUUCGCACCUCGAAACCACGUGUUUUUAUUCGGUCCGUUAUGAAUUUCUUGAGAACGCAAUAAUUUGACGCACUGAAACGUGGUCGAAUGGUUACUGCAGUAUUAUGUGUUCCAUAUAACUUCGUACCUACAUAAUCCCUAAAUAUAUGUAUACAAGUAACGAGGGAGGGGGGAGGGGCUAACAGAAUCGGAAAAUUCAAAAUCAGGAAUAAAUAUUAAAUUCAGAAACGCUAUUUUCGAGGAAUAUAAUUAACCAAGAAUGAUUUUUCUUGGGAAUAUAGAAAUUUGAGAAUGAAAAAUUAUUGGGACAAUUAAAAUUAGAAAAAUAUUUAACGCGUGGAAAAUUUAUAAAAAAGAUAAAAAUUAGGAUAUUCAGAUCAGUUUUAUACAUAACUGGUAGGCUCCAUGAUCUUAUCGAACAUUUAUGGAAAAAGAAAUUUUGUAUCUAUAUUUUAGAUUUCGUUUAGGUUGGGUUACCUAAAUUAACCUAAUUUAAGCUCAAAUGUAUUAUUUAAUUAUUUUCAAAAGGCCCUACCCAUUAAUUAUUACAAACAUAAAAUUAACAAAUAACAAUAGUCUAAAAUAUAGAUAAACAUUUUUUUUCCCGAAAAAUCUUUGAUAAGAUAAUGGAGCCUACCAGUUACGUAUAAAACUGAUUUGAAUAUCCUCCUAAUUUUUAUCUUUUCUAUAAUUUUUCCACGCGAUAAAUAUUUUUCAACCCUGUCAACUAACCUAACGUAUGGUUAGUUGACAGAGUUAGGUUAGACAAAUUAUUGUCACUUCUAUUAUUUCUAAUACGAAACGAAUGAAAAUAAACUAUUUUUAAUUUCUUAAUUUUUAUCGUUCCUGUAAUUUUUUAUUCCUAAAAUUAUAUAUUCCUAAGAGAAACCCUUCCUAGUCAUUUAAAUUCACGUGAAAUAUCAUUCCUGUAAUUGUCUUUUUCAUAAUUCCCAGACCCUUGUACUUUGAUUCCUUUAUUUAUAUUUUCAUACAUUUUUUUAAAAAAUUAAUAAUUAAAUAUUUAAAAAAAAAUAAUUUUUACAAAAUCCAAGAUUAUCAUUAUAUAAAUAUAUUUCGAACACAAAUUUUGUAUUUUAUAAUUAUUUAUUUUCUCACUUUUAGGAUAAGUAUAUUAAAAGGUUUUCAUUGUUAUUAAAUCAUUUUUAUCGAUUUACCACUUUUUCAAUAGAAACAAAUAUUUUUUAAGAUUUUUGUAAACCUCAAAAAAUUAUAAAAACUUAACGAUUCAUCAUUAAUAAAUAUUUCCAACAGUAAACUAUUUUUUCAAAAUAUUUUUUAUAUAAUGAUUAUCUUGGAUUUUUUAAAAAUUUGUAAUUUUAGUUUUGCAAAAAAUAUAAUACCUAAGUAGAAAAUAGAUGAUCCAUAGUAUCUAUAGUAAUACUCUAGAUAUUGUAACAAACAAUUUUUUUAUGAAAACUACAAUGUCAAUCAAAAUAUUAUUUUCUCAUCAGCUGUACAAAAUUUACUUCCGGAAACUGACCCCCGAUUUUGAUGAUUGGAUCAAUAUUCCGGAUAUUACUUGAUGGUACAACGUUACUAAUUUUUGUAACAAUUGUUGUCACUGUACAGCUUUAAAUUCGAAUACUUUUAAGAGUAUUAUAAUGUUUUUACUCGAAUUACAUUAUUUUUCUGUUUUGACCGGCAACUAUUGUUAUAAAUAUAUAAACUGCACCUAUCUAUAGUUUAAAAAAAAAAAAUCAUUCCAGUAUUUCCGGAUAAUAUAUUUUUUCGCGUUGGUGUUUUUGUUUACGACAACGCAUGCGGCCAAUCCGAGUUUCGUAAUAACUUUCCAAUUUCACAUCUGCAGCUAGUAUAUAUAAUAUAAACUUGUCUCGCCCUUUGUAUUAUAUCGUUUACGUUUCGACGACGGUCAUAUUGAAAGUUCAGUCGUCCAUCAUCAGUGUUUAGUGAUUAGACCCAAGACAAAGUCUGUUAUAUUUUUUGUUCUGUUAACUUCACACUCUGUCAUAUUCCACACGUAAUCACUAAACAUAUUUAACGGCACCACGGAUGAAAUAACACGUAUAUAAAUUUAAUUUUUUAUCGUUUCUGCAUUAAAAUUAUUAUUAUUAUUAUUUUUUUUUUUUGAUAUCGAAUGUAGCAAAAAAGUUAUUUCUUUCUCUUAAAUUAUAUUUUUUUAGGAAAAACUUUUUAUGAUUAGUAAAAAUAUUCAGAUUUUUACGUAGUAUUUUAAAAGAUGCAGAUAUUUUCCUUGAUGUUACUUUAUUAUUUAAAACAGUUGUUUUUUGAGAUUCCUAAAACUUUUUUUUAAAACAUCGUACUUUAUAUUUAUUUGAAUAAAAUACUUUUGAUGUUUAAAAUUUUCCGAUUUUUUUUAUGCAGAUUCUUAAAAAAAUGUAAAAUUUCAACCUAUUUCAAAAAAUUUUUUAUAUAAUAUAUUAAUAAACUUUCAACAAAAAUAUAUAUUUAUAAAUUGGUUUUAUUUUUUUUUUUUAAUUGCAAUGAUUUAUUGCUGAUUUAAAUUUAAAAGUUAAAUUACCUGCCUAUAUUCUAUUGGUUUUUAACUCCACAAAAAGGUUACAAGUGUUAAUUUAGGGGGGUCACCAAAAACCAUAAGUAUCAUGUAUACUGUGUAUCCCAUUAUUCUAUUUCUAUUAAACAAUUGCUGAAGAGCGCUUUACAUGAAAAAAAUAUUAGAGGGUUACAAUUUGUAAAAGGUUGAAAAUCACUGCUAUAUCCUACGCCUUUCGAUCUUCCCAUCUACUAUAACAGGUGUUGUGAAAUAUGUCCUGUCUUUUUCAUAAUAAUACUAUCCAAUGAGUACGAGAGUUCAUAAAUAUUAUCAAAUUUAAAUCAAAUAUAAUUUUAUUUUUAUUUACUUUUUUUUAUAUAAUAAUUACAUCUGUUGACGUCAAACGUUCUUUACUGUCCUACUCAUUCGACUCUAUCCCGCGUGUUUCAUUUUUAUAUAAAGAAAACCUUGACAGUUCAUGGUCUUUAUAUUUGCCACAUAGUUGUUAUUAUUAUUAUUGUAUCUAAAAAUGACAAUAACAGCUUGUGUGGUUUUUUCCUAAAUAUCCAGUCAUUUCUGACACAAUGUCUGAGCCAAAGUCGUUUUUUAUUCAUUUUCGUGAACAUUUUUUUACUAGUUCUUUGAACCAAAAUUGAAUUUCAUUCGUGACAUGCACAGUAAGUACAUACACUGUUUAUAGAAUAUUAGCACUAAGAUUCUCCGUUAGGAAAUUCAAUUUUUUAUAUACUUCUCAAUAAUUUGUGAUACCCUUAUUAUUAUUACUUUUUUUAUCAUCGAAAAAUAUAAUAUGCUUAACACAAAAUAUUAAAUAUAAUCUGGUUAAUUUAUCUCAAAAAGAGUUGCUUUUAGUGGGACAAAUGAGUUAAAAAACCAUAAAUGGUUUAAGCUUUACAUACACAAAUGAGAAUACAGCUUUUAAACAAUACAAAGAUUCACAAAUAUACACUAUUAUAAUUUACAGCAAUUAAUUUAUUAAUUUUUUUAUUGAAUAUAAUAUUAUAUUUAAUGUUAGUACUAAGGAAAAUACUUUUCUUUAUUUUUAAAGGAAGUGAGUUGAAAUUAACUGAACCCAGGUAAUCAACGAACCUCUAUCCAAAUUUUAGAUUCUGAGAAGAAGGAGGAAUGUAUUAGUUUUAAAUUAUUUUUAACAAUUUUUCUAUUAGAAAAUUUGCUCUGAUUUUCAAGUUUAGUGCAUUUUUUAAAAGAAACUUUGACUGGAUUUAAAAACGUAAUUUUUAAUUUUCUCAGGUCUUUUCAUAAUAAAUGAAAAUAAACGUAGAAAAAAAGUGAAAAAUUAAGAAAUGUAUUAUUUUCAAAUUGUAAAUAUUACGGUUUUUCAAAACAUUUAUAGCCGAAUUCCAAUCAGAAUCGUUUUUUCGUUUGCAAUAAUUUAUCUUUGCGUACAGACUUUUGUUGAGUUAUUAAUCUUGUUUUUAAUAUAGCAGUUCGAUUUUUUGAUUUUCAAAUAGUUUUCAUAGUAAUUAUGUAAAAACGUACAAUUUCACGACAUCAUUAUUUUACAUUAAUACGGAAAACGUUUUAUUAAAAACGGAAAAGUGCUUUAAUCAAAAAAUGACAUGAAACCUUUUUUUUUUUCAUUGUACAUCUUGUUUUUUAUGACACAAGUCGUUUUUUGAUUUCAUAUUGAUUUGGAAAAACCAGAAGAGGACGAAGUUGUUGUAAUUCAGUUAAAAAUAUUUGUAGUGACUUUAAAAUUUUACAGAAUGGUUACAUUUCAUAGUUUAAAUUGCACCAGUGCAUACUACAUAUCAAAAAUUGGACAAAAUGUUGAUAAUUUCAGCUAUAAUUGCCGGCAAUUUAAAAUCCGGGAAAUUUUCUAUCCGCUUAAUGAUUAUACUGUUUUUAAUAUUAAUGAUAACAGCACUUAUUUAAAUAGUAAAGUUGUUUUUUGGUGAUUAAGUAAAAAAUUACUGCACUUUAAAUUAUAUACAUCACUAAACUGCGCUUAAAAUCGUCUUUCGCCAGCAAUGGUUUAUCGUUGCUUAUAGAUAAAAAUGAAAUAACCUUAGGUAUCCUACUUUCCCAACUUUCCACCUUCAACAGUGGCUGCACCCCUCCCCAUUAAUAGCUUUUUUUUUUAUUUGUGUACUUUAUACAAACGUCAUAAUAUGACGUUUGAGCAUAUUAUGCUCUAAGACAAUGUUUUAUAUGUUUGGAAACAUAUAAAAUAUCUAUUUUAUAUAAAUGAAUACGUGUGUUUGUCCUUUAUGCAUUUAUACACCCAAUCAUCAUGUAAUUUUGAGAAGUAAUUGAUUACAUUCUCACGAAGGUUUAUAGCUAUUGAAUGUUUUUCUCUAAAAUUAGGUUUUUUUUUUAUAUAAGUAUAAAAAUCAAAUUAUUUUUGUUGAUAAAUGAGUGAAAAAUGGACGAAAAAUAAAUUAUUCUUAUUAAUUUUUGUAGCGCGAUUUGUUUGCUAUGCGGGUAUCUAUAAUAAUAGCAUAAUAUAAUGAUGCUAUUUUAUUUAUUAACUUUAUUUAGAAACUUUUGUAUUGCAUGGACAAUGUCGAGCGGGAUAGAUUGUAACUUAUAAAGAUCUCUAAUUGACAGUACUUUAAAUUUAAAUUAUUUUUAUAUUAUUAUAUAUUUAAUAAAUAAUUUAAAUUUGAUGACCCUUGUAUUUUAUUUUUGUUCAAACAUAUUCUAACAGCUAAAUUGUAUUACAUUAUUGAGAGUCUCAUUACAUUUUCCGCACACCCAUUUCAGAUAAUUAUACUAUACUGCGUAAUAGACUUGUAUAAAAAUUUACAUACAGUAUACAUGAAUUUAGUAGGUAAAAUUUUUUUUUGUUUUGUACAAUUUUAAGAUUACUGAUCUCAGGUGCAUUCCAAUAUUCUGAAUAUGUCAAAUCCUUCUCAAAUUCUAGUUAAUUUUUUUUUCUAUUUAGAGUUGGUAUUUACUCGCUGUAAGUUAUCGAAUUAAUACCAAACAUAUUUUUGUUUUAGUUUUAGUCUCAGUUUUAUGUCAUUAGUUUCAUUAGUUCUUGUAAUCUUAUAUUAUUGGUUUUUUACAUAUCAAAAAUAUCAAUUUUUAGAAUUUGGUAUCCCGGAAUUUUGUUUUUUUUUUUAUAUUGGCGUGAUCUAUAUUCUAUAUCAGCGGUUCUCAACCAUUUCAUAUCUGCGUGCCAUUAACACAUUUUGAAAUUUUUACACGUACCACUUGAUGCGAUUAUUAACUUGUUUUUUUACUUAUCAAAAAAUAAAAUGUGUGCAGUAUUUUACAUGCUUACAUAAAGCUUUUUAUUAUUAAAUCUACCCUAUUAUAUAACUAUUUAUUACUAAAAGUAAAAUUAAAUAUGUAUGGUAUAGAUAUUAUUUUUAUUUAUAUGUAUGGAUUGAUAAACUGCAUUUUAACAAAUAACUCUUUUUUUCAAUUAUAUUGAAACAGAUAUUUAUAGCUACCAUGAUAAAACCGUAAAAUGAAAUCCGGCCUUCUUAUUCUUGCACCAGAUAAUUAUGAAUAUUUUUCGAUAACGUAAAUUACGUUAUUAAUUAUUUAUGAACAUAACGAAAUAUGACUUUCUUGUGUUAAAGCAUUAACGAAUGUGCAGUAUUAUUGCAAUAAUACUAAAUAGUCAGAAAAUGGUUUUCCAAAAUUGUUUACAGUUUUUGAUAUACGUUUAAGGUUAGUGGCCCGGCCACCAUGCACCGACGGUGCGGUGUAUCAUACAGAAAAAAUGAAAUGUUUAUUUUUGCUCCUUUUCUAUAGUAAAAUGUUUUUUUUUCCAGUUCACUUUUCAAAAUUGUCAACAUUCAAUAGCGUGCUUUUGUAAUAGAUAUGUUGAUUUAAAAAUAUUAACAUAUUAUAUACGAGUAAAUACGUAUGCGAUAAAUAGUUUCUUAAUAAUAUAUAACUGUUUAAGUCCCUGGAUACCUCUAAAUAUAAUCUUUCAUCGGCGGAUAUUUUCCCCACCCGUAAAUUAUAUUUUACCUCCGAAGGUUUUGCUCCGGAAUUGUUUUUUUUUUUUUACGUUUUCCUGUUUUCAAUUGGCAUUUUGUGAAGUUAUUAUGCCGUGAAAUUAUUACACGGAUAUGAUCAUCAAAGUGAUGCGAUAACGAUUCGCUCACUCAGCAAUAAUAAUUUUCACGAAAAAUCAGUAUUACCUACUUUAUAUAUUUAUUUAUUUUCUGAUUUGAUUUCAGAUUUGCCGGAGAAAAAAAUUGCACCUAUAAUACCCAAGCUCAUUCGCGUGAAAAUUCUCACACCGAGUUUCGCAGGAAAUCCCCAUCGAUAUCCCCAGACUCGCCGAACACUACUCGGUAAUACCUAAUUUUAUUAUUAUUAUUAUUAUUAUUAUUAUUAUUUUAAUUAAAAAUUGUUUCUACUCUUUUCGUGAUAUAAUAAUGUAUAGAAAAUCGAUUUUUUCUGCGCACGGGUCGCCGCCGCUUUAUGUUUUUACAUUUUUAUUUCUACAGUGCCGUGUACUAUACGUACUAUACGUACGAAACGGUUUUCCGGGAAAUUACGACGGUUUAUGAAUAUUCAUGUCGUCAAGUAAAUAUUUUAUUAGCAGCGUAUAAAACGUUUUCGCGGUUUAUAUACACGGGAGAAUCAUCGGCGGUGGCGGGCGGAGACGCCGGGAAAUGAACGACAAAUGACUUUUUCAUCGUCGCGCGUUCUCGUCGUUUGAAACCUUUUAUAUUAUAUUAAAAUAUGUAGCGAUCGAAAUAUUUUUCAUACUCUCCGUCAGACUAUCACGCGACAGAGUUCAUUUCCCAUCUAACGGCGUUUGUUUCAGAGCAUUCGGUGUCCUAAAGUAGUGGUUUUCAACCUUUUUACAAGUCAUGAUCCCAUAAUUUUGUAGAUUCGGAGCAUAGCGAGAGACCUAUUGGUUUUACUAUGAUGUGUGUUUUACAUUCAGAGAAAAGUGAAGGAUCUACUGGUUUUACUAUCACGAGUGAUUUUAUUAUUUUCAAUUUUGUUUUUUGUUAUAAUCAAAAAGUUAAAAAUAUUCAUAAACAUGAUAUUUUGACAGAAAAUGUGUACAUUUGCUUUUCUAAACGUGGUCAAAUUUGACAUUACAAUUUUUAAAAUUUUGUAUGUAAUAUUUGUUUUGUAGGUACUCCGUGGGUAAAAUGUAUAAAAGUUUUAAUAUUCAAUUUUGACGAAAUUCAUAAAUGUGUAUUUGUGGUUUUUGGCGACUAUUACUCAAGACCCUUUUGGGUUAAAAACUACUGUCUUAAUGGAUUUUUAUCCCGAAAAUCAUAGACAUAUUUCUACAUUUACCAUAAUUUUACAGGUGUAACUGUGAUUUCUGGGAGAAAGUUUUGACAGAAUUUCACUCGAAAUUUCUAUAACACCAAUACGAUCCCUGUGAUCUUACUUAUAAAAUAAAUUUUAUAGUUUUUAUUUUGUACAGUGUGAAUAAUUUUUCAUUGGUUAUAAGAUGGAAAAGUGGAAAUAGUAGAAAUUACAAUGAAAAUAUGAUAUUUAAAUUUUUUUAAUUGUGCUUGGGGAGAAGGGAGUGAUGGAGUUAAGUUUUUCUGAAAUAUGGCUGUCUUAGAAAUAAACACUGUUCACGAACAGUCUGAUACAGUUUUAUCAAACUACACUUAAAUUGUAUAAAUAUACGAUUACGACAAUUAUAAAAAUCCUUCCGACGGUAGAACGAUAAAUAAUCAGACUUUUUAAACGAUACGUGCACAUGUAUAGUGUAGUUUUAAUUACCCUCAAUGUGUACAUGUUUGCCAAGGCGAGUUCUCUUGUUAAAAAUCCCCAAGUUAUAUUUAAUUUGUUUAUUUAUUUUUGGAAAGUACUAAUAAAUAGCACGUUGUUGGAAUAUUGAUUUUUUUUUUCUUUUAUGUGGUUGCUACUUGUUUGGACACAGUAAAAAAAUCAUAAUGACUCAACCGAGAGUUUUUCUUUAUUUUUUUUUAACAACAUAUUAACCAAAAAGAGGUAUUAGUUACUUAUUACAAUGAGAUAAUAUAAUAUCUUAUAUGUAUACUCAAUAAUACUGUAUUCGUUUCUCCAAGGCAAAACAACCCAAGCGACAUUUGUGUACCAUAUAUUUUAUAUUAUUAGCAUUUAUUCCCUAUUAUCGUCUUAACUAUUAAGUUCAGUUAAGUAUUGUCGUUUAGGUCCAUAAUUUAGAGUCAACACAUUAUAAAAUGUAAUUUAUAUCUUUAACCCAAAUAUUGGUGAUAAAAUAAUCACAUUGAUGUAACAGUUGGUCCAACGAAACGUCUAUGGUGUCUUCUCCUCUGUCCGAUAUACAUAUAGCAUAUAAAUAGUCACUUAGAUCUUAAGGGACAUUUUCGCCACUUUAUCUAAAAGCUACCGAUAUAUGUCGUCGGUCUAGAUACAAAUAACAGUUUUUUUUUUUUUGUGACAAAAUAUUCUUAUAAGCCCCUUCACUCCUCUCUAACGAAAUUCUAGAACGAAUAACGACUAUAAAUAACAAAAUAUUUUACAUUUUUAAGUCUAGCUGUAUAUAAGGUCAUCCAUUAAGUGGUUACACUUAUUAACUUGUAUUGUAUUCAAUUUUUUAAAUAUUGUUUGUCAAUUUAAAAAACAAGUGGCUCUAUGAUGUUCUAUUUCCAUUAUUUUUGUCAUCCUUAUAGUUGGAUGUGAAAUUACUAGGUAUCUACUUUUGAUUUUUAAAUGAUAACCUGCAUAAAAAAUUUCAAAAAAUAGAUGGAGUAUAAGGUUUUGAGGUUUAUAAUUUUUGAAUUCCAUCAAUCCGUUAACGAAAUAUUCGACUUUUAAGUUUGUGUGGGGGAGAAUAGGGGAGUAUUAUUAAAACUCCGCGUGCCAUGUCGCCGCAUAAAUGAUGCUUUACUACUCCUCCCCAACGCAAACUUUAAAGUAGAAUGUAUCGUUAACGAGUUGACGGAAAUCAAAACCAAAAGUUAUUUUAACUAAUAUUACAUCUAUUUAUGGAAUAUUUAAUAUAUAUUGCCUUUUUAAAAUCAAAAUGUACCCAAAAAAAUAAAGGUGUCGGUGAAUGCCAACUCAAUCACUAAAUCAAUUACAAGUUGCGACUCUGGUUUAUAAAAGGGGCGUACGAGUUUCGACCAGUGUUUAUGAUAUAGACGUACGAAUUCAGCUUCAAUUACUACUUUAUAUCAUCCUUUUAGCGUUACCCAGGAAAGAUUUUUUUUUUACACAUUUUCUUCGAUUUUAUUCCAUUACUUUUGAAUUUUUUAUAAGUUUCUGGUUGAACUUCUAGUAACACAUCAACGAAUAAGUUAUAAAUGUUAAAAUGACUAGUGUAGAACUAUAUGUUUAGUAUUAUAUUUUAGGUCGGAUACCAGUUUUUAUGCAUUACAUAAUAAAUGAUAAAAUAUAAUAUAACUAUAUUAACGAUAGAAUUUCUAGAUGAAAACGGUUCCUCGGGCUACAACUAACUUACACUCAACAUUUAUACCGAGCCGCUACUCACCUUCAGCCACCAAAUUAAAUCCACUCAAAUGGAUCACCUUGUAAAAACGGUUAAAAAUAUUUAACGUGCCUUAUGUUAAGGGCACUAAACCUUUGGGGUCCAGAAUCUCUUUAUUGUAAUUUUUGUUCUUCAAAUGUAUAAUAAAUAAUUUUUCAUUAAAAAAAAAUAUAUGUUCCGUGGGUUUUUAAAAAUGUUUACAUAUCGCUGAAAUUUGCCCACGUCUCUCUAGAGAGAAACAUGCUUCAGGUUGAGAAUCUUUGUCUUAUACUAUUAUUCAGUUGCUUUUGAAAACUUUCAGUUAUAGUUAUAUCUCAGACGAUUGAGUAAAAUCCAACUCAAAAAUGUAGAUCGCAAAAAUAAUGUAAAUUUUAAUGAUAUAUACCUAUUCUAUUAUUCAUACAAUAAUUACGCACCGAGCAACAGUAUUCAUAAAUAAUCAAAAUUACUUAAAAAAUACCUAAAACGCGAUGUUGUAUGCUGAUUAUAAUUUUUACUUAAUACUUCAGUGCGGGUGAUAAAUAGUUGUAUAAAACAAUAUAUUAUAUUAUAUUGUUAUUGUUUCGAACCAUCGUCAGCGAAGAAAGGUAUACGCUGAGAUUUUCGAGAGUUCGUGGUUGUUUUCGGUGGUGGAUACAUGUAUUACGAUUCAAUUGGACGAUAAAUGUCACAUUGAAAAAAAAAUAAAAAAAAAAUACGAUUAUCAUCAAAUAAUAUUAUAUUCACGGACACGUGUUUACCGCGGCAGUUUUAUACAUAUAAAAUAAUAAUUCAGCUACGCGUCUCCGCCGUUCCGCCACCGCACUGCUGUUUGCAGGAAAGUAAUUCCAUUUGUACUGCAUAUAGUAUAGGUAUAUACACGUGCAAACUACGAAUGAUUUCCUUAAGUGCUUUUAUAGGUGUUCAGGAAAACCGAAAAUUAAUUUAUUUUAUCAACGUGCGAAAUAAUGCAGUUUGCUGUGCCUGUAUAGUUUCUCUAUAUAUUAUGUACAUGCAAUAUUAUUUACAUUAUACCUAUAGGCAUAUACACAAAAGCUCUCAAUUUUCCACCCGUUUUUGAAUUUCCUCCUCGUCCAUUUACGCGUACGUCUUCCGGCAGCGUUGGCAAGCACGUCUAUUAUUCCGUUACUGCAUUUUCCGCUGUCAUUACCGCCGGCCGCCUCUGUCCGCGAAAUGUUUUAUGUUUUCCGCUCGGAUAACGUAGUGAUUUUUCAUGUGUCAGUACCUUGGUUCUAGGUUUCUCGGAGUAGUAUCAGGUUCUGACCAAAAGGUGGGUUAAGCUGUCCCUGUACCUUAUCUAAACUCGUGGCGGCUUUUCGUUGACUAGGCAGUAAAGUACAGGAAUUAGGUUUACACUUGGGACUGUAUUUGAUUUUCUUGGAGCAUUAUUACGUUUUUAAGCAGGUAUAUAAUGUGUUAUGUUUUUACGUUUUGUAAAACUUCAUAAAACUCUUAAAACCAGCUCUGUUAUGUUUCGGUUUGAGCCAAACUGAGAUAAGAACUGUAAUUUGUACGUGGGCCGAUAAAUCAAUAAUAAUAAUGAUAAAAAAAUCUCUAUACUUAUUCGUUAUAUCAGCUCAAAUUACGGUCUGACGAAUAGAUUUGGCGAUGUGUAGUACUUUAACUGCUGUACGGGUGAUGUAUAAUACUAUCAUUGUCAGGUAUCACUUAACAUUGUUAUAAUUUUAUAUAUUUUAUUAUACAAUAUUAUUCAUGGCGUAAAUAAAAUAUAUUACAUAUAGGUUAUAAAUUAUAACCUACAAUAUAAUAUAUUAUAAUUUAUAAUCAAGCAAAUUUGCCCAUGUUAUAACGUUAUUACUAUAUGGCUACUAAGCAGAGGCAGAUCCAAGAUAACACGGAGGAAAUGUUUGAAAAUUCAUAUAAGGCACAUAUUUAUUAUGAAAAUCAAGCUAAAACUGGUAGUAUGGGGUCGUCCUUGUCACACCCCCAUCUUGAUCCAUUACUGCUUUCGUGCUUAAGGUAUACCCUCAAAUUAUAGAGUCGAUUAUGUAUCUCUAAUAUUAUAGUUUUAUAAAUCGUGGGCACAAUAAUUCGCAUAAUAAAAACUAUGCCUCUAAUCAUAACGAUAAUUUAAAUGAUCACCCAAUAUUAAAGUAUCGGUAAGUACAAAGAAUAUUUUAAAUAUUUAUUUUGUAUAAUAUCAAUAACGAUGAUGAACGAUGAUGAUUUUUAAUAAUAAUUAAUAUUACAAAUCAAACAUUUGAUAACCAUUAUUGUUAUUGUUAUAAUAAUGUAUUUUGACGAUUGACAAUGCAUAUCAUUAUUCGAACCUAAAAUAAAUACCGUAUAUUUCGGCUAGACACGUGGGCCGUUUUUUUCAUAUAAUUAAUACAAAUAUAAUAAUAUUAUUACUAUAUGUAGUCAGUGACGGAUCCAGAGUUGAAUUUUAGGAAGCCUCUUGAAAAAAAUUAAUACUAAGAAAAUAAAAAGAGGUGACACUGAGGAUGGGUGCAGCUACUGUUGUAUGUAAGAAAUUGGGAUUCAAGUACAUGUAGGAAUCAAGAUCGUUAAUUUAUAUCUGUAAGCAGCGAUUAACAAUUAUGAACUCAUUUUUUGAUCGGAGUAGAAAACUCGUUCACAGACAGAAAAAUAAAAAUAAAAAUACAUCAUAGUACAAUCAAUAUAUUCAACGGUCCGCUCCACUUUUAUUCUUUAAAAAUCUUGUUAUUAUAUAUGUAUUAAACAAUUAAUUAUUUGUGGAAUUAAAAACUUGUGUAUUGACUGGGAGGCGAAGCUCCUAGGCCGGUUUCUGAAUCCGCCACUGUAUGUAAUAAACAACCGAAUGAAAGUAUUAUCAUUAUAGUUUAAUUUACGGUAUUUUAAUAUUUUGUAUCUACACACAAACACACACACACAUAUCUAUAUAUACAGGGUGUCCCACGAGGAUACGACAAAUGCAAAAACUUUUGUUCUAUUCAAUAUUUUUGAUGUAUAUUUUUUUAAAUAAUUAGUAUGCCUCAGCGCUACAGUUUAUAAAUCAACGUUUUUUUUUUUUUUUUAGAAGGAGGGGAACUUAAAAUUAAACAAUUUUUUUUAGGUACUAUCUAUAAUUUAAAAAAAAAAUUAAAUAUAGCCAAUUUGUAAAACAAAUUUUUAGAAAAUUUUUGGUGGUUGCAACUUUUGUUAAAGUAUGGUAUUACGUUUUAUACAAUAUUUUGAAGUUUUUUCAAAUGUGAAUAUUACAAUAUUUAAUCAGUCAGGGCACAUGUCAAAAAUUUUCUUUUCUAUGAGUUAAUAUCAUACAAUAAUAUUAUCAUAUUAUAGGUAUUAGGUAAUAUCAAUAAAUUAAUAAUGGUAAUUUAUGUUGAAAAACAAUAUUGUCACGAUUGAAAAGAAUUAGAAUUUGAAUAAUUAUUCAAAUCUUCAAAAAAAUCGUAGAAAAUGAUAGACCAAUGGUCUUAGAUCAUACUUUAAUACAAGUUUCAACCACCAACAUUUUUCUAAAAAUCUAUUUUACAAAAUGACCAUUUUGAAUAUUUAAAAAAAAUUAUAGUAGAAUUUUAAAUUUUUUAUUUUAAGUCCCCCUAACAUAAAAAAAAAAAAAAAAAUGUUCACAUAUAAACUAUAGCACAUAGGCAUAUUAAUUAUUUAAAAAUUAUAUAUAUAUAUAUAUCAAAAAUAUUGAAUAGAACAAAAGUUAUUGCAUUUGUCGAAUCCUCAAAGGACACUCUGUAUAAAUAUAUAUAUAUAUAUACACCAUAUGCAUAACUACCUACUCAUAUAAGAGGAUUAUAAAUAAUUCUAUUUUUUAAAGUUAUGUUAAUAAUAACUAAAAACAAUAACAUUUUGCCGUUGUUAUUAUACGAACUUUAAGUACGUACUUAUUGAUGCAUAAUAAUCGCACUAUAUUAUGAUCCAAGUGAUAGGUAUAAUGAUAAAUAUUUUAGCAGUCGUAUACAAUACACAUAUAUAUAUAUGUAAAGUGGUACAUGUAUACAUCAUCGUUCAAAAUGUCGGGGAUUAUAAAGAUUAUGUUAUUUAGACUGAAAAAGAAAAAAAAACACAAAACAGCGAUAUUAAUAUUAUAUAUAUAGUAUUAUUAUUAUUUUUUGUUUGACUGCCAAAAAGUCAAAGGCAAUAAUGAAUGAAAAACAAACCAUAAGACGACGUACCCGUAUAUAAUAUUAUAUUAAAAUUCAAAGUAAAUGAAAUACGAGAAACCGCUUUAGCCGAAAAGGUUUUCGCAGGGUGAAUCAUAAAUAUUAUUACUGCAGUCGGUGUUCUUAAAUAAAAUAAAAUAAAAUAAUAAUGUUUUCUUAGACAAAAAUCUGUGAAACCGAUAAAAAAAAAACACACACACACACACACACACACACACACAUAUAUACCAACAAAUUGUACUUUUGUUUGUCUCCAUAAAAAAAAAAUCGAUAAAGAUUAUUAUUUUAAAGGCAACGAUACAAUAAUGAUAAUAACAGCAACAACGAAAUAAUCAAUAGUGAAUUUCAUAAUAUUCAGGCUAAGUAGACUGAUGUUUUAAUGAGUUUGUGCGCGUUGUCAACUCGAUACCGGAUAUUUUGUUUAUUGAAAAAAAAAAAAAUCGAAAAAUAAUUUAUAAUAAUUGCUGAUUACAAUAAUAAUUUAUCUUAUAUAGUAAUAGUAAAUGGCUUUUAAAUUAAUAUUUAAACGCCUUGGUUAUAAUAAAAGUGACAAGUUUUAAAAAUAUCACUAAGGAGGAGUGGGGAAUUCAGUGAUAGAUUUAUAUAGGUAGAAGACUCACUGGCUGGUAAAUGGAGAUUGAAAGUAUUGUAAUAUUUCCGAAUGGUUGCUUUAAAUUUUUAGAUUUCAUGCGAAACUAUGUGAUAUGUUCUUUUUGUUUGUGAACUCAAUUUGGUAUUAUUUAAAACUAGAUAGUGAUAAAACUAAAAAAGGGCUGAUGAAAAUAUAAAUACUUCAUACUCGGAAACUAUUGUAACAAUUUAUGGACGUUGGGUCAAAGAAAUAAAAUGCAGUAAUCUGCAGGCAGGGUGUGCAUUUCAAAGGAAAAAGUGCCUAUAUUUAAUUCUAGAAAAAUAUAAAAUAAGGAAAAACCUACUAAGAAUUUAUGUUUAGAGCGUAGUACUUUAUAGGUGUGAGUCAUGGAAAAUAAGAAAGACUGAAGAAAAAGAAACUGGCAUUCGAGACGUUUUGUUAUCGGAUAAUUCUUAAAAUAAGUUGAAUAGAUUGAAUAAUAAAUGAAAAUGUUUAUCGUAAAGCAGUAAAGGAAUUAAUUUUCAUUAAAACCCUGAUCAUUAGACGAACUAAACCAGUUGAACAUAGUACACUUUGUUACAUUAAUCUAUUAGGAAAUAUAUUAGAAGGAUUAAUAGAAGGAAAAAUAGUCAGGCAAGGCAACCACUUGAUUAAAGAAGCCAAGUAGUUAUGGAUAUAUGUUUCGAAACAUACCAUGAAUUAAAAAGAAAUGCGUAAAGAAUGAAAAAUGUAUGCCAACCAUAACACAGUCAUUGGGCUGUAAACGCAAGAUGUGAAGAAACUGUAAGUUAUUAACCGGAAAACUUUUGUUCCAAACGUCGAAAUAAUUUAUACAUUCCAAUGUAUGUACACUUGCUUGAUAAAAGACAAUAUAUGUUAAUGGAAUCAAUAUUUCCUUAACAUUUUACGCAUUCAUACUUUAAACUAAAAGUUACAUCCGAUGAGUAAUCAGUAACAGUUACAUCAGCAGUAAUAGCUUUUUUUUCUUUUAUAAACUAAGUUUUAAUCAAAAGACUUUAUCCAGUCAUAUAUUUUGGAGGAAGUUUCUACAAAACAAAAUGUGGUUUAGCGAUACAUUAAAUAUAUCAUUUUUUGAUAUAAUUUGUACUUUUUUAAAUAAUCUAAGAAAACCAGAUAGAAAAAUCGCCGAAAAAACAGCGAACAGAAGUGGUGUUACACUUGAGCAAAGGUGAGCAAGUGCCAACACAACAUUUUAUUUUGCCUCUCCAUUACCGAUACUUUCCUGGAAAUAUGUUACGACAAUAUCAACGGGGAAGCAAGUAACCAAAUAUGAAAGCACUAUCAGAAAACAAUUUUGCCGGUUUUGCCCCCUCCCCUCCCACUUGAUACAAAAAUUAUGGCACCACUACUAACAGCGAAUCAUCAAGCAAUAAUAACUAUUUCUCUUAAAAAUUUUGUUUUUUUUUUCAUAAUAUUGUGAUAAACAGUCGUAGAUAUUUAGCCAUUUUACCGAAUACCUAUACUUAUAAUUGUAAUCAUUUUCUAGAUGCGUGAUAAUAUUUUAAAAUAUUUUAAGUUAUUUAUAGUUAUUUAAAAUUGGUUUGGCUUUAUAUAAAUUCCCGAAAAUUUAUCAUAAAUUGUACUUACUGGUAGGGAAAAAAGUUUAGUUUAUAAAUUGAGUUAUUUCUAUUUUUAAAAGAAUAAUCACGUUAGUAACUUUUCUAUCAUGAGCUGUUGCGUCGCGAGUUGUAUGCAAUUUCGUCCAUUGUGAGAACGAAAUCUCGUACCAUUUUAAAGCUAACAUUUCACCGCCUACACUACUAGAUAUUUUUAUAAGAGAAGAUAUUGUGGUGCUCUAGACGUAGUCGUAGUCAUAACACCUCCUCGGGAGAAUGGGAGAAUAAGUCUAUCAUCAUAUUCGACAGUUGCAGUGAAUCCAAUUGGUCUCUCUUGGUUCACUAGUUCACAAGAGGCCAUUAGAGUUCAAACCUUCAUAUGUCAUCACACUUCUAAACCUACACCACAAAUAAAUUACUUACGAUUAAUAAUUAUAACAAAAAAAAAAAAACCUAAAAAAGGUUUGCGAAAAUAAAAAAAGACUAUUACAAAAACAUUAUUAUAUUCAAUAAUAAUUGUACAUUUAUAGAAUGGCACCUAACAGUAAAAUUAUCGUCCGAAAUGCAAACCGAAAUCGAUUUGCAGGACCACCCGCAAACAUUUUAGUGAAAAAUAAAGUGACCGGUGACCCACAUCGUUUCAGUGUACCUAUAGAAUUCUUUUUUAAAUUACAUAGGUUUUAUUCUCUUUCAUUUUUGCUAAAAUAUUUUAACGAGUUGUUUUGGAAAACAAAAAAAAUUAGGGUAGGGGUGACGUGAGAAAAGAAAAAUAGGGUUUAGAGGCACUUGUAUAGAUAAUUUAUUGGGGAGGGGUGUUGAAAGUUAAAAAUAAUAAUGAAUAUUGUGUUUGUAAAACCCACCGUAUAUUUCCUCCCCUCUCUUUUACCUAUGGCUCUAAUAGGAGUUAAAUAUAAUUUUUAAAUAAUUUUUGAAAUCCUAAGUACCUAUAAUAUUCUCGAUAUCAUACAUGUUUUCUCUGGAAGCAUUCGUCUAUACAUUUUUAAGAUUAUUAUACAUCUAACGUUAUUUUACUUUGUAUGAUCCGUCUAUACAGAAAAAAAUGGUAAUACAGUAGUGACGUAUAAGUGUAUGCUAUUAUUUUUGUUUUAUAUUCAGCACCUAUCUGUUAACUCAAUGCUUCUACUUGAUUUCAGUGUUUCCACGUCACCUCUAUGUGAUCAUUUAGUAAUAAUAUUAUAAUAUCAUUUUAUUAAUCAUUGUUUUCGCUUUAAUGUCUUUAGAGCCUUUAUAGACCGAGCUACUAUCAUUCAUGUUAGAAAUAUUGCAAUAUUAGCUAUAAUAUAUCUAGAAUUUAUCUUAUGUAUCAAAUAUUUGGAGAAAUUCAUAAUGCCAUACAUACUAAUAGUGUUGUGACAGGAAGCCAAUAUUUUUGGACCAGAUUAACAUUUUUAGAUUUUUCAUAGCCAGAGUGCGUCCGCUAUCUUGCCGAAAAAUUAUAAAAAAUCACCGGAGUGUGUCCAGAAUCUUAUCGACAAAUUAUAUAGAACCACCCGAGUGCGUCCAGAAUCUUAUUGACAAAUUCUUUAUUUUAUACACACCACCCAAAUAUUUAUACAGUUUAAAAAUAUUUAAAAACGUUCAACGACCACUAAAACAGCAAGAAAAUAAAAAGUUGAUUUUACAUUAAAAAAAUUGCAUUCGAAGAAUGCAAUCGAAGAAAAUACUAACGAAUUUCGAACUAAUGAAAUAUCUAGAUUGUAUUUUGUCAAAGAAAUAUAAUUACCAGAUUUUAGUACUGUAAAAAAAACAUGGUACUAAUUAUAAUAGUAUAAAAUGUCAUUAUUUAACGUAAAAUUAGUACACUAGCUUUAACUUUAUGGAUCUUAUAAAGAUGUAUACAAAUAUAAAAAUUAAAAAUCAUUUUCGGUAUCCUGGCUAGUUCUCGAGGUGAAUCAUACGUAACUCUAAAUAAACUGAUAUGCAUUUGGGCUACGUUAAAAAAAAAAAUGAUUUUUUUUUUUUUUUUUUUUGGAUGCAAUCGAGUGAUCUCAUAUUUCAGACGCACUCGGGACAUCGAAAAAGGAUCAUUUCGACACACUAGGGCAACUCCGAUAUUUUUAUCUAGAUAAAGACAAACAUAACGGGUAAAAAAUUACAUAAAAGGUAAUUUUCAAUUAUCUAGAAACACAUGAAAAAAGAAGGAUACCUAAAUAAAUUAGAAUCUAAAUAUAUUAAAUAUUCAAAAUAGUGUAAGUUUUAUAAGCCUGUCUACUAUUAUUAUUUUUUUAUUAGAAAUGUAUGCGCUAUAAAACCCAUUAUUGUGACGUAUUUUUAAAAUACCUGCAAUGUGCGGGCGUCAUCCAUGAAGAAGUAAUAUAAAGCGGGUACAUAAGUUUGAUUAAACUAUAACAAUAUGAUAUUUAAAUAUUUGACAAUAAUAUUAAAAAAAAAAAAUAAAAGAAGAUAUCUGAUCUCUGCUUUACAGAAUAUUUCCCUGAAUCUAUAAAGAGGAUUGCCUGGAAUAGUGGAAGCAGUUUUCAUUUUUGGAUCUUAGUGAAAAAUUUUGUUUUGAAAAUGAUAAAUUGACGGACUGAUAUUUUGACUGUAGAUUUUUCAGAUGCACAAACCCUGCAAAAAUCAGGGAGUAAUCCAGCGGCGUAACUAGAACGUGGCAAAAUAUUAUAUAAAGGCCGAUAAGGAAAAACAAUUUCCAAUAAUGCCUUGGGCUUUGAACUGGGGUCCCUAAAUAUCAUGGGCCCGUGGCUCAUUGCCCGUCAUGCCAUUCUAUCGCUACGGCAUUGGAGUAAACGCCUAGUCCAUAUUAUGACUGGGUAGUGGGGAAUAGAGGUAUGGUCUAUAAUAUACUAUGAAUACUAAUACUAAUUUCGUUAAUUUUUUGACAAAAUAAGUUUGGGAAGUUGUAAAUUAUUUCUUGAACGUGUACGCAGUAUAUUUUUAUUCAUAAUACAAGUACGGCGACGAUGGUGACGGCGCAAUAUUUAACGUUUAAUUUUAUCACGGGCGAAACGAUAAUAAUUUAUCUGGGGCCAUUUGUCAAAACGUAAUAAAGGCCCCGAUUGCAGCUUUUGCACACUGGUAGUAUAUUAAACGUCACAUUUUCUUGACUCUAAUUAAAGUCUGCUAUAUGAACACAUAUACUCGAUUUGACAUAAAAAAAAAAAAUAAUAAUAAUAACAAUCCGCGAUUUGUAAAAAGUAAACAUUAAAAAAAAAAAAAAAAAAAUUUAAAAGACUGGAGCACAUUGGAAAUAAUGUUAUGCCAUUAAACCGUCGGUUAUUAUUGUUGUUACUGCGUUGUUAUUAAUCUCGUUUGCAGUAGUGGCUAUAAUAUUAUAAAUUAUGCUGCUGGCAUCUAGCAAGGCAUCUAGCUGUUGCUCUCUCGUCCGCCAUUAUUAUAACUAUUAUUAUCAUUCGAAAUCCGAGGAUUCACUUUACGUUUGUUUAUAUUAUAUUAUUAUCGCCGUCGUCGUCGUAAUAAUAAUAUUCAAAAACAGUACCGAAUACUUCGAAUUUUCGAUUGAAAUUUCAAACGCGAGUUGGGCUGCCCGAGUUAAUGAAUAAUAAUAGAUACAUAGUAUUUAUACAGUAAAGUUAAAUAAUUGAAAAUUAAAAAUGUAUUUUUGAAAAUGCAGUUUAUUAAUUUAUUUAUAUAUAUAUAUAUAUAUAUAUAUAUAUACAUUUUUAUUUUAUUUCUGGGUGGGGGUUGCAUAAGAGAAUGCAUUGCAUUAUUGUUAUUUGUGUUUUUGCAUAUAUACAUUCGAUUUUCGGCAGUCUGUUUUUGAAUCAAAAGCGUGCGUUUUUUAUUAUUAAUAUAAUAUUACAUAUUUAUAUGAUAUAACUAUUAAGGAUAGGAAAUGCUCAAAAUGCGGGUGACGUAUCGCAAUCUAUCAUAAAGAUAGGACCAAGACGUUUGUUUAAAUAGAACGAUUGAAAAUCGCUAAUGAUGAUUGAUAAAGAUUACUAAUUAAAAUCUGUACGAAUAAAUUUCAUGAAAACUAAAAUAUCUUAAGAUAAUAUUUUUGAAUUACUUAAAUUUGAAUUAUUAAUUCACAAAAUAUAUAAAUAUGCACUUCAAUUAUCAAAAUUAACAAAAAAUGAAAAAACUAACAAAAAAUGCUAUAUAAAAAUUUCAUAUUUUAAUUAUUAUCCGUUACACGAAUUAAAUUAUUUACUUGGAAAGUAUUAUUUUAUCUUACCCCCCGUUACUCUCAAAAUAUUGGCUUCAAAGUCUAAUUGUGUGUAUGAAAACGGUCGAAUAAAUCGAUUCCCGAUCACUACAACGUUUACGUGAAACAUUGUAAAAUGGCAAAAAAUUGAAUAUUUUAUGAAAAUAUUAUAUUUUACGUCAACUCGAAACGUUUCGUGAACACACUUUUUAUUCGUCAUUUGUGUUAUAAAACAUACCUAAAAUAUAUUGCGAUUUUAAAACGGACCUAUGUGUUCUUUUUAUUAUUAUUUCUUUUUUUUGACAGCAAUUCUCUACAGAGAACGCAUAUGCAUUAUAAGAGUAUAUUUUUUAUGUAUAGACGACCUAUAUAGCAGGUGUAUUCAGGCCCUCCCACGAUCCCGUUGGAUUUUCGUAUUGAUACUUAAAAAUAAUAAGACAGGUAUAAAGAUAUUUUUAAGUUAGACAUUUGAAUAUAUGUGCCAUAGUUUGGCGGAAAAGACUGAACAUUGACGAGUUAAACAUUUAGAAGUUUGACAAUUUUUAUCCUUUAAUUUGAGCACUCAUAGGUGUAGCUUCAUAAUGAGAAAGCAAAACAAAAAUAAUCUCAAAAUGUAUCCUAAAUAAAGGAGUAAUGGGGAGGAGCUAGUGCAACGUCUUAUCCCUCCAUGCGCUUUUAGGGUUGCACAUAUCUCAGUUAAGACCAAUUUACAAAUACUUACAAAUGAACAUUUUUAAUAUACAAUAAUUCCCGUUCGAUUUGGUUGAUAUGGGGAGGGGACCAACUAUCAAACGUAAUUUCUACAGUUUUAUCUGUCUUUCGUUCUUAAAUAUCAUAUUCGUCUAUGAGAAUAGCAGUGACUCUUCCUUUUAAAUAGUUAUCGUCUUCUCGGGCAAUAAAUCUGUAGGAAAUCCUUAUCAUUAAAGUAUUAAUUACAAUUUAAAACAACAUUUGAGACAGUUUGUAAAACUGUCAUCAAUCCAAUUAACAUGAAACACAAUGACUUUAUUAUAGUAAUAACAUAAAACAAUUUUAUUUUUAAGGUGUUAAAUUUGUGUGAUUAACUUGAUUUAACGGAGUUAAUAUAUUAUUCACCGACCUAACGUUCGUACUACAUUUCGGUACGGUAAUCUUCCUAGAUAUCCUUCUGCACCGAAGACCGAACUGAUUAUUUCUGCACCUCCUCUUCACUUCCUCAAACGAUAAAUCGAUACAUUUUUAAUUGUCUUUUAUUCAGUUGGCGGUGACGGCGUUGAUUAAUCCUAACCGUAUUAAAUCCUUGUCGUCGGGUCCCGGAUAUUAACGGGUGGAGCCGCAGGCGCGGUGUGGUCGUUAUAAUGCCCAUUCCCCGGAUCCGAUAUAUUAUAUUAUUAUGUACAGGACACUUUAGUCCAAACUAUACCGUCUUUUCCUACAGAGGUCCCGGUGUCGUACACUGAUCUGCAAAAGGAAGAGGUUAUCCGGCGCGUGUACCUACCUUAGUUGGGAUAUUAUUGCAGGAAAUCUCUCCCGUUCACCAAUUUUCUCACGAAGGCGAUACGGUGUUCUCGACAUGUUAGAAAUAUUGUUUUUUAAGAUGAUACGCCACUUCGGAGGGCGAAUAUAGUAUUUUGGUUAAUAUAUUUUGACCACGUGUGAGGUAAUUCAAAGUAUAAUACACAUAUAGUUAGUGAUACGGAAAAUUAAUUAAAAAUCGAUAGUAUCUAUACGAAUGUUUACCUUAAGGUGCAAAAGUGUGCCUAUUUUUUUUAUAAGUUCUAUAAUAAUAAACGGUGUGAAAUUAAACAUACUCAUAGCCAUGUCAAAUUUUAAUUCUUAAAGUGUUAUCAUUAAGGUAGCUGUUUAAAUCCAAACAAAUAGUUUACACAUUUUAUUCAAUUGAAAAAAAAAAAUAAAAAUUACAAUCGAUUUUGUCGUUGUACAUUUUCCAAGUUAGAAACUAUUAAACCAUCUAAUACAUUUUCUGAGAAACUUCAUACAAAUCCGUUCGUGCUCUGAGUGCAAAGACGCGUUUAAAAAUGAUAAAAUAAACACAAUGUAAUAUUUAUAAAAUGAUUCGAAAAUCGAAAAUAAUUAAGUAUUUGGUUGUUUUUCGACGAUUUGGGAUAAAAUCUUUCGGAGGGAUAUUUCGGAAAAUGCUCUCUCGAUUGAAAGUACUAAACGGUAUCUAUACUGUAUAGCUAUAACAGCUGUAUCACAAUAACGUUUGUUUACUUUAGUUUAGCUAGCGUGUCUUUACCACGAUACAUAAACGAGGACGAAAAAUAAAAUCAAUUAUUGUUUUCGGUGAUGAGGGAAUCCGGAAAAACGUUUGACGACACGACAAAAUGAUAGUGAACCAUGACGACUGAGAAACCGGAGACGGCUGUGCGUCUCUGGGGACCCGUAGGCUGACGGGUAUACACACAUCGUUAUUAUCGUGCCGGUCGACCCUUUUUCCCUUCACCUCUGCACCGUCGUUGCAUUGGCACCUAAAAAUACCGACGACGCACGCGAACACUUGUUGCGAUCUGAGGGUAUAAAAUAAUAUUAUGUUCUAUCGUCGGUAUAACGUCUCUUCUCCGUCUUCUUCCUUUUUGCCAUCAUCCUGUAUAGGUCAAGCCGGGACAGCUAUACUCACCCCUAUACUCUCACCCUUCACAUCACAUCUUUCUCUAUAAUAUAUCCAUCCUUAUUGCUUCGUCUACUCCGUGUAUCCUCAUAUUAUGUCUCACCAUAAUGGUGUCAGAUGUGGUGACUAGCUGUCGUCAGGGGAAAAUGUUGUCAAAAGAUAAUAUUAUUCGAUGUCGAUUUAUUUUGUGGAAAUACAGCAAAACGAUCGUAGGUCAUCCGAAUUCAUUUCUAGGUUUUUUUUUUUUAUUUCUGUGAGUGUGUAUGUGUGUGUUUUUUUUUAUCAAUGAAAGAGAUAUAAUCGCACUGACUGCAGUGAACCGGUGACUUUUUACCAGUGAACCUGGUAUUAUUAUUAUUUUAGAUUUUGAGCGAAGCGAAGCGAAGAAGGUUAUGGUUUUAAAAAAUGUAUGUAUAUUUUUUUUUCUAUGGACAACAUUUCUACCAGAGAACUUGCUCCAAUUUUUAGGUGUAGCACUUUUGCUGAAAGGAAAUCGGUAAGGAGGAGGUAUUUUAGGGAGAUAAUUUUUCGAUUUCUUAAGAGUUUUCUCAUCAAAUGCGAAAAAUCGAAAAAAAAAUGGAAAGCUUAUUAUAGCUAAAAAUAAUAUGGCCUUCUUUUUUCUUGUGGAUAACUUUUCUACUAGCAAUUUUGCUACAAAUUUUAAUGAUAGUAAUUUUUCUAAAAGGAAAUUUCACUAGGGAAGUACUUUUGAAAGGUCGUUUUUCGAUUUUCUCGGGAGUUUUCUCAGAGAAUAUGAAAAACUGGGAAAAAACAUGGGAAAACCGGAUAAAACGUAAGAAAACCAAGGCAAUCGGUACAGAAUUAAACAAAUAUUAUUAAAGAAAAUAUUUAACUCCUAUUUAAUUAAUUUACUAUAAUAUGGCGUAUAUAUGUUGUUGACUAAGCAUCAUUAUCAACUGAAUUCCACUCAAAAUUGUUUUUCUCGUAAGCAAUAGUUUAUUGUUGCUUACAGGUAUACAUUAAAUUACCUAUAACAGUGGCUGCCCCCGUCUCUAUUAUCCAGUUAAGACUUUUUUUUUUUGUUUUAUUACGCUACGAUUGUCGUGUUAUAGACAGUCCCUGUAUACUGAACAUAACGUUUUCAGUAUUUAGGUGUAAUUCUACUAUAAAUUCCAUUAUUUCAGUCUAUUUCUGAAUAAUUGUUGCAAUAAUUCGUUGCAAUUUCACUAUUUUCUAAGUUUAAAUUACAGAGAAAACAUCUGGACGUCGAAAGUGCAGUAGUUAAAUCGAUAUAGUAUCCUCGGCUUUCCUCGAAACUUGCGAAACUCAUAAUCCAACUUCACUGGCAAUUUGUUCUUGAAAUUAAACAUAAAUACAUACCUAAAGUUGGUUGUUGUGUUUAAAUUGCUUUUUUUUUUAAUAUGAUAGCGACGACGAUUGUGGCGAAAUAGAAGGAGGAUGAGGUUUUCCCCAGAGUCGUUGAUCCGACUAAAUGAUUUUGCCACUAGACGGUAGCCGAGAAAAAUACGAGGAAAUCGUGUACAAAAUAUUAGGAAAAAAAAUUACACUGCAUUAUUAUUCUAUAUUGUCACUUUCUACUAUACAUGGCACUCGAAUUCGAUUCGCUUUUUGAAUUAAGAUCAAUUUACGAUAUUAUAUUUAAGAGAAUACCGUACAAUUAUCGUGUUGUGAUCAUUGUACAAUUUCUUUGAAUAUAAUAUUUUAUAGAGCUUCAUUUAUAAACAAGAAAAUGUAUGAUUUAUAAAACUUUGUAUUUGAAAAAUCCGUGUAUACAUGCAAUUAUUUACGUUUAAAAUGUUAGUACAUUCACGUAUUACGUAUUCUAUACCCACGUUAUUUCUCACGUAUUUUCACGUAUUUACAUGAAUAACAGUGAACACGAAAUUAUUUAUAUAAAAUUCAACUUUUGUGUGUUCGGAAAUCUAAAAUCGGUAUAAUAUUACGCGUAACGAUUUUGUUAUAAUGUCAUAGUUUUUCGUUUUACCCCGGGUCCCACUGUUAUGACGGCAUUAUGCAUAUAGCCGCGGUGCCGUAUCGAUUAUAUUAAAACACAUAAUAAUAUUUCAAAAAUGCGUGCGAUUUCAGUUCCGGUCCCAAACGGCUUUUUGAUUUAUUCUAUAUAGGUAUAAUGUGUGGUAGAGAACAUUUUAAUAUUAUUAUAGUUAGGUAUAUAAACUAAUAAUAAACUACGGUUUCCUUUUUCGAUUUGUAUAUUAUUUAUUUAUUGAUUUGCGACCAUUCGAGUUAAUGUUUUUUUUUAUUAUUAUUAUUUUUUUAAACAUAUUUUCGUUUUUGGUAAUCCGUGGAUCGAACCAUUUCCUCUCCCAUUUACCCUUCAUUCGGCUUAUAUAUUUUUAUAAUAAUAAUUGCCUUUGGGUAAAAUAUUAUAGAGUAUUAUAGAGGGUAGAGACUUAAGAUACGAAUGGAUUAUCGCUUUCAUCAACGUUUCACGGAGCGCACAAUUUUGCAACAACACUGUUUUAAAUGUACUACGCGUAUACAAGUAUUAAAUUAUGAUUAUUAUGCCUCCGACCAUCACUAAUCACUAACUAUACUCCUUAGCUGGAAUUGUUCUGCCUUAAAUCACCUUAAAUCAGAAGAAAAGAACCACAGGCAUAAAACGAAUCAAAUAGUUACGGUGAUGAAAAAUAUCCAAUGUUUGAAUAACAAAGAACAAUACUAAAAUCUCCAAAUAGCUUUAUACAUUCAACAAAUCAACUCAAUGUAUAUCCAGACCAAGCAAGACUACGAAGUUCGAAAACUGAAUACAAAAGUACCACCAGAUGACCCCAUUCAAACCAUCCAACAUCUGAAGUUUGGAAUCGCAAGAAAAAAUUAAAAUUCGGUAAAAUGGGAAUUCAUUAUAUAAUAUGUUGUGAAUGUGAAGAUCAUUAAACAGAAUUAAUUACAAAUUUAUAAUUUGAAUCUGACACAAUUCAUCAACGAUGACUUAGCAUAGACAAAUAAAAACGCUAUUUAUAUAGCUUGGUACGCAUAUGCCACAAUAUAUAAUUUGACAAAUUCACUGAUAGUAAGAUUAGGAUAAACUAUACCUUAACACAUUAUCAUUUAUUUUAAUCUGUGGAACCACUAGCAAAUCUAACCACACACGAGGAGAAUAAUAUUACUCGAAUACUUUACGAGAUCGACGAAAAAAUGUAAAAUUAAGCCUGAACCCAUGGCAGCAGCUUUCAGUUAUCAAUAGAAAUCGGUUCCCUAUAGAGUUGGCAACUCAGUUCUUAUUGCAUUAUGUUAUAAGAUCUUUAUAUAUAGCCACGAGCGACACGAGUAUUAUAGUUACAAUAUUACUAUUAAAGAUUUUUUUUUUUUUCAUGAUAUUAUACCUACUUUACAAUCCGCGUCAAAUUAAGCAAAUCGAAUUUUCGAUAACAAUAAUGUUUUAAUUGAGCGUGUCGGAGACGGACGUGGAAUCGAUUACUAGCUUAAUUUAUAAUCUCAACGAGACGCGAUGAGAUUAUUAACAUAUUAUUAUAUUCAAAACCGUGUCUUGGGCCCCACUAACAACGUCUCAAAGGAGUCAAAGGAACGAUCUAUUUUCUCCGUCGCUGCACACGCCAGAACUUCGCUUCUUCUCCUCUACCUUCUACUCCUUUCCUGCAACGUAAUCUCAUUCGAAAUUAAACUACGAGAAAAUUGCGAACCAAACAAUGACGCCCGUCCGCGUUUGCAUUCACUCGAGAUCCCGGCGGCAGAGCAAUGCGUGCGUCUUGUCGAACCUAAUGUUUUUAUAUGGUUUUUUUUUUUUUUAAUUUUUCAUUACUGAUUGUACCUAAUGCCCGAUUUGUUAUUAUUAUAAUAAAAUAAUUGAGUAGGCUCUAUAUGUUUUUUUGAAUAAUAUUUGUUUAAUAUUGUACAAAUGCUCACGGUUUUCCUAUGUUUUUUCUUAGUUUUACACAUUUUCUGAGAAAACUCUUGGAAAAAUCGAAAAAUGACCUCCUUAAAGUACCUUACCAGUCAGAUUUUCUUUCACAAAAAUGUUGAAAAAUUCUCAACAAAAUAUUACAAUUUGUAUAAAUAGCCUUAAAAUGGCUUAAAUGUUUUGAAUAUUUUACCAUGCUUAGAAAAAGUAAAUAUAAAUUUUCUAUUCAAAUUUUAAAUGUUUACGAAUAUUUUUUACUGAAUUACAAGAAAUAACAAAAUUGAAAAAUAAUAUAAGCAUUAUUUUCUUAAAUUUCUAAUCUUUCUACGUUUUAUCCUGGUGUUUCUCAGAUAUUAUGAAAACCACUUAGAAAAUCAGAAAAAUGACCUUUCAAAAGUACCAUAUGGACAACAUUCUCUUUAAGACAUGGUGCCAUGCGUAAAUAUCUUAGUAAGAUUUUUGGUAGAAUUUUCGUACACAGGUUAAAAAAAUAAAAAGGAAAUAUCUUAGUAAAAUCAAUACAUUCUUCGCUACACUCAGAAUCUUAAAAACUACUAAUCACUCUCAACUUUUUUUUCCUACUAAAUGCAACUUAUAAUAAACCUCGUGUUAGAUUUUCAGGCAUUUUUGUUUGGUAAAAUAAUUUUAUCUAAAUAGUACCUAUCAAUGAAAAUUACAUAAAAGAUCUAGAAAAUGUGAAAUGUCUGCAAAUACCUAAUAAAUAUUUUCAGAAUAUUUUAAAAUUCGUGCGUCUAAAAAGGGCAAUAAAGGUUUUGUCAAAAUUUUAAGUCUCUACGGAAAUUUUGAACUGAAUAACCAUAAAAAAAUAAAAUUGAAAAUAAUGAAACCAUUACUUUUGUAAACUCUAUUCUCGUUAUUUCAGUGUUUUAUCCAAUUUUAUUAAAUUAUUAAUAAAAACUACAUAGAAAAUCAAAAAAUUGGUUUUAUUAUUGCACUUACCAGAUCCAAAAAAGAUCUCUGGUCAUUUUUUAAUUAUAGACUAAUUUUUGGUUUGAAGGUAAAAAAAAAAUACACACACAUUAUAGUAAAAUUUAUCUCACACUACACUCAGAAUUUAAAAUAGUUUGAGGAAAUUUUGAUUCUAGUGGCGGUAUUCACGGGCCUUUUUUUUUUAUUUUAAAUAUACGUCACCGUCGUCGGCUGGGGCAUUUUUCGAGUCGUAUUAGACCAAAAAUCAACCAGGUUAAUCGAUUUUUCCGCCUGGGAAAUAUUCUUUACACCCCGUUUAACCACACAUCACUAUAAUAUAAUAACUCCACACUAACCGGAUGAAUGUUAUCCGCCACCUGUAAGGUCCUCUCGAUCAAUAUCGCAUUACGUAGGUAGGCUUCUAUUAUCCGCGUAGGUAUAUUAUACCUAAUAUUUUAACGUAAUCGGCGGUCGGAACAACGCGAACGAGCCUUUGUCCUCGUCGCUGCAGAUUCUUAUAUAUAUAUAUAUAAUGCACGUGCGUACAAUGGAUCUUUUGUAUUAAAAAUAAAAUAAAAUACAAACUCCAAAUCGAAAUCAUUUAUGCCGAUUUGACGUGAGUUGUUGAAAAAUAAUUCAAAAAUAAAAAAAAAAUAGAGCUAUUGCGGCUGAUAAGUGUGCCACUGUUUUAGGUGAAAUAUUAGGAAAGCAAAAUACAUAAAGUCAUUUUAUACAUAUCCGUAUUUAAUGAUAAAUUAUUGUUAACGAAAAACGAUUUGGAACGAAGUUUGGACAAAGAGUUUUUGAACAUGAUUUAAAAUUGAAUUAAAACGCAUACAAAAAACAAACAAAAAAUGCUAAAUUUAUUACGAACACAUUUUUUUUUUUUUACUUCUAAGUACAGUUUAUGAUCAAAAAUUGUUUUAAAUAUUUCUACUUUGCUUAAAUAUCAAACUAAAUAAAAAAUAAAAUAAACUCAAAAGUAUUAGGUAAAUGUUUAUAAAAAAAAUUGUUCAAACUCAGAGAACUCAAAGAUCGUCAUUUUUCAAAUAUCUAAAUUAAAGAUAAAUGAUAUAAAAAAUACAUUAUAUUUCUAGAUUAGGUAUAACACCCAAUAAAAUCGUAAAUUGUUAUAUUAUUUUUUACCAAGUUUGAAAAAAUUAGCGUUUAAUAAUUAAAAAAAUGUGUUAUUUAUGAUGUAUUUUAUAAAUAGUAUAUAUUCUAUUUCGUAUUCGAUUAUACGAAUAUAGUGUAAUCGACGUAUUAAUUUUAUAAUAUUGCACCAGCUAUAAUACAAAAACAAUUUUACCCUGGAAGUUUAAUUUCCAAUUUGAAAGAUAUUCAUAUUAAAGUCAUAAAUAUUAUGAUACAUAAUUUUCAUUUUUUUUUUAACGAGCCUCAAUAGUUGUUGAAAAUCUGCUCGGUUCAGAAUAUGAAUACAAUUAUAACAUGUACAUUGAACAAUAAACCAAUAUAUUUUUAAAAGUUUAUAACUAUACCUAUAUUUUUACAACACGGGUUAUUAUUUUUUAUUGUAUCUGUAUUUUUCAUUUAUAAUACGAUAAAAAAAAAAAAAAAAAAUUGAUAAAGUUUUACUUAUUAUGCUAUACAAACAAGCAGCAUAUCUGAUCAAACGAUAUUAGUUAUUUUGAGAACGAAAAUGACGUCCGAAUUUAUUUUAAUUUAUAACAAUAUCAUCUAAUAAUACGAAAAUACUGAAAAUCAUCGGAAAAUUUAUGGAUAAACAACUAUGGGCAUGAAUGGGUUAAAAAUUAUUUUAAUUUGAAGUUUUUGGCUACCCAAUUUUUAACAUUAUUUAAUUUUUUUUUGUUUUACAUUAAUGAAUUUAUUAUUAUUGAUUUUAAUGAUUUUGUACGGUUUUAAUUUCUUUAAGUUUUAAUACGACAUUGUAUUUUUUGCAAUCUAUAUAUCUAAGUAUCUAAUUGAUUUGAAUACUGUCAUUUGAAAGAUAUAUUAAAAAGAUUUUAGUUUUAUGUUGUAAAUACUAUUUUAAUGGAAAAUGUGAAUAUUAUGGGAAUUCAAAAUAAUAUGUGUAAAGGAACUUCGCUCAGAAACAUACUUCGUUAGCUUUCGUUUAUAUUUACUUAUAGAUAUAAAUUAUUUUCAAAAUAAACCGCAAAACUUUAGGUUUAAUCAUUUCCACUACAUGACAAUAACAAGUGUAAUGUUAUUCUCAUACAACAUGCAUACAAUUAUUUGUAUUUAUAAGAUUAAACGAUUUGGAUAUGGCCGAGUAUUUGGUAUUUAGUAAAAAAAAGUUGCUAAUAAAUACAAGGAUCAUUCUUAAUUCGAAGAUAAAUACAUAAUUCUUCGUAAUCAAUACAUGAUAAUAUAGUUGGAAAAAUAAAAUUAACACGGUGGUCGGCGCGUCUUCGCCGCCGUAGCAUUAACAAAAUUAUUCCUAAAAAAAGGUAGAUUUCAUUGAAGUUUCAUAGACACCAUUCAUCGGUGCCGACGUGUAUGUCUCUUUAUUCAAAAAAUAACGGUUUUUUUUUUGAAGUCUCGAAUGUCUUGCCCUCACGGGAAUCGUUUAAACGAUCACUCUGUCGAGAAUUCUGUUCACAACAAGUACGUCCCACUAACUUCUUUCGAAAAUAUCUAGCUCCUAUUUUUAACUACUAAUCACUUGUAUUCGAUUUCUUUAUAAUAUAAUUAUUUUAUUCAAUUGAACUAUUUGUCAACACAGGUGCAAAGUGUUCAUUAUUUUAAUUAGAUUAUUUUAAUUAAAUUGUGACUGUCAUCCAAUUACUUCAGGAUCACGUGAGGACAUAAAACAAGUAUAUAAAAAUAAACAAUUCAAGUUAAUAAGAUAACUAAAUGUUUAAAUUAACUUUUUAAACUCGUUAAGACAACGAUAAUUUUUAACGCGUGAAGUCACUAACUUUUUUUUCCAAUAAACCCAAGAGAGUUUAUAUUAUUCUUUAAGGCAUAAUGAUAUUUGCCAUGACAUAUUUGUCUUUCUAACGGGCAAUACAGAAAAAAAGUUGGUACUGAGGACGGGCGCAGCCACUAUUGUAGAUGGGAAAUUAGAAAGGUUAGGUUCCGUAUAUUUUGAGUAAUUCCUACGUUAUUUCCUGGUUUUUCGUAACUGUUAGGAAAACUAUACAGGAAAUCAAACAACAAUUUUCGUAUUCACAAACUAGACUACACUUUCUGAAUAUGCUAUUUUUUCCAACUUGUCUCCUAAAACAACGGCAUAUCUAUCGGUAGUAUAGGACAUUAUUAUUUUACUCGUCCAAUGGUUCAUGGUCAUAGACUUUGGUCUUGAAUUAAGUAAGCAUUUCUCCACUAGUGACCACAUAGUCACCCAUCAGUUAUGUCCAAGGUGUCGGUACUACGGGUUCAAAUUCGACACCAGCACGAACCCGUAAAGAUACCACUAAGGUACCGGUUUAUUUGGUUAGAUCUUACUCGACUCGGAAUCCUGCAGGAGCAACAGCAUCUGGUGUAAUAUAAUAUCGUACCGAUUAAAACAAACCAUACAAUAUACUCGUAAUAUAAUACUAUUAGAGAAAUAUGAUUUAGAAAAUGUUAUUUGAUAUAAUGAUAACGACGACGGUUUUAUGUCUUGGGAAUUUAGUUUUUCAGUACAUUGGAUUCCGGGCAUUCGGAGCACCAUAAAAUAUUAGUAUAAUAUGGAGAGAUUACACAGGAUUACGCAUAUAAUAUUGCGAAUAAGGGAAGGAUAAUAAUAUUAUAAUGUGUCAUAGGGUUGUCGUUGAUGAUUUUCGUUUCAGAAUGUCUACUAUCGCCGCCGUUGGUAGUCUAGAAUCUUCUUUGAAACGUGAGAAUAAUCAUUCGGUUGUCCCUGUUCCGGUGAAGCGUAUAUUUGUAUGUUAUUAUUACGGGAUUUAUACUCGUACAUGAAUAUACCGGAUAAUUUUUUUAUCGCUAAACACUCAUUAUCUCGGAAAGUAUUAAUUUUUGUUUGCAAUCUACAAUUUAAAAUUUAAAUUAUCUUUUUUUUAAAUUGUUGCUUUCCGUCUAUCCAUUGGCGAGAUAUUCAGUUUUUAAGUUUGAGUCGGAGGAGAGUAUUGGUGCAUUAUUAAAACGCCGCAUGCCACCACACAAAUGAUGCUCCACUAUUCUCUCCUGACACAAACUUAAAAGUAGAAUAUCUUGUCAAUAGACAAAAAUCAAUAAUUUCAACAAUAAAAUGAAUUUUAACUAAUACCCCAUCUAUUUAAGGCAUUUUUAAUAUAGGUUGAUAUUUGAAAAUCAAAAGUGGGUAGUCGUUUUACCCCCUCAAAAUAAGGGAUAUAAAAAAAAAAAAUGAUAAUGUAACAUUUUAGAAUUAUUAGUUUCUUAAGUUACAAAAAAAAAAAAAAAAAUUAAAAACUGUCAAUACUUUUCGAAAUAACAAGUGUUUAACGAUAAAUUAAUCACCCGGUAUAUAUAUAUAUAAUAUUUUCACAUAUAUCAUGUAAUAUUAUAACAUAGAUUGCGUGAGUAAGUAAAUCGCAAUGGUAAUAAUUACGGGAGUCCCAUCGUUUUCUGUUCCGAAAAGUUGUUAUUGAACAGGUUCGUUUUCGUCGGUACAAAUUUUGUUUUACCUUAGUAUCCCAAGGAAGAAGGUAUUAAUAAAAUUUUAGCAUAUUUUUUUUUCAUAUAUAUAAUUUUAUAUCUUUUUUCCUUUUUAUUUGUAGAUCUAAAUACUCUAAAUUGUAUAAAUGUAUGUAUUUUCGUAUUAGCGUAUUAGGUUAUAUGCAAGUGUAUGCGGUAUUUUCAAAAUUUAAUUUGCUUACACCGAAAACAUAAAUAAAAUAAGUAACUAAGUUAAGUUAAAAUUAAUUGUGAAAACAAAUAAUUAAGUUAUUAGCUAAAUUAUUUUCCAUAAUGGUAUAUAUAUUUUUUUAAAUUAGUAAGGUAGAAGCUAUCAAAAGAGUAAUUAUAACUUAACUUUUAACUUUUUAACUAUAGUGUUAUUAUCCUGUUUUGUGUGUUAUAUAUGAAAUUAUAUUGGAGAAGGUUACAAAAUAUGUACAAUAGUAAAAACGUUUCAAAUAGAAACCUGUUUAAAACACUUCGCUAGCUUGCAGGAUUAUAGCAGUAAUAAUAUACUUACCUGACACUUGUAAAAAUAAAGUAAUAUCCCGUAUCCUCGUGUUUUUGUAGUAAUUAUUUACGCUAUUUUAGGACGAUUUGAGUAGAUUUUCAUCGCUAAUCGUUAAUAUUUUUGUCAUCCUUAUUUUUGGAUAAAAUAGCAAUAUACACUUUCGCUUUUCAAACCGUAACAUAUAUUAAAAAAUUCUCUGAAUAAAAAAAAUUUUAACUUAAAUAAAUGCCAGAACGUAUUCGUAGGUCGAAGAUUAUUAAUCUCGAUUAUUCGUUCACAGGGUGAAAGCAACCUGGUCAAACUCGCUCGGUAAUCAUAUUUGUCGAAACGCGUUUUCAUGUCAUCGACGGACCACGAAACAAUUUAUUACAACCGCAGCCCGAGUGGAAAUGUACACCGUAUUAAUAAUUAUUAUUAUGAAUCCCUUUAAUGGCGGCAACGGUCCUUCCGAGACCACCGCAAAACUUCUUGCCGAGUUGUCUUAGUCAACAAUAAUGAAUCAUUUGUAUUUACUUGGGGAAAUCGUUUUUUCUGUCUAUGAAAAAUUUUUCUUCCAGAAAUCUUGCUCUGAUCAUCAAAUUUUAGAGUGGUUUAUGAAGUCAAAUUUUUUUCAGUUCGUGCAUCGAAGAGGUAUUUUUUUAAAAAUUAUCUUUAUAGUUUUCCAAAUAAUUUGUUAAGUCAGGAACGAAUAUCGGGAAAUUCGGAUAUAUGUACGAAAUGUCGAUUUAUGUUAUUUUAAAUUUUAUUUUCUAUUAUAUUUAAAUUAGAAAUAAAUAUGUAGAUCUGAAAAAUGUCACUAAUUACUCAUAUAAUAAAUAGCUACAUGUAGUACGUUUUUUAACGUUUUAUAAGUAUUUAAUUAUUAUUUGAAUUUUUCAAGUUUUUGCUAUAGUGUUAUGUGGAAAUGUUAUAUUUUAUUUUCAUAGGCGUGUUUUUAUAGUAAUUUUUAUUAGAAUUCGUGAAAAACUCGAAUAAUUGUAAUUUAUUACACAAAUGAACUUUCCUCUGAAUCAUUAUUCUCGAUCGAAAUGACUCAUUAUUACGUAGAGAUAUAAACUAAAUUAACCUAUAAAUACAUGUAUUGCAUGUAUACUGUAUUUAUCUAAUUUUCCCAACUUAUCACCUAAAACAGUAGCCCUUCCACGGUGACAAAUAUGUCGGCUUUUUAAAAACUCAUAUCAUUCUUAAUAGAAAUACAUUUUUCACACGAUAAAACAAACGACAUAUGCACACAAAAUGGAUCUGUCCUGAUUUCCUGAUAACAACAAUAUCCAAAACCGUCUUGCAGACAUGACAAGUGCCAAUCAAAAAAAUGUAUCUCAUAUUAUCCUACCUUCGUAUUUUUGAUGGAAAAUUAGAUAGAAAAAACGUUUUACGACGAGAAAUGUUCAGUUACACAUUUUACGGUAUGUUUGACGCGUCGCUACCGCUCAACGCAACAGUUUUUUUCUGUUAUCGACCCUGGCCACACAAUAUUCGUGUUUAUCUCAGUUUGACCUUCGUUUGAAAGGGCCUGUGUAUACAAGGAGCAAUCAGCUUAUUUUAUCAUUUCUUCGAUUGAUCUUAUUCUUCCUAUAUUAUAACGGCAUUCGGAAAAGUUUUUACUUGUAUUUUUAAAUCAAUAUGCUCUUUUUAUAUAGGUAUUCGCUGUUUAAUUUACACUAAAUAUUUUCCAUUUUUGUUAACGCCGUACUUUCCAAUACUGGAAUUUUUUGACAUGCAUAACUCAAAAAACUAUUUGUUUAUAGUGUCGCUAGAUUCCUUAAUUACCGACAUUGUUUCGGUUGUCCUCACGUUCAUUUGAACUUAGUACUUCUGUAGUAUUUUUUCGACCAUUAUUUUAUUAUAAACACGACGGAACUGUCUUGUUGAAUUUUCUAGAAUUUUGGCGAAUUGCUAUAUAUUUUCUAAUAAUCAGGUUUGUUUCGUUAUUAUAUAGAAAUUACAAAUUAUCUAACAACUAUCAAUGGAUAGUAUGAAUAUUGCCAAAAGUGGCUGAGAGCUGUCUUUUUACGGACGAAAAAAUACUCCUCAAUAUUAUUUAUGAAUAUAUAUAUAUAUAUAUUCAUUUUGACCAAAACAUAAUAAUAUAUUAUCGUCAGUUAUUCAUAGAUAAUAGAUAUAAUACUAUUAAUAUACAGGGUAAUUUAUUAUUCGCGCUCAUUCCAUUUGUAUGGUUAAAUUUAGCAUGUAUUCAAAUUCUGAAUUUUGGUAUUUUUAAAUGUAGUUUAAAUCGGUUUAAAUUUUUGAUUUCCGUUAACCUAUUGAAAAAAAUAUUCAACUUUUAAUUUUAGGUAGAAGAGAGUGUUAAUGGAGUAUUAUUUGUAUGGCAGCAUGGUGCACGACGUAUUAAUAGUGCUCUACUAUUCUCCCUUACCUAAAGUUAAAAGUAGAAUAUCUCGUCAAUGGGUAAUCAAACAUUUUAAAACCAAAAUGUAUUUAAACUAAUAUUCCGUCUAUUUAUGGAAUCUUUAAUACAACUGCUAAUUUGAAAAACCGAAGUUGGUUUUGUCACACGACAUUUCUUAAAUUUUGUGAAAAAUCUAAGUAUUACAAAAUAUCGACUUUAACUACAUUUAAAAAUUCAAAAAGUCAGAAUUUGAAUAUGUACACAAUUUAACCAUACAAAUGAGGUAAGAACAUCUUAUUUAAUAAACCACUCUGUAUACUAACCGGAGUCGAUCGACGCUCUAAUUCUGGAUACUCUCAAAUUGCCUCUCAUAUUCAGGUAGAUGACCUUUUUUCACUUGAAUUGCCUCCGGGUGUUUUCGGAGGCAAUUCGAGUAUUCUCAAACCAUCCAUUCGAAUUGCUUCCCAUAGCGUACCUAAAUUAUUCCCACGUAGCAUUUUGGAUGAUGAUUACAUUUUUAAAAUAUAUUUUAAUCAUCAUAAAGAAAAUAUUUCCCGGAAUAUAUUUUAAAAAUGUGUUGAACAUAUACUGCAUAAAAUAUUAUUUUUAAAUAAUUUACAAAAUGUUUUAAACACGUUUCUUGAAAAUAUGUUUAGAUCAUCAAAAAAUAUAUGUUUUAAUAAUAUUAAUACCCGUAACAAUAAUGAAAUAAUAUAUGCCACCGCAGUGAAUUUCCACAAUAUUAAAAUUGUUAAAUGUAUACAUCACACAUAUUUUUAUCACAUACACACAGUCAUCAUUUGGAUGAUUAUUGGCAGCUAUAUGGAUUUCAUACACGCACACAAAAAUGUCCUUAUAAAUCUUUUUGUUACAUUGUUUUUUUUUAAGGAUAAAGUGAUUUGGACAGAAAGUAUAAACUAAUAAACUAUAUUGUAUUGUGUACUACUCGCGGAUCCUGUAUUAUAAAUAAUAAGAAAUAUUUAAUUAGUCAAUAAUAACGAGUACUUAUGUAUGCAAUUAAGUUCAUGGUUUCUUUACUUAAUUAUAUUUUUGAAGAAAAUAAAAUGGCCACAGCUCCGGCAUCGACCCAGUAUCCCUGGUGUAUAUUAAUUAAUAUAUCGAUAGUUGACGUGUACUAUCGAUUAUUAUAUUGAUUUUCGUAAUGUUCAAAAAUAUUAUUUGUAUUAUUUAUAAUAAAAUAUAAAUAUGUAUAGUAUUUCCUAGACAGAUUAAUUUGUCGAAUGUAAUAAUCUUGUUGAUAACUGAUUAUCAGUAGAUUAGUCGAUUAUUUAAUUAUUUUUUGAUUAGUUUUUAAUACGUAAAAUUUUGAUACAAUACAUAUACCUAUUUGCUUUUUUGACAUCGACUUAUUACCUAAUAUCGUGUACUAAUGUCUAAUAAUAACAUGUGUACCUAAUGUAAUACCUAUGUAUAAUUGUUUUUAAUUUUAAUAAAAUCGAAAGAGGAAUCGAUCCCAAUAAAGGAUGGCUUCUACCUAAGAUAGAAGACAAUUCGAGUUAAUGAAUUUUUUGAAAUCGAAGACAAUUUGAGUAAACUUUUUAAAAAUAAAUUCACGGGAGGAAACUCGUGUUGUCUAUUCAUAACUGGGCAUCGUGUCAUUGACCAGUUACUGACUAACAAAUUCUGUAACCACCACUGUAAUAUAAUAACUAGGUUUUGACAAAAUCUUUUUUUUUUUUAUGGGAUUGAAAUGGCAUAUCACUGAUUAAAUCUAUCACUGGUGUUUAAAUAUUUUACAGUCGGUAUCGCGUCAUGGUGUUCUUGGCCAUUUUCCAGUUAUUUUGUUAUCCGUAACUACAGGGUUAUAGAACGAACUUUUCAUUCACCAAACGUUCACUGCUUACUACUAUCUUUUUCUGACUAGUUAAUGUAGAUACACUUUUGAAAUCGUUACUAAAAGUAUUUUUUUUUCGCACCAGGUUGACACAGAUCAUUUGAUUUCCUAAUAAUAAUUAUACCUACGUUCAGGUAUCGAUUCAAUUUUUACGUUUUCCAAAUCAAACUGGGCGGCGUAACAGUCAUUGGCCAAGUUUCCAAUGGUCUCUCCGAUGUUCUCGCUGCUCUUAGUGGCCAGUAUUAAUUUACAUUUGUCGACUAGAGCUAUCAUGGACUGAUCUAAUAUAAUACAAACAAAUAGAAAACAAAAAAAAAAAAACAAACAUUGAAUUUUACGCGUUUUUUUGGCCAAGAGUAGCACAAUUCGCAUAUGAUGAUAGUAUAUGUAUACGUAUCAGAUUGGUAUGAAUAAAGUAUGAAAAAUUAUACGCCCUAGAGAGAAAAAAAAAACUAUAGGAUUUUUUGACGUAUUCAGAACUCGCAGAGGGGUGCGUCGCGUAUAUGCUCCGCGAUACAAAUAUUUUUAUUUCUCCUCGUCCCUGCGAUUAAUCUCUUAAUGGAUAUACCGUGUACUCAGUAGGGAGGAGAGGGUGAGGGGAAUAAAAGUAUCCCUCGUAUAAAUAUUAUCCUGUGACGACAACACGAGACAACACCGUUGUGACGUUAGACUUUCUAUAGGGGAAAUGGUUACGCUAGAUUGAAACCAUGCCGAUGACAAUCAUUGCAACCCGACCCCAUAUCUGACCUUUAAGGUAUCAACCAAUCCAACAGGAUCGACUACUCAACGAUUUUCUAUAGACCAAAUUCGUUUUUGAAGCUUAACUACAAGUAUAUUUUUCCGACAUACUUGAUGUACUUGGCGGUCACGUGUAAGAUCGGCACUUUCUUGCCAGUUGCAAUCGUCACCCACGUGGGGGGAAUGUGGGAUACGGUCCUUCAGGUUUAUCGUCGUUUUGAAAGCUACCAGAAAAGUUAGCAGCAAUCAAAAGUGACAAGUUUUAAAACUCGUGGUAUUUACAUGAAUAACGGGGGUGGUUUUACUGGAAUAUAUAUAUAGGGGAAAAAAGUGAACAUUUUUCAAAAACAAUAAAACUUGCUCGAGUAGAAGAAUGUGUAUAAAUGUCCACCGACGAUCAAGUCGAUGUCGUUCACUUCCGUGGCGACGCGUGACGAUUUAGUCGAUGUCGAUACCGCUGUGCCUUAACCACACGAUGACUUGGCUACCUCUGCUUUUAGUGAAGCGAUUUCAUCAGUAAACUUAGUGUGAUCCAGUUUAGUAUUAAUUUUAAUAAACAUUUUUCAAAAAAAUGGAUCCUGAAAACUUUUUAUCACAAAUACCGCACGCAAAAAAAAAAACAAAAAUAUACAUUCGGGUAACUACCUGAAAGUUAAAAAUUCUUUUAAGACAUUUAAUUAUAAAAAUGGAACAAUUAUUCAAAAUUUAAAAUUCGAAUUGAUAUUAUACAUAAAUGUCGGAUCUUGUAAUAAUAUUAGUUGCUGAAUAUCUAGGAUCACGACAUCUAUAGCCAACACGAACUUCUCUCGUCACUUUAGUACUUUAUCACUUUAUAAACGGGGAGAGAGUAUGGAAUCAGUAAAGUAUAAGACUAAGAAUAAAUAUUCGUAAAAUGAAUACACAAAUAAUAUUUUUAUUUUUUUUUUAAAUUUAAAAUUUCAAUAUUGUUUAUAGGUAAGGGUUUUAAUAUUUGAAUAUAAUAUUCAUAUUGCCGAACAAUGUGAAACGGUAAACUUUUUGACAGUAUCUUGUAUGAAAUUCUAUUUUAGUCCAAUCUGUAAACUUGCUUUGACUCCGGAGACCGGAAAAGGAUGAAGGGAGAACGUGAGAGGAGAGUUCGCGUUUACAAUUGUAUAACAACAAUCGACGUGUGAACAAUAAAGUGACGACAACGUAAGUUUCGGCGCAAUAUAACGUGAUGUUGCUCAGUUGCUGCGAUUGGAUUUUUUAUCAGCAUGUCAAAACUUUAGCCCGCAUAGGUACAUAACCCUAUAUACUGAUAAAUAACGAAGUCAUAUACCGUGCAUACCAUUACUACGGUAACAUUAAAUCUAUAUAAUAUCUGUACACCGUCGCCAUGUCAUUCGGUUGACCGUGAUCUGCAUGAACAAUAGCAGACCCUCCGGUUUGUUAUUGAACUCGUGAUUACCCAACUAUUGUAUGGAAAAACCGAGAAUAUAUAUUGGUUUAACGAUUCCGGUUAAUUAUUUUAGAUCUAGAAUUAAUUUGUUGUGAUUAACAUUUUUUUGCAAGCUUUUUCGUGAUAAAUUAUUUUAUUUUUCAAACUAACAUUUAUCAAUGCGUUAUGGAUUUGUCUCAUGUUAAUGAUGCGCGUGCAGUCAUUUAUAUAUUAAAAUAAAUACCUAUAUUAAUAUAUAAUUUACACCAGACAUCUUUAUUAAUGUAGUAUAGUAGCGUAAUCAGUUGUCAAACCUUGUUUUUAUACUAGCAUACAGUUUUGCAAAACGUCUUGGCUAUCUUUUAGUGAGCAUCUUAUUGUAAAAUUUACAUAAUUUCAAUCAGAGGACCGAUUACUAUUAUUAAGUUAAGUUGGGUCAUGGUUAAAGGUUAUGAACCACCUAUCGAAUUUUAUAAGGUAGGGGGGUAUGACUGGUAUGAGUCAGUGUAAUGGACAGCACCUAAAUGUAAACCGAAAUCUUUAUAUUAAUCUGUUAUUUGUAUUUUAUCGUCACUCGGUCAAAUGAAAAUAUGCCGAUGAUGCGCUGACACAGUUUACGUUAAUAAGAACGACGAGGCAGCGAUACUCGUUUUUCCAUUAGGGUAAUUCAAAUUAAGGCGUAUUCGUGGACAAAAAACAAAAACGGUCUAUACAUAUAUAUAUAUAUAUAUGAAUGAGUCUUGUCGUAAAAAAAUAACAAAAAAAUAUUGCAAUAAGUUGCGUUUGUUUGCCCCAAAGAGAAUAUUAUAAUAGGUACACGACAUUCAGAAAGAAUCGAGUGAGAUCCCCCCGAGCGUCACCCGUUCGAAAAAAAAAAAAUAUCAAAAAGAUUUUUUAGCCAACUAACAUAACAUUUGUAUUAAUAAUAUUAUUAUUAUUAUUAUGAUUCAUGCGUUUAAAUCCAAAGGAAAAUAAUCCACGAAAAUAAUGUACGAGAGAUUAUAUCAUACUCACAUAUAUAUAUACUAUACAUAGUAAGCGGGAAGGACGGAUUUUAAGGGUUUUUAUGUCAUUCGGAUACAAAAUACCAAAAUGUCGGAUUUAAAAUAAUUAUAUUUUAGUAAAUUGUUUACAUUAUAUUAUAGUAAAAAUAUAGUGUCAUUGUGGAUUACCUGCUAUAAAAACUAGUUUAAUUUUAAGUAAAACUAGAUACAGAAACAAACCAAUGAAAUAGUCACAAUUGUUUCUUAAAAUUCUAUCAAAAAACAUUAUUAAUUUCAGAAAAAUGUAUGAUUGACUAUCGUAUUUCUAUUCUACAUUAAAAUCAAUUUAUUAUACUAUCUUAUUAUAAGUCGGUCAAUUAAAUCUUAUGUAACGUUAAUUUUAUACAAAUUGAUUUCUCCGUCUUGCCAUAGUAUUUUUUUAAACUCAGGACUCCCCAAUCGGUUAACACGUCAACGUUUUAGACGUGGAAUAAAACAUUGUUGAAAAUUUAAAAUCGAUUAAAUCAUAAACGCCGCGUUGCGUCAUACAUAUUUGUUAUUUCACUAAUAAUUUUGUUUCUAAUGAUUCCCAAUUAUUUCAAUAAUCUCUUGGAAAAUCAUAAAAUGAUCUAUAUAAUCUACCGACUAGAUAAAAGUUUCAUUCAGAAAAGGUGUUAUACUCUAUACAUUGGAACAAGAUUUCUUUUUGAGAAGUUGUUUGUAGAUAAAAAAAUAAAUUAUAAACACACAUCAUAGUAAAACCAAUAAAUCCUUCUCUACGCUCUGCAUCUAAAAGAGGAGCUUAUAUUGAACUUUGUAAAUUAAUCUGUGUCAUUUCUAAGAAAAAACAUUAUCAUAUUUUUAAAAAAUAGAUAACCACGAACCAUAAUAUACAUUAUUAUAUAGCAAAUUAUACAACAGAAACUUUGCACCAAAAUCUAAUAACAAUUAACAAGAAAACGAAUGAAAACAAAUAAUCAUAUCAAUUCACUAGUGACAACUGAUAAUAUUAACAAAUUAAUAAAACCCUCAAUUUAAAAAUAAUUUUUAACCUGGGUUUACAUUUAAUAAAAGAGGGAGGGGGAAAAUGGAGAAGUAAAUUUAAAUUUUGGUAGGGCUACCUUUGCCCUUUGCCUCUAACCUCACUCUUUCUACUAUGCGUUAUAAACGUUAUAAAAGAAGAAAAAUGAGUUCAUAAAAAUCAUAAUAAAAUCAACGGGAUUACUCCAUAAUAAUACGUUUGCUAUAACGACGAAAAUAGAACAUUGAUAUACAUAUUUCAUAAUUCGCGAUAAAAUGUAUCCACAAACAAAAUAACAUUUCCCGUUUUUGUGAAGAAUACUUUGAUUUUUUUUUUUUUUAUUGUUAAUAUUAUUCGAAUGUAAAACAGGAAUAAUACGGUUUUGAUCGGUUUUCGAAAUAUAUUAUAAUAAUGUUAUAUUCAAAACAUACGAUUUUCGUUUCAAAUGCCUUUUUACAUUCACACAAAUGUUAUUGUUCGGCGAUAAGAAUAUACUUAUAUAUUAUUAUUCUAUUUUAUAACCACUCAAAAAUUAUGCAAUGCAACAAUGCAACAAUCGUUUUCGAAUAUACAUACUAUGUAUGUAAUAUAUUAUAUUUCAACCAAAAAUGUCCGUUUUUCUAGUACUAUAUGUAUUAUAUUGAACGGUUUACUUUCAAGAAUUCCGUUUUUAGUUUCUCAAGCAUAACGUCGUAAAAUACGUUUGGUAGAUAUAUAAUUUUUGGCUGUCCCUUGUACCAAAAGCAAUUUUCCGUGAAAUGUUAUUGAAGAAAUUCGAGUAGGUUCCUACCACAUAAAACAGAAAUACUCUUAAAACAGAAGCAUAGGACCUAUUUUUUCCUUAGGGGGGCAAAAAUUUAGAUGGUGUAACAUUUCUUAGUUAUUCUCUCAAUAUGCAUGUACGAUGGUAGAGGACGACGGUAGUGGAUCGUAGAAAACAGGGUCGUAUCUUGGAAUUUUCUAUAGGGGGAGGGAAGGUCCAGUUUCAUAAAUAAAAAAUGUGGAUGAUAUAUCUUUAUAAGAAAUUGCAUUGAGUUAAACCUCAAAAUUGUGAGAGUAAAAUAUUAUAUUUUCAUGACAACACUAUUGCAAUUUUUCACGGGCUUUUAGCAAUGUCGUUCAAUAUUUCAUUGGGCGUGAUGACAAUAUUUCGGUAACAACUUAAUAGUACUAAUCCAUUGAGAUGAUCCUGUUUGACAAACAGCUAGAUAAAUAAAAUUAAAUCACUAUUAAUUUUUUAUACAUAUCACUUUCAUACUGUUUCUAAGGUAGGUAUAGGUAUUUAUUCUUUUUAAACCAGAAAAAGAUCUUUCUGGCGUUGAAGUAGAAACUGUUGAAGUAGACUGCACAAAAUUUUUAAUAAAAAUAGAUAACUUAAAGUAUUAUUCUAAAUUAACUUCUUUAGUAUUUUUAAAAUUUAUAAAAGUUUUAUGUGUUAAAGCCCCUAAUUUUAAAUUCUGAGUGGAGCAAAGAAGCUUAUGGUUUUACAAAGAUAUUUAUUUUUUUUUUCUGAGGAAAACUUUUGUACCAGCAAUUUUGUUCCAUCUUUUAAUGAUAGCAAUGUUUCUAAAAGGAAAUUUCACUGGGGAGGUACUUUAAAGAGGUCAUUUUUCUAUUUUUUCCGAAAUUUUCUCAGCAAAUGUGAAUAACUGGGAAAACCGAAAAAAUCGGUACAAAAUUAAACAUAUAUUAUUAAAGAAAAUAUAUAGAGCCUAUUUAAUUAUAUUACUUUAGUGUGACAUAUAUAUUAUUGACAAAGCAUCACUAUCAAUUAAACUCCAUUCAGAAUCGUUUUUUCGUAAGCAAUGGUUUAUAGUUGCUUACAGGUAUACAUUAUGUUAUCUCUAAUAGUGUCUGCAUCCGUUUCCAUUGGCUUUAAAUCCGUGGGUUUAAAUUUUGUCCAUCUUUCCUCCCCUUUUUUCUCCAUCCAUGUUGGCUUUCCAGUGACUAUAGGAAGUAAGUUGCCAGGCCAAUUUCGCGUAAGUAAACUUCACGUUAAAUUGAAAUUUGUUUUUGUAAAUCAUAUUACUUCACUGUAACGAUCAUCGGACUGGUGUAUAAACAAAUUAUUCUAAAUUACCACAUUGCUAUGGACAUAAAAUUAAGAAAUAAUAUGUCUAUUUCAAAAACCCCUUAAGUAGGUGUGAUGAUAACCUCAUCCGUCUACGUCUUACAGAUGUACGGCACAGUCAUUUUGCGUUGCUUUUUAUAUGCUAUUGCGGUGUUAGUUUUAAUAUCAGAGUGAAUUGACUUAUUAUCGGACUUAAAGGUGAGAACAUUAUCUGCUCAAUGUUGACGCAAUUUUUCCAAUUUAAUUUAUAAGAGAGCUUAUGAUUAAUUGAGUAUGUGAAUUAUCACAAUUUAAUAAUGCUUGUAUACCUCGCUUUUUGAUGCCUGAUGGCAAGCUUCCGUCUUUAAUCAUUUCUGAACGAGAAUAAUAUUUGCGGUACAAUUUCGUGACACUGAAACCCGGUAAUCGUUUAAAGUUUACGCUAAAAUUGAUGCAAACGUGAAAAUGGAAAUCAAAUAAUAAUUGUGUACUUCACCACACGAUUUUCGCUGCACUUGGCUGCCCGUCUAAACUUUGAAUCCGUUGAAUAAGCACUAAGUGAACAUUUUAAGAAACACUACAUGUUUCACUCCAAAAUAUGAAAUAAUUAUUAAAACACGUAAUAUUAUAGAAAUCAUCACCAUCGUCGUUUGAAAAUAAAAAGUCAAUUCGAGUUAUAACGCGGCUAUAAUGAUAAAGAUUCAAAAUAUAUUAUAAUAAUCAUUUCGAAAUCGUUAUUAUUAUAAUUAUUAUUCAGGUAUUCGACUAUGAUGAGGACGAAGAGAAAUUUCAACGCUGAUAAAUUAUUCACAAGAAUUCAAAAAUCCAUCAAAAUACACCGUACUUGUAUACAAAACAUAGAUAUAUUUCAUUUACUAUAUUUUUUUUCACAGAGAGAAAUUUGUUUGAUAAAAGUGAAUUGUACAAGGUGAAUAUGCAAGGAAAUAAGAGCAGGGAUAAUAAUUAAUCUAUAAUUAAUAAGAUAAUAAGGACAAUAAAUAUUUUUAUUUAAUUUUUAUGUUUUGGUGAAAAAUAACUUUUAUUUUAUUAUUUUUGAAAAAUUUGAAGAUAGUUAUAGAGUUAAUUUUUCUGAAAACGUUGACGUUUCAAAUUUUUAUUUGUAUUAUAUUUGUUAUACUAUAAUUUUUAAAAGUUCUGAGAAAAAAAGUAUACAGUCUACUCAUAAUAAUCAAAAUAACAUUAUAUAUAAUAAUUAUAAAUAUAAUUAUAUUAAAAAUAUUAUAAUUUAUAAAUAACAAUUAUUCUUAUUAUGACUAAAUAUUGAGUAAACACUUUGUUUCUCUGAAUUAUAAAAAAUCACGAAUUUAGAGAAAAAAUAAUUAAUACGUCAAACUAUCAAAAGUAAUAAAAUAUAUAAGUUAUUUUUUAAUUUGUUUACCAAACAUAUGUAUUUAAUUUAAAUAUAAAUAUAAGUAUUUUAUUCCUUAUCCCUUUGAGUAAUAUUAAAAAAAAAAAAAAACAGAAUUUUAUUGUCUUUAUUAUCUCCGGAGAUGUUAUAAUGGGUACAUCUUCGUGGGACACCCUAUAUAACCCGUCUUAACCCAAAAUCUUAUCAUUAUAUUUAUUGAACUUAAUACCUAUACAUAAAUACAUGCCUAUGUUAGUAUUUACGUUAGCAUACGGUGAGUCAUAUCUACGUUUUUCGGACUUAAGUUUUAUAAAUUAAAAUAAAAAUCAAUAACAUUCAAUUGAAGUUCGUAAAAAUAACGGGGAAAAGAUCCCUUUGUUCAUGAUGGAUUCAUAAAAAUGAUAGAUUAUAAAUCGCGUAUAUAUUCAAACGUACACUAAUUCAAAUUCAAGAAUUCUCACAACUGACGAAUUAUUUUAAGGUAUUGCGCAUAAUUUAAAGUUAUUGCUCAAAGUUAUUGUGUGUCUAUAAAUUUAUUUAUUUUAUAUUCAACUUUUUUCGUAUAAAUUACCGCGUUCAUUUGAAAAGCGUCGAAAUUACCCAAUCGAAAUGACAGGACACUAAACACUAAAACUAAUACAUUCCUCACUUCACUUAGAGGUCAGAAUUUCAAACAAUUGUAACGUUCGAAAAAUAAAUGCAGACUACUUUUAUAGUAUAUACAAUAUUUUUAUUUUCAAUAAUUUUUCAUUAGUGGUUAAAGUUUUUCCUCCUAUGAAGUGGUAUUUCCGGUAAGAUAAUCGUUCCAAAACAAAAUAACUGUUCUGAGACUGCACACUGUACACGAAAACCCGAUGUUCAACAGACCGAUACUCCGUCGUCGUUAUAUUGACGUGCAGGCGUAAAUUUUGUUUGGAAAAGAAAAAUACCUUCUCUUCUCCUUCGAUUAUUUACCGAAUAAUAGUCGGUAUAUAAACGAUGGACGCAGAAAAAUAAAUCGAUACCAUUUAUUUUUGGUUUUUAUUAUUAUUAUUAUUAUUUUUUUUGAUUAUUACUGCACAUCAGGAUUUGUUGCGUACUGAAAUAACAACGUAUCUACCGCGUAUACGAACAAAAAUAUUAUAACAACACUCGAUUUAUCUAUCAAUAGCAUGAAGCACCUAAUUAAUUUUACUAGUCGAUAAUAUUUACGUUCGAAAAAAAUAAAAUUAUCUACUUGACCCAAUUAUAAGCGUCACCAUGAAAUUUAUGACCAGUUCAUUGCCAAUAAUCAUCGCAUAAUAUAUUGUUUUUUUUUAAACCUUGUAAAUUACUACAAAUAUCUGGUUCUAUGAACAACACAAUUAGUAUACAUUUUUCACAAUUUUUUCAAAAAAAAAUAUGGACACUUCACACGUGGGUUGUCCACUGUCGUAGAAGUUGGGAAGGUAGAGGGGAAAUUGAAUGCAUGUCCAUACGCAACAAUUAACUAUUUCUAACGAAAAACGAUUCUAAGCGGGUUCGGUUAAUACAGUGUCAAUAAUAGUUUUGUCAACAAUAUAUAUGUAUUUUAUAUUAUGGUAAAAUAAUUUCAGGUUGAACAUUCAAUCCUUUAUAAAAAGUGAAGCUCUCCAAUUGUUCGGUCAUGUUUGUGGAACUGGUGGUAAAUUAGUAAAGGAUGUAUUGAUAUACAGAAAAUGGUAAUUUGGACCCAGGACUUGUUAGAUGUACGUAAUUGCAUAUUGGAUAAUGGCAGAAGUGGAGGUGACCGUAAUUUUCGACAAGGCAUAUUAAAGGGUGAGACGGAAAAUAAUUGUGACAAAAGCGAUGGUUCUCAAUGAAUUUGACAAGCUGAAAAGAAAAAUGACACACUUUGUGCGUUUGGUGAUUCUUCACACUAUAUUUUGUUUUUUUCGGAAAAUUACUUUUAUAAAUACACAAAAGUUCAUCAUCUAUGCUACAACUUCCUAUCCGCAUAAAUUUCACCGCUAUUUAUACAAAAAAUAUAUUAUUUACUGUCCCACGAAAUACUAAGGACACAAAUAAAAAAAACUGCUCAUCGCAGAUAAAAACUUUUAAGUGAUUCACUUGGAACUCAAAAUUAUAAACUUUCAUAUACCAACGACUGUUUCUGUAUAUUAAUUAUUUCUCGUUCUAGUAUAUUAUUACUUAUCGACUGCUGGUUUGGCCGGUUAAACUGUAAAAAUAAUUUCUCUAUUUACAAAUGAAUUUAUAGAUACACAUUUUAAACGUUUAGUUUAUUUCGUAAUUAUUAUAUAUAUUACGAUUCGAAGAAUAGCGAAGGAUCUGUUGGUUUUAAUAUGAUGUGUUUUUUUUUUCUGUCAAUGAACAACUUUUCUACCAGAAAUCUUGCUCCAAUAGAAAAACAACACAAACUAUUUUUUUUUUUUAUUUAUAAUCUUAUUCGUUUUUUUUUUAUUAUCUCUGUAGUUUUUUUAAUAAUUGAGCAAAACUGAAAAAUGUGUAGAAAGAACGGACAAAUUUACGAAAAUAAUAAUUUUAUUAUUUUAAAUUUUGUUUUUUUAAUUUAAUUCAGUUAUAAAUACUUGAAAUGUUGAAAGAAAACUUAUAUUUACUUUUCCUAAACAUUAUAAAACUUUUAAAACAUUUAAGUCAUUUUUGAGCUAUUUAUAGAAAUUUUAAUUUUGGGAGUUUUUUAUGUUAAUUUUAUUUGGUAGUUGCUCUGGCGACAAAAUUGUUAGAAUAAACAGAAAUGCUUGAAAGUUUAAGAAGAGAUUCCUUAUAAGUCGUACUUAGUGGCCAAAAUAAAAAUUGAGUGCAAUUCAUUAGCAAUAGUUUAUCGUUGAUUACAAGUAUAAAUUAAAUAAAUUUAUGUGUCUCAACUUCUCAACUACCCACCUACAUCAGUGGCCGCACUCGAAAUAUCAGCUCUUUUUUUGAUACAGCGUUUUAUGGUCUUUAUGACCAUCUCGUUGAACAGAUUUAUCUUCAACCAUCUCUAUUCUUGGCCGCUUCUCUCUAGUUGGUUCCCGGAGAUAAUAAAUAUAUGUUUCUUUUCACAAAGUCCUCCCAUCUUCAACGCUGCCAUUUUUCUAUUGAAUAUUCUUCAAUUAUCACUCUUAAAUCAUAGUACCAUGUUUCCGCUAAUAUGAUGACCAACAAUAGUUUAUUUUUCGUGGUUUCCUUCAUAACGAACUUUGAAACUAAUUUUUAAUUUUUUCGUUAUAAAUUAUAUUCUUAUAACCACUCUAUGAAUUGUUAAAAACAGAGCACAGGCCAUAUACAUGUGUCUUAGAAUAUUCCUCUCAAAAAUGUCUAUUUUUAAUUAUUCCGCUUUUCUCGAGGCCCAUUUCUCGGAGUCAAAGAUAGUGAAUGGUCGUAUCAGGGUAAUAUUUAUUUGAGCUUUUACAUUUUUAACUAGAAUUCCUGAUCUUAUAAGAAAUCAACUCCAAGAUAAUAGCCUUAAGUUAACCCUACGUAUUUAAACUGUAGCACUAUCUUAAAAAUAUGAGCUAUCUCUUGAUGGAUUUCCGCUUCACUAUCGCUAAGUUUACAGCUAUACAUUUUGUUUCUAUUAAUUACUAGAAUCAAACGAUUUUUACCCGCAGCUAUCGUCGGUAUUUUACAAUGCACUAUCAAAUUUGCCAUUUGUUUCCUCUAAAAUAGCAAAAUGUGUGGACCAAGAGGCCUACUGUGCUUUGGUCUAGACUAAUAUCCCAAAAUUCAGACACAUUCAUCUCCUGUAUUACUUCUUCCAACACCGGAUUGAAUUUUAAAAUUGGCAUAUUCGGAUUGAAACCUUUACGUAAGAUUAACUUGAACGACUAGUAACUAAAAUAAUAUUUUAUGAACACUACGAAAAUGAUUAACGAUAUAAGGACAUCGUGUGGUGAAUUGAAACAAGAGUUUAAUUUUUGGCAGUGGAUUUUGAGGACUAAAGUGACCACGUUUUUAACAUUAUAAUAAUAAUUCAUUAUUUUAUCGCCGAGGGCACCAGUUUCGUUUACCGUAAAACCUUUAGCAAUACAUUCCAGAUUCGACGAAUAUAUACGAGAUAUAAAUAAAAUAAAUAUAGAAUACGUAUUUUACGAAAAGUUUGUCUGCAAUAAAACCAUGUUCAUGUCAUCGAAUUAUUGUCGGAGAAACGGUUUUUUUCUAUAUAAUAUUACUGUCGUUCCGUGUCGCUUGAAUUUUUACUGUCCGGAAUCGAGUUUACAAUAAUAUUAUUCCGUAUAACGAUCGUAUAAUAAACAGUCAUAAAUAUUUAAUCGAAUCGAACACGUGUGUGUUCAUUACAUAUUCGAUGAAAACACAAAGUGCCGUAUUCGUGUUUCGACAAACAGAAAUUUCGAUUCGAUUCGAAAGAAAGAAAAAACAAAAAUGAUAACGACAACCAGUAAAAAUAAAUCUUGUAAUAUCACUGUUGCUUUUAUAGUGCCAAAAUUUCGUAUAAAAACAGACAAAUUAUAAAAAUAAACGUUCAAAAUCAGAUACUUAUCCAAAAUAUAACACCGAGCUGAAAACUCGGUCUUCGCCGAUUACAUUACUCAUAGACUAUAUACAACAAAAUUGUUUACCAACGAAAUCUACGUCUAUAUUACACAGUCGAUAAUUGUAUGGAAAAAAUCUCACUUUUUGUGGUUUGUGUUUUGUUCUCUACGCUCGUUCUUACCGAGCGAUUUUUUUUUACCCCUGUAGGAGUCACCCUUAAAUUUCACAAUUCUACACGUUUCCUGUGGUUGAUAGUUUGUCAAAAUAUUUGUCGCACGUGGAAAUAAUACAUAAUUUAUACUUGGCAAUGAAGAUUUUCCUAUCGUUCAAUGUUCAGUGUUAUCGUCGUCGAACUUGUGUUGGCCACACGGAACCGUUGCCGUGUAUUUGACAAAUUUCUAUGACUUUCUAGUUUAUUUUAUUAAUUCAAAUACAUAAUUCGUCAUUGUGAAAAAUAAAAUACAUUAAAUUAUAAUAUUUAUGUGAAUUUAUAAUAAUGUUAUUUUAUGUAUUCAAACACGAAUUAUUGCGCCAAAUACUGACACAUGAUUUCCGAAAAGUCUAAAAUAAAAUUAUAACUACGCAUUAUAAUUUAAAACAAUAAUCUUAUAUUACCUCACCAAAUACCGUAGACAAAACAUAAAUUCAGGGGAGAAGGCACUUAAUUGUUUUAUCUAGUUUUUUUUUUAAUCCAGAAUGCUUAUUACCUGUCAUUUUAUGACUCCCUUUAUUUCAUUAUUAUUUAUUAUUUAUACCCCUUUAGUUUUACAACGUAAAGUUAAAAAAAAAAUUGUUGCCUAAAUUGUAAGAGAACAUCUAAUAUACAUAAUAAUAUGAACAAUAUAUUUUAUAAUACUUAUAAUAAUACUACUAAUAAUGAAUUAUAUUAAUAUGGACAUAUCUAACUUAACCUAACCUAAAAAGAUACCGGGAGGGGGCAUAUAAGAUGUAUGCCCCUCCUGACUACGACACUGAUCUUACAUUCCAAAAUUCAAUUAAACAAUAUAUCCGUCGGAAGAAUGUUGGAAACGCACAUGUUCAUAGAAUUAUGCAUUGGAUAAAAUGGACCAUGAUGAUCAUAAUAUCAUGAUUGAACAUAUUCUAUAUGUUAUCAAAUACUACGAACUUUAUAAUAUUGAUAUCAAUUAAAACCAUAGUAAACAAUAAAAUUUCAGAUAAAACCGCGUAACACAAUCUUCGGAAAACUCGAAUCUGAUGGAAAUUUAGUAGAUAACACUGAAUUUCGGACCAAUUGCAUCAACAAUAUGUUAUGUUUUAGAACAUGUGCCUAUUACAAUUUCUAUUGAACCUAUUUCAAUGCUUUAUAAUUUAGAUUUCUUGUUUUUUCCCCCUUAAACCCGGAUCAAAAAUAUAAACUGUAGAAGUAUUGUCAUUUGUUCGUUUAUUCAAAUUAACAUAUUAUUGAAAUGUACACGUAUACUAAUAAUGCGUUAUUAAGGGUAUUUAAAUUUUAACGAUUUAUUUUUGUUUGAUUGUUCGUCGACUCGUGUCGUUUAAUAAGACUUUAUUUGUAAAUUAUUCGGCAUGUACAACAUGAUGAUAUUAUAUAUAAUGAGUAUUUUCUUUCAUAUAAUAUUUCACCCUUGAUAAUCUAAUUUUUUUUAUCCCGAAACGAUUUUCGAAUCAGAACAGCCUUUUAUAUAAUGACUAACGAAAUUAUUAUUACGUUUAAUAGUAUAUAUAGAAUCCCCUUCAACGUCUCCUGACAAGCGAAUAUAUUUAUUUCAACAUAGACGACGGGUAGCCAUUUUAGUUUUUACCGGCCGAAACUUCACGCCGUCGUCGUUAUCGUUAAUCGAGUAAAGUCGAUCACGUCGUCGAUCCCGAGGUACCGAAUACCUUUCAAUUAUUUUAUUUGUAUUUCUUUGAAGAAUGUUUGUUUGUAUUUUAUUUAUUUUUAAUUUAAUGAAUCAUCGAUGAGUCUUUCAGUGAAAUUCUACAAAGAUUCUCAGUAAACGUUUAGUAAAUUAUUACCUAGUAAAACGAAUCGAUCAGAAAUAAAUUUAAAAGCAAAAAAAAAAUCUGUUGCGGGGGACGGGUAUGACACUGCUGAAAAUAAAAAGUUAAGAAGGAAAGGUACAUAAAGUUUUUUAAUUUACAUCAGUAAACAAUUAUUUCCAAAAAAAACCAAUUCUGAGCAAAGUUAAUUUAUACUAUUUUUGAAAUGCUGUAAAUUUCACGUUUUUACCAAAAUUUGAUUUCAAGACUCAUAUAAAAUAGCAAUAAAUACAUUCUUUUUAAAAAAAACCUGUCCUAGAAAAAUGGUGAUGAGUGCAGCUACUAUUAUAGAUGGGAAAUUGUAAAGGUAGGAUACAGAAGGAAAUUUAAUGUAUAUCUGUAAGCAACGAUAAACCGUUGGUUACAAAUAACGAUUUUGAGCGGAGUUCAGUUGAUAAUGAUGCUCAACAGCAAUAUUAUAUAUUUCAUAUUAUGGUAAAAUAAUUAAAUAAGCAUUAUAUAUUUUCUUUAAUAAUAUCUGUUUAAUAUUAGCUGAUUUCCUCGAUUUUCCCAUGAUUUUCCCGGUUUUCCAUGUUUUAUCCUGGUUUUUUACAUAUGAUGAGAAAUCUCUCAAUCUCUGAUGAAAAUCAAAAAAAUGACCUUCUUAAGUACCUUCCUAAGAAUAUUUUCUUUCAGAAAAAGGUCUACAACAUAUACAUCAGAGUACUUCGUUACACUUAGAAUUUCAAAUUUACUACAUGACAAUCAAUAUUUUUAUUUUGCUGAAUUAAACUUAUAGUGAACCUUUUAUUAAAUUUUCAAACGUUUCUGUUUGGUCAAAUAAUUUUAUCUACAUAAUACUAACUAAAUAUAAAAAAAAAAUUCGAAAAUUUUCCUUUCAAAAGAGACAGUAUUCUUAAAAUUUAGAGGAAGAUUUCAAAUAUAAAAUAAAAUUCAAAAAAUUUAAAAUAAUGAAAUCAUAUACGACGUUAAUAUUUAUCCUACACUUUUUUUUCCGGGUUUUCCGUUUCGGAAAUUAACAAAGACCUCCUAGAUACUCGAUUUUGAGAUUUUUGAUAGAAAAAUAAUAAUUUACAGACAAACAAAAUUAUAAUUCGUAGUAAAACCUAUACAUUCUUUGCUACUCGUCAAAUCUAAAACUAAAUUAAAUGAACGCGAUUGAUUUUUCGUUCUUUAUGUUGGAUACACACCAAUGUCGUGUUUCCCAAAUAUUUAUCACCCGAUUCAAUAAUUAUAUUAUUAUAAUUGUAAUCGACUAAAUGUGAUGGAAACGUAUGAUUAUUGUAUUCGUUUUUAUAAUCUAUUUCAUUGUUUUACGCAUUAUGAAGGCAUUUUGCAUUUUUAACUUAGUUAACCAUCUGCUCAAAAAAAUAUUAACCUACAUCUAAAUGUUGUUUGUUAGUUACUUGCCUAUACAAUAUGAUCAUUCAUUUUGUUUAGUUUUUUAUAAUUGUCAGUCCUAUUAUUGGUUUCUAUGAACUUAAUUGUACUUGAGAUUAUCUUAUCUUGGGAUUCUCCCACUAUAACAAUUUCGUGCGCAUAUGCUAGCAGACUUUUCCCCUAUUAGUUCCAUAGAUCUGUUAUCUUUUAUGUUUCUUACAACUUGAUCUAAUUUCAGAUAUAAUAGUAAUGGAAAAAGUGCAUCCCCUUGUCUUAAUUCUGUUUUAAUUUCAAAACUAUUGAACGUUUAAUUCAUACUGGGUAUUCACCCAUUAUAUUUUUAUUACAGUUUCUUAUUAAAUGUACUAGUAUUGUGGGGAUUCUAAAAUUGCCAAGUACCGUCCAAAUCUGUUCUCUGUUAAUGUUUCCAUAAUUUGUCGUAUUGCAAAAAUAUAAUCAUUUGUCGAUCUUAUUCUUUUGUGGACAAUAUUACAACUAUAUUUAUGUUUAGAGCAUUCAAAAAUACGGUUUAUUAUAAUGCGAUAUCAUAUGAACCAUUGUAUUUGACCAGUCCUCGGGUCGAUAAAUUAAAAUACAUUACGAAAAUUGCAUUUAUAAUUUAAGUAAAUUCCGUUGUUUCUCAAUCAACUGAUAUUUUAUGAGUUUUUUUUUUUUCGUAGAUAAUAUACGCCCAUGCAAUAAUUUAGAAGAAAGCAAACAAAAGACUACGUGAAGAGAACCACGCGACCAUAUCGUCCGCAGCAGUCGAACAACCCGAAAUGUAAGUACCGCGUGUGCGCACGUGUAAAAUAUUUUUAAAAAUACUAUGUAAAUAUUAUAUUAUAUGUCAUAUAUCAUAUCAUGUAUGAGGCGAUUAUUGUAUAAUUUCAUACAUAUUUUAUUUUUAUUUUUUUGUAAAUAACCAAUAUCAUUUUUUUUUUUUUUUGUUUUUAACGAAACAAAUAUCAUAUCGUCUCUUUCCCCGCCGAAUGUGAUUCCGUUUUUCAAUUGUUUUUUUUUUUUUUUUUAUUGUUUUUUUUUCAUUACCAAGUUUUGACACACGGCAGUUUUCCGAUUUAUUAUUAAAUAAUGUUUGUCCGGAUAGUAUUAUUAUUAUUUUUUAAUUUUUUUCCAGAAAAAAACAGCGACUCAUAAUUAUCUACAUAUAUGUACAUAAUAUUAUUAUUUUAGCCGAAUAAAAGUUUCAGCUUUUCACAUAAAUAAAAAUACAUACCUACUUGCUUAUACCAUCAUCAUGAUAAUAGUAUUAUUUUAAAAUUGGUUUGUGAAAAUUAUGACACGUUGACGGUUAGAGGUUAGAACAUCAUGUUCUAACAUAACGUCUCCGACGCAAAUUUGUUUUUUGGUACCCAUGAUAACACAAUAUUUAUUAUUAUAAUAUACGUCAUAUAGUGUGCUCAAAUGCUACGUUCAUCAUCUAACAACUAGGUAGGUACAAACCAUUUUUUUUCAGGUCCACCGUAUAUUUUUGGCCGUUGAGAAGUUUAUUACUCUUUGUAUAUUGUGAUCGAGAUUGAAAAACAAGCCAAAAAGUCGGUCACAAAUUUCUAGUGCGUGCUGCUAUUUUUAAUUUUAUCAACAUCAACAUAAAAAAAAAACCAACCACGUACAAAUGUUGUCAAUUACGCGUUGGCAGUACGGUCAUCGGGAAUUUCUGUUGAGGAUGGGGGGGGGAGAUUGAGCAUAGGUGGGAAUAGAAGAUAAAAUCUCCGCCGCGGGAUGCGUAAACGUCACACAGAACUCGAUUUCCGGAACGUGACGCGACUCCGAAAUCGUUUUCGAACGAAGGAAAUGCGUCAGCCGUAAACGAAAGUCAUUUUUAACGCGUGUAAAGUAGUCGACCGUAUUUCAUAUCAUCGCCUAAACCUUUGUAAAUAUUUUUUUCAAAUGAUAAUAUUUGUAGAAUUUAAUGUACGAGUAUUUGAAACAACCAACGUAGUCAUCCAUGAGACUUGAAACACAUUUCCGAGGGACAAUGGAAAUUUGUCAUCAGCUUAGAAAAUAUAGAGAACUUUUUUCCACGCUAUAAGUACCUAAUAAUUUACGAACAAGCGCCUGGAACGACAAUAGUAAAAACGUUUAACAUAAAAUAUAAAUAAGAUGUGUAGUAUUAUGUGAUAUUAUGCAACGGUUUUUUUUAAAACGAAUUUGUAAAUUGCACAAUCAAUGUCAGCAAAAAAAAAUAUGAAUUUUAAUGCGCAUUAGAAAGCACUUGUAUUAUUUCAACAGUAUAUUUCGUAAUUGUAGUAUGAGACAAUGGUGUAUUUAGGAUUUUGUCAAAAAAGGAGAUACAGUAUUGGGAAAUCGUGUCAGGUUGUAAAAUAAAAUAUACCUGGGAUUAAAAAAAAUAUAUAAUUUUUUAAAUUUAUUUGUAAGUAGUUUAUAGUUCAAUCUGCUUUGAAACUAUCACUUAAAUUAAAUAAAUAGUUAUUUAAUUAUAUAUAACUGACCUUCAUGUUACAGUGAUUCGAGUAGGUUUCAUUUUAACCGAGAAAACGAAUAUAGUAUUCAAUUGUUUUUGAUAUACCUAUUAACAGGUACUAACAUUUUUUUUGUUUCUGCUGACUAAAACGUAAAAAAAUAAAUAUAAGUAUAAAUAAGAUACACUAUAUCAAGGUUGAGCGAGGGAGAUAAAUUUCCUUAAUUGCCCCUUUAAAAAUGCCACUGGUAUGAGAUAUAAAAGUGUAAAUUCAUAGAAUAUUUCUAAGUUCUCUGUCGCUAUAAUUUAUUUGACCAAUGGACAACGAUGAGAUAACGUUUCCAACGGUCCAAUUCAGGUAGAUAAUAAAAAUGAAAACUUUUUUGGAUGACUAAUGAUGAAGUGGGUAAUCUGAGUGUAAAGUUGUACAACAAAAUAAACCAUUAUAUAUAUUAUAAUUAUGUAGCGAUGGUCAAGGAAUUAUAAAAAUAGAUAUUAAACAAGAAAUUAGAAUAGGUUAGGUUAUUAAUGCACUCAGAUUUGCCAAUGACAUUACUUUUUGUGCAGAAACGAAAGAUGACCUGCAAAACAUCUUAUCUAAUGUAAAUAAAAUAUUUUGGAACAAAUACUGAAUAAGAUUAAAUAAAAAAAAAGAAAGGUUAUGGUGUGCAGCAAGACAAAUCCUAUUCAGCUUAAUAUAAAAAUAGAUAACGCACGUAUAGAACAAGUGCAUCACUUUAAUUACUUAGGAAGUAAAAUAACGAAAUAUAGUCGAAGUAAAGAUGACAUUCUAAGUAGAAUAGCGCAAGCAAAGAGGGAUUUUCAGAACAAUAAAACCUAUUAAUCACUUAUAGUGUGACAUUAAAGGUAAGGAAAAAGUUCUUACAAAUAGAAAAGUAGAACAGAAACAGAAAGUAAUAAAAGGAAACUAAAGGCCUUCGCAAUGUGGUGUUACUGUAAAUGCUAAAGAUUAAAUGGAUUGAAAGAAUAACGAAUGAAGCAGUAUUAGAUAGAAUAAAAGAAAAGAGAAAACUUUGAUAAACCAUAAUAGUUAGAAGAAACAAAAUGACAGGACAUCUACUACACCAUGAUAACCCAACGAAAAGCGUCAUAGAAGGUGACGUUGAAGGUCAUGCCAGAAGAGAAAGACCAAGGAUGAAGUAUAUGAACCAAAUUAUGAUAGAUAUGCUAAAGAAUAGCUAUAAGGAGUUAAAGGAACUGAGUAACGAUAGGGACACUUGGAGAUAUGCACCAAACCAAUCAAGCGUUUGAAGACGUAAAGAAGAUAGCGAUAAUUUAUUUAUUUUUAAAGACCGCUGAAAAAAUAUAAUUUACGAACAUAUUAAACUCUAGGUAAUUAAAUUUUAUCUAUACUAAUUUAAUUGAUUAUCACGACAAUCUAAUGGGAAAUAUAAUAACAUACAGAAACAUACGGAAAUUCAUGGAAGGAAAAUGUAGUCACGGUAGGCCUUCAAUCUAAUAUAAUAUUAGCCAAGUAGUUAAGUAGGUUAGGUGGCAAAAUAAACCACAAAUCAGUGCUAGAAAGGAGUGGAUUCAAUGAAAUUAUUUUGUUUUAUUUCAUUCGCUUUUCAGGAAUUUAUCGGAAACCGAUUUGCGAAGUGCAUAUAAGAUUUUUGUUGAAUUUUUUUUUUAAAUAUAUCUAUCUGAUUUAAAUAAAUUAUAAAUAUAAUGUGUAUAUUAAUUUUUUCUAGAAGUAUAUUUACAAAAAAUUGUUUGUCAGGUUUAUAAAAUUAUUCCUGUGCCAAUAUUAUAUAAGAUAAGUUGAUAAAAUUGUCAAUGUUUACACAAUAAUUUUAUAAUUAUGUGAUACGUCAUAUUAAGUAAACCAUAAACAUUUAUCAAAUUGAUUAAUAAUAUAUAAGUUUGUGUCAAUGUCCCCUAUGAAGGACAGCAGAUUAGGUGUUUAUGCAGCUGAUAAUGUAUUUAAGUUGAAUUUAAUAAAAUAUAUAUAUUUACAAAUUAAUGAGAUUUUUAGUUUUAUGAGACGAAUGGAGAGAAAGGAACGAGUUUCAUUCUUUAAUCCUAAAACGAGACUGAAAUGAUUUUUGUUUUAAUAAAAUUAAUGUAAACCGAUUCCUUUAUACAACGAACAUUUCAAGCACUGCUACGAAUUAAAAUUAAAAGCGGACAAACACUGUUGAAAAGAACAAAUUUAAAAUGAAAAAUACUGUAAAAUUGAUUGAUAAAUUAUUUAAAAAAAAAAACAUUAUAAAAUUAAAGCAUUCAAUUUCAUACACCACAAAAACAUAUAUUAAACUGGAAAGAGUACAUAAUUUUAUAUAUAUAAAAUCCAAAUACCACUGACACACUGAUCGCUGUAUCUCAAAAACUACUCAACGUACGCACUUGAAAUUUUGAAUAGUGGUUCCUCUAUUACUUUCACCGAUUAAUAAGAAAGGAUUUUUGAAAAUCAAAUUCCUAAGGGGUUAAAAUAGGGGUUUCCAGAUAUAUUUGGUACGAAGAUCUAAUUGCCUAUUUAUUUAUUUUUGUUUAUUCAAGGGUUACCUUUGUGUUACGGAAAAGAAAACUAUUAUAAUAAUUACUAUUAUUUGCACUAUUAAAAUAUUACAAUAGAACACAUUUAGUCUACUGAAGGUGGACUACCCUGAAAGGUGGAUUUUACCCACCUUUCAUCUAUUUGUUUUUAUUCAAUUCUGACACGGUCAAAACCAAAAAUUAAUAUGUGUAAAAUAAUAAUAAUAAAAAUUGGCACGGGCAACGCCUGGCGUGGGACAGCUAGUGUAUUAUAUAUGUCAAAAUAAUUGAAUAUUUAUAUUUAUAUACUCUUACAUUUAUAUAUUUUAAUGGUUAUGAGGUAAUCGAUACAUAUAUAGAUUGUGAUUUUAGUGCAAAUACAGACUCAUCUCUAGCUAGCAUACAUAAACUAAUCACCGUCAAAAUUCAAUUUAUGUAGAGGUUUAUACCGAAAAUUGCUCUUAAUAUGUUUCGCGUCAAUAAUAUAAAUCAAUAAUGACUUUUUUAUUUUUUUUAUUUUUAUUGUCGCCCCGUAUAUUUUAACAACACAUAAAUGUCGCGUUGAAUCUUUAAACUUUUACUCUUAUCGUCCGAAAGUUUUUUCUCUCGUAAAAGCGUAUAGGUAUUUACAUUUAUAUUUGUGGCGUUGAAAAAGAAAAGAAUAUAUAGUUAUAGAAUAUAGAUACCUACAUCAGGCCUACUAUUAACGAAAAUAAAAACAAUUCGGAUCUGGUCGUUGAAUAUACCACACACAGAGCGUGUGUCCGUAAAGAAUUUGUAAAACCCCUCUAAACUAUGUUUACAGAUUAUUGAACUCGUUUUUCUUUUACCUAAGAGCAUUUCGAUAAUUAAGUAAACAUUAUAGAUUCUGAACGAACCGAAAGGUUUUUUUUUCAUUUUACUGUCUAUUAUUUUGGAUAAACUUUUUAGAGACUGUUAUUUUGAUACUUAGAAUAGAAAUAUAUUUUAGUGUAUUGACAUUGGUAGAAAGAUACAAGCGAACAUUAAAAUAUCGUAGAAGAUAUAAAAAAGUCAUUAUCGUGGAGAUGAAAAAUGGUUAUUUUUAAUAAAUUAUAUCCGUCAUCGUUUCACUGAUAUCAGUUAAUUUACGUGUUCGGGACAAUGGAUUUAUAGACUAUUAUUAUACAACAAGACGGAACAUUUAGUAUGAUAACACGUGCCACCAGUUAGUUAAGCUAUUUCCGAGGACACUAGACAACUGAUGGGGUAACGCAAAUUUGUUUAAUUAUUAGUUGUUCUCUGAGUGCAGAAUAAAGUUCUUUCUCACGAAGGUCUUCUAUAUGAUUCUCUGUCACUUUCUUACAAUAAUGUUGUCUUGGAAGAACUAUAGACGGAACAGAGAAGGAAAUAUCAGUCCAUUUCCUUAUAGUUCUAUGAUUAUAAUACGAUUUCGAUAAUGUAGUUUGCAUGCAGUGCAUUCGGAAGAUUGUGGUUUUCGUAGUACUUGUUGUAUUUUUUUUUUUAACAACAAUGAUAUUUUUAUCGAAAAUUGCAUUUGAUUUUUCGACUUCUUUUUAAACGCUUAUCAGCACGUAUAACAAAAAUUAGAUCCGAUAAUUAUAAUAUUAUAUGCAUGUCAUUGCAUGUUGUAAUUCGCAUAAAAAAAGUUUAAAAAUACACAAAAUUAUAGUGAGUCGCAAAAAUUACCAAACCACGUUUUCUAAGAGACACAGUGCAACACAACUACAAUAAAUGGUUUAAACUUAAAGUACAACGUUAAUGUAUGUUGUGAAUGUAUGUAAGUACAAAAUUGACGACCGUGAUGAUAAUUACACCAGAGUUAGUUUGAAGAGAACCACCCACGAUACCUGUAAAUUUGUAAAAAGAUUUAUAAAUGUAUGGAAUUAAAGUGAUGAUAAUAAAAAACAAACUUUUGGUCAUAUCUGGGUAGUCUGGAAUACAAAAUAUUCUCGUAGUGAUCGAUUCGAGGAAAGAUGGUAGAGCAUUAUUUUAAUAAUGAUAUCAUAUUUAAAUUACAUCAGAUAUAUUUUUCGUCAAGUUCAAAUAUCGCCGAAUGCAACGAAAAGCGAGUCCCAGCUCCAAAAAUACACUUGUUUGUCAAUUGUAUUCUUCUUGAUAACUCAAUUUUUAAUUUGUUGUAUUGAGCACUGAUAUUAGCCACUGUUGUAUAUGGCAGAUAUAUGAACACAUAGGUUAGUUUAAUAUAUAUAGUGUACAGAAUUAUAUAUUACAGCGAUAUUUUCUCUGCGCAUAAAUAAGUAAAAUAGAGAAAAAUGUAUAAUGAAACAAUUGUAUUAAAUAGUGUGAUAUAAUAUUAUAUGUUGGUUUGAAAUGUUUAGACGCCCUUUUGUGGUCAACAUUUAAAUUUCAAACGGCAAUCUAUAUUUAAAAUCCAACGAAUCUCAAAAUUGCAUUUAUUUAAAUACAAUUUGGUAUUGACGACGUAUUUCGCUGUUUAGUUUAGACUAGGGUAAAGUAGUGGAACUCUGUGUUUGUGUAGUGACACGGCACGGCGUACUUAUUAUUUUAAUACAAAUGUUUCAUUGUUCUCAUUUUUGUACAUUUAUCGAAGAAACUUGCUAUAACAUAAAACUCUGUACACUCUAUAUACGGAAAGUAGCGAUAAAUAAUUGCAAUCAAAGCACGAAUCCUGAAAGCUUGGUAAACAGGUAAACCUUUAAAAUAUACUAUUACCAUUUAUUAAAUUGCUACUAUUAACUGUUUGUAAUCUUGUGUAAACGAAUAAUACGGGUAGCUUUAGUUCUUCUUUCGUAGUCAAGAUAUCACAGAAAUCAAUGAUAAUAAAACCGAUGUAUCGACGUUAGUAAUUGUCAGUUUUUAGAAAAACUAUCGAAAAUCUAGAAAUUUUUUUUCCCCGUAAAGCGUACCGCUGCGAGAAAAAUCUGCAUCUUUUUAAGAUACAUGCAUGAUGUAACCGAAGUAUUUUUACUACCGAAAAAGUUUUUUUUGAAGAAAAAAAUUCAACCAUAAAGCAGGGCCUAAAGUUGGGGUAUUUUGCUACUGCACAUCUAAUUACACACACCAAAAUAUUUUAAAAUAGUGAACAUAGGUAGUGCACAUGCCACAUAUGACUUCGUUGCAUAAUUGUUUUGGUAUUUAUUAUUAAUUAGUUAUAAAUUGUAAUAAAUACAAUCUAAGACAAUCGUCUAUAAAAGUCCUUAAUAUAUAACUAAAAAAUAUUAAAAACUAAAAAGCUUGGGUUAAUAUACUUUUUAUAUUAUUAAAUAAUAACAAAUACCUACUUUACUGGGAACAAAAUUUAACGCAAUGUUAUAAUUAAUAUAAAACAAUUAUGCAAAUUUAGUCAAAAACAAAUUCUGGUACUAUUAUUCUCAGGAAAAUAAAUACUUUUUGAAUCUUCAGCUUCAGAGAAAACCCUUUGAAACUAUUCCUGCUUAACAGCAUAUGACUGUACCUUAGUAUGUCUAUUUUAUUUCUUUAAGCCAAUAUUAAACUGCUGAAUGAGGCUUGAAUUUAAAUAGACAAGACAAAAAAUACGAAUGUCGUUAUUGGGGCCAUCCAGACGGUGUAGCCGGUAUUAUCUUUAGUGUUAUGGAUUUUAAAUGAAUACAUGUUAAUUAGAAAUUUACAUUAUUUUCAAUAAUUAAUAAUGGAUAUUUAACAAAUACAAAUUUAUAUAAGCCUUAAAUAAGUACUGAAUACUUUUAAAUUUGCUACUGCACAUUUAAUAUUAGAUACUGCAUAUAAUUGUAGACCCUGCCGUAAAGAAACUAAUAAGUAAUACGGAAAAAAGUUCUUUGCUUUACUCACAAUCUAUGUUCAGUUCUAAUUAGACUACCGGUAUAGACGGUUAUUGUGUUUGUAUAUGCUAUACUACUGAUACUACAAAUAUGGAAUUGUUUUCGAAAUGCAAGGUGUCAAUUUUAAGAAAUGUAUUUAGUAUUAAAUGCUCUACUUGCAAUUCAGUACUUCAUAUGGAAUGUGCAAAUAUGAAUACAGAAAGUAUAAAAUACAUGAAGACCAAAGGGAUCUCAUUCGACUGUGAGAAUUGCACCAAACUUCUUAGACAAUCCAGAGAAAAAAGUAACCCGAUAAAAUUCACUUCUCGGUCACAAGUUAUAAAUAGCAAUACAGUAACAAAUUUGGACAUUGAUAUUAAGAAAAUUGUAAGCAAAAUAGAUGACGUUAUGAAAAACUAAAUAACUAAAAAUAACACCCUUUUAACUUUUAGCAAUAGAAUUCUAAAGCUUGAAAAAAUGUUAAAAGAGAAAAAAAGCAUUAUUAAAAACUUAGAAUUUUUAAAAAAAAAUGCCUUGGAACAAAAUGAGAGAGUUUAUUUUAUGGAAAUAAAAGUAGUAAAAAUAGUUACUAAUGAAUACACUGAAAAAUUAGUUAAUGAUAUUGCAUCACAGAUUAAUAUUGAUUUUAAUCUUUUUGAUAUCGAAAAUGCAUACGGAAAACCUUCGAAUCAAAACCUAGAAUCGCCUUUGAAAAUGGUUGAACUUUUAUCUAAACGAAAACUUAACAAAUUUAUAAAAAAACGCGAAAAACUAGAAUGCAAAGGAUCAAGAAAUUAUAUCAAUGACAAUUUAACGGGAUCUAACAGAAAACUAUUUUGGGAAACCAGAAUAAAUGCUAUAAAAAAAAACCCAAGUAAGAACAAAUGAAGACCUUAGUUUUUUAUAAUAUUUUAACACUAUUAUAAUUAAAAUUCUUACAACAGGAUUAUAUCUUUACUUUUUCAUUGGGAAAACAAAUUUUAUUCAUUUUAGUAUUGGGCACACAUAUUAUACUAUAACAAUUUUAUUCAUAACUUAUUUAAAAACAAUUUUAACCUUAUGUAGCAUUAAAUCAUUAAAUGUGAAAAAGUAGGUUUAUAUAUGUGACACACGUAAACUACUUAAAAUGAGAACUGAAAAAAAAAUCUCUUUUCAUUCAAAUAAUACUAAAUUACAACUUAGACAAAAAACUCAUGUUUACUAUUAAAAAUAUUUUCAAACAUAUCAAAAAUAACUGUAUUAUACAUUAAAUCUCAAUAUAUUAAUUAUUGUUAUACAAUUUUGUCUAAAAUUGAAAAACAAAAGUUAAAUUAAAAUUAUUAUUUGAAUGUAAUAUUUUCCUUGUUAUAAAUUAUGAACUCAUGUGCCCCCACACGAACCUGUUGGGGCUCAUUAUCUAGUCGAAGAAAAAAUAACAAAAAUUUUAAUAACAAUAUCAAUAAUAAUAAUAAUAACAAAAACAACAAUAAUAUUAAUAAUAAUGAUAUUAUAGUUGCUUAAAAUUGUAUUAAAAAAAAAAAAUUAAUCUAUAUUAGGCUGUAUUUUCGAAAUUGUUCGUUAUAGGAUUCCGUAAGCGUCAGUGAAACGAUCGGAUAAAACCAAAAAUCGUUUAUAAAUAUUGUCACUUUUAGGAUUCCGAACUGAUCCCAUUCUGAAUGUCACUCUGAAACGAUUGACGACAGAUUAGGUUUAUCUUUAGUUUUUUUUGACACUCGGUGUAAAUUCAGGAAAAUCGUAUAAACCAAUCAAGCUGUGUCGCUCACCAUUUUACCGGGUAUAGGUAUAGUGAUACGAUCGCAAAGGGUGUGGUUUUUUUUUGAAGAGGCUCACAUACACACUCAAAAUACUCAUACCCUCAUUAAAUACUCUGUAUAGGACAUUUUUUUUAGAUUCUGAGUGGAGCUUUUACAGCUUUGAAGUUUUACAAUGAUGUUUAUUUUUUUUUUGUGGACAACUUUUCUACUAUGAAUUUUGGUUUGAUUUACAAUAAUAGCACUUUUUCUGGAACAAAAUCGGACUAGGAAGAUACUUCAAGAUUAGGUUAGGUUAGGUUAUUUGUUGAUGUUUCCAGGAGUUUUCUCAACAAAUGUGAAAAACCAGGAAAAAACUGAGGAAAAAUUGGAAAUUAUACGAAAUGUAAAGGUAUUAGUAAAAAAAUUUUUCCUUUACUACCUUUUCAACUUCUCACCUAUAACAAUGGCUGCACCUUUUCCCAUUAUCUUAGAUGAGAUUUGUGUCUUUUAUUUACGUUAAUAAAUGUACCUUGGCAUCGUGUUACAAAUGCUCGAUAAUUCGUUAUAAGGUCUAUCGACCAUCGUAUUAUAAUGCCACUGUAAUUUUAACGUAUAAUCAAAGAAUUUUAAAGUUUAUUUUCGACGAAACCCGUAAAAAUUAUGAGUAAAUGUGAUGCAUAUGACCACGGUGGUGGAUCGGUGAAACGGCAGAUUAGCGGCCUGCCGCUAGCGUAGUAUUUUGGAAUGACGAUCGUAUUAUUCACCGAACGGUAAUAAACUGGUCAACUGGUCGGUUGCGCAAUGCCGGCGAUAUAACGAAACGUUUACCGAUCGUAAAUAUAUUUCAAUGACGACUCUAUUACGUACCAGAGUAAAACGAUCUCGGAUUAUUGAAUUUCCGCAUCAUUCAGUAUACCAAUCGUUGUUUAUAUUUUGUGGUAAUAGACUAGAUUUGGUUAGGGUCACGUAAUCCGCUUCGCCUAACUCGCGAGUAGAACGUGCGGUUAGGUUUAGGUUAUCGGUCUGGACCAAAGUCUGAUUUAUAAACCUAUUAAUGAUCAAUUUUAUACAGUUAUCUGACUUCCAAAUAUUGAGAGACCUCAGAUUUCAAUUCAUUUUCGUAUUUAUUAGGACACAUUGAAAAAAAAAAUCGUUUGUGAAAGUUAUUUAUAGACCUAUUUUGUAUUAAAGUCCUUGGGGGCCCCAAAUUCUGUAAAUCGUCGUGUGCUGGUCCUUUAUUUGAUUUCGUCUGCUUUAUAAAGGCUGAAAAACUUGCCUGUAAUAAUAUAUAUAUAUUAUUAUUUGCGUUCGAUGUUGUUUUGCCAAAACGAUCGUCGUUAUAUUAUUAUAGAGACGAUAUAAAUCUUCGGCUGACGAUAAAAUCCGUCGGCAAACUCGAACGCUCCAUUAGCGUCGGCCAACUUGAACGAUAAUGGCUUUAUUGAAUAUUGUGUUGGGAAAAAAACCGUGAUUAAGUCGUCACGAGAAAACACGUUACACCUCCGACUAAGAAAAAAACAGAAAAACAUGCGAUUUCUCGAAAUUUCUCGAACUUUGUAAAUCGACAUUUUAUGAUGUUUACCAAUUAGUUGUUUUGAUAACGAUGUGAACUAGGUUAAAAUUUCAAACCAGACUUUUGAUAGAUUAAGAUAAAAUACAAUAUAAUAUAAAUAUGUUAACGUAUAGGGGAAAAACAGUGAAUCCGCAGAAGGAACAGUUACAUACUCUACCCACCCUCUUUAUUACCACCUAUGCUCGUACUUCUGCGAUAGUAAACAAAAUCUAUUUUCCUUAGCUAUUAACGGUCUAUGUGCAAUAAAGGCAAAAUAAAUUUACAAAUAAAGUUUUCGGGAGGAAACCAUGGCCGUCUUGGACAAAGGAAGCAGCUGAUUUGAAAACCGUCUCUGCUGUUUCCUACCUCGCGACCGCGACGGUGGUUAAAAUAGUUUAUGAUUAUUCCACCAAGUUUCUUACUAGGGAUAACUAAGAACGUCCAAAAGUUUAGUGGAAGGUUUUGUAUAUCUUCUCAUGAAGCUCAUUUUAAGGGAGAAGAGACGUAGUGGAUAUUUACCAAAAAUAAUUUCUUAAAAUAUGUUUCGUAUCUUUUCAACUCCGCACUCGUAAAACAACCGCCUACACAAAGUACGAAGUAUAAAGGCUUUUUUUAUUUUUAUUUAUAACUUUGAAUCGUUUUUUUUAUAAGAAUAUCGAAUAUAAUAUUCUGUUAUAAUAGUGUAAAAUAAUUACAUAUGUAUUAUACAUUUUCUUUAAUACUGUAUUUGUUUUCCCGUUUUUCCUACCUUUUCCCGGAUUUUUCGAUUUUUUGGGAAAAUCAAAAAAUGACCUCCUUAAAGUACCUCCCUCUAGUUAGAUUACCUUUUAUAAAAAAUUCUAUCAUGGAAAAUCGGAGUAAAGUUCCUGGUAGAAAAGUUGUCCACAGAAAAAAAUAAAAAAAUACAUGAGUUUCUUAGCUCCACUCAGAGUCUCAAACUAUUGAACAUUUAUGAUUUAAUGUACCUUCUACCUAUACCUAUAUAUCUAUAUAAAUUUUCAAGCAUGUGGUUGUAGGUUAUAAUAUUACAGUGGUGACGAAAAUCCCAAGGAGGGCGCUCCACCAAUCGCUCCCCUUCAAAUAUCCGCCACUGGCGUUUCCUAUAAAAUAACGUUAUCUAGACGGCAGCUGCCGGCCGGACCGAUGUCGUGUUUUGCGCGUGAUUUACACGUGGCGGCCGUUUUACGAAACCGGAUUAUAUACGACCGAGACGAUAAGCCUUUGGGCCGAGGGUACACAACACAUUUAAUAUAGCGCGCGCGUGAUGUAACAGUCAGAAGGGACGGUGAAAAUGGGUAGAAAUGACACGGGAGUCUCCGUCCGGCGAAUCGUUUACGGUUCGGAAAACCCAUAAGAAUUUCCCGGGGUUUUCGAACCGAACCGCGCAGGGUUGUUCAUGGUACUAACAAACGAUUACCGCACGCCCGGGUUCGCUCGUCCGAGCGCACGUACCUCGUCUAAUACGCGCUCCGCUGUCGCGCGUCCGGAAAUCCUUUUCUCUCUCACUCUCUCUCUCUCCCUCUUUAUCUCUCUCCGGGCACCCCGAUAACAAUAUUAUUACGUUAUAUAUACAUUAUAUAUAUUAAAUAUAAUAUGUCUUUCAUAUAAAAUAAUAAUAAUUUAAUACCUUCCUGCGUACGGAUUUUACGUUUUACGAGCAUAAUAUAUAAAUUAUUAUUAUCAUUACAUAUAUAUUAUAUACGGUGGAUCAAGAUUUAGGGGAAAACGCAUAAAACUACAUAAUAUAAGUCCCCGCGCUCACCGUUUAUUUUUUUUGUAUUUUUUCAUUCCGUCGCUCAUCGGGCCGGAUAACUUGUUUUUACUGCUGGACCUAUAAUCUAAUGUAUUUAAUUAAAUGAUCGAUUUUUUCGCGUAAAUCGAAUACAUACAUCGAAAAUAAAAGUGGUUCUCGAUAUAUUUACCAUAAAAAAAAUGUUUUGUUUUGUAGACGGGCAAAAAUAUUGAAACAAUUUUGAUCGAGCGUCCUCUCCUCCUGAAUUUUGUACGUCAAUGUAGGAGCGUUAUUUUGACGAAAUUUAGGGAUAACAGCACAGUUCCUUUCACGUACCGCGAUGCGUAGUCAUUGUAAAAUGAACAAAGAGGAUUGUUAGGGUGGUUUUCAAAUUUAAUUUAAAAAACUAUAGCAUUCACAUAAAAAUGUAUCAGAUCUUAUUAUUGUAUGCCAUACAAUUAUCUAUAAAAACAUCUUAAAAAGUGUCUCGUAUAUUAACAAAUUUCUGAAAAAAUUGAUAAUUUAAAUUUAAUUUUAAGGUUUUUUGAGGGGAUUUUUUGACCUAUAAUAGAAGCAACGUCUUAAUAUUUAUUAUAAAUUUGUAUAAAUAACAUUCAUCACAACAAGGGGUCCAAGUAUUUAAGGUUAGGUUAGGUAUUUAAGGUGUGUUAAAGUGUGCAAAGUGUCCAAGGUGUCCAGUAUUAAUAAACGUAGGUCCUUAAAUAAUGAAAUGUUCGAUGAAUUGAUCAUAGUUGUAAACUAUUUGCCAAAAAUAAUAAUAAGAAUUGCAUUGGUAACAUUUCAAUGGCGAUUUUUUUUUCCGGUUAUACAAUAAAAAAAAAAAAAAAGUUUUUCAAAAACUUAAAUUUAAACAUUUACACCUUAAACUAUAAUAAUAUUUCACCUUUAUAUUUUCCGUUUAAUGUAAUGAAGGAAUUGUAUUUUAUCAGUUGUCAAGUUUCACUGUCCGUACUAAAAACACUACAGACUAAUUCAUUCUAUGAGUAUUAUAAAUAACGGGUUUUCGCUCGAUAAUUUCAUGAAAAUCCUACUGAUUUUAGAAUUUUAUUAACGAACUAUUUGACUUGUAUACGAGUUAUAAUAAUAAACAUAAAGUUCAAUUUUGAAAAUAUCGAAACCGGGGUAAAGCCAAUAUAAUUUACAACGACAAAUUAUUAAAUAAUUUGAAAAUGAAUAUAUUAUAUUUUAAGACAAGUAAACAUGAAAAAAGUGUACAUGGGAAAAUGUCAACAAUAUAGAAAUCCGAUAUUCUAAUCAAAUUAUGUUUUUUUUUUUUUUUUUUUGCGACGAAUUUGAAGACGAUCAAUUUGCUGCCGUAUAAUUACUAUUAAUUAGUAACUAACGCAUGAUACUUAUUGUUCGAAGUAUUAAUGGUAAUACGCCGAACGAAACGUACACUUAUAUAAGUACAUGAUAUUACGCCGAGUAUAUAAUUGAAGGAAGUUUUCUUUUGCCACCGAAUAACCUGCCCAGGGACAGAGGUCGUGGUUACAAAACGAAGAAGACGUGGGAGGGGGGGGGUGGUCGGCUGACAGGAAAAUCGGCUCUUUUAUAUCUAAAGAGAGAAAAACUAACGGCGGACGCUGGCAUUGCAUUAACGUGCGGAUAAAAUUCCGGUCAAACAGAAAGACGGCGGCGUUGUAUUAAAUAUUGAUAACGGUUGAUGGACCGUAUAGUAUAAUACUACCUACAUGUAUAUUAUUAUUAUUAUUACUAUAUAUCUAUAUAUAUUAUAUUAAAUAUAAUAUAAUAUUAAAGAGCCGAAAAAUCGUUUAGCUCCCCGGACAUAUCCGGCCAACUGUUAACAGCGACCUUAUGAAUAUUGACGAUCGUAUAGGUAUACGCAGCGGUGCUGCUGUGGGUUCGUCUCUCACUCGUAUAUACACGUGUAAUCCCUACUACUACUGCUACAGCGGAUAUAGGAUCGGGGGAAUUACGUCCGGGCGGACAAUUACGAGAUAAGCGCCCAUCCGCGUAGUAGUUUUUCAAUUAAAGUAAAACUUUCAGUAGUUAUACUAUUAUACACAAAGUUUGUCCUGUCGUAUAUAGCGGGUCCCUAUAUUACCCCAAACCCCCCAGUAAAUCGAUUUGGCGCAGUGGCAGUCGGCGUUCGGUAGUGCGACAUGAAAACAACAAGUAUUUAGCGAAACUUUAAAUUGGGAUAUUAGAACGCGCCGCUGCAAGUUUGCAGAUGAACUGCAAUUAUAAAACGCGCCGAAUUUUUGUUUUUGCGUUGCAGUUUUCUCCCCUGUAUAACAACGACGAGACAAAUUGUUCGCCUCUUUUGAUGCGACGCUUUCGGAAGAGAGAAAAAAAAACAAAAUUAAACUGCGGUAUACUUAUUUAUACAUCGGACUCGCCUACUUCACAGAGGUCGUUGAAACCGCAACUACGUAUUAAAUUUAUGUGAUCCGCCGCCACCACAGCCGCCGUUAUCUCUCGGUAGAAAGUUUGCAGUGUGCUAAACACCGCAGAACUUACUGCGGGCGAGUGGCAAAUGAUUUAGUGCGGUGCUAUUUAGUGUUUUGCCGGUAUAGGAUUAUUAGGUGAUGCGUAUUAUUGCUACGACGAUGACGUCGGGAAUAUUUGUAAUGGGCGGGUUUUGGCAAAGCGGUUUUCGGUAAACAGUUUGUUGCAAUGUUUGCUACUUGGUUGCAACAUCAUCACCAAAACAUGUUAUUUACUACACAGUAUUUUAACCAUGGAUAUGAUCAGUGACACAAGAAAAUAAACGUAGUUUUUUCUUUUUAUUGUUCGCGAGUUUCGGCAAUCUGGUUAUCGAAUUAGCCGAAAUACCGAGUUCGGUUAUCUAUCAAUUAUUAUAGUAAACAAUAUCACAAAACAAGUUUGUUCCUUACACAAAACACGUUUGUUAUUAAUGCACAGUGCAAAUAUUAUCGUGAAUCUGAAUAAUAAUAAUACAAAUUGUUUUUUAAAAUAACUGCUCGUGCGCAGAUUAUUAUUACAGCAAUGCAGUUGUAGAAAAGAAAUAAAUCGUUACAAAUAAAAAAUACCACAUUUGUUUACAAUUUUUCGACGUGAAUUUCCCUUUUUAAUAAUAUAAAAAGACGUUAGAAAAACCGAAAUAUUUAUGUGAAAACGUUUUCUUUUUUUUCGAUUUUGUUUUGUUUUUUUUUUUUUUACGACUUAGUUUAUUAUAAUAAUUGUAAAUACCAAAACCAAACAUUUUCACCAAAGGCUAACUUUAUACUUAUUAGCCAUUUCUGGAAUGGGUCUAGGGUACAAUUUUCAAAACAUUUUGAUGUUUUUUAUAGCUAUAGUUUAUUGAACAUUUUCAAAUUUUAAUUGCUGAUAUGAUUGGUUUAGCCUUUCAAAAAUAUUCAAAAAUUGAAUACAUAGUUCUUUAUAUGUUCUUAUGGAAUAAUACAAAUACUACAAGCUACAAGUGUAUAACUACGCUCUGAAUCUAAUAUAAUCAAUAAUAUACUGAACAGAUUAUUAAAAUACGAGUUAUAGGAUAUUAUACUAAUAUUGGAUUAUUAUGGAAUCUCGUCUUCGUGAAUACCACGGUCACUAAUAAAUAAUAUGCCAUUCUUAUAAAAUUAUAGUACGUCCCUAGAAUAGUAUAUUAAGCAAUAGAGUGCACAAGAAUUUUCAAUGGAUAGACAUUAAUCAUGAUUCAAGAAUUGAAUUGUAGAAUCUUUUUUUAUUAUAGUACUUAUAUAUAUAUAUAUAUAUAUAUAUAUGUAUAACUAGACAACGAAAAUUUAAAAGCAAGAUUCAAAAAAAAGCUAAUUUGUAUUUAAUAAAUUGUUUCCUUGUAACUCGGCUGAAAUAUUUCAAAAUUAAUUUCGAGACAAAAUUACUAAGUAAAUACUCAUAUUUGUUGUGUUUUCAAACUAAUUGGGCGGUGUGCGAUAUAACCUAUAAUCUCUCCCUUUUGUAUACCAUUUAUUAUUAUAAAAGAAUGCGGACCGAAAUGAUAUUGAUACAACCUUUAUAAUGGUUGUUAUACACGAUAUUUCCGCGAAUUAUAUAUAAAUCUUUUUGCUCUGAUCCUCGUCAUCAUCACCCAAUGAAUAUUAUAUUAUGUAAUAUUAUUAAUGUAUUAUACGUACUUUGUGUCCUGCGAAAAAUCAGUCGGCGGCCUUCUAUGGCUAAUAUUAUAUUUUAUUAUACGAGUUUUUACGUAUACACUUUAUAAUGUGUAAUAGGAAUACGCGUACAUAGAAAAAGCACAUACUGUUAUUAUUAUCAUUAUUAUGAUGAUGGAUAAUAUUAUAUACGGAACGAGCGAGACGGACAUACACAAGGACUGCGGGCAUAAUUAAAACGCGGUCACCCUCCGGUGUUUUUGCAUCACUAUGAAGCGGUCGUGUCCGACCUUUUGGCAGGCGGCCGGGGGCCCGUAAACGUUUAAUUAAAAUCGGUUAUGCGAAAUAAAAACGUGCCGUAAACGCAAACAGCAGUUAGUUUAUAUACAGGGUGGGAUAUUUCCUCAUCGUCAUCCGGCAAUUUUCUCGAAAGAUUUUGAUGUAGCGAAUGCAAUUCGCGAUGUCUGCAAUAUAUGCUAUUCAAUCAUUAUACACUUUUCUAUACCUACGUGGAAUUGUUUGAGCUCAUUUUUAUCUUAUAUUUUCAGCUUAUACCCUAAACGGGAGUAUUAACAUUUGGUUUAAAAACAGAAACUCAGUUUUCUCCAUUUUUAAUACGACGCAGAUUAACUCAUGCCAGUGGUCGUGUGGUUUAAGUAAGUUUUCUGGUUACACUAGUGUUUAUGUAUAUAUUUUAAAAAGCUAUUAAAGGUGCGUGUUUUAAACUGUGUGAGCAGUUUGAAACGUAUCAGUAAAGUCCUCGUGGAAACUAGUUGGAUACUUAUCGUUUAUAGUUUAUACAAAAAGUGUGGUAGUGUAGGGAAUAGUUUUAGUAGGUGGGUGGGUGGAAAAUGAAAUAGGCUAAUCAAAGUAAAUAUAGUUCGCGCAACCAUUAACUCGUUUAAAAUGGUAUAUUAUCCAAUAUUAAUUUCAUAUACUUUGGAUUUUGACCCAACUAGUUAACUACUUGAAUAAACCCGGGGUCCAGCUAGUGUAGAUUUUUGAUGACAAGACACAACUCAAAUGCGCCGUAAUUGUCUGGAGGUUGCGUUACUUGAAAAUAGGAAUGUGUGACGCGUGUGUAUGGUGCAGGCGUACAGGAAUAAUAAGAGUACAAUUUUCGAUUAUAAUGUUAUAAAUAUGGUCGUUCAAAAAUUAUUAUUAUUCUAUUAUCAUUUAUCAAAUACAAACAUUUUCUAUCAUACCCUAUUCAAGUUUCUUCUAGGGUUCCUCAAGGUUUCACUCUUCUCCACUAUUAUUUAAUGUUUUCAUAAAUGAUUUACCCUUCAAUCUGCAUUUUGCUAAGUUAUUUUCUUUUUCUGAUGAUGGCAAAUUAUUGGGAUCUAUAAAAUCAGUAAAUGACGCAUAUUUAUAUUAAUGCAGUUGAGAAAUGGUGUCUCGAAAAUAAUUAGUUUAAACUUAUCUAAAUGUAGUGUUAUCUCUUUUUAUUUGAUAAAGGAAUUUAUAAGGUAUUCCUAUUCGAUAUCAAAUGAUGUUGAGUUUCCAAUUGUUAAAUAUAAUAGGGAAUUGGGAGUUACAUUUUCAUCUGAUUUAACUUUUAACCACCACAUCUCUAGAAUUAUCAAUUAGGAUGCAAGACAGUUAGGUUUUAUUAGACAGCAUUGUUAUAAUUUUAAUAACAUUAUAACCUUAAAAACAUUUUAUUGUUGCCAAGUUCGAUCAUGUCUUGAUUAAAACUCAUCUCUUUGGUCACCCCAUCAGUUAUAUUUAAUUCAAGAUAUAGAAUCCAUACAAAAUAGAUUUGUACGCUUUACAUCUUUUAAUUGUAAUAGUUACAGAGCUCCUCAUUCAUCUUAUUCGAUUUUACUCAGUUGUUUAAACAUAAUCACUUUAGAGACAAGAAGUAUAAAAUUAGAUUUGAUAUUCUUGUAUAUAAAUUAAUUAAUAAUUAGUUAAUAUAUUAAACAUAAAUAGUUCGGAAUUAUUUGCAAUGAUUAAUUUUAAUAUUAAUAAACGCAUUCUGCGUAAUAUAGAUUUUUUCUAACCAAAAGCUGCUAUUACUUUUAUAAAAUCUGAUUCACCAAUCAAUCUCAUAUUAACAUUAGCAAAUAAAUAUAAUAUUGAUAAUUUUGUAAUUAAUUUAUAUGAAUUUAAAAGUAAUCUAUGUAACUUAAAAUAAUAUCUAUUAUAUUAAGAUUAUUGUUAUUUAUAUGUGUAAAUAUGUAUAUUGUAUAUUUUAAUAUUAAAUUGUAAUUAGACUUAGGUCCGUAUGUAAUAUAAAAAUAAAAUAAUAAAAUAUAGAGCAUAAACAAAAUAACCAAAAACGAUUUUACUAGAAAUCUUCGUCGGCAUAGUUUAUAAUCGGUGAAUCAUGAUACAAAAAUCGCAUUGUACAUACAAUACAUUGUAAUAACAAUAUUAUUAUUUAAAUGGUGUAUAUAGGUGGAUAUCCGAAUAUCGAACGUGUAUUUUUCGUGUUGCUUUUACAGCGACAGAACUUUAUAAUAUAAAAAUAUAUGAGUAGAAUUCGCAUAAAAUAUCAAAGACGAUAAUAUUGUACAUAAAUAUAUAAUAUAAUUUUAAGAGCAUCUGCUAUAUAUUUUUCUCGGAAAAAAUAAAACGGCAAUUUUCCACGGAAUUUGCUUUUACUACCUAUUAUCCGUUAUCAGCUUUUGUUAUUUUAUUUUUACAAAUAAUAUGUUUAGAAAAAAAUAACCGUCAGCCGUUAAAUAUUCUGUUUCGAGUUAAAAGCAAUAAAAUAUAGUAAUAAUAAUAAUAAAAAAAAAAUAUAUAAGGAAUAGAUUUUUUUUUUUUCAAAUUUGUUUAAGUAAUACGUUUUUUUUCGAGUGAAAAAAUCGAGUAUUCUAUAAUAUUAAACACGCGCAUUAUAACAGUAUAAUAUAAUACAAUAACGCGAUGAUAAAAAAAUAUGUAUACAGUGACAUAAACAUGUUAAAUAAUACAAUAUAAUAAUAAAAAACAAUAAACUUGCUAUAUUAUAAUCGCUUAUCGGAGAGAGUGACAACUUUAUUAACACUCUGACGGGUAUUUUUUUUUCCAUAUAUGUGCAUAUCAUGGGUAUGUUCUUUUUUUAGAAUAUUUUUAUUCGUGUUUACGUAUUAACAUGCGAAUCUAUUCCAACAAUCGCAAUUGCCAUGGCUGGACUAAUGGAUUAAAAAGUUAAAAGCAGAAUUGAUUUCAAUUAUUAUAUAACUCGAUUUUUUUAUCAAAACAACCUAUUUUUUGUACUCCAUUAAUUUAAUCGCUAAGGAGUUAAUUUUAGAUUCUGAGUGGUGUGAAGAAGCUUAUGGUUUUACGAAGCUGUUUAUUUUUUUUUCCUGUGGACAACUUUUCUACCAGAGGACUUGCUUCGAUUUUUAUGUGUAGCAACUUUUCUGACUUAAAUAAUAGCACUUUUUCUAAAAGAAAAUUUUACAUUGAAAAAACAAAAUUAUUGAUAAAACAACACUAUCAAUUGAACUUUGCUUAGAAUCGUUUUUUCGUAACCAAUGGUUUAUCGUUGUCUACAGAUGCCUUACACAUACGUUAUAAAUUAAAUUACCUAUAACAAUGUAACAAUGGCUGCACCUGUCCCCAUUAUCCUAAGACAUCUUUUUAAUUACGUUUUUGACCAGUUACGGCCUGAGGAUUUUGUACCCAAAGAGCAAACUGAACUAGUACCUACCUACCAACCCACUAUAAUUUUACUAUAGAUUUAAGCAAUCUCCAAUAUUCGAGCAUUAUUAACAUUAACGCUACACUUGUUUACAAAAAUCAAUACCUACCUAAUCUCCUAACAUUGGUUUUACCACCAAAUUUGCAUAUACUUUUCAUGGGAAUGUCUCUAAACUUUAGGAUACUAGGACUACAGGACCUUAACAAAGAAGUGAAAAAAACAACAUAAAUUAAGAAUGAAGAUUAAACGUGACAACAGCAAUUAUAACGUAUAAAAUACAUUUUUUUCGGGGAUGGUAUAAUUUAUAUAUUGUAAUUUUAUGAUCUUCUUCUGAUAUAAUUUAUGGCUCUAUCCAAAUCCAUCUUCACAAGAUGAUAACAUAUAUGUUUCAAUCUUUUGUCACUAUCGUAGAUCUAAAUUUAGUUUUUAUUAGAUCUAUUAGAUUUUUGAACAUAUAUGUUUAGUAAAUAUUGAUUCAAUAGCUAGUAAAGUGCAUAGUGUUUUUGUUGCUAAACAAAUAUUAAGAAAAGUAAAAAGCAGUUGUAGAGUAGAGUCUAAGGUUACUUAAUUUCUUAAACAGUUCACUUAUGGACUGUAUAUUUGAUCUUGAGUUUUCAUCGUUAUCUAUAUUGUUAUCAUUUUAUUAUUAUUUAAUUAUUAUAUUAAAAUAAGUUUAUUAUCUAGUAGUAUAAAUUCUUGACAUUUCCCAACUCUGGACAGUAGAUGGAAAGUAUUUAUUCAUAUUUCUUUAAUCGCUUCCCGACAUUUUUCUGCGUGUCCAAUUCUGACUGUGAUUUAACGUAUUAAUAAUCCUUAUUUAAAAAAAAAAAUAACUCUAAGUUUAAUCGUUUCCACUGGUAAGUCUAUGAUGACAAUAAUAAGAUUUACAAACAAAUAAACUUAUAAUUUAAAUGGUUAAGUCAAUUGAAUUUACAAAGUUAACUUUAAACGUACGUUACCUUGUGCAUUUUUUCUGAAUUAACUUAACUUAACAUCCAGCUUUAUCAAUCGUCAAAAACCGAAUAAUUUUCGAUUUCUUGAUAUUUUAUUGGGAUACGCGUAAAACUGUAAUAAUAUUAAUUAAUUUUACAUAAUAGUGCGUAGAUUGUUUUGACGUUGACGAUUUAAAAAUCACUAUAUUGUUAUAUAUCACUAUAUAUACCACAACAGAUGUAUUUCUAUUUUCUGAUACGCGUUUACGAUGAUGACAUUUCAGUCAGAUUUUCAUCCCACAUAUCUGGCAAAUGGACGGUGUUUAGAGUUUAAAUAAUAAUGUAGUAAUAUUUGACUACUAACUACGAACUGAAAGGUUUUAAAAUGACAUCAAUAUCUCAUUUUACCUGUUACCCGUGAUAUUAUAAUAUGUUAUCAUUAUAUUUCCGAACUUUAAACGAGUUUCCGAAACUAUCCCUAUAUUAUACACGAACACGAUGUCUGGAACUGUCCCAGCAAUGAAUAGUAAAUAAUAUAAUAUUAUUAAAAUACAUGAAACUUUUAAACUAUGCGAUAUAAAUAUAUGGAAGUAUCAUAGUGAACAUUAUUUGCUGUACAAUUUUGUGCGAAUAUUGUUCGAAGUUGAACGAAGUUUAUGUCAUCGUCAUAUUGUGUACAUGCAUAUAUUAUUGUAGUAUACAUGUACAGGUAAUGUAGAUUUUCUAAAUAAUAAACGUACAUCAUUAUCGGUAAAAGGACAAGUCUAGAAACUUUUUUUUUUUUCAAAGUUAGCUAUCAUUUAUAUUGUUGAAAUGAUUGUACCUAUGCAUUCGUAAUGCUUUAAAAAUGUAUAUAUUAAGAUGCGUUCGCGUUUCACAUAAAAACUCACACAAAAUAUAAGAUAUAUGUUCGUUUUAAAUAUUUUUUUAAGCUGGUGUUUACAACAUACUAUUGUGCCAUAUUUUAAAAAACAUUAAAAUAAAAUCGAAAAUAUCAAAUGCCUAAUAGCUAAAAAAUAUAAUUGCAUCUUUAAAAGCCUUUUAUAACUAAUUGGUGAAAAUUCCUGGGCUCUAUAUUAUUUUGACCAAAUUAUAAUAAAAAAUACGAACAUACUUCACAAGAUGGGUGGGCUACUGUUGUAGGGGAUAAAAUUAGAAAGUUGGGUGUAGAGGGGAGUUUAAUAUAUAUCUGUAUGCAGCAAUUAAUCAUUGCUAACGAAAAACGAUUUUGAUCGGAAUUCGGUUAUACAUGUUUUGAAAGACCGGAAUAUUUCCUAUUUCCAAUUUCCAUCAAAAAUGUUUAUAAAAAAAAAAACUACUUAAACUUAACUUUUUCUUAUUAUUCACUAAGUGCAACUACUACUAGUACAGUUAUUACUACUAAAUUUUCACCAUUCAAGUUAUAACAAAAUAAAUUAACUUAUGUUACAAUUUAGUUAGAGUUAACAGGUCAUUAUUUAAUCAAUUGCCUUUUAACUUAAAUUAGUUAAUUAAUAAAACAUCUAAGUUUUAACGUGUGAACUAAUUUUAAUAAAUUUUUCAAGUAAGAGGCUCGUUGCCAGUGCAUUUUUUGUGUCAAAAAUUUAUCUUCUGGAAAUUAUUAUCAUGCCUCGUAGAACAGCCCAAUUCCGUUGAUUGUUUUUUUGUAAAAAUAAAAAUAAAAUUUUUUAGACCGCAUUGGAUGUUUUUCAAUAUUUUCAACUCAAACUUAAUAAUUCAUCUAUAAAAAAAGAUCAAUUUUUAACUUUUUGUCAAAAUCUUUUAUUCUAUUAUUUUAAAUUCAAUAAAAAAUCAGAGCUAAAUGCAUUCUGUAGUAUAUAUAGUUAUUUAUUAAUUUUCCAUGUAGAACCAUAAAAAUUGCUAUAUCUUCCCUUUGUUAUAAAUGGGUAACAGGUAGUACAUUAAUGGAAAGGGCUAAUUUUUAAGAGAACGUGAUAUCUUCAUGCACUGUCUUCAUCAUAAAAACGUACGAUAUAUCAAAUUUAAAUCAACAGGACAACUUUGUGCUGUUCAUUUUAAUAUUAGGGUGAAUUGAUCUAUUUUCAAACUUAAAUAUAAGACCAUUAGCAGCACAACGUAGGUACUGUUUUUUCAAUGUUUCAAGCAUUCAAUUUUAUAGUCAUAUUCUCUCUAAUAAUAAUGCAAAUAUCGACAAAAUAAUGCUAAAAUUGUACAGAUAAUAUUAAUAUCUUUAGUUUGAUAGUUUAUUAUUUAGUAAAUUAUUUAAACUACAGAUUUACUUAAAAAUUAAAACUAACAGCACUGUAUUGCCCCAGUUGAACGCAAGAUUCCUAUGUCGUAAGUUUGUAUAUGGAAACAACAUAUACAGGUGUCAUAGCCUCUUAAGGCAGGAAUUAAAAUGUUAAAAAAAAAUAUUUAAAUUUUACAUAAUUAGAGGAAUUUGAGAAAUCUUACACCGGGCCGCUUAAUUUGACUAGACUGCACUGGAAUAAUAUUGUUUACCAACUUGCCACAGCAUCGGAAUAAUCUAUAUAUUUUUUAUUCUGGCAUAAGUAUAGUUAUUACGCUUUGUUCCACUUGAAUAAUAAUAAAAAAAUAAAAAUAUAUCAAUUCAUUUAUAUCAGAUUUAUUGUAUUCCGGCGAUAAAAAUAUUAUGAAAUAAAACUAUAAUAGGCACCUAACACGUAGUGAUAAUAAAAUAUCUGUACAUUAUUUUAUUAUUUUAUUAUAUUUCACUAAAAAAAUUCUCUGAUGGUAUAAAGACAAUUGAUGAGAUACGUUAUUUCAAACUGACGUGUUUGAAAACAGAUUUUUAUAUCGGAAAAAUAAAAUCUAACUGGAAAUUGAAUUUAUUUAAUUUUCCAGUCCAUUUCUCAAACGGUUUUGGCUUUGAGAAACGCCAACGUCAUUUUUUUUUUAUUACGUUACAAAUCGAUUUAUAAAGCAAAAUACGUAUAAACACUUUUGUCGAAUAUAUAAUAUUACAUAAUAAUACGAUUUUUUAUGCAGUUUUUUUUUUUACCGGCAAUACAAGUAUAUAAAAUAUGGAUAUUAUAAGCCUGCCCGUAUCCUUCAAAUUAAACUGUACAUAAUAUAAGAGAAACGCCCACCGUUAAAUCUGUUUGAAUAUUAAAUUUUUUUUAAAUUUGAAUUUUGUCGUAAUAACAGAUAAUUAAUUAUUAUGAUAUUGUAAAUUAUAUACUUUAAGUAUUAUUAAUAUGAAUAACAACUCAAACAUAUUAAUUAAUCCUUUAUUGACAACGGUAAAAGUCUGAAUGAAGUUAUACAUAAAUAUUGUCUGCGUGACAAAAAAUGAUGGACACUCCCCGCCAAUCGUAAUAUGAUAUGAUAUUAUUAUGUAAAUACUUAUAAGUUUUAAUUAAUAUAACAUAAAUGUAUAAUGCUUGUCGUACCGUAAAUACUUAAUAUACAACAUCUAAUUCCUUAAAGAAAUAAUUGUUUUAGUAUAGUACUUAAUUUGCUAUAUUUAGUAUCACAUAUACGUUAGUAUUAUUUUUAUUGAAUAUAAUUUAAAAAAAAUAAUUGACAAAAAAAAAUUACAUUAUUUAUAAUCACUUUUAGAGCAUCGCUGAUGUGGUUUCCCAGCUCUAAUUGGUCUGGGAGUUUUAUCUAUCAUUAAAGGAUUGGGACUGUCAAUUGGUUUCCUGGCGGGAAUAAGUGAAAUAUCAUUGCUUAAAGGUGUUAAAGAUUUGUCGAUCAGUAAUUGAUCAUUAAGUCUUUACCAAAUAUUUCAUCAUUAAAUUCUACGUCAUACAUAUUGUUACCAAUACAUUUGAUGAUUUUACCCUUAUGCCAUUUAUUAUUAUUAUUCCUUUAAACUCUAGCUAGAACAUUAUCACCUACAUUAAAUGAUAUUAUUCUAUUUUCUCAAUUGUUUAUUUGCGAUAUUUGUCUGUUAAAAUGCAUCAAAUUGUAAACGAGUUGAUUGACUGUUAGCUGAGCUGGCGUUUCUUGUGUUGUUGAAUGAGGUGUUUUACGAUGCAUAAAAAAAAAUAUUAUUUACUUACGAUUGUGCUGUCGAACAUUUUUUAAAGAAGUUUUUAAUUAUUUUGACUGCUGAUUCAGCACCAUAGUUCGAUUCCGGGUGAAAUAGUGCGUCUGUUAUUUGUCUUAUACCUACAUUUUUAUAAUACGAUUGAAAUUCCAAACCUAUAAAACAUUUUGCGUCAUCUGAUGUAAUAUCAAAUCGUGCUAUUAUUUGCGAAAAUUUGUUUAUGACAAUUUCUGCUGUCAUAUUAUUUACUAUUUAUUUCUAAACAUUUUGUGGUCGCGUCAACUAUGAUAAAAAAAUAUUUAUUUUGAAAUAAUCCGAGAAAAUCACACUGGACCAGGAUCCACGGUUUUUCUGUCCUUUUCCAAGAAGAUAUUAUAGAUUUUGGUAGAUUUUGCCUAACAUUAAGGCAAUUGUCACAAUUAUGCGUAAUAUUUUCUAUUUCCUUAUUCAUUCCUGGCCACCAAAAAUAUAAUCUGGCUAUACUUUUCAUACUAGAAGCCUUCAUAUGACAAGAAUGGAGUUAUUUUAAUAUAUUAUUAUGGAAUUUAGAUAGUAUAUAAAUUUAAUAACCUCAUAAUUUACAUUUUUGUUCUACUGAAAUUUGAGUUUUUCGUAAAUUAUACGAUUUUGGUUCUUAAUUAUUUGCAAAAUUACAGUUUCAUUUUCCUGCUCUAACUGCGUUUAAACUUUUGCAAUAAUUGUGUAUCUACAUGUUUCAAUUUUUUUUUUUUUGGACCAAUCCAGUGUUUAUGAAUUUUUCAUGAAAAUAAUUUAGACUAAUGCAUUCUUAAUUUUGAUUUUCGAUCGUUAAUUUAGAAAUGUGUAUUCUUGAUAAAAAAAAUAUCAUCUAUGUUGUUAUUAGAUUUUACAUAUUUUUUUUUGAAAUCAAAUGAUAACAAAACAUAGGCCCAUCUACCAGUAUCUAUCUCGAAAUUUACAUUAUUAUUUUCUACAAUUAAAUCUAAUUUCACAGCUCUAUUUUCAGAGUUCUGAUCAAUUAUAGAAAAAAAAAGUUCUGGAAAGAUCGAAGUUAACUGUAUCAUCAUCAUCAUCAUCAUUUUUUGACAACAAUUUAUUUUGUGUUUUAUUGUUUUUCUUUUCUUUUUUACUUUUUUUACAUACAGUGGAUAAAUUAACUUUUUCACCGAAAUUGUUGCAUAAUCUUUUUACCUGCAGUCUUUUUGAACGUGAUUGGAACGGCCACAAACCCCACACUUUGCCUUUGAUUUCUUGGACACAUUGAAAUUCUGAUUGAAUUGACCGUAACCGUUGGUACUUUAGAUCUGCGCCAUCUUUUUUUCUCCAGCCACGUUUGUCAUUUAUUGCUGCUUCUUUAGUUGAUUCAAUUUCCAUUAAAUUUGAAUACGUAACACCACACUUUGACGCGUAUUCUUCUAAGAGACGAUAUUUUAUUGAUCCUGAACCAAUACCGAUAACAAUAUGUCUCAGAUUACCGUUGUUGGUUUUGCCGAAAACCCACAUUUUGAAGUUAAUUUUUUGACACGUACACCCCUUGGCAUAUCGAUUAAUCUUGUCUUCUUUUGGCCUGAUAAAAUAUAUGUCUAGUCGCAAAGUACGACUUUACAGGUUUAAAAUAUUUGUUCAAAUUUUUUAUAAGACUAGCAUACUCAACAUCAUCCGGUAUGCUAGGAACACAUAAACUAAAGAGCACUUUAUGUAUUUCUUCACUAAUUGACGAUAAUAAUAUAGCUCGUUUUUGAAUAUUAUUUUCGAUUGAAUAUGUUAAAAAGUUUGUCAAUUUUAUCUUGAAAAUUGUAAUAUCCGUAAAUGCUUCAAAAAUUCUUGGUGACUCAAUAAUUUGAUUUUUAAAAUAAUUUUUAUUUUCGGAUUAUUUAGAGAACUACUUGGAAAAUCGAAAAAUAUCUUUGUUACUUAUUAACUUUUCAAAAUAUUUGUAUAGACAGAUUUAGAGAAAGAUUUUUUUUGUAAAAACGAAAAUCAAGAUUCUUGGUAUAAUAUUUGUACACUGACCGAAAAAAGCACACAUCAUUGUAAAUCAAUAAAUUAUUCACUACGCUUAGAAUUGAAAAAAAAAAUACAUUGGAUUUGCCGUAUUUGGAAAUAGGCGAAAAAAAUACUGAAAAUAACAACGAAUUCACUUCGGGUAUAAAAAUUAUGCAUUUUUUUUUUUUACUCGUGCAUAGUAAUAUAUAUAUAAAUCACUACUUCACCGUAUGUUCUCCAAAACGGUGAAACGAAAAAAAAAAGAGUUUAUUUAAAAAAAUAAACGUGUCGGGUCAAUGUGGAAUCACCCGGUAUUUUUUAUAUUUUCAUACAAGAGUAUAUAUAUAGCGAGUACCUAUAUGUAUUUAUUUGAUCCUGAACGGUUGUUCAUCCGCGACUUUUGUAAAUACGAAUAGGCAUUUUCCACGCGUGUCCCGGAAAUGUGACCGACCUCCGGUCGUCAGAGACAGGUGCGUAAAACGAAUCGAUAGGGCGGCCAUCAAUCAGACCGGGGGUUAGACGGAUUUUUUUUGCAAUUCGAGAUUUAUUUCGCCGGAAACAGCAGUGUACCUAGUAGUUGGUGAUUUUUUUUGUUUGUUCACCUAUAAUACAUUCCAUCGAAGUUAUUUAAAUAUAUUACGUACAAACGGUGAAUACAUAAUAUUAUUAUGGCAACAGAUUUGGGAAAAUUAAUUUGCAACUGGACAUGAUGGGAAACCGUUAUGUUAGAAUACAUAUUAUGAAUAUAAUUGAAGCCACAAACGAACAAGAAAUUCGACGGCCCACGUGAACCGAUCACAAUCUCUUAUCAUAAAGUAAACCGGUUUCGGUUUUCAGGCAGUUAUAUUAAACCGAUUCGAAUUCGUUUUAGUUUUAAUUUUAGUUUUAGCGGUUUAGUAUUUUUCGGCCGCUCUUUUCUGGUCCAAAGUUACCGAAACCGAUUUAAAUGUAUUCUUCUUAGUUAUCAAUGUAUGCGAAUAAUUAUGCUAUUUGAUCCAUUAUCAUUGUUUUCAUUUGUUAGUUAAGUCCGCAAUAAAUAGGUGCUUAUGCAGUUUUCUAUUGUCUAUCCACUGCUUGUUUUUCAAUUAGUUUCUAUAGUUGUAAAUAAAAAUAACUCAUAACCAUGUUUACGGGUCUGAUACAGAUCCGGCCAUGGCCAGACAUGCGAAACUAGACAUUUUUAUAGAAUUUUGAGAAAAUGUUAUAUCAUAAAAUAUGACAUAGUAAAAAAUAAAAAUCGUAAAUUAUGUAUACGCACGUAGCGCCAACUAGUCAAUUUUUUCGAAUUCAGUCCGAUAUAUAUAGAAAAUAGAUAUUAUAGUCCAAAAGUCGAUAGGGAACUAUCUUAAAUCUUAAAUAUUAUCUUAAAUCGUAUUCACACUAUGCAACGUUAUUUGUUCAACAUUUUUUACAUAGUUAAUUAUUAAAUAUUUUGAAAUUAAUAUGUAUUAAUUAUUUUUAUUUUAAGAAGUUUGAUCGCUUAACAUACAAUUUUUCUUGUUGUUUUGUGAAUAAAUUCUAGAAACGAAAAGAGUGCUCACCGGGGGCGUAAAUGUGAAAAUUGACAGUAUUUAUUGGUACCGUAAUAUAACAUUAUAUUAUUAUCCCAUGUAUAGAUACGCAUUUAUGUGCAUUUGAUAAAUUGCUGUAAUAUUCAGUUGAGCAAACCGCAUAUAGGUACCUAGUACCUAUAAUAUCUAAUAUACCUCUUGCAAUCACGUUUCCGAUUCAUUAAGCAUAAUAUAAUAUAUUCUCUCGAUUAUAGAUAUUACUGCGGUGUACUUUUAUUUGUGAAAAAUCUACGUUUGACAUUAUUAUACGAAUAUGAUUUUGUUUAUAUCAUUUAGAUUAUAUUAUGAUGAUAAUGAUUAUAAUAUUUUGGUAAUAAUGGCCCAUCGUGUAAAACGUAUAUUUUAUGACAGUACCUAAGCCUCUCUUACGGGAGGGGGAAUAUAUUUGCACCCAUCCUUAAAAUAGAAAAUGUCUUAAAAAUUCAUGUCACAGUCUAACAUAACCUAACGGGAUUUUUAUAUUUGUAAAAUAUUAGAUAGAACACUUUAGUAAGUACAUAAAAUAGAAAUUGUUGUAUAAUAUAAUGUAAUGCAUGUUAUAAAAUAAUUUCAUAAUAAAUUGUAAUGUAACACAAAGUUUAACCUCCGAUUUUUCAUACAAGAAAUUCGUUCAAUAAUUUCAUCCACUGGUAUACUUAUUUCUUGGCAUUGGUAAAAGUGCAAGCCCACAUAAACGAUGCUGGCCCAUUUUUGAACGUAGUCAUAACCUAACCUAAUCUAACCUAACCAUGUUUUUAGUCUACAGCAGUAGAUAGGUACCACCAAAAUUUAUAAACCAUUUCCAAUUAUGUAGAUAUAUAAUAAUUAUUAUAUUAGAUUAUAUAUUAUCAUAUGUUUUUAUUAUCUAUGGUCAAACAACGUCGAACUAUGAUAACACUAUAUAUUUUGACCCGGUUCAACCAUAAAUAAUAAAAAUUAUUUAAAAUCUUGAGCUUCAUCAUGUUAUCAAUUAUCAUAUUAUUAAUGACUUUAUUAAAAAGAAUUCAAAAUAAUUGUAAAAACACUAAAAAAUAUAUAACAAUGCACACAUAUAGUCACAUAUAAUUAUACGACCCACGGGGGCGAUGAAUCGAUCCCCCCACAGGUGCGCCACUGUUUUAUGAUAACUUGCCAGGGUGUUUGGGUUAUAUAGACCAUGAAAAUAAACGUUACAAAUACAAUAUGUAGACAAAAGUAAAACUCUCAUUUGACAAGCAAACUGUAACUAUUUCGUAAUCCUUUAAUGCAUUUUGUAUACAAUAUUUUAUCGUCGAAAAAUGCUGAAAAAUAUAUACGGAAUUAAUGGGACGUAGAAAUAAAUAAAGAUAACGAGAAAAAAACGAUAGCCAAAUUUUUUAUACUCGAGUCGUUCGGAUAUCCGAGCAACUGAUAGGCAACAAGUUUCUGAAACUUUCGUUUCUGUUUAUAUGGUACGAUAUAAAUUGAAAACUUUAACAAACGCACGUGAAAAUAUCGAUCGCUCCUGUAUUCGUAUAAUGCCACAUAUUAUAAUACCCAUACUUACAUAUAAACGUCUUACGAUAUUAUAAUUCUCGUUCAAAGCCGAAAUUGGUGAUUAUUUCUUUAAGUGAAACAGCGAACAUAGAUUAGGUACAAUCUAAAAUAAAAAAGAUUUUUUCGACCGGCUAUUAACGGAUGUUUUGGUAGAAAAAGGGGUUAACGAAAAAACAUAAUUUAUCUGUCCAAUCGACGAUCGUUGUUAGAUAAACAAAAAAUGCGCAGAGACAAAGACGUGCAAAAUGAAACGUUAAUUGAAACCGAUGAAACAAAAAUUAUAUUAACGAUAACUUUUAUCAGGAAAUUCGGAGCUGACGGGCUGUAUCAACAAUAUUAUGAUAAAUUGUCAAAAAAGCGUUUCGUUAAAUACGACCGUCGCGUGUCGUGUCACGGGAACGCUAUCAUAUUAUAGCUAUCAUAAAAGGUUACGAUAAAACAAUAAUGCAAAGUAUGUUAUUGUUUAAUUUUUUUUUUUUUUUUAAACACAUGCCAUUUUCAUAAAUUAUAAGUUUAAAAAAUAUAUUACGUAUAUUCUGACAGUUUCGGUUUUUAUUAAUAAUAAUGAUAAUUCUCCACUAAUUAGUUCGUCUAUGCUUAAAAUAAUAAUAAUAUUAUCAUUUUUGAUAGUAAAAUGUAUACAAACUAAUACUUUAAUAAUAUUAUCAAGCGAAAUGUCUUUGAGAAGAUUAUGUACCCCUCCUAAGACCUUUCAUAUUAUAAAAUAUUAUAUUAUAUAGUUAUGUCAACUACCACAGAGUACAGCAUGAAACGGGAAAGAGGUGAGCUUUUCUAAACCCGAAAUUUCCCUUUAGCUGUAUAUUAUAAUUUGUAAUAAUAAUAUAAUUAUAAUCUAAACGGACGGAAAAAAAUCGCAAGGAUAUUAUAUUAUGUUUUUAUCGGCAAUUAAUAAAUAUGCAUAUUAUAAUAACGAUUGUUUAGGUCAUUUCGUCGUUCGUUCGUCACGAUUUUAAUUAGUACCGGUGUAAUCGGGAUUAUUUACUCCCAUGAAAUUUUACCGAAAAGUAAAAUUUCUCUAGAGAUAAUUUACCGAAGGAGGUGAAAUUUCACCCGGUAAAUAAUGCUAAUAAGAAGUGGAACAUAAAUAAUAUUGUCGUAUUAUGAGCAUGAGUGCGUGCACGGGGGAGAUAAGAGAGGCAGCUAUCUUCCUUACAAGAUUUUUCACCAAAAUAUAUAUAUUUUUUUUUAAAUACGUCAGUUAUGAAUUUUGUAAAAUAUUUAACUCUAACACCUCUUUAAUAAUGUGGAUUAACGUAAAAAGGUGAAUCUUGAGUGAUUUAUCCCCCUGAAAACUCAGCCAAGAUCUCACCUCCAAAUUAAGUCCUCAUUAAAUAAAUAUAAAUAAAAUCAAUAUUAUGAGGCUUAUAUCUUUAUAUAUAAAUUUGUGUAAAGUUUAUUGACUUUUAUGAUAGAUUCCUACUCUGCCAAGAAGAAAUGUGCAUGUUUAUGAUCAAAGAUAUAUUUGUGAUGAUGUUUUGUCGUUAAUUUGAUAACAAUUCAUCAAAUUAAAGUACUGUUCGUAUCAAAAAAAUAAUUAUAAUAACAUAAUAUACUAUAUUCAGUACACAGUCGGUCAUUAAAAUCGACAUUGAGGUUUUUUUUUUUAUUUAUACGUAGAAUAUUACAUUAUACUGGCAUUUUCUGCUAUCCAUAGCACCGGUAAGGGCUAGUUAUAAUAGUAUGUGUAAAGUUUAUACGAGAGAGCAGUGUCAGAUGGAAAUCACUGUAAAUGUUAAAUGUCUACCAGAAUAGUAUGAUAGUAUACUCAUAGAUUUCAAAAAGGCCGUGUAAUUGAUAAAGCCUCAAACUUGACUUAUUUAAUAUUUAUAGGCACUCUCUCGAAUAACGGUUCAGAUAACUUAUUUUUCAUUUAUAUUCGGAUGAAACACAAUAACGGUGAUAAGAAACUUGGUAAAAUCGUGGUCGCUAAUUUCGGUCGUUCUAUGGCUUUUACUGCAUGAUAAUAAUAAUACGUGUGGUUACCGGUCACCCUCCGAAAUAUUUCAUACUUAACACACUAUUCGCGAUGCCCAAUUCGGAUUAAAACUACAGGUAAACUUUUAGCGUAGGUACUUAAUACCUACCGCGAUUACGGUUUACACAAUAGAGAGACAUAAUAUAGGUCCACAAUGCUACCCCUACGGUAAAUCAUAAUAUUUUGUACGGUGGCGGCGGCGCUAAACAUAAUAUUUCAUGUAAUGAAUAUAAAAACAGUCUAUAUAUAUAUUUCGGUACUGCCGUUUGUUUUUCUCGUGAUGUGGUUUAAAAGAAUUUUAUUUUAUUUUAUUUUUUUGUUUAUUGUACGUUGAAUUUGAGAAAAAACCAUUAUGGUCCGUAAAUCAUAACUUUGAUAAAAGUAACGUACCUACCUGUACAACAAUACUCACAUAUAAAUCAAGAUAAUCAAGUUUUUUAAUAAAUUUUCAAGAAAAAAUCCAUAGGUAAACUUACGACUCGUACAAAUAAAUCGUAAAAAGAUAAAAUAUUCUUUGUAUUCUCGUCGAUAAUAUUUGAAAAACUCAUAUCACGCCGUGAAGCCCUGCGUUGGUGUUCAUACAAUCUAUAAAAUAGAGAGAUGUUUUUAACUCCAUAAUACUCCUGAUACGGCUGACAUUAAAUAUACCGAAUUUACCGAAUUCAAUUUUUUUGCCGUUUUAUGUCCUUUAGUAAAUGAUAAAUUCGACGAUAAUAAUAAAACGGUAAUUACGUAAUGAAAUACUAGAACAAAAUAAACUUAAGAAAUUUAUCAUUUGGCCUAAUUUAAAAUUCAAUAUAAUCGUUAAAUUGCUAACUCAGGAUUUUUAAGUUUGGACAGGUGUUGUACCCUACCACUCACUCCAAAUACAUAUCACUCUAUUUCCAGUUCGGUGCCACCGUCGUUUUGAUUAUUAUACCGAAAAAUUGUUCGUUUACGCUUUUUAUAGGUAGGUAGAUACGUACCUAUCUACAAAGUUUACCGGAGAAAAGUUAUAAUAUUUAUCGGUGUACAAAACCCACUCUAAAUUAUUCUAAAACACAUUUUCAUUUUAUGCUUUAAUAGCCGCAAAAAAUAACAAAAUGUUCCGAAAUCCCGUUGUAAAACUUUCGUAAACCGAUUAAAAAGUUGUCUUGUAAUAUAUAUGUAUAGAAAAGAUAACAUGUCUGCCAUCGUUUUAAACAUAAUAAUAAUAUUUCUUGUUUUUUCAAGUAUCACUUUGUGCAUAUUGUAUGAUUUUAUAUAUUAUUAUACCUGUAUCUAAUAUGUUUUCUUCUUCGACGAUUUCAAAACGGUUUGGCACAACUCACGUCGUCGUUGAAAUUUUUAAAAGGUUUUUUUUUUUCAUUCAAAGUAUCGUGCGUUUUCAGGCGGGACUACCUCGAAUCGGAAAAUUAUAAUGCAAGUAACCUUUGAGUUAAACGAUUUGUCACUCCAGCAGGAUAUAUGGUAUUUAUGAAGGCGAAAUAAUAAUCGUCAUGAUUUUAUUUUUCCUCCAUAGGUAUUGAAUUUACCGUUCUGUUUCGGAUAACCGAGAGAAAAUAAAAUAACAAUCGAAAGCGUCAACAAUUUUCAGCCGAAUAUUUGUGUAAUAUUUAUGUUAAAAUAACGUGCCUUGAAAAAUUCCAGCGUAAAACUGGCUGUAGAUAUUACUUGUUUUGACGGUUUUGGCCUAUGAUAUGGUAGUUGCGUCAGAGAAGCGUGGGAUCUUCUUUUAAGGAAGUUGUGUGUGUGUGUACAAAUGGACACUUUUUUUAAGUAUAACCGAUAGCAGUAAGGAAUGUGUUUAACACAAUACUUCACUCACUGCUGCCAUUGUUUAUUAAAAUAUAAGUUAUGAAUUAGUUUAUCGAAUGUACAAUCAAUGCCUUGCCUUUGGGAGAAGGCUAAAACCGUAAGUGAUAUAAAUCAACCUCAGGAAAAUAUGGGAAACUAAACGGGUUGUCUAUAAGCUUGUCCAGGACCUUGUAGAAGAGUAUAAACCUGGCUCGUUUCCACCUAUUCGGAAAGACGGACUCACUCAGUUGUAGAUCUUCAGGAGGACUUCAGGCGAUCUCAUAAAAAUCACCGAGAAGACCUCAUUUGGGACACUGUCGGGUGCGGUAGCCUUGUUUUUAAGCAUUAAAGCAACUGCUAACCUGAACUCGUCGACGGUGAGAACGGAAUACCCUCGUUCGUUAGGUUUUGCUGCUUUAGUUUUGAGAAGGAUGGUAAGUGGUUCGCGUAUUUCGAGAAGAACGUCUGGCCAGUGCACUACUGAUCUGACCGGGAAAAACAAAUCUGCUAUUUCGUUUUCACCUCUCCUUUUAGUGAUUCCGGGCGACUGUCUAUUAAAUCACUUGGAGACUACUCUAUAAGAGAUGCCUCAGGGGUCUUUUUAACUGCCGAGGAUAGUUCGGCCGAACAUCGUCUUUAGAAGGUUCGGAUUUGAGCGCAAAGAGACUUGUGAGGCUCUCUUAAACAAGUGGACACUAGAUAAAGCCCAUUAAACAUCUUGCAGUAGAGUACAAUUUUGCUUACUGUAAAUCCAUUAUAAAAUAAACUGAUUAAAUUAGUAGAUUAAUAGAUUAAUUAGUAACAAAAUAUUAUAUUUUAAAUACUCUCACUGGUAGGAUGAAGAGUAACUGGAAAUGUUUAGUUUAUCUAUUCAUGGAGGUUUUUUAACGGAGGGAGCACGUAGUAUAUAUUAACUAAAAAAGUAACCUGCAAAUUUGGCCUAUAUACCUAUAUUUGGCCUAAUACUUUUCCUAUAUAGAUAGUUUAAACUAAUGGUGGAUUUUUUUUCGUGUUUUCUUUAAGUAUUACGAACUCUUGAUAAUUUGCACGCAGUGGUGUACACAUAAUUUUUGUAUACUGAGGGGAGGGGAGAUCAGUUUCAAAUAAAUUAUUAUGAAAGGAAAAUUUCUAAACCUAGGUACCUGCACGUUAAAAUAAUAAAUAAUAAAACAUUUAUUUAUACUGCAUUUUAUUUCAAAAUUCUACAAAUAAUAAUAAUACAAAAGUUUUAAUUUUGUAUUAUGACCACGGCCGGUCGGUAAAAUUGUAUUCUUGACUCUUGUUAUAAUUAUAUUUUAUGUAUACCUAUAUAUUAAAUUAAUAUAAUAUGAUUAAUCAGUCAUUAGUCAUUAGUAAAUUCAUUUUAAUCAUUGCCAUUUUUUUUUUACAUUUCAAUGUAACGCCCUUAUAAAGAACACUAUUUUUUACAUUUUACAUUCCCCUCCUUGUAUACGCCCCUGUUUGCACGUUCUCGUUAGUAAUCGCGGGUGACGUGUGUAAUUACAAACUUGUAUUUCGUGAUUGUUUAUAUAUUAAACGAUCAAUAUAUGAUCAAAUGGUAUUCGAUCGAAACGAUACCUAAUAAUAAUAAUUAAUAAUAUUAUUAUUGUAUUAACGCGUGGAAUUUACCAUACACAAAUUCCAACAAGUCGACAUAACAUAAAUUCUCCGACUUUAUACUGUUCAGUUUCUAAAACGCUAACAAUUCAGCCUUUCGGUUCGACCUCAAUUGGUGAAUAUGAAAAACAACGAAUCAUGUAACACACUUUCGAAUACUCGUCACAUAGCUCUGAUUUUUAUUAAUUUUAUAAUCACGAAUGGACCAAAAUAUGUAUGCAUAUUUUUAAAUUAAAUAUACGAAAAUAUAUUAAAAUUAUUAAAUUAAUAUUAAUAAAAAAUUAGUUAAAAAUUAAUAUUUGUAUGUAGUGCACCCUUAUUAUUUUCGAUUCACAGAACAAUAUCGACUCUAAAUAGAAAGCGUUUUGACGAGUCAAAAGUUGAAAAAUUAAAGGAACAACAACCAAAAAUUUAUCCAUCUAACUUUUUUGAUUUUUAAGAAUCGGGCCAACAAUCUUAUUAUCAAUAUCGAUCAUGGAUUAUGAUGAUUCAUUUCGUAAAAACCAUUCUUCUAUAGGUAAUAAACUCAAAAUUGAUUUGAAAUAAAUAAAUUGGGUUUCAUGAGUUGCUUAUAGGGUAAGGCUUCAUAAUAACAUUAAGAAUGCGAAUAUGAACUUAAGAAAGGUCAAUCGUUACACUGUGCAAAGUUUUAUGACUGAAUAUAAUAUACAAACUAAAUUGUAUAAUCACGUAUCAAAUCAUUUUCAUUAUUGUAUGUAUAUUAUAUAUACUAUUUAUAAAAAUGUGAUAUAAUUAUACGAUAUGACUACUUAUACAUAUGUAUACGAUGUAUUAAAAUAAGGUAUAGACUAUUUAUAACCGGGGGUAGGGGAUUCUGUCUAUAAAUUAUUUAGAAUAUCAAUGACUUUAGUAUUGAAAAGAAGAAUUUAACUACUGUAUAUUAAUUUUAUAUUGGUUACGAAAUAGGGGCAGAUGUUUAAAUAACCCUUGAUAGAAUAUUUAUAAACAAAACCAACCCUACUAUAAUAAUAUUUCAAAAUAUCCCAUCUCUAUUUUUAGAUUUUGUGAGCAAAGAAGCCUAUGGUUUUACAAAGAUGUUUAUUUUUUUUUCUGUGGACAACUUUUCUACCAGAGGACUUGCUCUGAUUUGUACGUAUAUAAACUUUUCUGGAAGGAAAUUGGUGUGGGAAGGUAUCUUAAAGAGAUCGUUUUUCCAUUUUCUCCAGAGUUUUCUCAGCAAAUGUGAAAUAGUGGGAAAACUGUGAAAAUCGGUACAACAUUAAACAAAUAUUAUUAAAGAAAAUAUAUAAAGCCUACUUAAUUAUUGUACUAUAAUAUGACAUAUAUAUUGUUGACAAAGUAUCACUAUUAACUGUACUCCGCUUAGAGUCGUUUUUUCGUAAGCACUGGUUUAACAUUACCCGCCCCCAUUAUCCUACAGCUUAUCCUAUAUAUUUUUUUAAUUACCUUCGUAUUGCUCAAAAUUCUCACGCAAAUUAUAUAAAUAUACAUUUGUAUAUAACUGUUUACCUAAAUCUAAUAUUAUAUACGAAUACAAUAAUACAUACUACACAAAUGUGCUGGUAUUUGAAAACGAAUAUUUCAAAAAUAAACUGCAGAACCUAAGUGUUGUUACGUUGUAUACUUGUAUAUUAUAUGUAAUAUGUAUACAACUAUCAUUAUAAAAUAUAAAUACAAAUAAAAAUACGAUGAUAUUUUUUAAAACUACGCUGUUUUUACAAGAAUUUAUUUACCCCUUUUUAUUAAAACCGGGAAUAGUUUGUAAAAUACACUUAGAUUUCAAAGAAAUUCAUUCAAAAACACGGUCGGGGUCCAAAAAUGUAAUUAAGAAGAUAUUUUGUACUAUAAUACACAAUGUGUAUUCAUAAUAAUAAUAAAUUAAUGUUUUGAAUUGAAAUUAAAUUUUAUAACCAAAUUCUCAAAAUUCCCUUGGAUAUAACAUUAUUAUAUCAUAUAAUUAUCUAAUUAAUCGUAGUGCGUAGUGUAUCUAGAAUCAAAAUCCGAGAAAAAAAUUUUAACAAUAAAUAUCAAAAUAAAGUACCUACAUUUUUAUUUUAUAUACUUUAUAUUUAAUGUGGCUUUAACCUGUAUACAAUUUUUAGAUUCCGAGCCCAAUCAUGAAAAAUGAUUAUUGUGUAAUUAAAAUGUGUUUAUUUUUUUUACUCGCAGAAUAUUAUUUUUCAGUUAGUAUAUCUAUUAGUAAUAUUGAUUCAAAUAUUGUUCUCAUAGAACCAUAAUAAAAGAUGCGAAUUUCCCCCCUUACGUGACGACAUUUUAUUUUAAAUAAAUUUCUAGAUUUCUGACAUUUUUUCUAAAAGUUCAAAAAAAAAAUAGACAACAAAUAAUGAUGAUAUUAUAUCUACUUUAAUUUUAUCAAUUUCUGUAGGGUUUAAGGGAAAAACAACGCUUAUUUAUUACAAUUGAUAGCAUCGAUUUUUUUUUUACAAUGAUUUAUCGUUGUUUUAGAAUACUAACUAUAUUACUGACCUUCAUCAUAUACCUCCCUAAUUUCGCAAACCUAAAACAGUACUUAAUCUACUAAUAUAAGUGUUAAAUUUUGGCUACAUUAUUUUUCUUUCAUGUAAAUAAAUCUGAACAUAAAUUCGAAAUUAUAACAAAAAGUUUUUAGGAUAAGUAACAGAUAACAUACGAAAAUGUUCAAAUAAAUCGUCAAUAAUGUUUUUGGGAGAUAAACAUAUCGAAUGGCGGCGUCUGAAGAAAACGAAAAUGACAACAUAAAACCUGAACGUUAUCGGAAUUAAUUGUAUUAUUACUUUUAUUUCGUUUUCGACGUAAUAAUAUUAUUUUAAUGUAAGACUAUUGACUGUUGAAUAUGAUAUUAUGAAUUUUUCGCGUUUAAAACACCAUUACAGUAUAUUAUUAUUAUAUAUUUUGUAAUUUUCAUCGGCAUAAAGAAAUAACUAAAACAUCACCAACGUUGUGGCUAAGUACAGUCUGAAAAAUAAGAGAAUGUAUAAUAUUAUUCUUUAAAAAAGAAGGUUGUAUGUUUUUUCGAACGCUUUUCUUUUUGCCAUUGACAUUUCAAACAAUAUAUAUUUUUCAACAUCAUCAUAACGCUAUUGAAUCGUAUUGCAUAAUAAUAUUUCACGUCUUUAUUAUUAUUAUUUUCUUUUUUACACAAUUUCAAUGCUACAUCAACUAUUAUAUAUUUUUAUUUAUAUAAGUCGUGUUUUUUAUUUAUUCUUGCAAAUCUGCUUUUGGCUAUUGUAAUUGAAAGAGCUUCUUUUUUUUUUUUUGAAUGCGUGAAAACUCGGUAAAAAAAAGUGGUAAUACUGUGUUUUAUCUAGAUUAAUUAUGAUCUGAAUUGGAGUAUUAUUUUUAUCAUUUCUCUUACUGAGAAAUAAGUUAUCCGAGAUAAAUUGAGGCGCUUAGAACACAAGGGUUAUAAGUGACAUUAUUUUAAUUUCAAAAAAAUCAAGUUUAAAGUUUUUUGUAUUUAAUACAAUUAUUAUAGUUCAUUGUCAUAUUACCACUGUUCUUGUGUUCGAACGAUAAAAAUAAGUUUUGAACACUUGGCAGUAUAGAUACAUAAGUGUGUUAACAACUGUUGUGAAUCCUUGUACCUAUUUACUUCUCAUAUGUUUCGGCAUUUUCAUUUGUAGACUAUUUUAGUGAGAUCUAGUAUUUAUUACUGGAUUGCAACAUAUGUGGAAUAAUUUUCUUACAUUUCUUUACCACAUAAUUAAAUGGAAUAUUUUUAGUUUAGCCGUGCUCUUAACUCAGAUUUUUUCAAAAUGUCACUUAUAUCGCUUGUUUUCUAUGCGCCUCAAUAUCAAUUAGGAGAACGUGUUUAUCCAUAUUUAAGGGGUUGAGUGUAGGCAAUUUUCUUGAAACUUGUAAAAAUACUAAUUAUAAAUAAGAAAUUAAAUUUAAAAUACAUUUAUAAAUAGUCACUGUUAUUAUCACAAGUAUAUCUGGCAUUCCAUACCAAAAUACAAGGUUAUCGGCUAUAAUUUUAACGAACAGUGGAUUUUUUAUUUGUUUUAAACUGAAACUUCUAAUUUUAUAAAAUCUUUCCAUCAAUUGUUGAGAGCGUUACCAUUGUUAAUAUUUUAAAUUUGAGGGAAACAUGAAGAUGGAAAUUUUUAAAAUUGAUAUGAUUUUUUUUAAAAGAAUUUGAUACUUACUCAAAACAGAUAUUUUAAUCAAAAUUACAGAGGGGUCGGCAGAUAACUCCGUGAUUUGACGAGGAAUGCCUCAUAUGUAUUAAAUAAUUGAGAAAUUAACGAAAAUAACAAUGGAACAAACUUUUUGGAAGGGCAAAAACUACUCCGGUUAUAGAUUGAAUGAAAAACCAAAUUUUCAUAAUAAAAAAAAAUAAAAUAGAAAAUAAAACCCACGUUAGGUCACGUUGGUUUAUUUUUUAUAUAUAAGGUGCAAACUCAAAAUUAUCAGAUUUCAGAGCAAUAAUAAUUUUUUUUUUUUAUAAUUUGUGGUAUUCAAAAAUGAAGAAUAAAAAUUUUUCUUUUGCUGUGCUGAAGAUUCGGUUCCGUAAUUAGGUCUACAGCCAGGGUGUUUUUGUCCACGUGGAACAGCUUUUAUAGCAUAAUUACGAAUGGUAGUAUGCAUUCUUAAGUCAUCUAUAUUAAUUAUUCAUUCAAAUCGUAAAUGUUAUACUUAUUAGAAAUAAAAAAUACAAUUUUUAUACAAUUGAUGAUAUGGUUUAUAAAUUAAUUAUCAAUUUCAUAAAUACUUCUCAACGGCGAGAGAGGCAAAGAGAGUACUUGAGUAGGUAGAAAGGGGAGUAAAAGAGGUGAUUAGAGGACCAAAAUGUAAUACAUUUCUGAGGAGGUCAAGAGGUUGCUUCCCAACGGGUACCCAUUAAUUGAACUCAAACAUUUCGUACCCGGUAAGGUCGAAAAGGUUUGCAACGGAAGGUUCCUGGUUGGCACUGAUUCGGAGCAAAUUAGGGUUAUACACAGACACUAAACUGUACAGACAUGUAAAUUGCACACGAGUGAAGUCGUGGACAAAGUCACUGAUAAUACAGCAAUAUUUGUAUACUUUAAAUUUGUUGACUAUAAUAUAAAAAAAAAAAAUAUUUAUAUAGAUAAAAAAAUUACCGCCCAAUUAACUUAAUCUAAAUAAUUAAAUUGUUACGUAUCAUAUAUUUCCGUUUUUAAAAUCAUUAACCUUUCAUCGUGUUUGUCUUAAGUUAUUUUAAAAUGUAUCUUUAAACAACACUUGCAGAUUGAAAGUCUAGAAAAAAUCUGUUCAAAAUUCCGUCGAAAUUAAAUAUUAUUAUUCAAGGAAACAAGCGCGUUUGAAAAAAAAAAUGUCUUUGCAAACGAUAUUAUUUAUAUCGUGCUUAUCGUUUAAUGUGACACUCUGUAAAAUCCGCUGUCGUUGGAUUUUUCGAACGAUUUAAAAAUAUCCUAAUUUUUGAUUUACAACGACGAGGGUUUCGAAACGCCGCCAACAAUCGGAAGAAUAGCCGAAGAAUAUAACUUUCUAAUAUUUUCUUGAACCUUUAUUAAUAUAAGUAUAUAUACUUAUGAUAAUAAUAUUCACAAUAUAUAAUAAACUGCUGUGGCGUAGUAUAAUGUAAUAUUGAUUUUUUUUUUUGUAAAGAACGGCUCGUUUAUGUUUACAGUGGAAAAAAAACACCUGUACGAAAAUAACGGGAAAAAACCCCGUGUCUAUAUUACGCAAUAUACGGGUGGUGACGAAAAUAAUAUUAGGUAUAUAUUUUAUAACAAAUCGUCAGUCUCCGGCUCUCCCACCAUCGUUUUGCCAUUCGUACCGGCGAACACGUCACCGUAAUAAAGUGUACUCUAUAUUAUGCACCAGUGCACCACCACCGACGCUUCCAUCCCGAUGAUAAUAUAAUAAUAUACGCCGCAUAUACAAUGCAUUAUAAUAUAAUAUAUAUAUAUUACGAGAAAUAGUAUAAUAUAAUACCUACACUAUUAUAUUAUUUGUCGGCGAAUAUAAAUGGAAACUCGUCGGCAGUUGGCGGCACUGAUUAAUACGCGCGUGUGUCUCCUACCUCCCUCCUUCGGUGCUGCCAGGGAAUUAAUUGGUUCGAAAAUUCUACACCGGUAUACGCGCGGUGUUCCGAUUAUGUGGGAGUAGCGGCUACACACCGCUUAUAUUAUUAUUAUUGUGUAUUAUAUAUUAUUAUAUACCAACGAGUAAAUAUAUAUAUUAUUUAUAAUAACAUGAACAAAGGCCAUUGUUGAAAAAUAUAAUAUAUUUAUGUGUACAUAAUAAGGUCGAAGUGGUCGGUGGGAGGGGUCAGACGAGGGCUGUUUGAACUGAAGUCGGAAACUUAUUUUUUUUUUCCAAAAAAAGCCUAGGUAUGUGACGAAAACUUUUCAUUCGGAAUCUCGAAUCGUAUAUUAUAAUAUAACUAACCUAACCUAAAAACGUUACGUCGCUCGUAUUUAUUUCACUCUGAUGUUCUCUCUGAAAGGUUAAACCAACCGCUACCAUGUUUUGAUUUUCAAACAGAAACCCGUAUUAAAAAUUUAAAAGGUUAGGUUAGGAUAGGUUCUACGAAAAUUACACGAACCUUUUAGUUAAACCGUUUACGAAACAUUCUCGUUUUUCAUUUAAACUGAAACUUCAUCUAUUUAUGGAAUUUAAUAAAGGUGGCGGUAUGAAAAUUAAAACGUCGUAGUUGUUUCAAUUCCAUAAUUACAAAGGUGAACAAAAUCAAGGCGACGUAACAUUUUAGAAUAGAAAGUAUGUACGAGUUCAAAAAGUGUUCAUGUAGGCUAUUUUAUUGGAAAUGUGCCUAGGUUUCCAAGGUUAUGUUUGCCCGAUCGUUUCUUCCCAAAACAUAAGGGUAGUAAAAACGGUGCGGUAAAUUAUUUUAGAGUUGCUUGUUUCUUAAAUUUUCCAAAUAAGAAUAUUCGAAUUAAUACAAGUGCCUUACACGUUAUAACGAUCACCCUGUUUAUAUAUUUUUUGUCUCAUAGGCGUCAUUUUACUAAAAUCCAGGGGGUUGCAAAACAAAUCAGAAAAGUUACCAUCUCUCUGCAAAAUCGAUCGCUACACUCGCAAUUUUAUUCGCUACUUUCAACUUAAUUCCAGUUUCCAAAUACAAUUUUUUUUGAUCAUAAAUAAUUACCUAGUCUUAUUCUAUAAAUAAUUAGUCAAUAUUGUGAUUUAAUAUAUUGAUAUUUAAAGUGCAUUUAUUUUGAAUAAAAUGACUCUCACAGACUAUAUAUGAUCUUUGAUACUCAAUAGCAUAGCGACAAUUUUCGCGACCAUGUGGUAUCACCAUUAAUCUAUUUUGUGGUAUCACUAUCUCCAUUUAAGAUUAAUUAGUAUAUAAACAGAUAAUGGGUUUAUAUUAUGUAAAGUUAAUUGAAUAACAUACAGAAUAUUAUUAUUUAUCACAAACUAUCACUAUAAUUAAAGUUAUACUCUCUUUGAUAAAACUGCGGAUCUAUAAUGUUCUGUUAGCCUCACAUAUUUCGUAUCAUUCCUGGUCUAUUCUUUUAUAUGUCUAUAAUACAUACCGUGAUUACAACUGAUUUUAGAAUACAGUUAGGAAAAACAUAGAUAACAAGUUAAUAUGUCUAUGAGGAAAAACAUAGAUUUCAAAAAUAACGGUUUACUAAUUCACAUACGUAAAAUAAAAGAACUGUAAGUCGAUAAGUAUCACGAGGACGUGAUAAUUAUCAGAUGAUCAUCUGUUAUCGUCAUUACCAUUACUUUAUAAAUAUUUAAAAGUUCAGCAUUAUUUAUAUAUUUGAAUUAUAGAAAAUUCAACGGGGGAAAAAUUAUAGUAUUGCACCUCGAAAUAAUUCAAGUGGAAGCAAGUGCAUCCCCGUGUACCCCCGAUAUUACGCCCAUGUUUUGUCUAUCAUUGUUAUUAUUAUUAUUAUAUAUAUUUAUAUUCUGUUUAAAAUAUUAUAAUAACAUAAUAUUCACGGGUUGGUUUCGAUGAAAUGUAUUUUUAUUUAACCGAUAUAUCGAUGCUAGUGAUUUCUAGAAGAAAAAAUAUGAGUACCUAUUUAUAAAUAUUUGAAAUGUGCUAAGUACCUUACUAUGUAUUUAUAUAUAGUGCAUACACUUUAAAAAUCAGUUAUGAUCAUUUUCGGCCGUCGUCUACUGCAGUGCUCAUUAAUUAUAACAAACAGUAUAAAAAUGUGAAGUAUGUGUUAUCGCUCGGGGCUAAACAAAAGUUAAUUUUUGAUCCUAGUCCUAUUGCUUAUCAAUGUUGUAAAUAAUUUUUCAUCAUAUGGACCUAAUAAAAAAAAAAAAAAAAACAUAUCGAAGAGGCAGGAAUUCCCUGAAACUCUCCCCUCCCCCGUAAAUACGCCAAAAGACAUAUAUAAUAACUAAUUGUCGUUUACGAAUUCGCAAGAUGCGCACGUAUAAAACGCGUAUCGUUUAUACAAGAAAUUUCGGAAUCGUUGUCGGUGAAUUAAUGAAGACACUCGUCGCGUCGACUAGUCGUGUGGGGUCGUUUAUUAUACGGGUCCGAGUCGAGCGCCGCGAACUAAUCGGCACGGAGCGGAAAUCGUGUUCACCGCCGCGGUAGCCAGAGGUAAACCGGGUGGCGUAGAGGAGCAGAGACGGCGGUGGCGAAGGAUUGUUUGUAAAAAGAAAAAAAUAUAUACACGGACCCGUGGCGUGGGCGAUCGGAGUGGCGGCGAGUUGACACAGACAAAUGGCGUAACUUUUUCGCCGGCGCCCGGCCGCUCCCGGGUCGAAACCGACGCCCGGCCACCCCGUCGCGAAUUCGGAGUAUCUACCUUGUUUUUAAGUACCGAACGGACCAGCGGAAAAGAAAGCCGGGAAUUUUCUGCUGGAUAUAUUAUUAUUAUAGAGCGCGGGCGGGAAGAGGCGGGAGCAUGUGGUGUGUCCGGUGGGAAAACAGCCUGUCAUCCGGUCGACAGUGGUCGUGAUGGAUGAACGAAGAUGGCAGCCGUAGUGGCGUCGGCGCGGUGGAGACGACCGGGUUUCGUGUUGCCCGAGGAUUUUCGCGGCGAUGAAUUAUAAUGAGGACGACGGUGACGGUGGCGGCAGAAACAGAGUCGUCUAGGCGGCAGGAUUAAAAUAAUUUCACUAUUUUAUCCCCCUCCCCCUCUGGGUUGGGUCCAUCGGAUAAAACAGUUUACAAACUACAAACUAUAAUGCGGUUUUUCGAUAUCAGUCGUCGGGUCUUCAGUUUUCUGUUUCACACACAUGUACAUAACUUACGCACUCGGAACCAGGGAAUUAAUUAGUUUUUCAAAUAACUACUGCGGUUUCAUAGCAACGUUCAAAAGUUCAGCCGCAACGCUUCGUGGUUUUAACUGAGAAAUAAUAAUUAUAAUUAAAUUAACAUGUCGUACGUAAUAUUUCCAUCGGCUUGUACGGUGUGACGCCUUAUUGUUGAUGUGCAGGACGAAUACAACAUAUUAUAUUGGAGUUCAAAAGCGAUCGAGUUUAACGCAGAAAAGAAUAUCAAUAUUCAUACCCAUGGAAAAUAAACUAAAAAAAAAAAAAAAAUGAAUACUGCUGAUGGAUGUUCCACAGUUUUUAAGGAAAAAGCUGAAAGCAAUGAUAUAUAGUAUAAUUUUGUUUUAAUAUGUAUCCAACCAUAAAUCAUACCUAACGAAAAACGAUUCUGAACAAAUUACUACUCAAAAAUCGACAAAAAUUAUACACACAUUGCCAGUUUUUCUGAUUACUAAAAAAUUCAAGAAAUUAUCUCAUAAAUGUCUAUAAAAAAAAUAAUGCAUACAUGAAAGUUCCUAUACAAUUUCUAAUUGGUGUAGGAUUUCUCGUAAAAAAGUUGUUAACAAACAAAAAAAGACAAACAUGCUUCGCAUGACUGGCCACUGCUGCAGGUGAGAAGUUGGGAAGAUAGGAUAUAGAGAAUUCAAUUUAUAUCUGUACGCAACGAUAAACUGUUGUAAUGAAAUUUGAUUCAGAGGGAAAUUAGGUUACACAUGUUUUGAAAGGCCUUAUUAUUUAAGAUUUUCGUCAAAAUUGAAUACUAAAAUUCUUAUAAAAAAAAAUACUACAUUCAUCUUAUUUUUUCUUCACUACUAAGUAAAAAAUAUAAGAAUCUCCUGUUUAAUUUUCAAGCAUUUCUCUUUAGUCUAAUAAUUGUAUCUUCAGAUCAAUAUCCACCUACCGAAUAAAAAUCGCAAAAAACCACGCAAAAUAAAAAUGUCCGUAAAUAGCUAAUCUAAUCUACCAAAAAUGGCUCAAAUGUCUUAAAAAUGUUACCACGUAUAGGAAUAGGAAUUAUAAGUUUUCUGUUUAAAUUUUAAGUUAUCUACGAAUUUUAUCAACUCAAUUCGAACAAAAAAUCAAAAUUGAAAAUAAUAAUAGCAUUAUUUUCCCAUUUUUUUUUCUACGUUUUUUACUUGGGUAUUUUCGCUAUUAUUAUGAAAACUGUUUGGAAAAUCAAAAGGUCCAAGGUCUAAUCAUAUUAUAAUAAUAUGCUACAUAUUAUCGUGUUGUGAACUUCAUUAGGCACUAAGACUUUGUUCGGGGAAUUGUUGCUAUACAAUGUUAAUAGCGUGUUUUUCAUUUUUCAGAAAAUAUCGUUAAUAAUAAGUUGAUAGGUAUUAAGAAGAAAAACACAUAUAUUGUUUCUCUGUCGAUUUCCUUUUGACCGGCACAUAAAAUAUUAUACAAUACAUUAUUAUUAUUGUAUAUCUUUAAAGAAAUUAUGUGCGUCAUUAAUCAUUACAUAUAUUUAUACUGGGCAUUGUAUGUAUGUUGAACGAAAAAACGCAAAAAAUAAAGACCCGUAUUUUAAAUUCGUCCAAACAAUACGACCUUUUUUAAAAAAAUAUUUUAUAGAAUGUUGGUAGAAAAUAAUAAGGAGGAAAAAACUAUUCGGGCCGAACAACGCGCGCUGAGUCACCGACAAUAGGAAAACCGUUGUGCUUUUCUUUCACGCGAAGAAUAAACGCUCGGCCCAGACACGACAACUCGACGGCUUCAAUGCAGUAACCGCCGACCUCUUCAUGAGGGCUGUUUUUAUAUUAAAUUUUUAUCAUUGUCUCUGUGGACCAGCGAAAUUUCUUGUAAAAUUCGUCACGUGCGCCGCAGCAAUUGACGACGAGUUGUUUGUUAAAGCCCCGUCCGGAAAAUCGACCUAGGUAAACGGAUGCGAUCGGACGAUAUCGCUUUUUUCGAUUCAAUUCGGGUACGUCAGCAUGUGCUCUGUUUAAACAUUACCCGAAUUCAAGUACACAAAAUAAAAAAUACUGUAUUUGGAUCAUAUAGCAACAUCCGUCUGAAUACAAAUAAUUCCCAAACAAAUCGAUGUCCCGCUACUCGAACGAAAGCGAACGAAUACAAUGCACCACGGGAACACGCAUGAACACUGGAAAAUAAUGCAUACGAUAGGUAAAAUAAUGAUAAUAGGUUUAUGAGUCAAGUGGCGUUGUAAAAAUUAAGUAUCCAUGUAGGUUUGGCCUAAAGCGUCUUCUAUGUUGGUAGAGUUGCUUAUAAAAUGCGUCUUUAAAUUUUGUAAAUAAAUAAUUUGAAUGUAAACAUAUUUUGAUUUUGAAAUUGUAUUUAAUUUUGAGUUUAUUUUAAAUAAUAUGUAUAAUACAAAACGUAUGUAAAACUUUUUAGUCUUAUGUCUCUGCAGUCGAAGACAAUAUACCUAGUAAAAUAAAAAAUAAAAUAAUGAUAAUUAUAAUUAUAAUUUAUUACUAAAAUAUGAUUUAUAGUCCGUAAAUUAGACGAUUUAUAAAAUAUACUAUUUCUCCUGGUACCGAUCUGACAUUGGUUUCUCGAUAAAAUGGUUUCUUUGUAAACACUUGAUUAUGUCAAGAUUACACGUACAUUUGUAAAUUUAAUAUUCAGAGAAUUUGAAUAUUUGUUUGGUUAAUAAAUUUAUAUUUUUUUAAAAACGUUGAUAAAAAUGUGUAUACUCAAUCCCUUAAAUACAACAGACAGGUGCAUUCUCUUAAGUAGCAAGAUGCUAUCAUAACAUUCGAUUUCUCUGUCUGUCUCGCGUGUAAUCUAUAGCAACAAAGCCGUUGUACACUUUCACAUUUGUGACCCUCCGGCUGAGAAUGUAGGGUAAAGAAACCCUGUGUUAUUUAUUUUAAAAAGAAUAGAAUUUACACUAUGCUUCGACCGAAUGAUUUCUUUUUUAUAUCUUCAUUUUUUAUCAUGAUACGUAUGUUUUAAUUUUUACUUCAUUUUGCUUCAUUUUAACCACGAAAAACUUAUUGAGAAAUAAAAAUGUAUAAAAGGAAUAAUUCGGUAAAGACAUAAUAAAAAAUAUAAAAUACACACAUCUUAAUAAAACGCAUCUCUUAAUAGGUCCCUUUGCAUUUUGCCAUACUCACUUUAUUCAUUUUACGUUAACAUAAUUUUCAACAAAUUUCACGAUUAAGUGCACGUAAUAAAUACUUGCAAAAAUGACACGAGACCAUUUUUAAACAUAUAGUUACAUUUUUUAAAAGAAUAUUUCAAUUAUUUUAAGUUUAUGAGUUGUCGUUUAAAUUCAUUUAAAAUCGUAUAACCUCUAAAAUAUUGGAAAAAUUGUAUAUUAUUAUGUAAGCUUUACAUAAAGUUAUAUACUUAUAUACAAAAUUGUCUACUGCCGAAAUAUUAUACACUUAGUGUAUACCUACUUCUAAUAUAUACUUAUCCGUGUAAUAAUGUAAUUAUUGUGAUUGAUAGAACGACGAGAGCCGUCGCCGGAGAAAAGUGAUCGACAUUAUCUUAAAUAAUUGUAACUUUUUCGGAACAAAAAGUUUUCAAGAAAUUAUUAAUAUUUAGUAUAUAUGUAGAAUUUUUCUUAACUAGAUUACUGUGCAACAAUCUAAUGAUGAUGUUGUCGUUAGUUAAAUAUUGUGCUACGCCGCCGCCGUAAAAGGAAAUAUUCUCUUUAAUUUAAACUAUAUAUAUUUAUUGAUUUAACAAAAACAAUGCAAAUUAAAUAAAUUCUCUCUGUACAAUAUUAAAUACGUUUAGACUUUAAAUUGUACAAGCGCUGUGAUAUAAUAAAACUUUAAUACAAUAUUACGCGCACAUCCUCAUCGCAAACCCCGUAAAAUUAUUUUAUCUUUAUCUUUAAAUUACUUAUCGAAAACUUUGUUAGGGUUCUAUAUAUUUUGUACCGAAAAUGUAAAUGUAUUAUUUAUAUUGUGAAUAUAGCUGUACCUAAUUUUCAUUGUAUAGAACUUCAACUACAGUGAAAUAUGAACGAAACAAGUAAAUUACGAUUAAAAUAUUUUGUUUAGUGAAAAUUACAUUUUUUGCUUUUCUUAUAAUAAAAUCAUCAUUAUUAUUGGGGUUUAUUCGGCUUUUACAAGACCAUCCCGUUGUCUCACAAAUGAUUCUUUGGCUAUCUCUCUCCAUCGCCAAAAAUCUUCAAAUUUGGUUCGCACAGCCUAAAGCUUCUACAUAUUCUUCUUUUUUUUUUUUUACUACAUCUUCCCAUUUUAUUCUCAAAAUUGUAGUAAAGGUAUUUUCCCUAUUACAGGUCUUUGUUCCAGCAUUGCCUGCAAGAGUAGGUUUUGGCUUCUCUGUGGUGCCUCAGAUUUUUUCUUUUUAGAUUAUCUCCAAAGUAUUAUUUUCUCCAAAUAUUAUACUUACACUAUGUACAUAACUUUCUGUUUUUUCUUCGUCUCUUUAACCGUUAAAAUUAUCUCCCGCAAUAUAUUUUUUUUUAAAUACCAACAAUUUAUUGCAAUACCAUCCAUAAAUCAUAAUUUAAUUAACUAGUUAUGUUAGAAAUUUAUCAGUCGUGCAGAUUUUAUGGCAGUCACUGGUUAAAAGGAUAAUAUUUCAAUUCGUUGAUAGUGAUAAUAAUAUUCAAUAUUCCAUCAAUUACAAUAACAAUUAUAAUUUACAAUUCAGAUAAUAUAUUAUAUACGAGUACUAGUACACACAGAAUUAUGCGUAUUAAGAUGGAUCACCUCCAAAACCAUUCAUUUCCUAAGAAAAUUUUUCAUAGUAGUUGGCGAUUAUUAAUGAUCGCCACCGGUCGAUCGAGUAAGGCCGAAAUGGAGUUCUGUUAUCUCUAAUUAACUAAUCAAGAAAACAGGUGUCACCAGCGCAAACUUAGAACAAAAUAUAAUAUUUAUAAUAAGUGGCUGACGUGCCUAGUUAGUUAUUUAUAUUAUAAUAUCAUCUAAUAUUAUUCCCCCCACCACCCCCCUCAACCGAUGUUUCUACUUAUAAAAUUUAUUUUUCUCGUUUUAGAAAUUAUAUUUCACCGAGUUUACUGGGAUAUUUCAUAUUGUACUUUUCGACAUCAUAUUCUCACAACGUACAGGUGAAAAUGUUUUAGAACUUUGUACAGUUUGUUAAUACAUUUUUUAUAGGUACCUACUCUUCUCUUUUGCAUUAAUUUGUUUGCAAAAAAUAUUAUAACAUCGCAAGAAUACUACCAUAACUAUCAAAGUGUUUAUAAAAAUAUUCAUAUUUAUUUUUUUAUUAUUAUUUUAGAGACUCAUCUUUAAAAAACAAAACAAAAAAUUACUUAAGAGUUUUCGUCGAAAAAGUGAAAAUAUAUUAAUAUAUACGUAUAAAUCUCGAUUUAAUUAUACAUUUUUGUUUCUCUUGCAUUUUUCUCUUUCUCCUUAAAACAUUUUACUCGGCCGUUUUAAUGUUUUAUUUAUAUACUUUUAAACAACUUUUGGCUAAAACUCACGUCUGUAUCUCAUAAAUUUUUCAGUACACUCAAAACCCUGCAGCGCCUACCCCUCUACCCUCUUAGGACACGCCUUAAAACAACAACGCGCAGAGCAAAUAGUUUUCAACAACUCGAGAAUUUAACGACAAUUAUUGUUUUAUUAAACUAAAAUAUAUAAUCGCAGCAUAUUGCAGUCCCAAUAUAGUUUCAUAACAGAUGAUAAUAAUGUAUAACUGUAUGGUAGGUAUGUAAAUCCAUUCGCUAAUUAAGAUUGACUCGAUAAAACUUUAGAAAAAACGAUUUUUAAAAAAUGGCUGGGUAUAUAGAAAUAUUUAUUAAUCCCGCAGAAUGUUAGAAAUGGAUCUGGUUAAAUUUAAAUUUGUUUCUAACCUAAUUCAGCCGUUUAAUCAAAUUAAAUAAUUGUUUAUUCAGUAUUCCUAAACUAUGAAUAAUAAACAAUAAUGUACAACUUAAUAUCAAUCAUACAAAAAAGGCUGCACUGCCAAUGAGUGCACCACUGUUGUAGGAGGAAUGUUAAAAAAUAUAGAGUUUAAUUUAAUUAAUAUCAACGGAAAUUCAUUGCUAAAGAAGAACGAUUCUAAGCAGAGUAUUAUAAGUCGCAUUAGAUUUGGAGCGUAACAAGAGAUCUAUUGGUUUUACUAUCUAUGUGGUUUUUUGUCUGUAAACAACUUUUCUGAAAAAAAAUCUUUCUCUGAUGUACGAAGUAUUGCACAGUGUAAUGAAUUACGCAAACACACAUAAACACACACACGCACAUCAGGUAAUAAUAAUAUAAUUGCCAAAGUGCCGUGGUGGUGUCGGAGUCCUGGAGUAAUGUAUAUUUUGUUCGUCUCCUCUUAUUAUAUCCACCGACUCCUGGUUUUUCUCCUCUACCUCCCGGUCGUUCAUCGUCGUCCGCUUAAGGCUUUUGUCGAGUAGAUUAGCGCGUCAGCCUCGCCGUGUCUCUACGGACCCACAACCGCACGCCGGUCCUUUUCUUCACGACGGCCGACGUAAUAAAUUAUUAAACCGCCCGAGACUUUUGUCUGGUCUACGGUUUAAUGCGGUGUUUAUAAUAAACCGGCGAGCGGCGUACAUAUAAAACCAAUUCUGUAUAGCUACUGUAUACCAACUAGUAGCACAACCUAGACGUGGGAUACAUCAAAUAUCAAUAAUAUUGAUAUUAUUGGACACAUCGGAAAAUUAAUAAUCAAUUAAUAUCAAUCUCGAUUAUCGCCUAAAAUUAUUUUUUUCUCCCGUAUUUAAAAUCGAAAAUUGUACUUUUUAUCUUCUAUCUUAAUAAACUAAUUAAAUUAAUAAUGAAUAAGAAUCGCACUUUAGAUAGUAGAAAAACAAUUCCAAGAACGCGAUUUAAAAUAUAUAUUUUAUUUGAUAAAACAAAAUUAUCACGUUUGUCGAUAAUGAUGAUAAUAUCAGAGAUAAAUUGGUAAUAUCGAAACUGAAGAUGUUUUAAAAAAACUUAUAACAUAAAGAAUACCUCUAUAAUAUAUCUAUAUAAUAUAAAAUUAUAAUUUUCUAAGCCCGAAGUCGAAUAGAUACCACAACAAUGAAAGAUACCGUUGCUAGAUACAAAGUACCAAGACGACCAUUAUCGUUUAUACUAUCCACUCACCAAAAUUCAUCUCCCGGCAUCUACACACAGUAAUUUUUCUGCGAAUUACCUAUAUUCAUUAAUUAAAAUACAUUUUAUUUUUGAAAUUUUUGAUUUCUGUCAUUCAGUCGACGAGAUAUUCCACUUUUAAGUCUAGGUCGAAGGACAGUAUAGUGGAGCAUCAUUUGUGUGACAGCACGGCGUGUGGCGUUCUUAUAAUGCACCACUACUCUAUCUCUUGACCCAAACUUAAAAGUUGAAUAUCUCGUAAACGGAUUGACGGAAAUCAAACAUUCCACCACCAACAUUUAUUUUAAGUAAUACUCCGUCUAUUUAUAGAAUUUUAAAUGUAGGUUACAAUUUGAAAAUAUGACUGGUGGUCUUAUCCCCCCCCAAAAUAAUAUAAAUGUAAAAUUAUAGAGCUGCUUAUUUACUAAACGUUCUAAAAAAACAAAUUCCGAAAAAAUUCCAUACUUUCCGAGAUAAUAAGUACACCCGCACUUAAAUGAAACACCCUGACGUGCAUUUGCAUAUUUUUUUAGUAUUUUAGUAUGUUGACAACUGACACAGUAACAAUAUAUAUAUAUAUAUAUAUAUAUAUAUAUAUGUAUAUACCGUUUUACUGACUAUCGUGGCAAUACUAUUCAGUGCUCAAUGAGAAUAAGAGAAAAUAAUACGGUCAUCACGCAUAGUUAAUUAUUAGGUAUUCGUGGUUUAAACAUUUUCCCCCUCCUAUAAUCAAAGAAAAAUGUAUUAAAACGUGCAUUAUUCGUAUACCAUUUGAAAAAAAAAAAAUGUUUUUUUUUUUUUUUUGUAACUAAUAUUGUAAUAUUUUAAUUCAAAUUUCAUUUCAAUUUUCGAUCAAUUGUAAGUCUAAAAAUAAACUCUUCAGUAAGAUUCACGUGGUCUGUAUACACCAACAGAAUUAUGCGCUCUCUAUAUUUCAACUCUCGCAAGAUUAGUUUAAACACAACUAUUCAAUUAUUGUCGAAUGUAUGAUUUUUAUCAAGUGAUUCGGUUAAUAAUAAAAAUGUUCAAAGAUUAUUUGUAUUUUUAUUUACUGUAUUAAUAUUCGUUCGCGAGUUUGAAAAGUAAAGUUUAUUUUAAAUUUAAAAUAAAAGCGCCUCUAUAAACUUUAGAUUAGAUUCCACCGAAAUCUUAAAAUCUAUAGAAAGUAUAGCAUAUAUAAUAAACAUACACGUAAUAAUAAUGCUGUUGAUCCUUUUUAAACUUUUUCGAAUUUACUUUUAAAUCGAUAACUCGUGCGCGUGGAUAACAACACAUCAUGCAUAUAGAAAUAAUUUAAUAAACAACCUUUUACAUUACUUUAUACUCAAACGUGGUAAAUAAUAAUAGUGCUCGGGCAUGUGUAGUGAAAAUUUUUAAACCGAUCGCGAUGUACCCGUACCUAUACAUGAAAAGGGGUAUUAUUUUUUAUGAUGAACGUGUAUAAUCAAAUAUGUAGGCAUCAUAUAUUGAGUAUGUAUGCUUCGAUAAUCUUUUUGAUCGUACAACUAUGUUGUACACAAAUAUAAAGUAUAUACAGAAUGAUCAACUUACCGCGAACCUACGAUUUUCUCGAAGGAUUUAAAAUUAAUCGUUACGUUCUACGUUUCAUUUAAAAUCCUUUGAGAAAAUCACCAGUUAAUGAAAAGUUAAUCACCAUAUAAAGAUUGUAACGAUCUUUUCGUGUAUUAAUAUUUUCCAAAAAAAUGAAAAAGCGUCUUUUUAUUUAAAUUAACUGUUGCAUACUACUAUAUUAUAUUAUUACACUUAUACUCACCUAUAGAAUAAUUAGGAGUAUUUCGGUUCAGGAUAAGUCAUUGAAAAAAAAAAAACCGAAAUUAAUUUGAUCGAAACAAUUGCACGUGAGUCCACAUUUCAAAUUUAAAAUGUAUAAUUUUUGUGUUUUAAAAAAAAAGCACCCCGAGAGAGAAGUAAAUUAAUUAUCACUCUAAAAACACUCGCUUUGUUCGUUUCCCUAAUUGAUUUAUUUACGUGGAUCAUUGUAUUCAUAUUAUAUGUGAUAUAUGUAUUACAUAAUAUAUUUAUACAUUAUAAUACGAGUUAAUAAUAAUUACGAACCGGGUUACAUUAUAUGUACGUAUAUUAUGCAAAAACGACAUUAGACUCGGUAAAACCGCAGAAUUUAAUGCACGCACAUCACGAUUUCAAAUGCGAAUUUGAGUGCGGUGUUUUUGACUAUCGGGGUGUGUGAUAUUUUAUAAAAUAUAAUUAAAUAAAAACUAUUGUACUACGAAUUUACCUAAACGUUUUUAUAACCUAGGAAAUCACUAUUAUUAAUAUAUAUAUAUAUAUACCUGGUGAAUUAAUUAAGUGGGUACACUUAUUAUCUCUGAAAGUAUUAACUUUUCCGACAUUUUUUUUCUAGACCAUUUAAGAAACAAGCUGCUCUACAAUUUUAUAUUAAUUUUAUUUUCUGUCACCCAUAUUUUUGAGGGUAAAACCACUAACUACUUUUGAUUUUCAAAUAUAACUAUAUUUAAAUAUCCAUAAAUAGAUGCAAUAUUAGUUAAAAUAAAUAUGAACGUUAACAUUUUUGAUUUCUGUCAAGUCGUUAACGAGAUAUUCCACUUUUAAAUUUAGGUAAGUAGUGGAGUAUCAUUUGUGUGGUGGUAUAGCGCGCGGCGUAUUAAUAAUACACCACUACUCUCUUCCAACUUAAACUUAAAAGUGCAAUAUCUCGUCAACGGCUUGACAGAAAUCAAAAAUGUUAAUAUUCAUAUUUAUUUUAACUAAUAUUCCAUAUAUUUAUGGAUAUUUUAUAAUGGUUGCUAUUUGAAAGUCAAAAGUAGGUAGUGGUUUUACCUCCAAAAAUAGGGAGGAAAAUAAUAUAAAUAUAAAAUUAUAGAGCUGCUUGUUUCUUAAAUGUUUUAGAAAAUAAAUCCCGAAAAAAGUUAGAACUUUCCGAGAUAAUAAGUGUACCCAAUUAAAUGGAUCACCUGGUAUAUUUACAUAUAUGUAUAGUUACCAGCGAGUGUCUGUAGGUAUAAUAAAUUAAUGUAUAGUGAAACGUGUAAAUCAGUAUAACCAAUAAACAAAAUAAAGGGCACGCUCCCCACCCCUUCCACCUUUACUCUGGCACUGGUGUGUACUGCUUAGAAGAGGUUAAAAUUCCUGUUCCCAAAAAGUCAGCAAUUUCGAGAUGUCACUGUAUAGAUUGGUAGCUUUAUUAUAAUAUUUUUAAAUUUACUUAUAUAGUCAUAAAAUCAACUUAUUAUUAAACUAGGUAGGUAGUCUGCGCGUGUGCUCUUCAAACAGUAGUUCGCGACCAAAUUUUGGGUCGUGUAAGAUUUAAGAUUGGAUUUUUGUGGCCAAUUAAAGUUUUUUGUGUUAUGGAUUCAAGCUCGAAGUUUGUUUGCUAGUUGUUUAUCUCUUUGAUUAAAAUAAAAGUGUUUGUAAUAUUCUAGAUAUCAAUAAAAAAAUUUGUUUUUAUAUUUUGUGAGACUAAUGGGUCUGCGAAUUGGAACUUUUUACAUUAUUACAAGAUACCGGUUAACGAGUCGACAUAACAAGUAAUCGACUAAUCAGGUGUCGGCGAGUCGGGUCUGAACCUUCUGUAUCAACCAGAAAACGGCAGACAAUAUGUAAUUACACUAAUUUGAUUUAUCGAUAGUAACAAAUUUGGAAUUGAUUUUGCUUUUUUCAUUAGUCGAUCAGUUCAAAAGCUGUUACAGUCGAUUAAUCAAAUUAUUGUAACCACAUGUUUGUCACUAGUUUUCGGUUGAUGUAGAAAGUAUGUUAUUAUAAAUAAAGUAUACAAUAACAUUGAUUUAAAAUAGUAAUUAUUAAUUAUAAUCAACUUAAUAUAAUUUAUUAUCUAUAAUCUUAUAUCUUAAUAACAGACAGUCAUCCACCGCGAUGAACAUCACAUUUGACGGCCAAUGAGUGUAACACAACCAUUCACCAAAAUAUCUUGGUAUUACUCUAGCCAAAUUCUUACAAGCGAUAUAAAACAAAAAUAUCAGCAUAAAAACAAAAUACGAGCUAUAACCUAUUAACACAAUUGAUGGGAACUAGCUUGGAAGCCAUGAUAAAAAACAUUGAAAAUAGCAGAACUUUUACUAGUUUACUCAGCUGCAGAAUAUUGUGCACCGGUAUGGACUAAAAAUUUACAAGUCAAGAAAAUAGACAAACAACUAUACGCAUAAUAAGGGACACACUGAAGCCCACACUGACUACCUGGCUACCUAUCAAAUCAAAUACUUCACCUCCAGCAUUAAACGCAAAGAAUCCCAAAAAAUUAAUGAAAUAAAUGCAAAACAAUCAAAAAUUACUAAUAAACUCUAUUCUAUGAAGCCCCCCAAGAACUUGCUUCAAAUCAAAAAUAUCAUUUUGGAAGGUUGCUCAGAAUUCACAGUUGGAAAAUAAAACUACCAUAGAGAAAUGGCAUUCUUCAUGGGAAAGGGAAACUGUAAUAAACACAAAUCUAAUACAGUUGCCGAAAACUCCGGUUCCUUGUUUCAAACUACCUCGGAGAGAAUGGGCAAUUUAAAAUAGAUUCCGCACAAACCGUGAAUAAUACGCUGCAGAUCUAAAAAAUACGGAAUAUCAAAAACUUAGAAAAAUGUAAAUAUUGUGCUUAAAAACAAGUGAUGAAUAUGACGCAUAUAGCCAAAUAAUGUGAUUAAUAUAAAUUUGAAGGUACACUAAAUGAUCUACAUGAUCUACACAAUCUCACCAAAGAUGCAGUGAAAUGGCUUAAAAAAAAACUUCCACUCCAAUUAUUUUAUCCAAUUAUUUGUUUGUUAAAUGUUGCGAAACCAUAUGAAUAUAUAUUAAUUAUACAAUUAUAAAUAUUGUUUAUAUUAAAAAAUUGAUACAGAAUAACGUAUUUCGAUGUUCAAAUGAUUUUCAAAAAUGUACCACGCUAAAAAUUAUUGAUUUUCCGGACAUUAUGACAAAUUUAAUGAAACCAAGAAAAAAUUAAUAACUAUCAGAUAGAAAGUGGCAUAGAUGCAGGAUAUACUUUAACUUUUAGUUUACAAAGUAACUUUUUCCGAUAAUUUAAACAUUUUUACGGUUGCUUGCUUUUUUUUUCAAUUAAAAAAUAUUCGAUCGAUAUUGAAUAUGAAAAAAAAUCGACCCUGCUCGCAUUUAGGCCGUUUUUGUAGAUGAAAAGGUCCGCAUUUUUUUAGGUAUGAUACGAAUAAUUUGUAGCCUUUUUACUAACCGAAAAAGAGAUUUCCGAGAAAAAAAGAAGCUAGGAUAUAAACUUUAAAAAAUGUCUAUAGAUAUUUCAAAUAAAGUAUCUACGGGCAUCUUCUGAGGUGAACAAAUUGAAACAUUUAACUAACUAAAAAAAGUGUUAACAUGAAAAAAACCCACACAAACACAUCAUAAUAAAACGAAAAGCUUCUUCACUCUACUCAAAAGCUUAAAUAUUAAAAAAAAAAAAAAAAACGAAGGAAUCUUUCAUGUUAUUAUUUCCUUAACAUCUUAAAAAAAUGAAAAAAUCAUAUUUUCGAUGAAAAAACUAGACACAAUUUCCUAACAGAAACUACCCUUGAAUUAGAUAAUUGGAGUAAGAUUUAUGUUUGAACGUAAUAGAAAAAUCUAACAAAAAUGUAACUUAAAUCCUGUAUGUUAUAUUUCAGAAAUAUAAAAUUGCACAAUAGUUCAGUGUCCAUUUGUAUGCGUAAUAUGAAAACGGAAUGCAAUUUAUAAUUAUUAAUAAUUAAUAUGGUAUGAGAGAUAUAUUUUAAAUGGAAGACGGGUUUUAGAUUAGUUAUAAUAUCCAUUGUAUUGGGUUAUCAAAUUUGCAAUAACUAUUAUUGUGAUUAUAAAAUAUAUUGUCGUUAUCAGAAAUUCGAGGGAUUGGAUAUAUGGAGAAGGCGGAGAGUGGGACGGAGAGAAAGUACAAUACAUUAUAUACUUAAAUAUAGACUGUGGAUUAUGGGUAUUUACCUACUAUAUAUACUUCCGUCGCUCGUGCAGUUUACGCUGUUAGAGAGUAUAGAAACUCACCUAAUCCUCUACAAUUCAUAUAAUAAUAUAUUUAUAUAUAUAUAUGUAUGGCGUGUGUGUGUGUGUGUGUGUGUGUGUCUGUAGUUUAUUAUGUUUUCCACUUACGAAGUAAUUGCCUUUUGUCGGUAAAAAAUAAUAAUAAAAUAAAAAAAUUCCAUACCGGGCGUUCGAUACUGAUCCAAGUAUAUUUAUAUAUCUAUACAUUUUAAAAUCAACGUCGUAUUGCGAUUGGUUGUUGUUCAAGGUGCUCAGACCAGAACGUAUUUUGGUCAUUGUAUAGUACGUCGUUAAUUUUUUUAUUUUUUUUUUUUUAGACAAUAUAAUAAUAAUAUAACACUAUUUUGUAUUAUUAUUUUAUAUUAUAUUUAUAUUUUAUUUAUAUUAUUAUUAUAUAGUCUUAUCUGAGAAAUGGAAAUAUCGGUUAGAAACCCAUUACCACGAACACUAUGGGACGUUACACAAAAAAUCCAGAUAUUUCUAGAUAUUGUGUGCAUUUUUUUGUCCGUAAACAAAUUUUCGAUCAGAAUGUUUGCUCAAAUCUUCAACUUAGGGCCGGUAGUUUCGAACAAAAAAAUUUGCCUGAUUAUUAAUGAUACAUUUUGUAGAUUAUUAUUAUUUUUUUUUAUUUUUGUAUUCUUUGAACUUUUAUAAAUUAUGAGGGAAAACAGGAACAUUGAUACGACAAUUUUAUUAUUCAGUAUUGCUCCAUUAUCAAGAAAAUUACAAAGAAAAUAAAAAAAUGAUAUUCUCUAUGCACAAAAUUAGACAAAAAUUUAAACCACACCUUAAGUCAAUGAUCGGAGCAAUAGGUAUCAUUAAGUUAUAGAUUUCUAAAAAAAAUUAAAGCAUACAUUAUAUAAAACCAAUACAUUUUUUCGCUACUCUCAGGAUCUAAAAAAAAAUUGAAUUUUUUAAUACGUUUCUCCGGGCCUUGUUUCAUUGAAAUUAGAAAAUCCAUUAGAACCAAAAGCUUCUAACGUCAUAUACGAAUACGAAAAAACCGCUGCAUCUCUAAAUCAUCCUUUUCUAUAUAAUGUUCUCCUGUUGCGCUUCAUAUACAGGAUGAUUGUGUUAAUUAGAUAUAUAUUUAAGUACUAUCAUUAUGAUUAAUGCAUGCUUAUUUCAUAUUCCUCUUGUUGAUCUGAAUUCUAUAAACGUUCAUAAUAUAAUAAAUUCAAUAUUAAUUAUGUCAUUGUACUAUUUUUGUAUAAAUUGUUAAAAAAAAAAACGAUUCUGAGUUUAGUUUGAUUAAAUAUAUAUCAAAAUAUCGUGACCUUUACUAUUUUCAUCACAGUUUGUGUUUAAAACAUUUAUAAAAAAGAUAAAAUGUUAUGCUCGAUUUUUUUUUACCACCAAGUAACACUGAUAAAUCACGUAUUGGAUUUCCAAAUAAUAUUGUUCACAUAACAUGGAAAAUAAAUUUUUAAAAAAAUAUGAAAUUUAAAAUGCCUAAUAGUUCGAAAAUUGCUGAAAUGUUUUUUUUUUUUUUUAGAACUCAUGAUUGGAUAGAAUUUACUGUACUUAAAGUGAGAUUUCUGGUAGAAAGUCGUUUAUGAAUAGACAAAAAAAAAAAAAAAUUAAAAUUCAAAAAAAGCAUACGUAUUAUACUAAAACCAAUAUGCCCUAACCGAACCUAACCUAACCAAUAUAUUUCGUUUUGCUCAGAAUCUCGAAAAAACAAACAAACAGAACUCAUAUGUAUACGUAAAAUCCUCGGAGGAAAUCGCCGCUGAAUCGUUAUGAUAAAAUGAUCUCUCUGUAUUCGCUCGGCCGGAGUUAUAAUAUAUGUAAUGUGUGUGUUUAUGAGAGUGUGUGUGCACGGGCCGUACGUAACGAGUGUGUUUAUAUGGUGUGUGUAUGUAUGUGUGUGUGUUUAUGUGUGUCUGUGCGCACACGCGUGCGCGUUGGCGAAAUAUAGCGAGACCUCUCGCGGUGCGUUCGGUGGGGUGUGGGCCAAAGAAAUUCGGCAUUAAUCUCUUUAAUGGAGGAGAGCGCCGCGUAAAAUGAUUAAUGCGCCACUGACGAGGGAUCGUCGGGCACGCGACAACGUUUUCUCGCCCAAAAACAUACGCGCAAAAUAAUAUACAAUGAUAAUACGGUUGUUAUCUCCUCAAGUUUAUACAGAAAAUAAUACCCGUGUGUUUAUACCCGCGCGGUUCUUUUGUCUAUCGCGCCGUUUGUAUUCAAACACGAUGUUUUAUUGUAUAAUAAUAUACACACACACGAGUAUAUUAUGCGAGCAAUCUUAUAUUUUUAUAUAACCCGCAGUACGGUUUGCCAAUCGAAAACACACGAAUGGUGUACGAAUAAUGUACGAGGGUUAUAAAUAAAGUAAUCGGACAGCAGGUUGCGUACCGUGCUCAUCUGAAAACGCUAGUGAUUUUCCAUUUCGUCGCGUGGUAGAUGUGAUCAUCUUAUACGAUUUAAUGAUGAAAAUAUCAACGAAAUUCGGGUUUUUGAAAAAACCACCUGAGCCCUCAAAAAAAUACGUUUACGAAAACAUUUUCUAAGGACUAAUACGUGACUCUAAGGAGAUCGAAUUAAUACUGAAAUAGAGGAGAGGUUAUAUAGGACGCGUUCCCGAUCCGUUCCGACUGUCCAACUAGUCAGAAGAUAAACAAAAAUGUGUAUGUGCCGUGUUUCACGAUCACCUGACACUUGAAAUAAAUUUGGCUCUAUUCAUUAUUUUUUUUUUUUUUUUUUUUUUUAAUAAUUAGUACGCCUCUGCGCUACAGUUAAUAUAUUAAUUUGGGUUUUUUAGGUGGCAGAACUUAAAUUAAAAAACUUAAUAUUUAACUAUAUUUUUUUUUUAAAAAAGCCAUUUUGUGAGUUAUUAGCAUGAGCUUACAAUUAUAAUUUUUAAACCAUUUAUUACAUUUUUAUCUAGGUACUUACUUAUAAUUUAUCACUAUUAAACUUUUGCUAAUUAAAAGGGUGGUGCAGGGGUAAGGUCACCCACUUGUUCACAUAACUUUAUAACUGGGCAGAUAUUUCUAGGAAACUAUUUUUAUCUUUUUUUUUAUGAAAUUUUUUUUUGAAAUGUUUGCAAAUUUAAAUAUUUUGGUUUAUAAGCUGUUAUAAUAUUUAAUCAGUAAUCAGAACAUAUCAAAUUACGUGAAUUUUCUUUUUCGUGGGUUAAUGUCACACAAAAAUACAAUUAUGGUCUGUAGAUUGUGAUUAUUACUCUUAAACCAUAAUAAUAUUCAUAUUUGCUUAAACUUCAGAUAAUUGUUGAAAAUAAAAGACGCACGGUUUUUUUUUUAAACAAAAAUUUCAACCACAAAAAAGAUUCAAAAAAUAUAUUUUCCCUCACAUAAAAUUUAAAAAAAAAUUUAUAUAUUAACUGUAGUGCAGAGGUAUAUCAAUUAUUUUAAAAACAAAUAAUUAACAGAACAAAAUUUCUUUCAAGAGUCAGAUCACUAUGGGACACUAUUAUUAUUGUUGUUAUUGGUAGUUGCUAUAUAUUUAUUUGCAGCAUCUGUUUCCAACAUACCGAAUAAUCGGGUACAUCGGACGAAAACAAAUAGGUUUGUUUUUUUUCCGACAAGUCAGACUCAAUUAGAUUAAAUUAUCAGGAUAUUAUCAGGAAAUUUAAUACAUAUUUUAAAAUAUUCCUCGUUUUUACAAUAUUUUAAUAAAUUAUGUUUUUAAUAAGACCUUGGAUUAUUGAAAUAUAAUAUAAUGUCCGGUAAAUCAUCUCAUUCGUCUUCUGAGCUGCUGUAACUUGAAAAAAUAUCGCAUAAAAACUAUAUAGUACAAAAUAUCACUAAUACACAUACGAACUCUAAGAGAUGGUAGGUACAUACUAAUAAAUAAUUUUCGCAGUAGACGAUGAUAUGAAUAGUCGGUAUGAAAUAGGUAAUGAUAUAGCCACACAUAUCAGAUGUAGGGUGUUGCUCGAGCCGGUCGUCUCGGAUCGGAUCAGAAGCGGGUCCUAGCUUACCUUCUGUCCAAACGGAAACCCACCAAUGAUGACAGAUUGCACGUUACACUACCGGUCUCAUUAAUUUAAUAAUACGUCUCAUAUAUUGUAUAAGUUUUAUGCGAGCAUUGACACGGCUACGGGAAUUCACAGGGUGCAGUUUAGUUGCGAGCCUGUGAGUCGUGUUUAGAUUCUUGAAUUGGAAACAUAAUAUGAUUACGGUUUUAUAAACAAAAACUGAAAAAGUUUAAUAAUACUGCUAUUGCUCUUCGUGCGUGAUAUUAUGUUACGUGUUAGCGCUAAUUUCAUUUGCCUCGUGAAUAGGUAUACUUUUGUGACCGUUAUAACGGUCAUAAAGCCGCUUUUGUAAACGGCCAUUUUUCAAAUUAAAUAAUGUGAAAAACAAAGUUAACAAUUAAUAUGACGCACUCAUGUAAUACUUGACUCGACACUUAUGAUAUUUGCGGAUCAACAUUUGGCCACACUGCAGAAGUUGACUAUAAUUUUUCAAAUGAAAUUAUUGAAGAAUUUAAAGUGUUAAAUCCAAAUAUUUAAUGACGUUUAGAGUUGUAAAGUAUGAAGCGUAAUUAAAUUACUUGAAAGCAAUCAGUUUUUUUUUUCUAAGAUUUCAGAGAGAUUUUAUCGGUGUAGGGUGUUUAUGAUAUUUUUGUUUGCUCUUCUGCAAAACAUACCUGGCCAUGCCUGUGAAUUUAGUAUUUUGAGUAAAUAAUAAUAAGUUUUAUUGAAACGAGUAUUUCUAUCUGUGAGUAAAGUAGGGAUACUUUAUUAAAUCCGAAUCGAUGAAAGUUAGACGUAAAAUACGAUAACACGAUUUCACAUGCAUAUUAUAUUAUAUUAUAAUUUGUCACCAUGUGAGUCAAAAUCAUGAAUUAAGUUGGAACAACACGAUUAUUUUCAUUGGAUACUAGGUUAAGUUAUAUUAUUAAAAAAAUAUUUAUUUUUUAACUCAUAAAGAGUAUUUAGAUUAAAUAUAAGUUCUUUAUUUUCAAAUCAAAUAUAUUCGAGUAUAAUACUGAAAACAACAUUUUAGUUUAUAUUAAGUAAAUAUAGUUGUAUCAAAAAUACAUUGUAGUUUAUACACGACUAACACUAUAUACUUUCAGUUUUAACUAUUAAAUUUCGUGAGUAGAUUUAAUUAGGUUGACUACAAUUAGACAGUCAACUAAAUAUGGUUAGUAGAUUUAGGUUUUCUUUCCUGAAUUCUUGUAGUUAGACAAUUUGAAAAAUAUAUAACAUAAAUUAAAUAUUACGAACUACGGUCAGAAAUAAUUUAAAAAACUACCAAUUUGAGUUUCACAAAUAUGUUUUUAAAAUAUGUAUUGCUAUAAAACGUUACUUUUUCUUACCUAUACAAAUUGUACGUAUCGAAUAAAUUAUUCUUUGUAACAAAUAAAAAACGUACGUAAAAAAAAAAUCAAUAAUUGCUAUAAAACAUAAUUAUAUAUUUAAAAUUGCAUUGAUUUAUCAUUUUGCGCUUAAAGAAUCUAUUUGUGGAGGAGGGGAAUGAUACGACCUGGUCCAACGCCCAAAAUCCAAUAAUGGAUUUUUUUUUUUUUUCCCGGAGCAUUCAGUAGAUAACAUGUUAUUUUAAAUCGACGAUGAUCUGAAAUAUUAUUGCAAUUCUCCACUGUGGCAGACGGAUCUACGAGAAUUAAAAACGUGGCAUUUCUUAUGUCCCGUGGGUUUAAUGGUUUUCACACCGUUUUCGUGACAAGAAACUGGGAAUUCGAUUUGUGUAAAACACCACACGCCAGCGUCCAUGUUAAAUUACCCGCAAUCUACAAAGUUGUUAGGUGGAAACUUUUUCGAGCAUUUUUACCAGAAGUUCAAUGAUGUGUUUUCCGAGACGCAGAAAAAAAAAACAAAAAAACACAUAAUUGUAAAACUAAUAGCUCCGUAGCUCGUAGUCCAUAAAACGGUUCGGAACAUAAAAUAAAAAUAAAUGAGUGAUUAUAUCGAUUGCCCGCGUUCCAGUAGGUUUCUUAUUUCUCGGGGCGUGACGGAGAUAACGGAGAGGUCAACGUGUAUACCCAAAAUGUUUACCUUAAAAAAAAAAAAUCUACAAUAAUUAAAUAUGUAAAAUCCGUUUUAUUUAUAUUGAAAAUUUUCUUAUAGUUUACAUUUUGUCACUGUACAAAGUAAAUUACUAAAUUGCUCUAGACUUUAUAUAUUUUGUUUUGUUUUUCUUUCAAUUCCCUACCUAUUCUUAAUACGACCUGCCGCGUUAGAAUUAGAAAAAAAAAAAUAAAAUAAAAAGGACUAAGAGACGUAAAAUAAAAAGGAAAUGAAAACGAUUGUCCCUUUUGCAAUGAUUAAACACGACCUGUAAAAUUAAUUAUAUUAAUUUGUAUAACUAUACAAAUUUACACAACAUUUUUUAUUCAAAUAAAAAAAAAAAAAAAACGACAGGAAUGUUUCAAAUAGAUAUAAUAACUCUAAAUGCCAGAGUAUUUUUGAAAUUGCACUAUAUAAAAUGGAUAGUGUUAAUAUCUAGAUAAGUAUUUCAGAUCUUUAAUAUUACUUUGCAGUGAAUUACAACAUAAUCACUAUAUCGAAAUUAACAUAAUCCGUUUAUUGUGUAAAUAUUCUCGUUCUUCUGACAGUGUUUUUGUCAUUAUUAGGUAAAAUAUAGAGAAAAUGAAAAAAAAUGAUCCCGGCAAUAUGCACUAAUAGACAGGAGAUGGUAAAAUCCUACAAAUUAGAUUAUCUCGUACAUGGGAAUAAUGUAAACUCCUGGAAGAUAGUUCAAUUUCCUACACUAGACAGUAUAAUAGAAUGCUUGGAAAAAAAAUGUUAAUCAUAUCAUUAUUGAUAUUUUUUUUAAAAAUAAUAUCAGUCUUAUUAGUAAUAAUACAUUAAUGCAUAGUAACUAAUAAUAAAUUAAAAAUAAAUUUCCUAUAAAAGUAUGAUAACUGUAUUUACCAUAUAUAGUAUAUAAAAAGCGAUUUGUAACAUAUAUUGAACAAUUUGAAACUUAAAAAGAUCCGAUUAGAUUAUUCGUGUAGGAGUUUACACGAAUACAAAUAGUCCAGAUACCAGAAACCAACCCCGAUGUUAAAGGUUGGUGCCUUUGAUUCAAAAAAAUAUUUACAGAGGCGAAAAUAUAAUUACGUUUAGUUUUCUACCGUAGCUUCCACUGCACAGUGCGUUAUAUUAAUAUAUUUUGCACUAAUGAUGUAUUUUAAAUGCAUUUAUUUUUCUUCACAAUACAUCUAUAUUGCCAUGUGUUAUUGGAUGCGAAUAAUAAUAAAUACCGAUAAUACUAUGAUAUAUGCAUGCACGUUAAUUAACGUCGAUAUUAUAAUUACCGCGUAGGUGAAUAAAUAUCACAUUUCCCCUAUACAGGGACGGGUGUGGUAAAUAUAUAAAAUAUAUAUGAUUUUAAAUACACGCUUAUAAAUUAUUCUCGAUUGUGUCGAGAGCCCGAAAAGUUAACGCAUAAAAAAAAAAAUACCUGUACUCAUACAGUAGAUUUAUAGAAACCGUUUUCUUCGACUUUCAAUCGAAUAAAAUGAUAUUUACACUAUUAUUAUGUACAAUAACUGAAAUAAAUUACUUUUUCGGCUACGCGAUAUGUAUAUACUUGAUUUAUUUCACGUCCAAAUUGAAAUGUGAUGAAUUUUUCGCGAUGACGUCGCGUAAAACGUUAAAAUUAUUAUUUGCCGGAUCAAAUUAUUAUGUACACUGCAGCUACUAUACUGGCUAUACAAAUCCGUUUCCGUCUUAAAUAUACGAGUCGGUGUAUUAUGAUUUUAUGAACGUAAAUUAUAGUGGCGAAAUGUGCAUAAUAAUAAGAAAGUAUAGUGUACACAUUUUUGCACGUUUCCGGAACAUGUCGAGAACGUAUUCAAGAAAUAUUUUUAUUAUCGCACAAAAGAAAAACUACGACUUUCUGCGAUUUAUACUAACGUGACGAGGAGACAGAUUCAAAAGUCAUUUUAUUCCAAAAAUAUUUUAAUAUUAUUUUUGUGCGGGAGCGUACUUCUACUAAAAAUUUCUAUUUUAUCAAUUUCCACUCAAUUAUUAAUGAAUUCAAUUUAACAAAAGAAAAACUUAAUGUAUUGUACCUCAGGGGUGAACUGUUGAGAAUGCCGAUAUAUUUUUCAAAUAAACUAUCAUCGAAAAAAUAUAUUGGAUCUUAUUUGGGGUGAUUCAUGAACAAAUUUAAGCAUUUACAAAUCAAAGUGUUAUAAUUCCGAAAUGAUUUCUAACCAAAUUAUCGUAAGGUGAAAAAUCUACAACUUUUAGAUAUCACUUGAACAAAUAGAAGAUUUUUUACAAACCGAAAAUAUUUUUUCUGAGAAAUACAAAUAACAGUAAGUUAACCUCUCAGAAUUAUAAAAUUAACUGAAAAUCCUAUAAUCAAAUAGAAGUAAAUAUUCAGCUCUCGAUGAAAUAAUAUAGAAGAUCAAAUAAGUCUACAGAUUAAUAGAUUAAAUAUUAGUUCAAACGACAGUGAAGAGAUUAAUGUUCUUGUGUCUAGGAAAUCUUGCAGUUUUAAACAUGACGUAUAACGAUUUGUAGUAAAAUAUUCUCGGGUAACAAUUACUUAAGGUUAUGAGUAGAUAUUAAAUUGGUUUAUUUCAUUAUGUUUUAUAUAACUGUAAUACCGACUAAAAUAAAUUGUAGUAUUGUAUUCAAUUUAAUUUCCAAACGUCUUAUUUUAUUUUCAAAUUGUAAUUGUACUGUAGUAAACGAAUAUUUACAAUGUCAAGGUAAAUAAUAUAUUUUAACUGUAUACAAUGUUUUCAAUUUGUUGUUAACUUUUUUUUUUUAAUCAUACAAAAUGGGCCGUUUAAAGCCUUAAAUAGAUGUUUGCCGUAGUAAUAGUAGUUUUAAAUUCUAAAAUAUUAUAAAUUAUUCCAUCAAAUUUUUUAUUUUCAUAAAAUUUAAAUAUUACAUGCGAUUUUCACGAAAUGUUUUAUGAAAUAUUUUUAAAAAUACAAUUUUAUACUCCUAUAAUUUCAUAAUGUGCUAAUAGAGAAAAAUGGUUUGGAUUUUCGUUUUGUUUCUCUUAGGAAAAAAACCUAGGGCCUACGAGCAUAUAUUUAAAAUCGUAUUUCCUUGCCUGCAAACGAAUUCAUCGAUUGGAAAAAGUAAUGAAGUCAUCAUUACGCGUUCACAGGUGUCGGAUAUUGUUUUAUUUCAAAAUAUCUUGCGAUUGUUGUUAUCGUGAUCGAUUUUCUCGAAACAAUGGAGAGAAGGUAAACAUUAAUAAUUUUUGUCGCGACACAGGUGUACUAAUACUACCUUUACAGUAAUUGAGUCGGUCAUUUCAAAAUACGACAUCAUAAGUCACUGUUUUUAAUUUUAUUUUUUAUAAAAAUAACAUUUUGUCACAUUUGAUCCUUAUCGUAUUAUAUACUUACUUAUAGUCACGUAAAAGCGCAUAAUAUUUUGUCAAAAACGUAUAUUAGAAUUUUAUUAAAAAACGGUAUAUCGAAAAUAAGACCUACAUCACUAAAGUAACUGCAAAACCAUCAUCGAUGUAAUUCAAUUAUUUUUUGAAGCUAUUUAAAAAUUGAAAUAUAAUAUUAAAUGUUGGUUUUUAAAAUUAUCGAUUAUACCUAUACCUUGGUUGGUAUAGUUUAAACCUGUAGAUAGAAGAAAUAAAAGUAAAUAUUUCUCCGACCAAUAGAAUGCAUGUGUUACGCAAGAAUAUUUAUUCUGAUUACUUUUAAAAAUAAAUUUUCCGAAUUUUAAUAUCAGUAGUUUAGACAGUAAUACAAUAAUGAAGAAUAAUAAACAUAAUCCUCUCAAAUCUAAAAAAAUUAAAAAAAUUAAAAUCCCACAAAAAUUCGACCCUUUUUUGUUUUUUUUUUUUUAACUCUCGCCUUUUCACGACCAGAUGUACACUUUUCACCCUCGACGUUGACGUAUCGCUUAUGAAUUUUACUGUAUUUUUUUUUUUUGAAAUAUUCUGUUUUAAAAGCAUUCAAAAUAUAAUGCGUUUUUUAAAAUUAAAUUUUUAUAUAUAUUUCAUCAACUCGUUCAAAGAAAAACGCUUUUUAAUAUAUUAACAUAAUAUUUAAUAUAGUAAUGUUUAUGACUAAAAUAUUACAAUUUAUGCCCAAUACUACAAAAUGAAAACUAAAGGUCUGUUAAGACAAGUUUCACUGUAUACUGAUAUUACUUAAUAAUCGAAUGAACAUACAUUUCUCUAUAGGCGUUUCAUAAUUAUUUUAUUAACAUUCGAACGGAUCAUUUACCUAGCAUCGCUGUAAAUUUAAUGUUAAUCUUAUUAGCCUCAGGAAGAAGUGCUUAAAUCAUUAUUUAGUGGUUUUUAUUUAUGUAUAUAAUAAUAUGCAUACAUAGUUUUGUCUAACGCUAUAUUUUCGCCCUUUAUUCUUCGGUCUGAACUGUAUACAAGUGUGUAUUUUCAAAAAUAACGUGUUCGGUACUUACUUUGUUUAUUAUUAUUUACAAGUGUACACCAGGGUCGCGGAGAGAAAAUUGGGCCCCGGGGAUAGUGACAUACAGACCCUCCUUUUUGUCCCAUACUCUACAAGUAUGUUCGAUGUUUCCAAUUAAAAAUUAAAACAUAACAUUAUUUAAAACUAUAUUUUUAUUUAUCUAAGAGUCACGACAAAAUAAAAGACAAACAAAAUAUAAAAUAUAUCAGAAUGUACAGUACCGUUCUCUGACGUUAUUGUUUUUUUAUCAACCCGAUAUUAUUUUGCUUUUUCGGUUCACAUACCGUCCCCCAUGAAAAUCCUGGACCCGGGGUGAUUCACCCUCAACAAUCGUUUCUCGUCGGUUCCGGUGUAUAUAUGUUCAACAUUUAAUUUGCUCGUGUUGAAAACUAUACGAAAUUGACUUAAGCCUUUCAUUCGUUGGAUCAAAGAUGCGCUCGAGUUAGGCGUGAUAAAAAACCGUGCGAAAUUUAAAUUAUUUCUACAAAAAUAGUUACUUUUUUAUAUUUCAUACACGUAUGGCAUGGCUCUCUCUCUCUCUCUCUAUAUAUAUAUAUAUAUAUGUAAAGAUAGUUUUAGUAAGAAUUUCUUGGUUUCUCUUUUAUUUAUAAAAGCCGUAUAAAAAAUAAUAUAAUAUAUUGUUUUUCCCGGGGGUAUAAAUACUAAAUAAUAUUAUAAUCCUCAAUUAUAUACGGUUAUGAAUAAACAUCUUAAGUUUCUAUAUUUUCAGCCCGUGAAUAAUGUGAUAUUUUUACUGUGUAUUUCACUCGAAUUUAUACUAACUAUAUACAAAUAUUAUCAUUGUUUAUUAUGUAUAUAUUUUUUUUUUAUACGAUUUAAUAUCUAUUAUAUAUUAUAAUGUAAUCAUAAUACAGAAAUAUAUUUGAUCGGUAUACAAUACAAUAAAUAAGAAGUUCCAACAAUUUAUUGCCACGAAUAAAUAAUGACAACCACCACCCUGCUGAUAUUCAAUUCUGAUUAACUAACUAAAGGAGUAUAAAUUAAAAUUAUAUAAAAAAAAAAAACCCCAAUAUAAAUAUAUUAAACGUUCAAAAAAACAUUAUUAAGAAGAUAUAUAUACUUAAAGAAUAACGUAUCGAGUAUUCGGCAUAAUAGUAAUAUGCAUAAUGAUUUUUUAAGCACGUUAACCCCAUUUCUAUAGUUAAUUUAUACAUACAUUCAAAUUCUGUUUUAUUUAAAACUAAUAUGUUUAAUGAAAGGCGAAUUUUGAAUAUUUAGAUUUUUCACAAUAUUUAAGGAGUAGCAACUUUGUUUUUUUUUAAAUGAGAACCUAUAUGUUUUAAUUCAAAUAGUCAAUCAGAUCGAUUUCUGAAAAUAUUAACGUAUUUCAAUCAGUAUUUGCUUGAUUUAAAACUAGAAUUGCCUAUACACGACUAUAAUAAAAUGUUCGGUAUCCAAUCCCCUUAAAAGCCUAUUACUUUUAAUAUUAAAAAGCGCAAUAUCUCAGAAACAUGUUGUCAAAAUUUCGAUUGAAAUAGGUCAACAUUUUCAAAGAAUUAUCUGAUUGAAAAUUUUAAUUAAUACGUGUUUGGGUUCUCAUUAGAAAAAUGAACUUUAGUAUGGCCACAAGCUGUUCAUUGUUGUUAAAAUGUUAAAAAUGUUAAAAACGUUGUUAAAAUCUAAGUAGGUAUGUAAAAUUAUCGUAUUUCACUAAAAUUCAAAAUUCCAAUAAAUCAGUAUUUGAAGUUAUGCCUAAUAAUUUAAUCAUACAAAUCGAAGUUGCGUGAUUGAAAACAUCUUCUUGUACGUUAACAGUUUCCAAAGUAUACGUAUACAUAAUUUUUACUACAUAUUUUGGUUUUAAAAUCGACAUCACUGUAUUAUAAUAUGUAGACGCAGAGCAGUUAUGGAAUGUAAACCAGUAAAGAAAAUACUUCGAUGUCGACCGAGGAAUAUAUAACUAGACGUAGUAGAAGAGGAUUUUAAAGUUUUGGGAGUGUAAGUACGGACGACAAAUUGUCCAAGAUCGGAAGCAAUGGGAGGAUGCGGUAGUAAUGGUGUAUGUUAUGGUGAUGAUGUACAAAAGAGUCUGCAGAGCCUGACAUUUUUCAAACGGACGAAUGAUAACAGUAUUAAUAGUUAUAAAUUGAGUAUAGAAAAUUUCACAUCUUGUUUGAUGUUAAUUGUUAAUCGAAUUUAAUUAAAAUGAAAUAUUAUUGCAAUUUAAAUAAAAAAAUGUCCAAUGCUAUUAAUAUUCGCCGUUAUUGAAUAUUGACGUAACAAUGAAAAAUGGAAAACGGUCGUAUAGGCCCCCGGGAAAAUCGACGGAAAUCGCGGGUCUCCCGUGCGUAUAUACAGGGCCCGCUAUUGUUGGCGGUCCGGAGCGCAUGUAACGUCCGCCCGUCAUAAUGAUAAUAACGUCGGCGGCGGUGCGCGGUAAUAAUAAUAAAAUGACGAUAACGCGAUUUCGGCGAAUCGUCGGUCGUGUUUUUCGGACCGAUAAAAACCCGGGACCGCGAUCGAAAACCAGGGUUUACAUUUAGUAUAUUGUAUAAUGUCGGCCGGCAUAUCGGGGUGUUUUUAUCGGAAUCAACGUGGCCGUGGUACUAUUAAAUCCGUAUAUUAUACCGGAAUCAUAAUCGGUGUGGAAUUUAACGGGAAUUUUCGUACACAACGAUAUUAUUAUAUUAACGUGUCGUUAGCGAUUUUCGAAAAUCCCGCGCUCAUACCGUGGGGUCACGGCGUCCCGCGGAGAUCCGACAAACGCGGGAACGAAGAAUGCGUAGGUUUUUUUUUUUUUUUUUUUUUUUUUGGUCUGUAUACAAAUAUUCUACCAGAAAUUCAAAUCGAAUAAUACCGGGAGGAUUCUUUUCGUUGAAUUUCACAUUCAAUCGGUGAGCAAGAGAAUCAUUUUUGUUUUUUCUAUUCUCAACAAUUUAGAAAAACCGAGAAAAAGCUUAAUUUUCGGUUUUUAUUUUGUAGGUUGGACCAUUUAACACUCGGUUCAUUACAAAUUGUACUUAGUGAUAAAUGAAAAAACCAAAAAAAUAACCACAAUGUAGCAUUUUAACAAGCGUUUUAGUAUAAAACUUUGAAGAAAACCGUAAAUAUUACUGCAUUUAAAAACAUGUAAGUAUAAUCGAACUUCGCUCAGAAUUGUACGUCGUUUGACCGUUCAUUACGGUUUAUCGUUACAAAAAGAUAUAAAUUAAAAUAUAUUCUUAGCUACAUCUAAAACAUUAUAUAUCCUGCUUUCACAACUUCGCACCUAAAAGAAAGGCACAUCCAUCAGCACUAUCAGCUUUUUUUUUAAAUAAAUAUUUUUUUUUCCGUAAUAAUAACCAGAGCUAUAUCAUGCUUCUUAUAAAAUAUAAUUUUUGUCUUGUACAAAGUCAAGUAAUAUUAAAGUAGUUAUUUUAUACAUUUGCAUUUGAAACUCCAAUGUUGGUGUUAAGAUAAAAUUUAUAUCAAAUUAAUAUGACUUAUGUUUUCUAUAAUAAAUAUUGCUCUAAUAGAAAAAAGACAAGAGAUCUUUUUUGUUUAAUUCUUAAUUUAAUUAAUUUAGUGAUCAAGAAAAUCAUUUUUUUUUUUUUUUUUUUUAAUAAUUUAGUAAAACCGAAAAAUACGUGGAAAAUUCUGGAAAAUUUACGAAAAUAAUUCUUUAAUUGUUUUAAAUUUUGUUUAUUCAAUGUAAGUUAUUUAAUAAUAUUCUUAGAGAUUUGAUAUUUUUAAAGAAAACCUAUAUUUGUUUUUUCUAGAUUGGAUAAAAUGUUAAAAAUAUUUUAGCCAUUUUUGAGCUAUUUAUAGAAAUUAUAAUUUUACUAGAUUCUUAUUUGAUAGAUACUCCGUGGAUAAAAGUGGUAGACUCAACGGGGAUACUUCAAAAUUUGACAUGUUCAUUAUUUUCAUUAAUUUGAUUGGGAAGGUACAGAAUACAGACGAGAAUUCAAUGUAUAUCUGUAAGCAACGAUAAACGAUUGCUAACGAAAAAAGAUUCUAAGCGAAGUUCAAUUGAUAGUGAUAGUGAUAGUGAUAGUAUUGUUAACAAUAUAUAUGUUAUAUUAUAGUAAAAUAAUUAAAUAGGCUUUGUUUUCUUUAAUAAUAUUUGUUUAAUGUUUUACCGAUAUCCCCGGUUACCCCGUGUUUUUUCCCAGUUUUUCACAUUUUCUGAGAAUAUUCCAAAAAAAAUCGAAAAAUGAUAUUUUUAAAGUACCUCCCCAGUGAAAUUUCCUUUUAGAAAAAUUGUUAUCAUUAAAAGUUGGGGAGCAAAAUUUCUGGUAUAAAAGUUAUCCACAGAAAACUAAAUAAACAUUUUUGUAAAACUAUAAACUUCUUUGCUCCACUCAGAAUCUAAAAUUGUAUCUAAUUUAGUAAUUUUUUUUUUUUUUAAAGAGAGUUUUAAUAUCAAAGCCUUUUAAACGUGUAUCGCCAAACUUUGCUAUGGAUAGUUUUUCGUUAGGGAUUGCAUAUCGUUUGUUACAGGUAUAAAUUAAAUAACUAUGUUAUGUAUCUCACUUUCCUAAGGUUAGGUUAGAUUAGCCCACCUGCGACAGUAGCCGCUCCAUUCCGUAGUAUCAGCUCUUUUUUUUUUUUACACUUAUUUCAAGUGCACCUCUCAAAUUUUGAUUUUCAUAAAGCAAUAUUCUUUCUUUUCAAUUCGAAUCCAAAGAGAGAAUAUUUAUACAAAAAAUCUAUAUGCAUAAAGCAUUUAAGUUACAACUACACAAGAAGUACGAGUAAAAAUGUUUAAACCCGAGUGUUAAAAAUAAAAUUUAAACAAUUCUGAAAGUAUGUAAAAAACUAAAACAUAAAUCGUAUUUCUUUUGAAAAAAGUACAAAAUCUUCAGAAAUAAAUAAAAACCGCUGUGUGCAUAUAGAAUUUUUUUUCUUAUUUACCCAUUUUCCACGAAAUCUGUGACAUUUUGACAUCGAUACGUCAAGAGAUACGCCGGAUCUGAUGUAAUAAUUUUCGGUCCGGACGUAUGGGUGCAAUCAUCGACGAUCGUUAUCCCCGUUUCAUCCGCGUUAUGUUUAUUGCCAGCGGCGCACCGUUCCACUGGAAGAUAAAUCGACGUAAUAAAAUAAUAGGUAAACUAAUUUGUUGUUGGUCGGUUCGUUGCCGGAACGGUGAAAUAAUGUUAAUUUACGGAUAACGAAUGGUUUUCUUUUUUCGUCCUGUGAAACAUGGCCACCCUCAUUAUAUCGAGUUGUCUGUGAUCGGAUCAAGACGUUCGUUCGUAGGCCUUAUGCACAGUUUAUGUCGUACUUUGACUGUGUCAUAAUUUACCAUACUGGUACAUUUUACUAUUUAUUCAUUAAUUUAUUUCUAAUGAGAACACUAAUAUACAAUCACAAUAAUAAUACAUUUCUCAGCGCAGUUUAGCUAAAAUUCAAUAAUAAAUUGUUUCUAUAAAAAUAAGUACACUAUUUUUUGCCAAUUUUUUUGUUCACCGUCUAGUUCUAAUAGGCACUAGGCACAGUGCCUAAUGGUUCUGGAGGUGUCGUCUGAUUCUACGACGAAACACUGAUUUCUGUUGCGACAGGCGAUAUUAAUAAUAUUAAUAUGAUACAUAUGGAGAUACCUCUCAAUUUCGGUAUUUUUGAUUUUGGUAUAAUGUCUGCCGCCAUCUAGCGAACGAAAUCUAGCAGUUAAAAUGUUUACUGUUAAACGCCACUAGAUGUCGCGGAUAAUAUCAAAGAAAAAAUAACUAUUAGUAUUUUGUUUGUUUCAGUUUUGUUUAGACGUCAAAUUAAUUAUUUGUUUUAUACUUUACCGGCAUGUUGAUAAUUAUUAUUGCACUGGUAUUACAAUAAAAAUAAAUUCAAUUUGUCAUGAGCUUUAGGCGAAUGAUGAUGGCUGACGUACAUUUUUUAUCCACUCAUCCGUUUUCAUGUUGGUUUUUGUGGUGUGGUCCUUUUUGUGUUUCGACACUGUACCUAUAUCAAAUAAUAUGAUAAUAAUUAAAAAAAAAUUUUUUUACUUAUUUUCCAUUUAAAAAAAAAAAAAAAAUAAAGCAUACAAAGUAUAAAUAAUGCAUCCCUAAUUGAAAAAUAGUAGAAUUUAAUUUAUUUUGUUCGCAAUAACGUUGUUUACUGAAAAAAGUUAUUAAAAACAUUAUACCUACUACGAUUAAUUUUUUUUCAAGAGAAAAUCAAAAUAUCGCAGUUUCCGUAUUUUUUUUUUUUAUGAAAAUUGUAUUUUAUAACUUUGAAUAUUGUAAAUUAUUAAAGUAUUUAAGUUCUUGGUUUCCCAUUCGAUCGAAUGGGUUUAAAUAAAACCCAAUCAAUCAUGCGUUGUAGUGGCUAUCUGUUUUUUAUGAUGAAUACUUGCGUGAAAACCCAUUAUUUAUUAUUAUUUGGUUUGUCAAUGAUUUUACGACGCCAGUAGAUGACGUAUGACAGAUUCAUUCAAUCGGCCAAAUGUUAAAAUAUUAUUGAUACAUUUACAGAAUAUAACAUGCCAUAAUAUCCGUUAAGGUUCUCCGGCUCAGUGGGGUACCCUGAGGGACCCAAUCUCCAACAUUUUUUCUCCCAUUCCUUAUUGGCAGUUUUACAAUGCAAAAAACAUAUCUGUAUUAAUAAAAGAAAGAAAUGUUUAUUUGUAGUUUGUCUGUGUACGAUACACAGCCGAAUCAAUCGUACCACAAAACAAGAUUUCCGAAAUUCGAUUUCAGUGAAAAAUUCAGGCUAUUUGGUACUAGACACGUUGAGAUGUAAAAAAAAAUAAUACUGUGUACGCCACUGCUCCGACUUCUCGAUGGCUUACAGAUUACCGUAAAAUAUAUAAUAAUAUUAAAAAUAAAAAUAGCAGACUUAUACACCGUCGUAGAAGUAUCUCGGAAAGACACUUAGAUAAAAAUCGUAAAAGCUAUGGAUAAUGUUUAUUAUAAGGAGUAAAUGGUAUCUUGAAUACGUAUUUAAGAUGCAAUUGUAUUAUGUGUUUUCUAUUGUGAUACAAAACUGUGAAGUAUCGAGCGUAGACGUAUUGCACUACUAAAAUCAUUAAUCACUAAAACUACUCUAACCUAAAACCUACCACAUGCCUGAAAAAUGUAAUUAUUCGUAUUUUUAUUUUUAAUCUUUCGAGUGCAUACUUUUUCAAUGCAUAAAAUAUAAGUAUUCGGUUUCUUGUUUUAAAGUACAUUUUAUAUAAUAAUCUAGUAUCUUGUAAACGGAUACGAAAAAUCAAUGCAUCAAGCAUGUCGAGUAUAGAGAUAUUAAACUUGAAGUAUCUUGCCCAUCUCCGCGUGUACAUUAUAAUAUGGUAUCUUGGUGAUGGUGAACGUAGCACUUGGUAUAAUUAGUAUGAUCAUAAUAUAUUAAUAUAAUAUGUACCUGUACUUAAACAAUAUUGUCAAAUCGUACAUAUUUUCGAAAGCUGAUAUUUUUUUUCAUUUCUUUUUUCAUCGUCAUCCUUUUUAUAUUAUUUCGUUUGUAAUGUUUUUCAUUAUUAUCAUUAUUAUUUUUUGUUUUAAUCAUACCCAUAGCAAAAAAAAAAAAACCGAAAAUUAGCAAAAAGCACGAUGUGUGUGUGUUACAGUUGUGAUGGUGAGAUAAAUCUGUAGAGUAGGACGCUGCCACAGUCACAUAUCGCCACUAGAAAAUGAAUUAUGGCGUAUCCGAGGCUUCGUCAUUACAGGUCCCGAUCAUCAUUCACCAUU
Molecule: long non-coding RNA, 213178 nt
Filed under: Cinara cedri
Lineage: Eukaryota; Metazoa; Arthropoda; Insecta; Hemiptera; Aphididae
Source: RNAcentral